RNAcentral lists this long non-coding RNA (236971 nucleotides) under Citrus sinensis (sweet orange). RNAcentral describes it as "long non-coding RNA (CSIN_LNC001513)". The record is from RNAcentral. Lineage: Eukaryota; Viridiplantae; Streptophyta; Magnoliopsida; Sapindales; Rutaceae.
AGAUGAGAUGCAGGUAUAAAGUUGCAGCAAUGCCAAUGGGGAGUUAUUGUUAACAUGGUUCUAUCCAAAGGGAUAAGGAGCCGAUAAUUGCAGGGAAGCGGAGGACCAUGGCCCCUUACUAUUUGUUGCUAUCAAUCAUUUACCUUCAUCCCACUGUGGGGUACCUGCACCUUCCCCAUCCCGUGUUUUUCAACCCGGACCGCUUUUAUCAAUCAUGCGAGCUUUUGCAAACAACAACUGACCAUUACCUUUUGAGCGUUGACAACUUCAUUUAGCUUCAUAUUGUUCGCUGUUAUGCAUCUUUGAUCGAUCAAGUGGAGUAUCAUUAAAAUAGAGUUGAAAUGGGAGGAACAUUUUUAUUGAAAUAGACGUAUUAGUCAUUAAAUCCUUCCAAAUUGACUCAAUCUUAAUUUAAUGUUAGGAGAAACGAGCACGAGUUGGCAAUUGUAUAACGAAUAAACUCUGAAGAAGUAAUAUAUAGCAUCCCAUAUCUUAUUAAUCUUAUGCUAAGAGAUGGAGAGUGGAGGGCUGCACUGAGUAUGACUUGCUAUACAGUUUAUGUUAAAGAUGAGUACUGGACAAGGUAUAAAUCUCUCUUGAUCUUUGAUCUAAGGCCUGGAGAAGCGCUGCGUGGAUGGAAAUCUAUCUAACAAGAUAUAUAGUGCAAAGCCGGUGCAAGUAAAAUGCAAGUGGGGACAUAUUCACUAUGUUCAUCAUGAUGCCCUCCAGCAGCUAUUAAAACGAUAGGUGAAGGACCACAAUUUUUCUUUUUGCACCUGUUAGCUAUAAUUUUCAAUGGAAACGUUUGAUUCUUCCAUUUUCAAAGCUGUUAAGACUGCAAAUCGAUGCUUAAUCUUUAUUUUCGGCUCCAAAUUUUGUUUGUGACCAUUCUUUUGUGUGUUUAGAGAACUAUUCUUCUGGUUGAUAGAAUUUUCUGACAAGUACAAUGCAUUGAUUUCAAUCCUUGCAGUUUAAUAUAUAUUGAAUUCGAAUUUUCUAUUCUUCCUGACGGGAAGAGCUUUUCUGCACAACUUUCCCGGGAAGUGUUUGCCGAACAGAUUUAGUGGUUGUGAUCUUGGAUAUUGAUUUGGGAAAUAUGCCUGAGAAUGUGGCUAAUAGGAUGUGUAGCUCUGUAACUAAACUCUGCGACGUGGAUCAAGAUGUGGCCUUUAAUCUAAAGCUUUCUAUCAGACAACUAGGUAAAGAAAACUUAAUUUCUGGAUGAACUAUUUAUAUUACAACUGAAACAUUGCUAAUUGCUAUUGUGCUAAAACUGAAGUAAUGAACGUUUUAAGUUGUUCACAUUACAAAUGGCCAGCAUCAGUCAGCCAGCUAUAUAUGCGGGUACGCAUCUAUAGAACAAUUAUGUGAUUUUAGCCAAUAUUAAUGUUAACACAGAGGUUUCGGGCACUGUGAUGGACCUUAUAAACUUUUCUAGGACCACUGCAACUACAAACAAAUUGAUCCACUGACAUCAACUGCUAUUUAAUGUGGUUUAUGGUCUCAGAAUUGAGGAUCGUUUUUUCCGGGCUAAGUUGGUUUCAGGGUUAUAUUUCUUAUCUUAUUUAUAACUCGUUGAUAUUUUUGGGAGAUAAGUGGAAGUUUCUUGCAGAUUCUGAAAGAAACAAUUCAAGAGUAAAAUGCAUUUUCAGUAUGAUGAAAUUGUUCACAUUAACCUCUUUACUAUGAUAUUGACAUAAUUGGCCUUUCAUUGUAGAUUUGUGAGCGAGCACUUCAGUAAAUCAUAAAAUUUUUACUUAUUACUAGUUAUCUCAUUGCUGAUAUGUGAUUGAUCUGUCUAGGCGAGGGACACACUCACUCACGCAAGAGAACAAAAAGGAAGGUUCCAAGUUACAACUAGGAGAACUUGUCUGCCCAAGAACCCCGUACACACGCCCCAAAAAAAAUCGUGUAACAAACACUCUAAAUCUAUGUAUUUAAAAUGACCAAUCUUUUUGGUCUUGAGAGUAAUAGUCAUUAAGGUGGUGCUUGGAUCAUUAGUAUAAGGGGUCCCGCCAUAAAACUAACUGAGAUGGGGCACUGUAGUACUGCAAUCGUUAUGAGCGUCUUUAAAACACUCUUGAGUCAUUGCGCUUGGGGGUUGAUAAUUGUUCUAGUUCACGCUUUUCCUUUUAAUUUGUGACUUGAAACUAGGAAUCAUUUUCUCGUGGUGGCUUCUAAUGGACGGUGGACUUCCCAUGCUUAACUGUCUCUUGCAGCACACGCUGAGAAGCUUAUGUUCACGUUCUGAUUCUUCUAAUUCCUCGAAGUGGGUGUACGCUGUCUUUUGGAGGAUUCUGCCUAGGAACUAUCCUCCACCAAAGUAAGAUAAAUAGAACUAUGUCAUAUGUCAACUUUCAAUAGUAAGUUCAUGUCUAAUUAGUUAUUAGUGUUCGUAGAUCAUCACAUUGCUUUGUUGCAGGUGGGAUCGUGGAGGCAGUGCUCUUGAUCGCUCCAAAGGCAAUAAAAGGAACUGGUAACUGGGAAGCAUAGUACCAAACUCAAGUUUCAUUUGGUUUAAGUUGAGUUCUUGAAAUGGAAUUUUAUUUCAGGAUUCUUGUUUGGGAAGAUGGGUUCUGUGAUUUUUUUGAAUGUGAACGUGCCGGAAGUGGAUAUAUGAAAGGGAGGUUUGGAGCUGAUAUCUUCUUCAAAAUGUCUCAUGAAGUUUAUAAUUUUGGAGAAGGGUGAGAAUUAAUAAUCCUCUGCUUUGUUUUUCCAACUUUCUUAAAUGAGACAAAGAAACCGAGUUGGAAAAUUCGAAUUGACAAUGUGUGUGCUGCUUGGUUCCAGAUUAGUAGGUAAAGUUGCAGCAGACAAUAGUCAUAAGUGGGUGUUUAAAGAAGCCACAACAGAAAGUGAACCUGGCUUCACCUCCUCUUGGAAUGCUUCUAUUGAUCCUGUAAGGAAAUCGGGACAACUUUUCUGUUGAAUGGAUGCAUGCACGAAAUGUAAUCCUUUUCUUUCUAUCCUGACUCUUAUCAUGAUUUUGUUUCUUACUUGACACAGCAACCCAAGGCUUGGGAAUUUCAAUUUAAUUCAGGAAUUCAGGUGGGCAUUUUUACACGAUCUAUUUUCAGAAGUGUAAAAUAGACAUGUCUGUGUGAGUACUCAAGAUUGAGCCCAACUAUAACAUAUGAUAAGUUUAAUCUAUUUUACAGACAAUUGCUAUCAUUUCUGUGAGAGAAGGCAUCAUUCAACUGGGCUCCUUUGAUAAGGUCUCUCUUCUCUCUCUCUCUCUCUCUCUCUCUCUCUCUCUCUCUCUCUCUCUCUCUCUCUCUCUCUCUCUCUCUCUCUCUCUCUCUCUCUCUCUCUCUCUCUCUCUCUCUCUCUCUCUCUCUCUCUCUCUCUCUCUCUCUCUCUCUCUCUCUCUCUCUCUCUCUCUCUCUCUCUCUCUCUCUCUCUCUCUCUCUCUCUCUCUCUCUCUCUCUCUCUCUCUCUCUCUCUCUCUCUCUCUCUCUCUCUCUCUCUCUCUCUCUCUCUCUCUCUCUCUCUCUCUCUCUCUCUCUCUCUCUCUCUCUCUCUCUCUCUCUCUCUCUCNNNNNNNNNNNNNNNNNNNNNNNNNNNNNNNNNNNNNNNNNNNNNNNNNNNNNNNNNNNNNNNNNNNNNNNNNNNNNNNNNNNNNNNNNNNNNNNNNNNNNNNNNNNNNNNNNNNNNNNNNNNNNNNNNNNNNNNNNNNNNNNNNNNNNNNNNNNNNNNNNNNNNNNNNNNNNNNNNNNNNNNNNNNNNNNNNNNNNNNNNNNNNNNNNNNNNNNNNNNNNNNNNNNNNNNNNNNNNNNNNNNNNNNNNNNNNNNNNNNNNNNNNNNNNNNNNNNNNNNNNNNNNNNNNNNNNNNNNNNNNNNNNNNNNNNNNNNNNNNNNNNNNNNNNNNNNNNNNNNNNNNNNNNNNNNNNNNNNNNNNNNNNNNNNNNNNNNNNNNNNNNNNAUAUAUAAAUAUAUAUAUAUAUAUAUAUAUAUAUAUUUAUAUUAUGUUUUGUACGUUAAAUUAAAUUACGACUGAUAAAUUCUUUCAGAUUGUGGAAGAUCUCAAUCUGGUGAUCAGCGUUCAGAGGAAAUUCAGCUACCUUCAGAGCAUUCCUGGUGUCUUUGCCAUACAAAGGCCAUAUCUGCCAGUCCAUUUUCCAUACAUCAUCAAACCCAAUAAUCAUACAAUGGAAAGCCAGGAAACAGCUCUCUUAGCCGAUAACAAGUGCCUCCUAACUGGAGCAAAAAGAUUGCUCCAUGAAAUACCUGAAGAUUCUCCGCUCAAAUCUAUUAACAUAGGUUGGAACAGCCCUCAAAUUGGAAUUGCAGGAGCACCUAUUUGGUCAAUACCUCCUCUUAUGCCAACCAUGUCAUGUAGCCUUGGAGCUCUGCUAUCAAAGCUACCUUCCGUGAUCCCAUCCUGUUAUGUCAAUGAAUCUCCCAACGCAACUCUGAUGAACAACAGCAGUAGAAUCAAUGCUACAUGCAAGAGAUUGAAAGAUGAUCAUAGUGGUGUUGUAAGCGAAGUCCACGUUGCUGAUAGAAAAGUGGAGUCCUCACGCCUAUUAGAUGAUGAAGAACAAAAGCAGGUGUAUAUAAACACUAACUUACAGGAUAUGGUGGUGAGGGAACUGGGAUUUGAACCUCUGAGAGAGGAAGACAGUGCUCUAAAUUUCAAUUAAUUAGGAGAACCAAAUUAAUUUAUAGUAAUAAAGGCAAGGAGCUAAUGUUAUGGCUUUACAGUCCCCUGCUCAUGCCCCAUUGUUGCUUUGUUCAUAAAAAGGCAGCCCUUAAAAAUGUAUCGAGGUAUCAUGUGAUAGAUGUAACUUGAGAAUAUUCCUUUCACACUACGCCAAUGGCCAUGGAAAACUGAAUGCAUUUGGUUUGUCUUCUUUUCUAAAUUUCUUUUCUCCUUUCGGCCUGUUUGGAUGUCAACAAUGUGCAAUUGCAAAAGUAGCAAUGCAGAUGCUGCGUGAUAGUGGUACUGCAAAUUUUUAAUUGUUUCGCAAUGUAGCUAGACACUGGUGUGAUGAGAGAAUUGAAAUGAAACAGCUUUGUACUUGAAGCUCAAAAGCUACCAAAACUGAAUCUAUAAGUUAAGGUUACUAAUAAUCAAGGCCAGCUUUCAUAAUGAAGACUGAUUUAUAGUUAUGAGAAAGUCGUUCCCCUUUUGUUGGGCGCAAGGUUUGGGUGGCUAUGCGGGUCGCAGCGCCCGUGGUCUAGUUCCCAUCGCUUAGUGUGUUGGAGUCCACCAUAUGUAGUGGUCCCCUGAAAGCAUAUGAAGAUGAAAUAUGACUGAAGAUAAAUUCACGAUCAAGUUGUAUGCGACAUUUGGUAACCAACCUCCGACAAAAUGGAUGGUCCCCAACCUCAACUUACAGAUUUUUUGGGACAUCAUUAUAUCCAAGAAAAGGAGUCGUGAUUUUGUAAUAUACGAUGCAAGCAACCCAUUGUGGUUAGAUGUCAUCCUUAAUAUGAAACACUAUCAAUAAACUCCAUUUGAUUUGAAAAAAUGAGAAGAGAGUAGAGGAGAGUAACAGAAAAGAGAGAGGGGGAGAGAAAAUGAGGGAAAGAGAGAGUAAAUCUCAAUUUUAAUCUCUUUCCCCGCUCCUCUUUUCUUUUCCUCUCCUCUGCUAUCUUCAAACCAAACAUGCCAUAUAUGUUUACUGAUCCCCUUCUCUUGCAGUCUCAGCUUGCAGACCAAUAGCAGCGGAAGGCAGGUUGUGAAGUGUAGAAUCUGUGAUGGCCAGUGCAUGCUUAUUUCAAGCAUUGGCCUACGAUCUAAUCGUCUGACACAUGACAACUCACUGACCAGCUUGGUUGACGGAUUCAUUUGGCAUGGAAUGGAUCCAAGAUUUUAUCAUAAACCAAUACAGCCCGGCAGGACCCUUUGUUAGCAACUUGCAAUACCAUUUCUAUUUUGGUGAUACAGCAUCAGAUAGAACCAGAAUGCAAUUGUGAUGCUUCGUCCUAAAAUGUAAGUAGAUUUAAAACCACAAGUUAACCUUUCUCCCGAAUGUUGGUAAAUUUUUACGAUUGAUAAAUUUGAUGAUAAUACUGACAACUAUUAUAAAGACCCCUAUGUUUUAUUAGAAUAAAAUUGUGAUACCUGAAACCCGAACACACCAAUUAUAUGUGGUUAUGUGAUUUAGAAGGUGUCUCAAAGUUCUUUCAUUAACCAAUACGGAAAUUGAAAAAUGGAUUUCUUGUAAGAGGUAUUUGAGGAAUUCUAGGGCUAAGCUAACUCUGUUCACUGAGGCCCUGACAGGUUUUAGCUGCAGAAGGGAAAUUCCCUCCAAGGCAAAGGCCGUGCCUGUGCCAUCCUCCUCAGAAGAAGGCAACCAUGAAAAUAUUUGCUUUUUCAUGCACUUUCAUUUUCACUGCUAUAUUACUGGAAAAUGGAAAUUCAAAAUUUUUGGAUGAGAAAUUAAAACUAUCGAAAAACAAAUUGGCAAAGUUUGGCUUUUCUGCCGAGCAAAGCUGCGAGCCCAGUAGCUUGUGCAUACCAAGCCUUCCCACCACGGGAUUCGUGGAAUUCCUGUCUAUAGAGACGACUUUUCCAUUGAAAUAUAAUCUCUUUAAAGAAAAUUAAUGAUGAGAUUUUUGAUUUGGGUCCCCUCUGUCACUUCAUGUGACGUUAGGUUCACAGUGCCCCACGCCAUGGAUGCUCACAACUCAUCAGAAGCAGAUUCAGACCGACCUCCAAAAACAAUAUUGUCGUGCACUGAACACAAUUAUAAAUCUUCUAUUCCUAAACAACAAGAGCAUGCGUAAUUCAAAUGUUCGUGAUUCAAGAAGAAUCGUUAAAUAUCAAUUCAUAAAAGCCUCCGCUGAAUGACGCCAGGGAUUUGGUAGAGGACAUUGGAAAUAGAUAACAACAAUUUGUUUGUGCAUUGUUCAGAUUCAACGCAGAUAGAUAACUUACAACGCUAUAUACCAAACCAACGUCCGAAUAAAUAUUUAACAGACCAUCCACCUGCCGGUACAUUAACGUUUGGAAUGAAAUGCAGUAGAAUGAACUAAGGCCGGGGAGAAACUCAUUCACAAGCACGAAUAUUUUCAUCCUCCCUUCGGCCUUCCACUGCUCUUACAGUGCCAACUAUAAUUAAGCACUGCUACUUCCACCUUGAUUUCCAUGAGCCCAGUAAGGUUUAGCAGGGGUGCGUCGUAAUGCCCUCACUCCCAAUGGGUUGUCCUUGCUCUGUUGCAGAAAAUUCAAGAAAGCACAUAAGAAAAAUAAAAAAAUAAUCAAAAAGAGAAAACCAGGACUGCUAAAUUUAAACUUGAAAGCUCAAAAGAAAAACAUCAAACGAUUUCUUAAUAGAAUCAUGCAAUGCAACCAAAUAGCUUGAAUUUAAAACAUGAAUAUCGAAAUAUUUGCCCAUUGGUCUUUGGCACACUGCUGCAAAGCCUAGAGCAGCCAAGCGUACCAACAAAAUUUAGCAUAUCUUACCAUCAAGCAGGUCCCAGCACGAACAUUACAGAUGGGAUAGUCAUGUGGGCAGCAGCUAUAGUGGUCAUCACAGCAGGUGGCAGCCUCAAGCGGGCAGCAUCCCCAUGCAAAGCAAGAGUUACCAUACUCAAAGACACAGCAGCAAGUGUUGCUCUCAGGGCAAGAGUAAUAAUUGUCACACACAGCAGGAGGCUUUGUUGGAGAUGGAGGGGACGGUCCAGGGUUGGGAGGAUUUUGGCCUUUCUUUAUGGGAUAUGAGGCCUCCAUGGCAAUUCCACACUUGCCCGUGAGAGUGCCAGCCACGUUACGCUCCAUCCUAAUAUAGCCAGCCUCUCCCCAGCUACUGCCCCAUGAAUUCUUCACAAUCCAGUAAUCAGCUCCAUUUUCUGUGCCAUAUCCAACAGCAGUAACACCAUGGUCCAGAGAUGUCCCACAUCUUCCCGUAAAUAUACCCUGAAAAUUUGCAAAGACAGAAAAAUAUACUUGAGACUUCCUUAAAACAGAUCAGACACACACAAGACUCUUCCUGAUCCUGUUUAGAAACCAUUAGAAAUACAAUAAUUUUUGUUCAAAUACCAUCCAGUAUUGUCUCAACCAUAUCUUUUCAGAACUGCAAAAUGCAAAUACUUUGUAUCUAGAUAAUAGCAACAUCCCUAAAUCUAAAAUGUGACAAGUGCCAUGAAGAGAUGAAAGUUACCGAUUCAUAUAACUGGAAUGCCAUGCCACCUCCUUCAAUGGCAACACUCACGGGUUGAUUUGCAACUGCCUUUUGCAAAGCUUUCUCGUCAUUUAGGGGAACAUCUUCAUAGUCAUCAAUUGUAACUACUUUGGCAUUUUUCUGACAAAGCCAAAAACCAAAGGCUUAGAAUGAUCCUCCAUUAUAUAGUAUGGCAUUUCUUCGUAAAACAAUAGAGUAAAAAUACCUACCCGAUAUGUGUCACAGCUACCAUCAAUGGCUUUGUAGGGGUAAUCUUCUUCUGUGUCAAUACCUCCAUUAUCAAUAAUGAACUCGAAUGCAUAGUCCAUCAAACCACCAUUACAUCCUUCAUUAUAUGAUGUAUCACAAUCCACCAACUCCUGCUCGGAUAGUGAGAUCAGGCUACCUGUAACAAUCUUGUUUAUACCCUCUACAGCUGCAAUGGUUGAAAAUGCCCAGCAACUCCCUUCAUUCAAGCGAGAUACAAUCAAAUAAUGGUUAGAAUCACACGACACAGAGAGCAACAGAUAAUUUGCUUUCUGAAUUUCUAACCAAGUUAAGUACUUAGACAACUCAAUAUUUGAAUAUGUUUUGUAUCUACAUCAGUUGAUUUAUUACCUACAAAAGUUAGGUAGGGGAAAAAAAAUCAUCACUUCAUAUAAUUCUGAGUUAUUAAGUUUGUUCAGAAUGAUGGAUUGAGGUUGAAUAAGACCGCAAAAGACUUGUAGGACAUAAAAUGUUUAAUAUCUCUCAUUGACAGGUUUUACCAUACUACAACUUUAAUGAUAAAUAAAAAAAAUAAUUAACUUGCUACUACAGGACAAUGACUAAUACAAGUUAUGGCGUAAUAAUUAUUAUCUAAGGACUAAUCCCUAAAAUCUCUUAGAACGGAACAAGAUAUCAAGCUCGAAGCUCAUAGGUGGUGAAAUGAAUUACCAAUAUCCUGUACAAAUAAACAAAAUAAACGCACUUAUUUUGUUCAGAGCUUUAAUAAUUCUGCAGAUGCAGCCAACUGACACACUGAUAAGCGGCCCAGCCCACUGACACGUAUUAAAAUUUUGUGGUGUUACCAACUAUCACCAAAAGUGAUAGGAAUACGAUUUUCACGUCUACUGAACACAAAAAAAAUAUUACUACAGCUUUUAAAAAGGUCCGCCAAUCUGUACCCAAUGGCAGCUAUGUUCAACCAACAAGCUCUGGCCACGUCAGGACAGCCAAACAAGAUUCCAUCCAGACAGUUCUUUUUAUUUUCAUUUGGAAAACAUUUUCUCGUGAGGGAAAACAGAAAAUAUCUCGAGCCUUCCGUCAGAAGAUAUCUUCUUGUUUUUCACACUUCCUAAUUUCUUGUCAGUUUUUCUCUUUAUUGUUUUUCGACAAAACAAUAAAAAAGGAAUACUCAAUUUGGACCAUUGAUUAUCACAGUGGCCCAAGCCUCCGAACUCUCGCCAAAAGUCCGAGAACGAAACAGCACUUUAAAAAAAUAAUCAUAAUAAUAGUGUCGGAGAAAAAAAGAAAUUCACGAAAACCAGAUUCUAAUUGAUGGAAAAGAUUAAAAAAUAACAGUAAUAGUCCUAACCGGUCAACUUAGCACAACUGCCCCCAACCGGAAGCAGUGCAAGAUUCUUCUAACUCUAAUCAUCCUUAAAAUACCAAACAUACCCUUUCCUUUCCUUUCCUUUCCUCUCCGCAAUCGAUUCAUUCAUAAUUUUAAGAUAAUAAUUAAAGUACUGCAGGUAACGAAUAAAAUCUAAAAAAGAAAAAGUAAAUGAAAACAAUAAAAAAACUGACCACAGCUUCCUUGAUCUUUAACUUCAGCGACAGCUCCUUUCUUCCUCCAAUCAACAGAGUCCGGCAACGCCUCGCCGACACGUGGCAGAUAACGGUUGCUCCUCUUUGAUUUCAAGGAAGUCCUUUUAGCACCAAAGCGUGCACCCAGAUGCAUGGACCGGUACUCCUCGUUGGUCAAAUCAGCAAACCGGUUCAACCCAACCUUGUAGGUCCGGUUCUCUGAGUUAUGUUCAUCAAUAAACCUAAGAUUUUCCUUAAAGAUCUCAAACCUCUUCUCUUUUUCACCCAAAGCGUUAUAAGCCUUGCCAUGCUUCACGAGCCAGGCCUCGAACAUAGCCAUAACCUCAUCGUCGGUCCUCCAGCUGCUAGAUUUUGACUCAUGGGUUUUAUCAUAAGAUACAAUCGACAUGUCCAAGGCAGAUGAAACAGUGAAGAGAAAAAGUAAAAACAUGGCCAUGGUUGGUGAUCUAAACAAACCCAUCUUUUGAGAAAAGAACUUUUUUUUUUUCUUUUUGGGAGAAGAAGAUGGAUUGAUGAGGCAGAGUGUGAGGGUGAGGCAGGUGGUGGGUUAUUAUAAAGGAAAUUGAAGAGGCUAUUAAGUAAAUAAAUUAAAUGAGGAGGUGACAAACGUGGAGUAAAUUUUCAGGAUAUUUUAGUCUAGAGAUAUAUUAUGGGGUAAAUGAGAGCUGACAAAUAAGAAUUGGACAACUAAGAAGCAUGGGGGCGAUAUGCGAUAGGCUGGAGUGAAAAGCAAAGCGACCACUCCACUCGCUUCUGUCCAUACAAAUUUGGAGCGCGGUGUCAGCAAGUAACGAAUUAUCGGGGUUUGGUUUCACGCGCUUCCUUUCUUUUCCUUUCUUUUCUCGUUAAGACCCCUGUACUUUGACUUAAUUAUACUCGUUUUUGUUGUUAGACAAAGUUUAUCAGAAAAUACAAAAUAUCUGAAUGUGUUAAUUGCUGUAUUAAAAAAUCAAUCAAAAUGUUUUUCUUUUUUUUUUAAUAACUUCACUGCACUCCUUAAAGGCCUAAUAUCUCUUUUAAAUACACCAGUUUCUUAUAACUGAAAAAAAAAGACGAGAAAUUAUUGCUCGAUUCCUUUUAAAUGUCCAAAAAAAUUUCUUUACAGCCGAAAAUUCUUUAAAAAUAUGAAAAAUUCUCACCUUCAAUAAAAGAAAAUUAUCUUAGUUGUGACUUUAUUAUAAUAUUUGGUCCAUUAUUUAUAAAAUGGAAAAGAAAAAUCUAAAAUAAAUAUAAAAAAACUUAUUUUUUCGUAUGAUAAAUCUAUAAAUGAUUUUGAAAUUGCUAAAUUUAUAUAGUUAAUUAUAUCACCAUCGCAGGUCUAGCCAAAAUAAGUAGGAAAAUUGUUUAAAAACCCUUAUUCUACUAAAUUUAUGGUAGCUUGACAUCAAACUUGUGAUUUUUAAAUUUAGAUUGAUGUUAUUAUUAUUUUGUUUGAAUACCACAUGUCUGCAUCCAUAUGCGUAUUACAAAAAGAAAAAAAAUAUAUUAAUAUUUAUAGUCAGAAAUUUAUUAAAAUAAUUUAAAUCAAUGUAUUUAUUUAAUUUUGUUAAUUGUUGGAAGAGUUGGCACGCCUGUCAUUUGUAGUCUGUGGGACACAAAAGAUGCCUUCGAUGAACGGGAGACUGAAACUGCUCUUUUGUCUUAUCCGGGACCCACUUAAACGUUUGGAGAUAUUUCUGUAAAUUUGCAUCAAUUAUUCAAUUAUUUCAUCUUCAAUAUUUCUCAUCAAUACCAAACAUGUGGACAGUGGAUGCUCUUUGAUGCGACUUUUUAAUUUAUAUUUUUGACUUUUGUAUUUAUUUAUUUUUUUAUAAUCCUCAGCCGUUUCCUGAUUUUCUAUUUUGUUUAAAAAUGAUAACUAAGCAAAUUCUCAUACCAAAAUAUUCCAUGGGUCCUACUAAUUACCAAAAAAAAAAAAAAAAAACCAAAUUUUCAUUCAGCGAUGAGUAUUGAAUAUGCGACCCCCUUUUAUGUAUCUUAUUUUUCCUGAUAAAUGUUUUAUUUUGUACCCCAAAAAUAAAUGCUGAGUCACCGACCUAUAAUAAUUCAAGUCACACUAACCAAUCACGAACCAACAAAAAAACAAGAAAGCAAAUCCCCUAAACUACUUAAAUGCUUUUCUCAAUCACGUGCAAUUUUGGGAAUUACGUAAAAGUACCCAUUAUAGACAUUAAUUACAUAAUUAGAGUGUCUCAAAUUUUUAUAAUACAAAUUCUAAAUUUUUUAUUCUAAAAAUGUAUCUUAAAUGAUGUGUUAUUAAUUGAGUGGUUGAUAAUUCUUUAUAAGAUUUAAGUGAAUUAAUUAUAUUAUUUCACCAACCACUCAAUUAAUGGCACAUCAUUUAAAAUAAUUUUUUUAAAUAAAAAAUUUAAAAUGUGUAGCAUUACUCUUUUUAUAAUAGGUUCCUCACUAGUAACUCGAAACAAGGGGCAAAACGAACGGUUCCUUUAUUGCUUCCGCAAUCCCCAUUGAACGCUGCGUGAGGUUGCUAAGGCCUGGGAAGGGAACACGAGCAGGUUGUUGAGAACAUUAAUGCUUCAUAGAGUCCUUUCCAGCUUGUUAUCAGCAGUCAAGUUAGAAACGCCUCUCUGCAUUAGUCAAGUUAGAAAUUGAAUUGGUAGAUGAACACCUAACAAUUGUUAAAAUUCUAUUGAGUAUUAAUCAAAUUAAUCUAUUUUUUUUCUAUAGUAGGUACACCACCGAAAUAAUUAGUUAAAGAGUAGCGUACUCCCAUGGCUGAUGGUGAUAUCAUGAAUUCAUGAUUACGAAACAAGCCAAUAUGAACGCAGAGAAUUUAUAAAUAAUUACUAUUUACUACCCAUAAACACGAUUAAAUGUAUCUACCAACUUACCAUAAAAAUAAACAUUUAAGGGGAAAAAAAUCCACGGGUAGAGUACCUCCCGAAUUUUCACAUGAUCCAUCUAUCAAUCGACUUUUCGCUUUCUCUUUCAAUCAGAGCCCCACAAUAAAUAAUUAAGGAACAACAAAGAUGACUUGCUUUUCAAGUAAAUGAUGGGGCCAUAGCAUAGCCCAUGGCCCACCGAAUGUGAAUGGAAUCUCUACGAAUCUUUAUUUAAUAUUAGUUAUUCAGGAAUGGACAAUUUACUGAUGCCAUCGAGGCUGGUAAAUGAUAGGAACGAUUAGAUGGUGAUAACGUCAUUUUCCUUCGAUUUAUACAAGUCAAUUUGUACGUGGCUUGAUUAUUUUCCUUACGUUUUUCUUUUCUUAUUUGCUUUGGAUACUGAACUAUGAUUUUUCAAAACGAACCACACAUUUCGUGUGAAGAUAUUUGCCAAAAUGACAGUUAUAUUUAAUUGGACUUGAUAAUGAUUCAAAUCCGAGUUUGGUAGAAGUUGUAUUAUGUUUAAUUUUAUAAAAUUGAUUUCCAUAUUAAGGAUGUGUUUGAAAUUGAGGUUAAAUAACUAUAAUUUAAAAGUUAUAUUAUUAAAAUAUUUAAUAAAUAUUAAUUGUUGUAAUUUAAAAGUUAUAUUGAUAUAAUUUUUCACUUAUAUAAUGAAAAAAUUAUUAUAUUUUUAAUAAUUUUAUUAAAAUUAUUAUAUAAAAUUUAUAUUUACUAUACAAAAAAAAAAAAAAAAAACUAUGCAAUCCAUAAGUUAUAAAUGGAUUUGUGUGGGAAUCAUAUCUGAAAUUCUAAAAAUCAUAUUCAAAUAUUAGUGAUUUUGAUUUUGUCAAAAUAAAAAUUCAUUAUAAGGCAGAAAAAUAGAAAGACUUAUUUAACUUUUUUUUUUCUUUUGAACAUAGUUACCGUUAAAAAAAAAAAAAUUCAUUAUUGUUCAUUCCACUCCACCUAAAAUGAAAUUAAAUGUUUUCCUCGAGAUUAAGCCUAGACUUCUUAUUUUUAUUGCAAUAGUCAAGCAAAUUUGACUAUCGCUUAAGAAUAAAAAGCCUAAUCUUAAUUAGGUUUAAUAUUAGAACUGAAUCUCUCAAGGAAGGGCAAUAGUAUUAGCAGAGUUAAGGUAUGUUAAAUAUUAAAACAAGUUAAACAAAUUUUUCUAUAUGUUUUUGAAAAAAGAAAUCAUAAUUAGCUGAGCGCGCGUCUUUACUAAUUCAAUAAAAAAAUCAUUUUCAUAAUUUAAACACUUUUGAGUUUAGACAUUAGUUGGAUAACUAUUAAUAAUUAAGUUAUUUUCAUUUAUUUGAUUUAUUUAUUGAGUUAAAAAAUCUCACAUAAUUAACAAAAAUCUAAUUUUAUAUUUAUAACAUUAACAAAAAUGGAAAUACCUGUUAUUAUUAUUCUAAGAAAAAAAAUCAAAAUUGCGGAGUAUUUAUUUAGAUAAGAUGCACACCUUUGAGGAGUAUUUAUUUUGACGUAUCUGGAUAUAUCCAUCAAUCUUUUUAGAUAAAAUACAAGAUAUGCAUUUGUAUGUUAAAAGACCGUAUACGUGGACGGUCUCUGAUCACUCUCCAGUAGUAACUAAUUACAAGAAGCAACAAAUUCUGCUUGCACAUGGAACGAUGGAACGGGACGUCUCCUCUUUUUAUUUUUUAAUGCACUUUUUGAUAGCGAAAUUGAACUUAUUAGAUUCAAAACUCAUGAGUAUGAACCUGGGACCCACUCACCCCGGCUUGUUCUCUUUAUUCACCUUGCUGGGCCCCACUCGGAUGUCUUAUAUCGCUUGCAGUACGGCCCUACUCGUAAUUGACAGUUUGAGACGCGAUCAGCCGUUGAUCAACGAUCAAAUUAUGAAUCAGACGACGAUGGCAAUUGAACACAGAAUUGCAGGUUCUUGGACAGAACUUACAGCAUGAAUGAGGGUGUGAUGGUAAUUUUCGCUUGUAGAGAAUUUGAUCUUUGAUCAUAAUUCUUUCUUCCUUUGUCAAUUUGCUCGAGAGGCGAACUUGUCCACGUCUGUUGAGCUGGCUUAUAAUGUUAAAUACUCACCCGUCUCUCUAUCCAAUACGAAAAUAUUUUUGAUCUCACAUAUCAUGAAUUCAACAAACAAAGCAAGACAGUCAAACCACGCAAUCACUUGGGAAAAAAAUAAAAAAAAAGAUAAACAGAAUCUUGCAUAUUGCCAAAGAAGGCAAAUGCUAUGUUACAAUUAAUGUAACAUAAAUACUUAAUAAUAAUCAUAUAAAUUAUGUGGGUCUAUUAUUUAUGUGGUUGUUGUUGAGUGUGUAUGUUACAUUAAUUGUAACAUAAGGACUCCCACCAAAGAAUAUUAGAAGGGUUAAUGAAGAGCAUAAGUCAUAAAUUUCAAUUAUAGCAGACACGGGCAUCAUAAGGUUAAAAUAUAAGAUUACAUGUGUUAUAAAUGAACAUUCUACCUCGAUAGCUGCAAAAUCUAAUAAUAUAACGCUCAAAAAAUAGAACGUCACCCCCCUAACAGAUUGUGGAAUCAAUUUGCCCAUGAGCUGCCUAAUUAUAAAAAAAUAAAAAAAACUAGUUGAUGAUGAUAAGCACACUAAAUUUUUUGUUCUAUUGGUAACAAAACAUCGCUGGCGAUAUUAAUUUCUCACAUGCCCACUUGGACAAAAAUUUCUUAGACCUACGUUUUCAUCUAUACUCAAGCCUCAUUGAAGUACAAUCAUAAAGUAUAAUACAAUUAACGAUGAACAAAAUGGUUCAACACAAUUUAGUUUUACACCAUGCAGCAACCAACCAUCCGAGCUACAUUAUAUUAUUAUAAGCAAACUAUGUUUAUUCGCCAUACAGAUUACAGACAACAUACUUCACACCUUUUUGCAAACAUCAUCACAUAAACAUAAAAGGAACUUUGAUAUGGAAAUACAAUCAAAUUCAAACUCUGCUUGAUUUGGAGUUGCUCUGUGAAUCAACACCGCAGACAAUAGGCACCGGCAUAAUAUCUUGCUUUUGCCCCCUCUUUGGAAGUUCACAGAUGUAAAUGCCGUCUUCACCCACAAGGUCCUGAAACAGAGAGCUCCCAUCAUGGAAAUCCAUUUCCACCAUCCAUCCUUCUGCAUAAGCCUUCCAGGCCAUUUCUACCAUUGCUCGUUCUGUAAGAUAAUCUUUUUGGCUAACUCAAGUCCAAAAUCCUUCGGGACAUCUGUUGGAACACGCUGCAGUGAUGUACAAAGACUAUUCAGAAGCAACUAUAUAAAUAAAUCAAACUCACUUAAAGAGUCUUUCUACAUUAUGAGCAAAGAUGAUUUACCAGGCUCUUCCGAACCCCUAACCCUGCUUUUGCCGCAAAAUAGGGGUUUCCACACUGGGAAGCUGUUCUCUCUUUCCUUUUAAAAUCAUUAGUUGAUUGAGAUAUUCCAUCCCUAGCUGCAGUCAUAACCCUCAGAAUCAAAUUAACACUAGGUUACAUUUAUCUCACAUAAAUCCACGCACGCAGCUGCAUGACAUUAACAAAUGCACAUAGAAUGGAACAACAUUUAAAUUACGAACAAUAAAGAAUAUUCUAACAGGUACCUUUUCCUGCGCUGAUCUUCUUCUUCUCCUUCAACAUAAUCUUCGUCACUGGCACUGUUAUUACUAGCAUCCUGAUAUUUUUCUUCUUCUUCUUCUUCUUCUUCCUCAUCAUUCUCAACCUUAAUCUCUUCUAUUAAUGUUCUCUUCUGGCAUCCUAUCUCCCAAAUAUUUUAACAUUGAAGUCAUAUUCACCAUUGUAUUGGAACAGUAAAAAGUCUCCAGUAUCUAUAGAAUUAUCUUUAGAAAACUUUCGUCAACCAUUUAGAAAAUACACUCUUUUAUCUCUAUAACCUACAUCCACAUGUCAAAGUUUCCCCAUUUCAUUACUGAGGAAGACCUUCUCAGGUAUCAAUCUCCAAGGAUGCUCUAAUAGCAUCGGGAAUUUUCAUAACAGAGUUUCAUUUUAAUCACAGAAAGAAACUACUUUUUUUUUUUUUUUUAGUUCUUAUUCUUAUGUAAUUUUACUCUUCAUCUUAUGUGAGUUUUAAAAUUCAUGGAGUUAUCUAAACAUAUUUUGAAAUGAAUAUAUGCCUGACAGAGCACUAUUUUCCACGGUUGACUAUAUGACGCCCAAUUUCUGCCGAUAGCUGGAGCAUAGUUCAUGUUGUCAUGAUCCUACUUAUUAUAACCUCACUAAAGAACUAUGAUCCAUCCCAUCAGCUUUUUGCAUGUAUAUAUCAAAAGACACAAUUAAAAGCACACAAAGAAUGUAUACAACAACCCAACCGAAGAAUACGGGGCACAUUGCAAAUGAAAUAAUAUUAAACAGAGGAAAAGGGCUGAUUUUAUUUAUUUAUUUUUAUUUUUUUCAAAUGAGUCACGUACUCUUCUGGAUGGGCCUAACGGAAACUUGAAAUUUUCCCUGAACAUAAUUUAUGGGGCAGUGGGUUUUUUUUUGUAACCUGUUGCUUUCGCUCGUUAAAAGGUCUUUUGUUUUUUUUUUGCCCUUUUUGGGAUUAUUAUUAUAAUUUUUGUCCUCUUUUUUUCUUUGGGCUUUAAAAUGGGAUGAUUUGAAUCCUGAAACAUGCUUGGUGUACAAAUGAAAGAGGCAGAUAAUCUUACUCCUUCUAGUGACUGUUGCCAAUUGCCAUUUUGAUGAGAAUGAAACUGUGUCUGUCUGUACUCUAUUUUUAGCUUGUAGUUCUAGCGCGCGCGCUGUGGGGCCACGUUAUCGACGUGGAUUCUUUUCGGAUAACAUAACUGGUUGAUUAUAUAUAUAUAUAUUUAAAAAAAAAGAAUAAAUUAUAACAAAAAUAUAUCCCUCAAAUUGUACGAGAAAGGUGUUAUUUGGGUGACAAUAGUACCGAAUUUGCAAAUUGGGCUGGAUAAAGUUUCUCUAAUGAUCCAACCCAAAUGAAAAAAAUUAAAGAAAAAAAGUCAAAAAGGAAAUAAAAUCUGUUUUCUUCCUCCGCCAGUUCCCCACCUCUUCCCCCGGAAAGACAUUGUGAAAGAAGCUGCCAGAGAAUAUUAUGUAGAAAUUUCUAAAAAGAAGUAGCUUGAUAGUCAACACAAAAAUUCAAAACUCAAUCAAAUCAAAAGACCAAGCUGAUUUUUUAUUUAUUAUAUUUAGAAAAUAAAGAGAAGUUAGGAGGAAAAAAAAAAAAACAGUAUAAGAGGGUACCAAUCCCAAUUCCCAAAUUUCCAUACAACUUCAUUGAUAAGAUUUACCUUUAGUGUUUGAAAAUUCGAAAUUGGAAUUAUUUCUGCUUGGAAUUUUUCUUUUUGACUUCAGGAAGUAGGCGUUGGACUCUCUUAUGCGCUGAUUAUGAUCUUUUAAUUAAUUUAGCAGACAAGGGAAAGAUUAGCAAACAUUUAUUAGCAAGCCAAAAAUUAAAUUGUAAAUAGUCAACAAAAGAAGAAAGCACGAUUCGAACAGAAUAAUAAAUUGUGUUAAUAGGCGGCCAAUACAUUUACUACUUGUGGAAGAAUAACGGUUGGACACGUGUUCUUUUCUCCUUAUCGAGUCCGAUCCGAGUUUUGGUGUUGCCCGGGACCGGACCGGAUGAGAGAAAUACAAGACCGGAUCCGGGUUAAAACCUGAUUUUUUCGGGUGCGGUCCAGGCUUGAGCCCGGCACCUUCCGGUUUCAGGUUUUGAUCUGAGCUUUCUAAACCUGCAUGUGAUAACUUCAAAUUUUUUUUUUCAUUUCUCUAAUAAUGUAAAUUUAAAAAAAAUAAUAAUCAAAUAAACUCAUUCAAUCUCAAACUUUAAAAAAGAAAAUAGUCAAAUACAAAUAUAUAACACACUAACAAUGCAAAUUUUGCACAAAUGAUAAAUUAAAAUUAUUUCAAUCUACUUUCUAAUACCUAAAUUCAUCCAAUUUCUAACUUAAACUCAUUCAAUCUAUAUAUAAAAUAAAUAAAUUAAAUUCAACAACACAAUAAUCACACAAUAAAUUUAAAUAACAUCCAACAUAUCAUAAAUUCAUAAUUAUAUAUUUAUAUAUAAUAUAUUUAUAUUUUCUUUCUUUUUUUUUAAAUUUAUUAAAAAACCGGGUCCGGUCUGGGUUCCGAAUUUUUGGUGUUGAACCCGGACCCGGGCUCGGAAAUGUCCGGAUUUGAGAAUUUCAAACCCGAGUCUGAUUUUUAUGUGCAUGCGGUCCGAAUUUUGUCCGGACCGGAUUGGCCGGGUCCGGUCCGGGCGGGCUUGUUUGACACCCCUACCCAUAUUCAAGUCAUUUCAUCUUGUGAUCUCAAAGUUUGUCACCCUUUUUGGAGGAAAAUAUAUAUUUUUUCUUCCUUUUGAUGCAAAAUUUCAGAGCAGCAACUUAUAUAAUUGCUGUCUAGGGUCUGAUCGAAUAAUUUGGAAGUAAAUUUUUUUAAUUGAUUUCUUAAGUUCGAAUAUUAGGAUAAUUGAAUCAUUUUUAAGUAAACUUUUUAAUUGAUCUCUUAAGUUCGAAUAUUGGGAUGAUAGGGGGUUAAAUGUAUCAAUUUGAGAUUUUUUUUUCAUCCCUAUAUUAAAAAAUUUAAAUAUAUUCAGCUAAUUGUUUUAUGUCCUUUUUUUCUUUUUCUGCUCCCUUUUUAAUUGGGUUUAUUGCGAUUUGAAAUUUCAUGAUUCAUCUACGCGUUAAUUCCUAUUCUUAUAACUUUUUGCGGUGAAUAAUUUAAUUGCAUAGAAUUGUGAUUUUAAAAUUUUACUCUGUUCUUAAUAGUUCAUUGUAUUUAAAAAAAGAAAGAAAGAAAGAAAACAGCAUUAUAAUUUUGACAGAAUCGGAGAUAAAAUAGAACGUUGAAAGUAGCUAGACGAUAUCAAGACAACUUCAAAUUUCAAAACGAAAAAAACAAAGACAAAGUGCGGCGAGUGAUGAUAUCUUCUUUGCCGUUUCAACUUUUUGUGCAUUAUUUUAUGGUAUAGGAUGUUAUAGGCUUUCGAGGUUUCACGUCGCCUAAUAAUGCCUCUCUCUGUUUUUUGUUCGUAUAGUCUUGAUCUGGGUCUGGGCACAUGCUUUUUCGCUUUGUUUUAAUUUUGAAGAGCUGAGCUCUAUGUUGCCGCCCUAACGUAUAAAUUAUUUUUUUUCACAGAUAAAUUAUAUACAUGUACACAUACAUGUUGACGGAUAAAUAAUAAAGCGAAAGAGGAAAUUUGAUUUGAUUAAUUAUCUCUGCGUGCAUGUCAAUAUUAGUUGUUGGCUUUUUAUUUUUUUACUAGAUAACAAUAUAAACUCUUUCUAAUUUCAACGUCCACUCGUGGCCAUCAUUUUCAACGUCUAAUUGGAAGCAUCCAGGAGCAAUGGGUCAAUGCAUGGUGUGGAGCAGCGGGAUUUCAAAUUCAAUCAGCUGUGUAAAAUGGAUCUGGAAAAUGAAAAUGAAUCCAAGGGUGGUGGUGGUGGUGGUGGGCCAUCAUAACAGGAAGUAGGUUAUUUGACGAAGGAAAGAAAAGAAAAGAGGGAAUCCCGGUACAGCAGCCCCCUCUUCACUGAAUGACUUUUGCAUUAAAAGCUGUUAAAGGUCAACUCUACUUUACUGUCCCCAACUAACCUCUCUCCGAUUUUACCGAGUCAUCGAUUUCCAACGGGUCAUCACAACCUUUUGACCUUAUCCCCCUCAUCAUUUUACACGGUCUCCAAGCGGCUUAUCCCGUUACCGGGACCCACAUCAAUGAGGCAGUCAACAUCCUGACAAAAUCUGCCACCUGGGAUGUUUUUAUUGGAGGUUGGGUUCGACAGGUCAGUCAUUUCUGAUGCCUUGCAUUGCAUUUGCGAGAGGGCAUCAGUUUGACUCGAAUCUAUAACAAAACAAAGCCAAGCGCACCACACCCCCCACUUUUAUCAUCAAAAUCUUUAAUAAGUCAUUGUAUUGUUUCUUUGCUUUUUCCUUUUUCUUUGCUUUCUUUCAUCGUCAUUUUAACAAUUUUUCCUUGCCUUGGACAACAAGAUUUAAAUAGCCUUUGGGCUUUGGCUCUUAUUAGCGCUCGGUUUUAAAAGAAAUGGCCGUGGAGCUGAUGAUGGGUUACGGUUGCGGUGAUAGUUUUGCAGCAGCUGUGAAGAUGGAAGAGAACGCUGUACAAGAAGCUGCAUCCGAAGGUAUGCAGAGCAUUGGUGAGUUCAUAAAAUUAUUGUCUCGAAGUGGUCAAGUACCAUCUGAACAACAAACACAGUACCAAGAAUCUACAUCUUCCUCUCCAACAAAUCUCGAACCUGACAAGGAAAUCAAGGUCGCAGCUGAAGUGGCCGUGAACAAUUUCAAGAAAGUUAUUUCUCUACUUGGUAGACCAAGAACAGGGCAUGCAAGAUUCAGAAGAGCUCCUGUUGGUAGCCCUCCUCCUCCUCCUCCUCCUCCUCAAAAAGAAGAAAAAGUACAUCUUCAAGAACCAGCAGGGCCAUCAGUUCAAUCUACAAAUCAUCUUUCAAAGGAACAAGUUUCUGCCUUCAAGGUUUAUUGCCCUACCCCUGUUCAUCGUCUGCCUCCGUUGCCUCACCAUGUUCAGAAGAGUAAUCCUAAUUCUACGGUGGUGACUAAGUCCGAUCAUGUGCCAAGCAGUAUCAAUUUCUCAGCCUCUGCCACAAAUUCUUUCAUAUCCUCGCUCACAGGCACAGCAGGGGAUACCGACAGCAUACAACCUUCUUUCUCAUCUGGGUUUCAAUUUACCACACCAUCAUCAGCUGGAAAGCCACCUCUGUCUUCUUCCUCGCUCAAGAGAAAGUGCAAUUCCAUGGAUGAUGCUGCUCUCAAGUGUGGCUCAUCUUCAGGGCGCUGCCAUUGCUCCAAGAAGAGGUUGGCUUCAUUUCUUUAACAAUCAAUUUCAUUUGCUCUAUUUUUCGUUUGAUUUAAUUCUGAUUAUGCUUAUGUUAAAUUGAAAACGUGUGCAGAAAAUCAAGGAUUAAGAGAGUGACUAGAGUUCCAGCGAUAAGCUCUAAGAUGGCUGAUAUUCCACCUGAUGAUUACUCCUGGAGAAAGUAUGGCCAGAAACCCAUCAAAGGUUCUCCUCAUCCAAGGUGUGCAAGUGUUAACUGACUCGCUCGGUUCAUUUCUCGAACAUAAUCGUUUCACUACAGCAUCCACUAACACCUCCUCCUAAUGACGCCAUUCGGCAUUAAUUGUGUUUGUCUAGUGGGGCUGAUUGAUUUGACUUUUUCACCUGCUGACAUUAUAAUUCGAGUUGACUCAGGGCCUGAGUGUCUGAAUUCUCAUUAGUUUCUUUGGUGUCUCCAUUUUCAGGGGAUAUUACAAGUGUAGUAGCGUGAGAGGCUGUCCAGCACGCAAACACGUGGAACGUGCACUUGACGAUCCAAUGAUGCUGAUUGUCACAUACGAAGGUGAUCACAACCACGCCUUCGCUGUUCAUGAUGCACCUGCUGCUAUGGUCCUCGAGUCAUCUUAGUCAAACCCAUCCAACGGCCAGAAACAACAUUUCCGAAAAGAUGGAAAUUGCGUGGGGGCAGAUCAGGCGAUCAGCACCGUGCUCGGAUGGUCAACGUAGAUACUGCUGGGCUCUGGCGGUCUUUGGUUUCUCUUUUUUCUUGUUGAAGACUUUUGUUUAAAGAGAUUUAAAAAGAAAUAGUAAAAAGUGUAGAAAAUGUGGAUUUUGUGGGAGUUUGAAUCAUGCAAGUAGUGUUUUUUUUCCUUUUUUUUAAAAAAAAAUUUCUUAUUGUUCUUAUACUCAAAUGGAAUUUAGGCUUUUUUAUGAAUUGUAUCUAUGUACGCGAUGGUGGUGGUGGUGGUGGGGAUCUUGUUAGGAUGCUUACUUUAUUUUAUUCCAAUUUCCACUCGAAUAAUAUGCAAUUUUAAAUGAGAAAAAUGGCGCUGCAGUCAAUGGCACCGAAAAAUGUUUAUUAUUUUAGUGGAGGAUGUGUCGUUUAUGCGACGGUUGACCCUUAGAUAUCUUUUUUAAAGGGUUAGGAUACGUUGUAAUCACAUAAUUUAGGUGAUGAUGUAUUUUUUAUUUUUUAUUAUUUUGCUUGUAAUUCAUUCUUUAUCCUUAGAGCAAGGUGGGAUUGCCCUAUUUUAAUUAUGAUAAAUUUUUUAUAAAAAAAUGGUUGAAGAGAAGGACAAGUCUUGGUGGUGGUUUUGUCAAGUUGCAAUUGGUGUAUUUUCCUCGGGUGCUUUGAGAAUAAAGCGAUAUGUUUCCUUUAAGACUUUCCGAUGAAGCAUUUGUGACAGUGACCCCACCAAAAAUAGAGUGCGAAGACACUGCAAAGUCAAAGUGGCUGGUUUGGUUGAUGAUAAUUCGGCCUCCCCCACUAAUUGCUUACUGCUCUCAUGCACUUUAGAAUUAAUUAUGCUUUAAUGAGGAUUAAUCACAUUUACUUGGUUACUGUAUAGCUGGAUUCAUUUCGAAGAAAUUGGUAGUUCCAAAGACUCGCUAGCAAAAUCUAAGAGAAAGAAUUGGAGAUCUAAGUUGUUUGUCUUUCCAUGCUUUAAUCUGCAUCUGCGUGCGCGCGUGUGUAUAUAUAUAUAUAUAUAUAUGCGGAUAUUUGUAUUUUUCUUAAUGUAAACAUACAUGUUAUUAAAUCGUGCGGUAUAAAAGAAUUAAUUUUUAAUAAAUUAUAAAAUUGUGUAGUUUUAAAAAGUUAAAAAUUAACUAUUUAAAACUUCACAGUUUUAAAAUGUGUUCGUAUAAAAAAAAAAUGAGGACACUCGCAUGAGAGAAGAGAUAUAUAUAUAUAAAAGAAAUAGAGUAGUGGAGAAAAUUUGAAGGGUUAAGUGUGAAGGACUGUAGGGCCUUUUGCAAUUUUUAAAAGCCACACUUGCUCGACAACAUGGCACGGCAUCUAUUGUAACUUGAACCUUUGGCCGUAUUUGAGAUGUCUAUUUUUUAAAAAAAAAUUUAAAAUGAAUUAUUGGCUGACCAAGGAACCUGGUGCAAUUUAAAACUGCCAAUACGUUUGUUUUGUUUCACACUGUUAGUAACUUUUUGAAUUAUUAUGUGUACAGUUCAUUGUUAUAUGGAAUCUGUCUUAAUGUAAACACUUAUUUGUUAAGAGUAUUGAUUAUCUUAGAGCUAUUUUAAAAUAGAAUACAAAUUAUAAUUUCAUACGUAAAGUGGUAAAUAAUAAAAAAUAUAUUAUAAUUUUAAUUGUGUGAUUAUAAAAAUAUGUUCUACCUUAGAGCGAUUCCAACAUAACCAAACACUUGUUAAAUAAUGGUUUGAAAAUCUAUUCAUUUAAAAUCUAUCCUUAUACGAGAAAAGUUACUCUCUUCGACACUUGAACUCGUGCCCUCAAAAUAGGGCUUUAUUGCAUAAAACGAUUCACAUGAUUUGAUGUUUAUAUCACGGUCGAGAACAUGCAUGCGGUUGAGUUUUCCAUUGAGAUUCAAAUGUUCCAUUUUAUUAAUUGGUCAAAAGACCGUUGGUCAGUGCUCCUAAAAUCAAUUCUUCCAGUAUGGAGCACCUUCAUUGAUGAUUAAGUUCAUUUGUAUAGGCUUAUUUUCUUAGUCUAAAUUAUUUAUUAUUGUUAAUUAUGAAUCUUAAAUAAAUAUAAUAUUAUUAAAUAAUAUAACAGUAUUAUUUAAAUAAAAAAUAAAUAUGAUAUUUUUUUUUUAAAUCGGACAUAUUAUAUUUCAAUCAAUAGAAUUAUAUUAUAUUUAAUAACGGAAGGAUAAAAAAGGAAGAGGUGAAAGUGGAUUUCCACUCUUACCUCCCCCAAUCGGAGUGGGAAUCCCACUCUUCACUUAAAAAAUGAGUGGGAUUCAAACAGUGAAACACCAACUCAUCUACUUAAAUAAAUAAAUAAAUAUUGUUGUGGGAGGAAUCUAGACUUACUACUCCCACUUUAAUAAGUAAACAUAACAUUAUGUUAUCUCUUUCUUAGGAAAAAAAAAAUUGAAAAGAAAGCAUACUCUAAAUGAUACACAUGUUAUUGUAUAAUUGCCAAGAUUUCAUACUCAAUUACAGCGAUCAUAAGCAUGGGAUUAGCAAUCCAAACAAACAAAAGCACGAGGAGAUUGUUUUUAUAUCGAUAAUAAAGUCUCUUGAGUAACUUAUAAUUUCCUCUUAAGAAAAAAAAAACACUUAUAACUUGUUUUACAUUGCCUUUUAUGGUGCCAAUGAACAACUAACCGUACGCAUAAUUAUCUAAGGACAGAUUAGGUUCGAGCAUUUUUCUGGGUCAUAAGUAGAGUGUUAUAGACUAUUGAUACUUCUCCAAAAUCAUUUUUUAAGCCCUUGCAUAUUUAAAAACCUUUAUCAAAAUUAUACGGAGGACAUAAUGUAUCUAAUUAAACAUGUUUUGAAUACAUUAUAGAAGUGAUUGUUUUACAGGAAAUCUUUAAAUUAUUAUUUUUGCUAAAGAAGAGAAUAUCUUUAUGAUUAUGGGUUGUGAAUAAUAAGAAAGAAAAUUGAAAGAUUGUGAUUGAAUGGGAAAUUAUUUUAAUUAAAGUUUGCCACUGAAAGCGAAAGGGGUUUUUAAAGCGUUAUAAGAAAUAUAUUUUAUUUUAAAAUAUUUGAAUGGGUAAAUAAAGGGAAGUGUUUUCAAAGAUUUAAAUUGGGGUAUUAAUAGUCAAGAGGUAAACUGGGCUAGCAUGGUUUUGAGCCUAGGCCCACAAGUCCGUGUCGUAACUUGGUUUUUCAAGAACAACGAAACCUAAGGGCCGCUUUAAGUUUCAACACCAUGGGUCAAUCUCAUAUCAUUUGGCCCAGGUCCAGUCAAACGCAAAUUCCAGAAAUGGGCCUUCGGAAUGGGAAUUCUGUUAUGUGUUUUCAAUAAGUUUUGAGCUCACAUACUUAUUCUCAUUCCUUUUCUAAAUAAAUAACCAGUUCAAUUAUUGGGAUUCCGGAACGUGAUUUUUUAAUUUUCUAUUUUAAAUUAAGUAGAGCCAAUUACAAUAUGUGCUUUAAUAUUUUAUUUCUAUACUGAAGUAGAUUUGCCCUUUUUUUUAAUUAUUUUUAUAAUCUUUUGAUUAAUAAAAAUCUCAUUUAUUUUGUUCCCAUAUUUUCUUUACCCUCUUUAUCCUUAACCUUUGGAUUUAUCUUUUAACCUUUGAAUUAUAGCCAUAUCUAACCAUCACCAAGUCGGAUUUAUUCGAUGGGGUGAGUCACUGCCCCACAUCAAACUUAAAUUUACAGUCCGCUUCCGCUCCUACUUCGUCAAUUACCCAAUUUAUGUUCCCAUUAAAACAGUACAUUACUUGCAUCUCAAAUUAUACCCAACUGUGAACUCACAUGGCACCGUCCAUACCUGUGGGUCAAAAAGAAUUCCCCCAACAUAACUUGACAGGUGUGACACACAAGAAAAAUUAAAAGAAGAGCUAAAACAUAAAAGCAGCAGACUAGAGAGUGGGACUCACAGGCAGGAGGGGCCCUUACUUGCCUUGCCGGAACACCAAUCAUAAAGAGUAUGCUGGUAACCGUACACAUUAAAAGAUUUAGAUAUUAAGAGCUGAUACUUCUUUCAAUUGUUUUUUUUUCGCCCACUCCCUUUCCCUUCACGUGAUUCUAACCGAGUGUGCAGUCCCAGCCAGCUGCUUCUUAUCAGCUCUUACAAUGACAUUACAUGCUUUGUCACGUAACUGAAACCUUCCAUCACCGUCUCUCCCCUUUCUCUCAAGUCUCUGUCCUGUCAAGGGAAUGAAAUGGACCUGUAAUAGUUACUUUUUACGGCGAAAGGUCAAAUAAACUGAGAAGAGGAAGAAGAGUGCCCCUGUUUCCUGUUUCAGUUUUCAUCACACUAACCAAACACCAUGUCCAUUAGAAGAAAACCCCUUCUUCCACAGUUGUUAUUUUUCCUAUCAAAUACUUUUCUGUUGAUUACAUCUUGUUCUGCUUCUCGUUCUGCAUCUGCAGUGAACUCACUGCUGCCGUCUGAUGCACAAGUGCUACUGGCAUUCAAAGCAAAAGCCGAUUUGAGAAACCACCUCUUGUUUUCACAAAACAAAAGCUUGCAUUUUUGUCAAUGGCAAGGUGUCAUAUGUUACCAACAAAAAGUGGUGCGAGUAGUUCUCCAAGGCCUGGAUCUUGGCGGCAUUUUUGCUCCCAACUCAUUGACUAAACUUGACCAGCUCCGAGUCCUGAGUCUACAGAACAACUCACUCACUGGACCCGUUCCCGACCUCUCGGGCGUCGUUAAUCUCAAAUCUCUCUUUCUUGAUCACAACUUCUUUACAGGUUCUUUCCCUCCUUCACUCUUCUCUCUUCAUCGACUUAAGACCUUGGAUUUAUCUUAUAACAAUCUGUCGGGACCAUUGCCAAAAGAAUUAGCUUCACAAGGCCGGUUAUACUCUCUGCGUCUUGAUGUGAACCGGUUUAACGGUUCGAUUCCUCCAUUGAACCAAUCCUCUCUCAAAAUAUUCAACGUUUCUGGUAACAACUUCACUGGCGCUAUACCGGUGACAUCCACGCUGUCACGUUUUGGUAUCUCCUCUUUUCUUUUUAACCCUAGCUUAUGUGGCGAGAUUAUUCACAAAGAAUGCAACCCCAGGCCACCCUUUUUUGGGCCAUCAGCGACGGCUGCAGCGGCUCCACCGCCAGUGACUGUUCUUGGGCAACAGAGCGCACAGAUGCAUGGUGUUGAGUUGACUCAACCGAGCCCUAGGAGCCACAAAAAAACUGCAGUCAUCAUCGGUUUCUCAUCUGGAGUCCUUGUUUUGAUAUGUUCACUUGUUUUGUUUGCAAUGGCUGUGAAGAAACAGAAACAGAGGAAAGAUAAAAAAUCAAAGGCUAUGAUUGCAUCGGAUGAAGCGGCGGCAACGGCUCAAGCUUUAGCCAUGAUUCAAAUAGAGCAAGAGAAUGAGUUGCAGGAGAAGGUGAAGAGAGCACAAGGGAUCCAAGUGGCCAAGAGUGGAAACUUAGUAUUCUGUGCGGGCGAGGCACAGCUGUAUACGCUGGACCAGCUGAUGAGGGCUUCUGCUGAGUUGCUUGGGAAAGGGUCUCUGGGGACCACGUACAAGGCAGUGUUGGACAACCGUCUGAUUGUUUGCGUGAAGCGGCUUGAUGCAAGCAAAUUAGCAGGCACAAGCAAUGAAAUGUAUGAGCAGCAUAUGGAAUCAGUUGGUGGACUCAGGCAUCCAAAUCUUGUGCCGCUCAGAGCUUAUUUUCAGGCCAAGGAGGAGAGACUCCUUAUCUAUGAUUAUCAGCCCAAUGGCAGUCUCUUCUCGCUCAUACACGGUAAGUUCCUUUGCUCUUGAUUUUUUUUUUGUUUUUUUUCAUGUGUGGUGCAAUUACUCAGUGAGUGAGCCCAUUAGGUGAUUGGACUCGAUCUUGACUCGGUUUGACCGCGGUGACCCCUAGAAUAUGUAGCCACGUAGGAUUUUAAUUUGCAAUCGAAAUUAUUAUUAUUAUUCUAAUUUGGGGUUGUUUAUUAAAUAUAUUAUACAAGUGAAAGUGAUCCUUAAGAAAAGCAUAAUUACGUGCCUGAUCAGUUUGGCAUCGGUUAUAUCAUAGAUUUUCACGAGCAGCGAGAAUCUUGCUGCUGAUUGACAUUGGGAAUUGAAAUGAUUUAUUGCGUUCAAUUAUUUUAAUCAACAGUGGAAAGUACUCUACUCUUUUUACCUAACCAAAAUGCAGCGGCGCUGGGGAGACAAUUCAAAAAUCAAACCUGAAUUCAAGUGGAGAGUAACGUAGUAGUUUUGCAAUUAUUAGUGUAGUGGGUCCCACGUGGAUUGCCUGCGGACUCGGUCAAUUCGUAUUCUUUAUCCGAUGGUGAAUCGAAAAAUCCAACGCACCAUCUCUCUAGAUGAACUAAAUAAUAUUACGCGCAGGGAUGCGCGCAUGAACACACACACUUUUGUUGCUUUGUCCCAUUAUGGAGGCAGAAUCUCUGUUGAGUUAAUAAUAAUGAUAUGAUUACGUCCGAAAUGGCCAAUUGCAGGUUCAAAAUCAACAAGAGCAAAGCCACUACACUGGACUUCAUGCUUGAAAAUAGCGGAGGACGUGGCACAAGGCCUCUCUUAUAUUCACCAAGCAUGGAGACUCGUCCAUGGCAAUCUCAAGUCCUCUAAUGUGCUCCUUGGCCCUGAUUUCGAGGCAUGUCUCGCUGACUAUUGCCUCACUGCCCUCACGGCCGAUUCAUUGCAGGAUGAUGACCCUGAUAACUUGUUGUACAAAGCACCCGAGACUCGCAAUGCAAGUCACCAAGCAACCUCAAAAUCUGAUGUCUAUUCAUUUGGAGUAUUGUUGCUGGAGCUUUUAACUGGAAAGCCUCCAUCACAGCACUCAUUUUUGGUGCCUAAUGAAAUGAUGAAUUGGGUUAGAUCCGCCAGGGAAGAUGAUGGCGCCGAAGAUGAGAGAUUAGGUAUGCUUCUUGAGGUGGCGAUUGCUUGUAAUUCGGCCUCGCCAGAACAAAGGCCCACUAUGUGGCAAGUAUUGAAGAUGUUACAGGAGAUUAAAGGAGCUGUAUUAAUGGAGGAUGGUGAAUUGGACCCACUCUCUGGGAUCUCGUAGUUAUAUCGUUGUUGUAGUAACAUUUGUUCUUAGGCAAAUCAGCAAAUAUAUAGUGUCCGUAGCUAGAUGAAUGGAAUUUACCCAACUAUUUAGUUACUUUUUCUUUUAACAUUAACUACUUGGUUCUUUUUCCUUUUUUUUUUUUCCCAACUAUUUAGUUACUUUUUCUUUUAACAUUAACUACUUGGUUCUUUUUCCUUUUUUUUUUUUUUCUUAAAAUUAAUUCCUCGUCUCGGUUUACCACAUUGUUAUGGUGGGUUCGUAGUUUUGGAUAAUCUCUUCCUAACAAAAUUUUCAUCGAAGAAGAGUUUUCUAAUCACAAAUUUUCCUAAAAUAAAGGAAUUACUAACAAAUAAUAAACUACAAACCCUCCUAAAAUCAAUAUACAAAUCCGUUUAAAAAGAUGGGGUCUUGCACUCAAUUUAGCUUGAAUGGUGUUUACAGAUGCUCUAAGAUAGCCAAAUCUUAAAGGAUGAACCUAAAUUUCCUAAAAAAGUUUACUCCUUAUUGCACUUGUAUUAUUGAAUUGGAAGCCGUGAUAGAACCAUUUGUAAAUUAAUAUUAGUGAGGUCCAUCUAUGUUGUUGGAUAUGUUCUAAUUAACUUGGAGCAUCUCUAUCAUAAGAAAUCUCGUUUUUUUGCCAAAUUUUAAUAAUUUGCCGUUGAUUGCAUCAUCUUUUAAUUUUUACUUUUUAGCAUUUUUUUAAUAUACAAUACAAUUUUCAAAAAGUUACAUCAGCCAAUAGAAAUACAUAAUCAAAGCUCAACAUACAUAAGAACAAAGACAUACGAAGCCGAGCACCCAAAAAAAAAAAAAACUCAACUGUUUAGUAGAUUCGGACACUCAAGCCCUCCAUUUUAAAAUAAAAGGGAAGAAGUGCCAACUUGCAUGUUAAUAAUUUUAGUUUGACAAUAGAUAUAUAAUUGGAGUAAGAGUGGGAAUCGGGUUUAACAAGAAGAAAGAUAGGUCUUUGUAUCGAAUAUAUUAAAGGACUGUAAAAAUGAGAGCCCACAGAGUGUCUUGAAACCCAAAGUUAAAAAGAGGCCCGCCUCGUGAGAAAUUCGAACCCGAAUUCGGCAAUGAAUCCAAGUAACGUACAUGGACAUCAUCAUUGACAUACAAGUGGAAAAAGAGAGAGUGGUGCGCUGUUGCAGAAUUUGCUGGAAUCAUCAUCUAGCACAGAUAACACAAAAAUAAACAUAUAAAUAUCUCAGGGUAUUCCUGCAGGUAAUUUGAUGAUUGAGCUGGAGAAGGUUAUAAGAUGAGAGAUGACAUGGAUCUUCGUUCUGACACCGACAUAAUGGAAACUGACUCCGCCUCUGCCGCCGCCACAGCCACGGCCGCCGAAACGCAGCAGCAUCUGCGGCAAGUCCAAGACGUCGACCUAAGAGAGCUGCUCGCGUUGGCUCGCCAGCUCAUCAAUCAAGGCAGGCCUUCUCAGGCUCUCCAGGCGGUAAUAAAUCCUUUUUUUGUUUUAAAUUUUCUUUGUAAAAAAAAAAAAAAACUGUUACGAUUGUCAGUCAAUAUGACUUGACGUCCACAACAUUGAUUCCUGAUUUUCUUUUACAACAUCUUUCGCGUAUUAAGGAAUAGGGAUGUAUUCAUAUUCAAAAUAAUGAAUGUGGUAUGGCCACUUUAGCCAGUGGAUUUUAUUUUAUUAUUUAAUUAAUGGUCGAAACAGGUGGUGAUGGCGAUGAGAACCAGAGGUGGGGAGGAAGCUGUAUUUCGAUCACUGCACCGUGCGCGCGAAUUGUACAGAAAUAGAAUGCAAGAGAACACUGCCAUGGAUCAGCUGGCUGCUUUAUUUGCUGAAUGUGCCAUUGCUGAAGCCCAGCCCCUGGCUGUUGAACCAUCACCAUGCGAAAUAGCUAGUUCAUCAACUGUACCGGAUGCUGAUGGCUCUUCUAUACUUGCAGAAACUGGAAGAACGCAGAUUGUGCUGGAUGCAUUCUCAGAUGGAAGCAGCUUUGUAUGUUUACAGUGUGGGGGUCUUGUUAGUAAUCAUCGAAAAGAGGAGCACUAUGCAUAUUGGUGUUGCAAACUCUGAUUCGGAGGUAUAUGGCAUUAAUAUUUUUGCUCUUUCUUCACCUCGAUGCACCUACUAAGCUAUUGCCCUACUUGAAUUGCAAUUGACUGCAUUAUGUGAGUAUACACUAAUGUCAAUUAUCCUGGCUCUGGUCGCUGACUGGCAAUCCGGUGCCACUUCUAGGAUAUGUUUAGAGGUCAUGCUUCCGUCUGCAGAGGAGUCUAUAUUGAAACCAUGUUCCCCUUUAAGUGUAGUGUCGAAUCUCUACUCUUGCAGUGAUUAAAUUGCAUCAUCAUUGUAGAUAAAUGCAAGUAAAAAUUACCAUCAAGCGGUUUUUAAAGCUCUGAACUAUAAUAGUAUAUUACUAUAUCUAUACUUUGUAAUAUAAGAUUUUGAGGAUGGCGUGCUUUUAUUCCUGGAGGUCUUCCGUCUUUUACGGCCCCAAAACCCAACACCACCUGCUCGGCUGCAUUCACUGAUAUUCAGCUAUCUAGUACAUUAAUUACUUCAAGACUGCGCGUUCAGAGUUCGCUAAUUUGAUUAUAUCCCUCCCUUGUGUCUUAAUUACUAGAUAUUCAGCUAUCUAGUACAUUAAUUACUUCAAGACUGCGCAUUCAGAGUUCGCUAAUUUGAUUAUAUCACUCCCUUGUGUCUUUCUCUCUCUUCGUCAUGCAAUAGUGUUUUGGACAUGAGCAAUGAAAUCUAGCUCAUAUGCUGCUGAAAAAGAAACGAGGAAGUGCAAGAAUAAAUCAAGCAUGAGUCAUCAGUUAUGACGGGAUGGAAUAGUUGGUGCCCUGUGGCCGGUAAUUUGUCUGUGGACUUGUUGAUGCUUUUGAAACUUGAAUGCUUUUUCGUGGAUUGUUGGGUGCAUUAUUGAUUGGAUUCGAUCAUCUUGAGAGAAAAAAUAGACUUUUUCUCCCUGAUUUUAAUUGAUGGGAGUGGAAGAGUAGAAGGAAGAGAUUAGAUAACUCCAUUUUGUAGAGAAUUAAUGCAAUUGGAUGUUACUAUAAAUGUCUUCAUAUUCAGCGUAAUGUUUCCCUCCCCAUACCUUAGACCAUCUGCGGGUUGUUUUGAAAACUCGGACAAUGACAUAUGGAGAAUUCAUUAAUGGUGUGUUUAGUUGAGGGUUUAGGGAAUGGAAAUGAAAUUUAUGUUUACUUGUUAAAAUGUAAUUUGGGAACGAGAAUAAAAUGUGUGAGUCUCAUAUAAUUUGAGAAUAAAGAAUUCCAUUCCCAUGGAGGGUUGGGAAUAAGGAUUCUUAUUCCCUGAACUGAUUUUUGUAUUCGUUUAAUUUUUUCAUAUUUUUUGAAUUAUUCUCGUUCAAAUCACAAUUAAUUUUAUUAUUUUAAAUGUCGUUAUUAUUAUUAUUAUUAAAAAUUAUUAUUAAUUUUAUUAUUUUAGUUAUUAUUAAUUAUUUUUAUUAAUAUUAUCAUUAUUAACAUUUAUUAUUAUUAAUUUUAUUUUUAUAAUAAUAUUUAUACAUGUAUCUAGUUAAUGAAAAUUACAUUAUUUAAUACUAUAAGUAUUUUGGUAAAUUAAUUCUCAUUUAUAUUCUUUAUUUUUAUUUAUUUUGUCAAGUAAACACAUUAAUGACAUUCCAUUAUAUUUUUAUUCUCAUUUAUUUUUGUCAAGUAAAUAUUAAAAUCUCAUUCUCAUUUCUAUUUCCAUUCCUCAUUCCCUAUUUCUAUUCUCAGUCCAUUCUUAUUUCACCUCAUUCGCAGAAGUAAAGAAUAAUACAUCCUUUAUAUGGGUAGUGAUAUUAAUUUCAGUAGUCAGUUAUCCCAGAAGAUCUUGAUGCUAGGAAGAAUUCCCCAAAACCUAUCAGAGCUACAGUGGAAAAAGGUCUAAAUGACCAUUUCUGUAUAUUUGUACAUUCGUUCAAAGAAAACAGAAAAAGUAAAUGGAGGAGUGAAGACCAGUGCGUUCCAGCUGGAAAUGAUUUAAGCGUCGUAGGAGCAAGACUCCUUGAGGUACAACCUGUACAGUAUGUGAGUUGGUAAUUUGCGGUAGAAGAUGGAAUAGUCAAGGUUGACUCACGGUAUAAACUAAAAUACAGCUUAUUUAUUAAGGUGGUCGAAAAUUUAGUCAAUUCUUUUUCAUAAGUGUUAGUACCACUUGGCCCGUGCCCUUGGUCAGCUUGGUAUCAAAUAUACAACACUUGUUUGUUAUUACAAAUAUCUGGUAAAAUAUUGAUUUUGAGUUUUCACAAAGUACAUUUGUAAGAUAAGUGCAUUUGUAAGGACUAAUGUCUCAAGGGAUGACAAAAAUAUAAUAACAUCGUUAUGCUGGGAAGUGGAAAUGGAAUGAAAUGGCGAAUAUUGAGAAAAUAAUUUUCUUUCACUAUAAUGAGAUAGUAGUUGCUACCGACAAAAUCAAUAUUGCGCUUACACUCAAUAAAACCCAAAAUUAAUUAGACUGAAUACUAUUUCACCAAAAAAAAAAGGAAGAAAAAAUGGAUAUAUCAGACUAGACUGGACCUUCGUACAGAUGUCUGUGCGCUUGGGGUGUCUUUCAUCCCUCAAAAAAGUGUUGUUAUUGAUAGAAACUGCGAGUGUCACUUCUUCACCACCCGUGUAAUCUCAUGUAUCUAGCACCUUCUGGCAAAUUUGCGGUGAACCACCAACGACAAGAACACUACUAUACACAAUGUACUCCUAUUGCAUUAAUCACAGCCAAAAUUUCCAAUCUUCAUAAACCUGACUUUUCCAUCCGAGCUCCUUGAAGCUCUUCACUCUGUAUCCAUCAAGAGAAAGUGUAAGAUUCUGUUGUAUGUAAGCUAUGAGCAAUAUCAAGGCCAACCAGAUAUCAUGCCUGACGUCCCAACCAUAAUAUUUUUCAUGUAGUACUUGACAUCUGAAAUUAUAUUUUGUUUCUGACUAUCUUUUCAAAACAUUCUGCAACUAUCUUGACAUGAGUGAAGAAGUUUGCUCAUAGCCAUCGUAUCGACAUGUAAUAUUACCAGAACAAAUAGAAUUUAGCCCGAUACUUUUUAGUCAUAGGUGAAGAUAACAAUGUGAUAAAUACUAGCCCCAAUGAUGUAGACUACAUUAAGUAUAUGACUGGAAAUAGAUGUAAAGAAUACAUUACCUGCACUCCUUUUGUGGCUCGUCCGUGCACCAUGGGUUGUGAUCAUACUCGUGCAGAGAUUAGUAUAGGUAUAGCAAGAUUAAGCUUGUGACCAGGACCACAGAAUAUCACCCUGCAUGUGGCAGGGCCCGUGGACGAGGCUUUGCCCUCACAAUUGUUUCAUCACUGUGACGGAUCCAUUCUGAGAGUCUCCAUGGCUUUUGCCACUUCCAUUUAAAUUGCAAAAGCCAUUGGUGGUGACUUCUCUUCCAUCUCCAUAAUUUUCCACCCUGUCCUAGGGCUGCUAAUUUUUUCAUUGACAACUGCCCAAGGGGUACCCUCUGAGCUAACACAAAACCUGCUUAUGUCAGCCAAAGUAGGAAGGUGGAUAUCAAUCUAAUAAUAAAGGAUGGAAAAGGACUUUAACCUUUCUGUUUUGAUUUAUAAAUGCUGCUGACUCUCUUAUUGAGCCAUUGGCAAUGCCCGGUGUAUAUUUCAGUUGCUUCUGUGCCGGGACAGACAUUGGGGAGGGAGGACCACUCGUAUCAUCAGCAAAGUGUUCAAGUGAAUUGUGCAAGUUCCCCUGUCCAUGGCCAGGAAUGAAGAGUUAGAUGCACAAUAAUAAAAGUUUAGCAACACAAACUCUAGAAUGCUGAACACACUUCCAUCCAAUAUUAAGAAAACCAUUAAAAUGAACACAAUUUCUUGGCAAACCUAUAGACAGGCCUCAAAAGUCCUAGAAUUUUGUCAAAAAUCAUCUCAAUGUGUGCUUUCCGAUAGAGUAGUCUUCAUUUGUAGACUGAUAAAGUUCUAAAAGUUUUUAUAUGAUGCAUAAGAACAAAACUCAAGUGACGUCUAAUCUCACCGAAGCCGAUCUAGCCAGUGUGAUUGCAACAGCCUGUUCUCUCAAUUUUAGCUCCUCCUCCACUUCCUUUCUUCUUACCUCACUCUGUCGCAACAGACCAACAAGUUCUUUUAGUUGCUCUUUCAUUUCCUUGAUCUCUAUAUCUUUCUCCCACAGUUGACACCUGUUGCAAAUGCACAAGGGGCUAUUUAGAAUUGACCUCUAAUCACAGAAUUCAAAUAAGAGAAUGUACAUGUUCUGUGAAAUCUUUAUGGUUUAAGCAUAUAAAUCAAUGGCCCCCUGAUUAAAGGAAUUCUUUUAAUAAAUUCCAUUUAAUGUAUCCUUAACCAGAUCUACCGUUAGAGAUGCAUAUCACUCUCUGGAAUUCCAAUCAAUUUUGAGCACGGUUAAUCUAGUAGAUUUGUAUAAAUCAUGGAACUAAAGGUAUCAAUAUCCAAAAAAAGUCUGAAACUGAAAAAAGAUAAAAUAAAAUAAUUUGGGUUAUAUUUAUUUAAUAGAAAGCACCUUGCAUCUGCUAGAGAAUUGAACAUGUAUUGAAGCAAGUUCUUAGCAUCAGCCAUUGAACGCAACUGAUUCCAACGUCCACGGUUAGUGAAGAGACGGUCCCGCUCUUCUGCCUCUGAAAGUUGUGAAGCCAUUGCUACAAGUGAAUUAGAUGAUAUGCUCAGCAUAUUCUCAAGUGAAGAUAUUCGGGCCAUUCUUGCAUUUGGUGACAUAGAGGACACUCUGAACAAGCAAUUAAAUCAUGUUAACACGUCAAGCCAUUCUUCAUCAUUCCCAGACCAUCAAAAUGGAAAUAAUUUGGGGUGAAUAAAUAACUUUCACAACUUAUACCUAGCAAAUCCAUUCUUUCCCCUCGGAGGACUGAGUCCCUUUGAAGCAAACUCAUCCACUUGCUUCAGCACUGCCAACUCUUCCGCCAGUGCAGCUCGUCUGCAGAUUAUUUGUGUUAGCAUAAAGAAAGACGUUUUAAUUCAUAUUGGAAACAAAUAUAAAUAAUGAACCUACACUUGGCUCUGCUUCUCAUAUUCAAAACGAACUUCAUGCACAUUCACCAUGACCUCUAGCUCAUGGUCAAGCCACCGUUGAAAGGAUUUCUCAUUGCUCUACAUAUAUCAAUUAAUUCAAAAGUAUUAAUGAGAAUUAUACACAUUUAUUAAAAAUAAAACUUAUCAGUAAAAGAGAAAGCAAAGAUCAUUACCUGCCCAUUUGUUAAAUUUCCAUUUGUGACAGCUGGAAGAUAGCAUGAAAUUAGAUAAAUUGAGUAUAAAAGCAGAGGCCCAUGGUCUAAAAAUGCCAUGUAUCUGGUAAACAAAUAGCCCCUCCAGUAUAGUAACCAUUGAUCAAGUAUGUGAUGAAGAGUGAUGGAUUUUCUAAUCUUUAUAUAAGAGGUGCUGUAUGUUUACCUGAGACAAGGGCUUUCUAGUCAUCAGCCAUAAAAGGGUAAAACUGAAAGUGAAAAGUUUACCUGAAUUCUCACGGGCAGAAGAUUUACGUGAUUCCAACAACUCUUUUAGCCUCUUGGUGGCCAUUGCAGCCUCUUCAGUCUUUCUCUGAAGAACCUGCAUGAAAGAAAUUUGUUCCAGUUAACAGUUUAUUUCUAAUACGUAUAAAUCACGGAGACUUAUGAAGCCUUUUCUACCUAAGCAAUGGACUAGACUAAUAAUUUUAUUUUAUUUUUUAUUUUUUGAACAGAGUAAUACUUGAAAUGGACUCAACUAGAAUGGGCUCCACUUUUUCUUUCUUGAGGUCAAUUCGUUCCUUAUUAGAUUAUUUUGAAAUAUCAACUCAGGAAUUAGAACAUACUGAAUUUCAAUUAUAAUAUUUUGGGCAAUUCGGCAUUUAAAGCGAAACUUCCAUAAUAGGUUCUUAACUUGUCAAAGUGAAACAGCCUUAAAUAUGAUAGCAGUAACUGAACAUGCCAAAAAGUCGGAAACAUAGCAAACAGGGUUUGAGGGAGACAAACCCAUGAUAAGAAUCUAGCUGAUAAAACAAAUUUGAAGAAGCAGCAAACAUAUAUAAUGAAAAUUGGAAUUGAGGCCAGAUAGUUUGCUUUCUUAGACUUUUUGCUAUUAUCUGCUGUUUUCACCACAUUAUGAGGGCAAAGUCAGGAUGGAAAUCUUAAGAGGCAAAUAAAUUGCUACAUUCAGUGGUACAUUCUUCUUGGAAAUAUUAUUGAGAUAGAUUCAUAACAUAAGCAAGCAGGAAAGAUUUGCUCACCAAUUUCUGGCGUUGGUUCAAAGCUUGCAGCUUAUGCCUUUCAUACUCAUUUCUUCUUCCCUCCUUACGUAACUGCUUUCAUCGAUAUGUGAAUAAAUAAGUUAACAUACAUACAUACAUGCAGACAAUAUCUUCAUAAAGUUUACAGAUCUGAAGCAUACUCUAUACAUACUUUGUUUAAUUGUUUUGUUUGCGUUACCUUAUUCAAAUAUCUAAAGUAUAACUAAUCCGUAGGUUCUCUUAUUUAACCUCCUAAAAAAAAAGGUUCUCCUUCAGGAUGAAUAAAAUAUAAAACAGCUUUGGCAAUUAGUAAAUUUGACUACACAUUAUCAUAUGACUUUAUGCAGGGGUGAAUCCAAGCUUGCUCAGCUUGCUGAAUCUUUUAAUUCAAAUUAUUUAUUGGCAGUCAACCAGCUGCUAGAAUUCUUAAAAACGAAUUUAUAAUACUGAGUACUGCCACCGGGAGUUUAGGGUUUAAAGGAACAAAAGUGCAUGCAACAAAAUUGCAACUACAUAACAUUGUGCAAAGAUGAGAAUGAGUUUUGUAGUUUGCAGGCUUAACUACCUAAAGUAGAAUUUCAACAGUAUUGUCAGAAAGACCAAACCACGCCCCUUAAAGUUACAAACAAGUAGUAACAAAGAUACAAACGAAAAAUGUGUUCUGUAUAAAAAGAGAAUUCAAUGGAUCCCAACUAUUCCUGCUCCACCCAAUAAUCUUCCCUUACAUAAAAUCGAAUGGACAUAUAUCAUUUACCGGAAUGAGCAUAAAAGAUAAUGAUACUGCAUGUCUUUUCCAAAUUAUUUGUUUCACAGAACAAGUAAAGCACCUGCAAAAGUUCCUUCUCUCGAGAAGCCUUCCACUGUCGGAAUUGUUCAGCUUCUUGUUUUAUCCUAUGUUGCAAUUGAACCUACACAAAGAUGCAAGGGAACAAGAAGAAGAAAAUCAGCAGUGGACAGAGUAGAGACAACAAAAAAGGACUGAAAAUAACACGAUGCAUUAAAAGCCAAAGUGACAGUUAACCUUUUGAGCCUUUAUAAAUUGAAUUUCAUCUUGCAACCGCUUUGCUGCUUCAUCACUCUUUUGUUUCUGCUUUAAAAGUUGAACCUGGCUCUCCUGUUUUUUCUUGAGAUCCAGAAUCUGUUGUGCAUAGAUUAUGAAGACUGUUUACUACUUGAAUUAAGUUGUGAUAUUUAUAUGGAAUUGUGACAAAAGCCAACAUUACCUGUGCCUCAAGUGAUUUUAAUUUAUGGGCAUGUACAUCUUGCAAUUUUUGUGUUUGCCCAUCAGAAUUUGAGGCAAGAUUUUCAAUUUCAGUCAGCAAAUGAUCUCUUUCUUUCUGCAGCAAUAAAACAGGUGUGCAGAUGAGUCAUCUGUUAUUUCAAGGAGUGUGAAAAUUGAAGAACAGUUCAAUAAACUUCUUUUUGACCUGCACAGUUCGUUUUUCAUCCUCUAGUUCUGCUAUUUUCUUCCCAAAAUGUUGCUUGAGUGCUGCAGUGUCAGAGCCACCAACAAGUUUCAUCUCUGACUGCACAGACAUUAUAUGUAAAUUAUGAAGGGUGCUGAUGACUUCUUUGUCCAAAUGAUUUGCAAAAGUUGAAGAUAUACAGAAGAAAUGUCAGAAUGUAGAAGAAAAUUACUCCAGAAUCAUGAACCAGCCAACAGUUCUUAAGAUUUUUCUUUAAACAGAGGUAAAAUUCCAGGAAAAAAAAUGAAAAUAAAAAAAGAAAAAAAGAAAAAUCAUCAAAUAUUUUUUCAUGGGAAUCCAAACUGGGCCAGACUAUCUUCCAGAUGAUUGAGGAAGGAUGAGAUUAAAUGGAAGUACAUUACCCUUAUUAUCUCAUGCUAUGCUGUGUAAGAAGUUUAUGAAGUAAGAAUACACAGUUCCGAAAAUUGCCAAAUACUAGGAAUAAAAACAUAAAAAAUAUAUAUUCUGAUGAAAAGUACCUCUUUCUCCUCCAAACGCCUGUUCAAUUCAUUCAACUCUUUGUCCAUAGAAUUCUGUAGAAGUGUGUGCUCCCACUCCUUUGCGACUUCAUCAAUUUCUCUGGAAUCACCUGCCAAAAUUGACAUUGUAUUCUCAAUGUCAUAGAUCCAUUGAAAGGAAACUUGAAUUCACAAUAUCUGAAAGAGAAACUGAUUCAAUCCAAUAGAUGAAAGAACAAGUAGAAGACUGGAAGUCAUUUUGAAGCUUACCCAGUUUACCAAUGAUUACAGACAUUUUACCUAAUUACUAUAUCAGAGAAGUUUCAUACCUGUUAUAUUUUCACCCAUUUGAUAAUCAGUUUGCUCAAUACUAUUCAAGCUCCUUUUAAGCCCAUCACUUUUCAGAGGACAAGGACUACCAUCCUGAAAGAUGAAGUAUCAAUUUCACACGUAUAGUGAAUCAUCCAUUGAUCAAGCCUAACUGUAAUAAUAAUCAUGACUAAAGAAUUAUAGUCAACUCUCCCAUGUCCUUUUUUUUUUUUUUUUGUGGGAGGGCAACACAAAAGAUAAAAUCUCCCAUCUUUUAACAAAAGGAGAAAAGAACUAAUGGAAGAGUUCCAAAAGACAGAAGACAUGUUCACAUACUUGAGCGUCUGUUUCACGCUGCUCUACAUCAGUGCAUCUGCUGCGGUAUUCAUGGAGUUCACGGCAAAGAUCUUCAUUAGCAGCUUCAAGCCAAGCAAUCCUUUCCUUGAGAACCUAGGCAAAUGAUUAAUGAGAUAACUUAUGAAAUCGAUUAAGAUACAACUAUCUCCAUAAACGAAAUUGAUAAUUAUUUUGUUCGUUCAAACCAAACUAUCCUUUACAUAGAGAACCUCAUAAGUUUUACCAUAGCGUAAAGUAAUUAAUCCAGUAUAAUUUUUCUAUAUAAGAAGAUGUGAGAAUAAAAAUAUUGAAAAAUUCUUAUGAUCAACAGAAUAUCCAAGGUAAAAAUUUAGAACCCAGAUACCUGUACUUCAUCAGACGAAGAUCCUCCACCACGGGCGCAAAGUUCUGCCUGCAAAAACUCUAGUUGUUGACGCAUCUUCAGCAUCUCAGUGGACAUGGGAUCUCUGUUGACCUAUUUAAGACAAUUCAAAACCAGAAAUAAAAAAAAUCAUAAAUGCAUGAAAAAAAUUGUGCCUUUACACAAGUGUAAAGAGAAUGAAAUCAACAAUUUUCUGUUGAACUUACAAUAGGCUUAUUUUGUAUAUUUCGAGCACGAUUUGCAUAUUUUAGAGUGUUGAGGGUUUCCUCAGCAUUAAUAUCAGCAGGACUAAUGCAGGCUGUAGAAGGUAAAAUUGUAUUGAUAUAAGAAAUAACAUUAAGAUCACCAAUCAAAUGUCAGAGAUUGCCAAUGAAAAACCAGGGUAAGAAGGAACUAGAAUAUAUGAUUAAAGAUAAAGGAUUUACAGAGAUCAAACUUGAGGAUAAAUAAGUUACCUAUCAUAACAGUUCGGCUGUUACCACCAAGUGAAUCCUGCCAAAAUACCUGAACUUAGUCUAAAUAUAUAAAUAGAAAAGGAUGAAAAUAUUUAUAAUAAAAAACACAAUAACAAUUAAGAAAAAUAUCAUCAUAGACUCUCCUAAAGAGUUUCUGAAAAUCACAUCUCAUUUCAACCCAUUAUUUCCACAAUCAACUGGCCGGCUAAUACCAGAUUACGUAUGAAAUGCUUAGGGAGAAAAAUUCCUAUCAAUAGUUCAAUCUUUCUGGACCAUACUUCUUUAUACUAUCAAACUAGACUAGAUAAUUUACCCCUUGCAUCAGACGCAUCAAGUUACCUGCAAAAGCCUAGUAAGUUUACUGUCCCGAUAAGGCACAUGUACGCCUUCUUUGCGCUUUUUAUCAUCACCAAGAGCGCUGAUAACGUUACCAAGUGCAAGAAGGCCCCUGUUAAUAUGAACUCCUGUUUAAAUGUAAAUGCUCUGUUAUCAUGUUUUGACCAAAAGCACAGUAUGAUUCUACUUAUGAGAAAUCUCCACCAACCUUCCUUGAAACGCAAACCAUCAGAACCAGUUCUUUUGGCCCUCUCUGAUCCAGCAAGAUCUACCAAAUGCAACUUGGCACAUAGAUAUUCUUCAUUCAUACUCUCAUUAGGACUGCUGUCUCCCAGAGAAACUGGACUAAGCUUACGCAUUUGCUCUAGGGUGAUGGUGAAGAUGGCAUGUGAACGACUGUAUGAACACAUACCAAAAAUAUACACAUGUUAACAAAUCUGAUAAUACCUCUCAAAAAAUUAAAAAAUCUGAUAGCUACUGUAGAUUUUACAGUCAUUAUAGAGAUGCAAUGUUUUUCAAACCAGCAUGUUACACAAAUACAAUAUUCAAAAGGUUUAUUUGGGAAACUUUUUUUUUUAUGGAGAGAAAUCUUUGUAUGAUCCCAGUAUGUCCAAAAAUACUGAACUAAUAUUUGGAAAGGUACAUGACAAAUUUGGAAAGAUAAAGAUCUUUUUCCAUAUGAUGGAAGGAUAUUGUCAAAUAGCAGUUAUAGAUGAAAUUACCGAAACUUAAAUGUAACUGAUCAAAACAGAGUAGUAAAGAUUUACCUUGAUUGAUUGUUCAUGUUUGUACUCCCAGUUGCCCUGCUCAAUGAUCCUUGCUCUAAACAGGCCGCCAUUUCUUUUAGUGAGCUAACACUAACUUCAGUGGAUCCAGCCAACGUAAUAACACCAUUUGAUGUUUCUCGGAUUUGUAUUGGAGGUUUCCCGGGUACAGUUACUUUUCCUGUGUGUCCAUUUGCAGUAUCUGGUUUGUUCAAACAAGGGGGAUCUAGCAAAUCCCGUACCUCUUCUUUUAGAAUCUUUUGACAACACAGGAUUUUUUGGUUAGAUAUUUACCACAACAAUGCAUUAUACUAGAAACAUAUAAUAUUUUAGAAAAUACCCAAUUAUGUAAACAACUCUUCAAACCAUGACUUCAGCAGUACAUAGUUUGAUAGGGAAAUUCAGCUCAACAAAGAUCGAAAGUUUCAUUCAGUAAAACAGGAUGCCAAAAAAAUAUAUGGUAGCUAGAGAUUAGAAUUACUGUGACUAUGUUGCAUAACUGAACAGAAUGCACACAACAAGGAAUCUCAAAUUGAAAUAGUUGAGAAAAUGAUUUAAAACAAAGAAGCUACAUGAUGAAUAUAAUAGACAUCUUUAUCUCAUAUCUGGUUUGUUCAAACAAGUGGGUGUAGCAAAUCUCGUAAUUCUUCUUUUAGGAUCUCUGACACAGGAUUUUAGUUAGAUAUUUAUCACAAUAAUGCAUUAUAUUGGAAACACAUAAUAUUUCAGAAAAUACCCGAUUGUGACAAAAAUUCUUCAAACCGGAGCUUCAGUGGUACAUUGUUUGAUAGGGAAACUCAACUCAACAAAGAUUGAAAGUCUCAUUAAAACAGGAUGCCAGAAAAACAUAAGGUAGCUAGAAAUUAGAACUACGGUGACUACGAUGCAUAAGUGAAUCAAAUGUACACAACAAGGAAUUUCAAAUCUAACUAGUUAGAAAAUGAUUUAAAACAAUGAAGCUACAUGAUGAAUAUGAUAGACACCUUUUGAUCUCAUAUGACUUCAUGACAAGCAACAAAUACUAGAUAAAUAUAUCCUGUUUAGUACUUUAACAAAAUUUAUCAAAUUUUCUCUUGCAGGGAUUUUUCUGUGUUGCGACGAGGAACAUAGAUUUUCAGUCAUAUGACUGAUGUUUGUUCUGAACUUGAUAAAUUUUUAAGAGAACAAUGCUGAGGCUCAUAUAUAGAAGAUGGCACCACAGAGUGUAACUGAUGGAUAUACGAAGAAGAAGAAAGGCAUCAACAAACCUCAAUGAAGGAAACAUGCAAUUGGAAUUCGGUUUGAUCCUUUAGAGUUUCGAUUUUGCUGAACAGAACAUUCAUAACUAGAGGAAUUAUUCCCGUUUGGUAUCCAUCUUUGAAGCCAGUUCCCAUUGUAUAUGUUUUUCCAGAUCCUGUCUGUAACAUAUUGAAACGUUAACUGAAAGAAAGAUGAUUACUCAAGCAUACAUUGCUUCAAUUGAGCAGCUUUUUCCACGGAACAUAAUCUUUACCUGACCAUAAGCGAGGACAGUUGCAUUAUACCCUUGAAACAAACCAUCAACAAGUGGAGCAAUACAUUCAUCGAACAUGGCAGAUGAAGGAGAACCAGUGCUCCCAUAUACAUGAUCAAAAGUAAAGGAGUGUGUCCCAAUUUGUACCUGCAGCAUAGUAAAAACCAGCAUCAGAAAACACACACGCAAGCACAUAUAGACACAAAAAUUCACAAAAUUACAAGCACUGCAAUUCAUAUCUUAUAACUACUGAAACUCCAGAAACCUGUUAAACUUAAUUCACAAGUGGAAAUUCUGUUACUCAAUAUGAAACGGAAGGAAUAUUUAUGAGACAGCUUAAGUGCUAAAAUGGUGUAUCAUGUUUGGCCCUUUCAUACAUAAAGUACCAUAGAUAUUAAUCAUAUUUACAUAGAAAUACUUCAAAAUAUGAGAAUAGAGACGGGGACAAGCUGGGUGAUUCCAGAAAGUUGCAGAAGCUUUAGCUUGAUCUUAUAGUAAACAACAAAAAUGCAUAUGUAAUUCAGAUUAAUAAUAUACCGAUUGCCAAUAUGAAAUGUAGCAGACGCAGUGAACAGGCUACAGAAGAAAUAGCAAGAAGACUUACGGCACUGUUCAAUUUAAUUAAAUUUUUUCCUUAUCUCCUGAAACUUAAUUAGCUGAGGACCACUAUGGGAAAAAGCUGGAUACUCGUAAUUUACACCAAUAAGCUUAGGGACAGGCUUUGCAGAAGAGAGUAAAUGGACCAGUCUGAUUAUUCUAACGUUUUUCCAUAAAAGCAAACAAAGGCCAUGGCAAGGAAUUUCCUGAAUUGCAUCAUAACAAACAACAAGCGCAGCCAUUGCCUCUGAUUGGAACUUAUGAAACUAAUCCAAUCAGCGGAAGUAACUAGUGAUGACUAAAUUCUGUCAUCCAAGUCAAAAAUGCAAGACUCUCAAAAUUCUCACAAGACUGUUCAGCCCCUUAAGAUCCAGAUCUUCGUAACAUUUUUAACAGUGAAUUCACGCACGCUGAACAUUCACGUUCUUACUACUGUAGUGUUUCCACUUUCCUGCAGUAUCCAUACCUGAGGCUUCCCGGGAACGACAGCGACACAAUCCUUACAACCUUGUGCACGUUCGUCACCAAUGAGCGGUCUUACGUGCACGGCAACCUUCACGCAACAAUCCUCUCCACCGCCAGUUUCCAUAUGAAGCAGCUACGGAUUAAUUCGAGACACUUUUCAGAAACGGCAAGAACAGAGAGAACGAGCGUUAUUAAUGUGUCUGAAAGAUCAAUCAGUCUCAGCUAUAAAACCGUUGUCAUUGUCUCAGAAUUUGGAGAAUUUCGGACAAAGAAAGUGAUGAAGCUAAUAAGGGAGCAAGAUAUGAAAACUAAGAGUUAAGUUUCAGACAAUGUGUUAGAGAGAGAGAGAGAGAGAGAGAGUAUGUGUAGGAAAAAAAAUGGUAAAAGAUUAGAUACAGAGAGAGAGAGAGAGAGCGAAGGGUAGUUGGGGAAUUAGAGGAUGGAGAACAAAGAGGGAUACAAGUAGCAACCGAACAGUUUAACUACAAAGACAACAACCACUAUCAUUUUCCUUAGGCUUCACUGCAUCACAACAGCUUUCACGGUUGUGUGCGCGCAAAAGUUAAACUUUCAUGACACUCUUUCCCAUUUUGCCCUUCUCCUCGCACAACGACUCUCACCUUCCUUCCUUCAUGGCGUCGUCCCCCACUUUUCCGGAUCACUUUUACGGUUUUACCCUCUCUCUUCCACGUAUAAUACAAGAAUACAAAUCAUGAUUGUCCCCACAAUACAGUAGAAAAAAGAGGAGAUGGCACAGCACACAAGCCACGUGACAUGGAAUCAUAUAUUGAUUUCUUGAGAAGUUUUGGGCACGAGCAGACUAAAGAGGACUCCGUGUACAACUAAAUUUUUCUUUGCAUGUGCAGUGCAUGUACGGGAUUUGCUCUAUGAUUGAGAAGAAAGUGAACCGUCCUUAAAUUAUGUACAAUUUUAUUAGAACAUACACUAGCUUAAAAAUAAUAAAUGCGAAACAAAUGAAUAUUAAUUUUCAUUACCUAACUACCAAGGUCUUGAUUUAAAAAAAAAUUAAAAAAAUAAUAAUAGUAGCGUUGUCAAUGAGUUUUGGUAUUUGAUAGGAAGAAGAAAGUGAUGUGGGGGAAGGUGGUACUGGCAAUGGUAGAGGAAGAGAAGUAAAGAAAAGGGUGGGGUGGGAGAGAGAGAGAGACCCACACAAUAGACAUAGCCAGCUGGUGGUCUCCCAUCCUCACAUGGCCUUUUAGUGUCUGUAGACCUGACUGGACCCCACUUUAAAAACUUGGUCAGACCGAAACUGGUCCCCAUGUUUUUACUGAUUUUGAAGCAGUUCAUAAAUUCAUCUUUGGUCUUUUGCAACUUUAAGGAUCAUCUUCCUGUGUCAUGCCAACGCACCCGGCUUAGCCUGUGGAUACAAACCAAAUUAUAUCAUGACCUACGACCAUUUUCUGUUUUCUGACCUUAGAUUUUAAUUAUCAUUAAAGCCUUUUCGAAAUCUCUCUUUCUUUAUGGUUUAAAGGAGCUAGCUAGAUCAGAUCAGAUCAGUGAGUGAGUCCCUUGCAUACUUGCACCAAAUGUACUUUUGUGGCUCAGGAAAACACAUGCGGUGCACGAGCCGAUCAGUGUAAUGGAACAAUUUGUGCUUAGUGUUGAGCAUUCAUGGGGUCGUUUAAGAGGGGUUAAAGCGGACCCUGGAAGUAGAUAAACCUGACCUUCGGUGAUGAUAAACAUAGGGCUGUGCACGUUUUGGCCGGCAUUGGACCAGCGUAUCUGUUACAUGAAACUGUCAGAUAAAUAGUUUUGACAGCGAUGUUGAGGAUUUUAGGAUUGCAUUUUAAGCAGGCUAAAUUGGUUUUGCAAGCAUCAUCACGGGGUCAAAUCACAUGAUUUUUACUGUGAUUUUUUGUAUCCACAGAAAUGCAUAAACGAUAAAAUAAGGUUUUAGAAGGUUUGAUAAGAUUUCCCUACCACAUAAUGGAGCGUGCCUUACCUUUUUAAGUGGGCCUUAGCUGAAACAUCUUGUUCUUGUCAUUAUAAUAUUUCCAUUCUGGGAGAGCGUAACCAACUAAUUUUGCAAAUUUUGAAAAAGAAUAGAAAGUAUCUAAAUCUUGACAAUUAUUUCCCAUCUUUCAGGUGCUGUGCAAAUGUGGACGUAUUUCCUAAUUAACCCGUUAAAAGGCCUAAUAACGUACAAGUGACUUUGCCAUGUUGGCAGGUGGGUAAAAUUUUACCAUUCCUCUGCCUUUCGUAGCCUUUUUCUUUGCUGCGGUAGACUGCAAGUUAAGCAAGCCGCUGGGGAAACCAAUCCAAUUGGCUUCUGCAGUAAUCUAUCCAGUUGCGUGCUUCAUUCACAAGAAAGAAUUGCGAGGGCAAGAAAAUGAUGGAAAAAAAAAAAAAAAAAAAAAAGCUGAUGCAAAGAUCCUAAUCUGAAGUUUCGUUUCACAACCUAACUCUCCAUUCAUUGGAUUUUUCAUUUUUCCCAAUUCGGCCGUUAGUUUGGAUGCACACCAAGCAACCACAGAGACCCCACUUAAUGACUUGUGCUGGUUCAUCAGCUUUGUCCAGGCAUUGUAUUUUGCAAUUUUAACCUAUAAUAUACGAAGAAUUACGAUGAUACUUCUUGUAUAGCAAAAGGGAUUAAUUCUGUCACACGGUUCUUCUAAUACUAUGUAUGCGCUCUUCAAGUUGUCUUGUUGUCAAUCCCCCGACGGAAACCCAACACUGCGUUAUCACUGGAUCAUGAGAACAGUACAAGUAUGCAACGAUGUGACUGGGGGAAAAUUAAGUCCAUAGCUUUUUUAGUUUACUAAUUAAAUUUCAGAGACCAGUUGCUACUUCUGCAGAAGUGCGUUCUUUAUUCUACCCUCAGUGUCACCCGACUUUUUUCGUUAUGUGGAGCUUAGCAUCACAUGCUCCUACCUGCUUUACAUCACACUAUGACUCUCAUUUCUCAGUCCUUACUUUUUAUCCCAGACGCCCUCUUUCUGUCCCCUCUCAUUCUAUCACAGCCCCAUAAGCAGCUCUUUUUUAUUUACGUGAAUAAUUUUUAAUACCGUUAUUAAACUAAGUUUGGAGUGCAUAUCUUAAUGUCCAAUCCCAUUGUUCUGUUACUCAGUGCACUCAUUUUUAAGCACAUUUAACAUAAUCUUAAAGGGGUUCAUCCAUAGAGGAGAUAUGAUUCCACAUAGGCAUAAUGAUCACCGUGGCCCUUUUGUCAACCCAAAGCCAAUAUACAAUCUAAUGGUGCUUUAUUUUUAGUUUUUCUUCUCCAUCAUACAUUGUCUUGGAUAUAAACUGCAAUAUCGCAGCUAAAGCUCAAGCUUUUCCCCCUCUUAUACAGAACCUUUAAGUUAUUAAGCUUAAAAAGCAUUUGAUUUUGAACAGUGUGGAGACAUAGCAUGUGCAUUAUUGCUAGAAUUCAUUAUGCGCAUGCUUCAUUGCGUGGAUAGGCAUACAUCUAGCUGUGGGGCAGGCUCCUCUCAUGAAAUGGAAAUACUUUUUCUGUUGCUACUUGUAUCUAGUGAUAUUCAUUCAUCCAAAUCGAUUGUGUUGAUGAAUGUUAACGUGGAUAAUCUUCGGCCACAGAACAAGCCUUCCAACAAUUUCAUGGCCAUGCUAUAUCAUUCAUUCAAUCAUUGUUCUGAUUAACAUUUUAAGGUCAAUGAUAUUUGGCAAUUCUGGGUUCGUUUAGGGUCAUAUUGCUUCCUUGUGAGGAUUAGAAGAGCACACUAGCACUUGCUUCCGUAGAAGUCACUUAUUUUAGGGGAGAUUUGAAUUUGAAACUUGCCUUCACAAAUCCAUAUCUUCUCUUUGUUUAGUUAACACUUAACCCCUCCUCAUAUGAACCAAAAAGCAUAGACCUCAAAUCACAUUUUGGAAAUGUCGAUUAUGUAGUGUUAACAUUUUUACGAGUUUACAGUUUAAACGCUUGAAGAGGGAGAGGAGUUUGGAAAUUGAAAGAGAUUCCAAUGUGACCUCGGGCUCAUUUUCAACUGUUGAAAGGAAGGGUAUUGUUACACAUUUCAAAAUUUAUCCCCAAAAAAAAAUCCUUCCCAAAUGAGUGAUUUAUUGCGCUUACAUUAUUUACAAGCGAUGCCCAAGUUCGAACGAGUUUGAUGUUUCCAACUUUCCAUUACUCGCUGCAGAGAGCCUUGUCUUUUAUCUGGUUUAUGCGUUCAAAUCUUGUACCAGGUUGAGCCCUUUUUGGGCUCCAACAAACUCUAGGCCCAUUUUUUACUUUAAAAGCCCAACAAACUCAAACUUCAACGGACCUACGUGUGUGCGUGUGUGUGUGUAUAUAUAUAUAUAUUGAAAUGAAAAUUUCGAAAAAGGAGACCGAAAUAAAAAAUCAUACUAGUGCAUUGUUUUACACUUUCACUUUAACUCAACACCAAGCGACUGGGCUCAAACACUCUCCGCUCCUCAGAUAUAAAUAGAGAGAGAGAGAGAGAGAGGGGUGUCAUAAAAUUCAAUUAAAAAUUUUUCGGUAAGGACUACUGUAUUAAUAUAUAAGUUUCAAGUUUGUACUAAAAAGGUUGUAAUACAUAAAUAUGAAUCAUGGAAGAAACAAAGUAAAAUUAAGGGUUGGUUAUUCAAAUCCACCAAAUUCUUCUUUAUACUCAUUUUAAAAAAUAAUGUAUUAUUAAAAUAAAAUUUUAAAAUUACCAUUCACUAAUCUAUUAUGAAUGAAUUGAUGAGAAUUUAUGAAAUUGAGAAGAAAAAUAAAAUAAAUGAUUAAUUCAGUAAUUUUUUGAAAAAAUUAUGAGUGAGACUAUUUGAACCCACCGAUUUCCUUCCUACAUCUUUUUUUCUAAUUAAGAAUUUUAUUAUUUAAAUAAUUUUUAAUAAAAUUACUUAAUUAACCGUUUCUUUUCUUUCUCAUCUCAAUUUCAUUAAUUCUCAUUAAUUCAUUCCGAUAUAUUUUUUUUAACUGUAAAUAAUUGAUGUCACAAACUAAGAUAAACAAAAGCAACAUUUUAAAUUGAAUAUCAACAAUUUCUUAUCAGCCAUAAAAUUAAUAAAUAUCAAGAAAUUGAUUUUUACUAAACAUAAAAGUUGAUGAAUAUAAAGAAAAAAUUCUUAUAUGCAAAAAACAUAAAAUAAAGAUCACGAUCUUAUAAGAAAUACCAAAAAAUAAAUUAUAAAAUAGUAAAAUUGAGUGUUUAAUUUAAAGAAUGUAAGAAUAGAGAUAAUAUUUAAUGGUAAAGUAGGGUGAAAAAUAUUAAUGAAGAAAAAAUUUAAAAUUUUGAGAUUUUUAAUUUUUUAAUGAUAAAUUUAUUUUUUAAAACAGAUAUAAAAAAAAAAACUUGAUAGGUUCAAUUAAUUUCACUUAAAAAUAUUUAUAUAAUAAAAUUCAUAAUUAAACAGCGUAGGGAGUAAAUUGGUGAGUUAGCCCCAGCCUAAAAAUGAUUGGUCCGUGGUGGCAAGCAUUUAGAAAAAUAAAAAUUCCCUUAUGUUAUGUCGGUGCAGAGAAUUAAAAAAAGUGGAAAGAGAAAGUAAAAUAAUAAAUAAAUGGCUAAAAGGACGAAGCAUAUCUUCGUCUUCGAGUCGGCGUCGUGAAAUAUAGAAGCAUGGAAGUUGCGUAAGCUUCAAUCUUCCGUUUAAGAAUAUCAGAAGUCAACAUCCCGGGCAGCAAGCACGUACACGGUACUCGGUACUCGGUACUCGGUACUCGGUACUCAUAAGCUUGUUUCUUCUGCAAACAAACAUUGAUUAAUACAGUUAGUUAUACAAGCGAUCAUAAUUCAAACGUAAGAGUCAUCAUGUCGGGUGGUAUUGCUCGCGGCCGUCUCACAGAGGAGCGAAAAGCCUGGCGCAAGAAUCAUCCCCACGUAUUUGAUAAUUUUUUUUUUUAUUUUUCCUUUUUGUCGUUUUAACCGCUCGCUAUUUUCAGUUCUGUGUCUCUCCAUUUUAUUUGCACAAAUGUUGUGAGGUUUGAUUUCCUGUUAUAGGGUUUUGUGGCCAAGCCUGAAACCAAAGAUGGUUCCGUGAAUUUGAUGAUCUGGGAGUGUAUCAUUCCUGGCAAGACUGGGGUUAGUCUUUCUUUUACUGAGAGAGUGAAAGUUGGGAUUUUUUUUUUUUUGGGGGGCGGAUGGGGGGCGCUUUUGUAUAAAGUUUUGAUCUCGAAGUUUAAACCUUUGAAUGAUUCAAGGUACUGUGUAUUAGUUAGGGGUUAGAAUUAAAAGUUGUUAUAUUUUUCAUAUAUUCUUCAAUUAUCUGUCAAUGUUGUUUUUUAAUUGUAUGACCUUUUAUACAGCAUUGUCUGAUCUCUGCCCUGCGGGGAUUACUGUACAGUUUUGUAGUUCUUAUCAAUUUUAUUCCCCUGUUUCUUGUCCCGCGGCUCUUUUCAAGCUGCCCAGUAAUUUGGAAGAUGUAGUCUCAGUUUAAAUUUGCUGGAUGCUCCAAAUUCCAUUCUUGUCUAAAUGUCUCAUCAACUAAAAGAUCGAUAUUGUUGAUUACGUUUUUGAGAUGCAAACAAUAUCAGAUGAUUAGUUUAACAGACAGAGUGGAGAUACUGGUGCCAUUUGCUUGUCCACUAUUGAAUCUCCUAUUUUAGACAAUUUUAUGGUGAUUUACAAUUUUAUUUUUUUUCCCCCACUGAAAAAAAAAAAAAAAAAUGGCAGGGCUUAGCUUUAAGUUUUAAGGGAUGUGUAUAGUUACUUUCUUGUUAGUACCCAUAGUGAUUACAAUGAGAUGUUACUGCCUCAUUUGAAUAGUACCAUCCUUCUUAAUCUUGCAGACUGAUUGGGAAGGUGGCUACUUUCCUCUUACUCUCUACUUCAGCGAAGACUAUCCCAGCAAACCCCCAAAGUGUAAGUUUCCUCAAGGUUUCUUUCAUCCUAAUGUCUACCCUUCUGGAACAGUAUGCCUGUCAAUCCUCAAUGAGGACAAUGUAAGUUCUUCUUGCCGCUUUGUCAUAUACUUCCAAAUUAUGUAUGGUAGUGGAUUAGCUAAAAUUUCCAGUUUAGAUGACAUGAUGGCUUUCUUCUAGGGGUGGAGACCUGCCAUUACUGUGAAGCAAAUUUUAGUGGGCAUUCAGGAUUUGCUGGAUCAACCCAAUCCUGCUGAUCCAGCACAAACUGAUGGAUACCAGCUUUUCAUCCAGGUGCUUUAUUGGUUCAUAUAAACUCUCAGUUUUAAGUUUACUGUAGUUUCCAUUCUUAGUAUUAAAGAAUGCGGCCUUUUCCUUAAGCAAUAUGGCUUGACAUGAACAGGAUCCUGCCGAGUACAAGAGAAGGGUGCGACAGCAGGCCAAGCAAUAUCCACCUGUUAUAUAAUGCAAGCUUGCUUAAAUGGAUAUGAGUAACUCAUUUGUUACCUCACAUGGUUUAUGUCCAUCAUUAUUUACUACAGUAAACGCAGUUACAAGUGCACCAACUUUGGUGUUGAACAUGUUAUAAUAUGCUACCUGUAUCAUUUGUGAAGGGUGCUUUUAUUGGCUGUCUUGUUUUCUUCCUGUUCUGUUGACCGUUUGGCAACUUUUAAGGGUGUUACAAAUUAUGCUGGUAGUUAUGGAUAUUGCAAAUUAUGCUGAUUGUUAUGAAGUUAUGUGUUGGCUUUUCAAUUAAGUAUACAAAGAUGGAGUAGGUGAUAUAGUUGCUAAUACAUAAUUAUGAAAUUUUUUGGCAUUUAAGACUAUACAGUUCUUUUCUGGAUACAGGUACCUCAAUGAUUAGUGGGUGGUAUUGCUGUGUUGUAAGUUGCUUAAAUAAUUUGUUGCUUAUUUGAUGUGCUUGGUUGAUACGGGGUACUUGCAAUUGCAGUAAAAUCCGAGUGGGUUGAGAUUAGCAAGGUGAAUGUGUGAAAAUACUGGGAACGACAUGUAAAAGCUGAUGAUAGAAAGUGGCGUCAGCAAAUGUAUAAGUGUGGAAAGUAAGUUUGGGUGAGAACCUGAGAAAAUGAUGAUGGUAUAUGAUGCCACUGGGAGGAGGAUUCUGGUGGAUCAGCUGAGGGUGACAACCUGAGAAAAUGAUGGUAGUAUAUGCUGCUACUUCUGCUUUGACAAAACAACAAUUGAGUUGAUUUCUAGUACUUGUAGAUAUGAAGGUUUACACUUGUAUAUGCGUAUAUGUUUUUUUUCAAUAUAGUGGGUUAUUACUUGAUAUCUGAUUUCCACCUCUUCUGUGUUUCAAGGCUUUGCCCUUGGUGGCAUUUGAGAAAUUGCUGGUAAAAAUUGAUAGCCUGUGGUAAUAUCAAAGGUUUAUAACUUCACAUGAUACAAUUAACAGUUAAAAAUGGCAUUUUGUACAUCCAUUUGUGCCUUUGGAGAUCCUAUGUUCCUUGUACAACUGCCUUCUUUGCCAUUUCCUUCAGAUGGUUUUGCAUUUUUCCCCAUCUGUACUGAUAUAUCACUGUUCUCAUGACUGCAUAUGUGCCUUCUUGAUCUUACCUUUCUUUAUUUGAGGUGAUUCCUCAGUUUCCAACAUCUACCUAAUUUUUGGUGCCUAUUUGUACCCCGAAUCUAGGCCCUUCACUUACCAGCUUUUCAUUGUGGAAUUAGCAUAGCAAAUAUGACCUUAGGAAGUCAGGCGCUCACCCGUGGAAGUACUGAGUUGCAGUCCCACUGUCAAACACCAUCUAAUCAAGUGGAUGUUCAAGUAUCAAAACUGUGGCGCCCAUCUAUUACUGUCAUCUAUGGUUAGUCUGUUCUACCAUCCUUGUAGUUACCUUUUUGAUAGUCUUUUAGCACUUUUCAUCUGACAAUAAAUGAAUGGUCUGAUUCUUAAAAUGCGCUGGUUAUAUUUGUGGAGUGAAAUACUGAAAUAUGCUGAAUAUAUUUAGCCUUCCAAAUGAGAUCCAUUAUUUAUUUAUUUAUAUAUUGUGCGGGGACAUAUGAUUGAAGAAGUCAAUUUAUGGCGUUUUGUUUUAUAUGCUGACGAAGAAUUGGAUGGCAGUUUAUUAAGUUCUGUUUCGCAUAGUCCUAUAACCAACUGAAGAGAGUAGAAUUUAAUUAGCAAAAGCUAGAGGAAAUUAGGACAGCCUUCAAAAAUAGACACGAUAUUAAAAAAUUGCCAUUUCACCGGCACCCGAGGAUUCGCUCACAGCCUUCUCAAUCAUCUCCUUCACCACAAUUAAACUCCUCCUCUAUCAAUUGAGUCCAUCUCUUAGCCCCAGCCUCCAUCCACUCCUAAUCUUAGCACCCGAGUAACCAACCUCUCGAUAUAAAAUUGCUUACCCGAGAUUGGCCGAGUCAUUGUUGGCAGCAUUCUUAGUAUAGCUUCAUCUUCAAAUGUCAGCUAGUCAGCUAUAUAUGAAAACUCAAGUGGGGAGACGGAACCUGUAAUUUCUCCGACAAUUUAAAGAAUCUUCCGUCGAACCAAGAGAAAAUUUAAUAGGGUGGAAUUUUGUGAACUUAUUGUUUUCACGUGUCACAAUUUGGUUCAUAUUUCAAAUAAGAUCAGACCAAGCGGUGACUAAAUAAGAAGAGACCAAGCAUGGAAUGAAAGUUGCAAACUUGAAGAGCUUAGACAAAAAAUUUUAAUAAAUUGAAAGCCAAAACAUAUAAUUUUCAAAUAGUUGAGCUAAAGUGUAAUUUGAACCUGUAAUUUGAACCCUCAUUGUGGAUUUUUUUUGUUUCCGCCGGCCCUGCUGUACCGUANNNNNNNNNNNNNNNNNNNNNNNNNNNNNNNNNNNNNNNNNNNNNNNNNNNNNNNNNNNNGUGGUGGUGGUUGGAGAUAAUAAUAGGAAUAAGCUUGUUCAAAAUUUCAGGGCGAUUCAGCGGUAAAGGUAGCAAAAAUUUGUUUGUUAUCGGCAAUAAUUCUGUAACUUUGUUAUGGUUCUUACUAGACUAGAGUUUGAUUUUGAUGUCAUAUGACUCGUGUCAUACCUAAAAAAUCUUGUUUGUUCUCCCUGUCCACAGAGCUUGACCAAACAACCCAUAUGAAAUACGCUCGUUUUUUUAAUUCUUAUUCCUUUAUCAUGUGCGUUAGGUGUUGCAAUAACGACGUUGCGUGGGCACCCAUUAGCACUUGUGUCACUUUGCCAUAGUCUUUUGACCAGUGAAUAGGUGUCAUGUUUCUCUUUAAGGCAUUUAAUCUAGAAUCUGAGGUUGAUUUGCUCCGUUCUCUUUCAAUCAUAUCAUCCCACAACAUGUUACCAACAAACGGGACUCGACUAGCUUACAGAAUCUGUCAGGUACAGACUGCAGCAUCAGCCGUUGGAUGUGGUUGGAUGUGGAGUGAGAAACUAAACAAUAGAAAAUCGGAUGGUGGGAUGACGGGAGAUGUUUGUUACAGAAUCUGUACCAUAGACAGGUCCCCAACAAACGUAUUUUCAAGCAUCUUAUUUUGACCUUCAACGCAUCCCAACAAAUAUUUGACACCACAUUCUCUGUUUUUAUUUCUUUAUUAAUUUCUCAUUUUUAAUUGUCAACCAAUGCCUAUUUUUUUCAGUAUGCUGAGCAAAUUGUCUUCUCUUUUUAUCGAAGGAUCAAACCAUCUUAUCCUGAGUAAGGAGCUGUAAUUUUAUCUAUCAAUGUGGGGCAUUAGACAAUCUUUAACACUUUAAUAGUUAGAGCAUUUGUUUAAUUUAGCUAUUUGGCAGAUUAUCCCCCAAAGUGUUUGAUAACUCUUGCAACUUAACUUUGGCAAGAUAAUUGAUUAUUUUUUCACAAUUAUUUACUGAAAAUGAGCUCUAAAAAUGAAAGUUACUUGACAUCUAAUAUUUUUUGGGAAAUUUACGAAAAUAAUCAUAAAAUUUUUGCUUGUAUUAUUAUUGUAUAUUUAUAGUUAUAAAAAAAUUAGGUUUUAUUUCUUUUAGUAAGUUAAAUAUAAAAAUAACGAAUGGCUCUUUUAAAAAAUAAAUAAAGAAAAUAAAAAUUAAUUGGUUGUAUUGGAUUUUAACACGUUGAUACAUAAAUCAAUCUAAUAACAUUGAAUUUUUAUUUUACAAUCCAAUCCAAUUCGAUUAAAGGUCAAUCCAACAAAAAUUAGAUCGAUUUAGAUUAAAUCAAUCGAAUGCCUAUUUAGCUCUUUUCAGUAGCACUUAUCGUCAUACUUUUCUUUUCUUCUUUUUCUUUUUUUUUUCCUCGAGGGGGGUACAAGAUAAAUCCAAACUUUAGAAGCUCCACUUCAAAAAAUCAGUUGCGUCACGACGCAUAAAACCAGCAAAAACUGUGAUACGAGUCGUUUGAUAACAAUCGACAAUCACAAUUAGGCAUUAGCCUUGUAAUAAAAUUUAUAUAAUUUUCUUAAAUUAAUUAUAUUAAUGUCUAUUUCAACGACAAGUACCUAACUUAGCGGUCAAGGACGGUCCGCCCGGAAUCUGCGGGCAUAAUUAACAAAAUAAAUUUGAAUAAAAAGCAUGGACCGUUCGUUUUCGACAUGGUUAUGAUUACAGGACUUGACUAGCUUACAGAAUCUGUAAGCUACAGACUGCUGCAUCAGCCGUUGGAUGUGGUUGGAUGUGGAGUGAGAAACUAAACAAUAGAAAAUCGGAUGGUGGGAUGACGGGAGAUGUUUGUUACAGAAUCUGUACCAUAGACAGGUCCCCAACAAACGUAUUUUCAAGCAUCUUAUUUUGACCUUCAACGCAUCCCAACAAAUAUUUGACACCACAUUCUCUGUUUUUAUUUCUUUAUUAAUUUCUCAUUUUUAAUUGUCAACCAAUGCCUAUUUUUUUCAGUAUGCUGAGCAAAUUGUCUUCUCUUUUUAUCGAAGGAUCAAACCAUCUUAUCCUGAGUAAGGAGCUGUAAUUUUAUCUAUCAAUGUGGGGCAUUAGACAAUCUUUAACACUUUAAUAGUUAGAGCAUUUGUUUAAUUUAGCUAUUUGGCAGAUUAUCCCCCAAAGUGUUUGAUAACUCUUGCAACUUAACUUUGGCAAGAUAAUUGAUUAUUUUUUCACAAUUAUUUACUGAAAAUGAGCUCUAAAAAUGAAAGUUACUUGACAUCUAAUAUUUUUUGGGAAAUUUACGAAAAUAAUCAUAAAAUUUUUGCUAUUUUUACAAUUAACCCUCUCAACUUUUUUCUAUCAACAUUAGCCAAACACACGCUUGUCUACCCAAAUUACCCUUCUUUACAAACCAAAAGCAACUUUCUUUCUCCCUUUCGUCAAACCAAAUGCAGCUUUCCACUCUUGAAUCAUCAACCAACGGCGACGGCAAAAGGCAACGAUAAAAAUGAAAUCCGAUCAUAAUCUAUCUGAAUCCAAUACUAAUCGGCAUCACAUAGUGAUAUGAGUUAUUUUCUGAACUUGCUCGAGAGUUUCAGUGAACUGCGAAUUGUUGGUGAAUUUAGCGACAUGCUGUCUGUCGCACAAAGCUUGGUGCGACAGGCACCAAAAAUGGAUAUCCCUUGCCUAUCGCACCAACACUUGGUGUGACAUGCACCAAAAAUGGAUAUCCCUUGCUGAAGUGUUGGAGGAAUGUGUUGGAUAUCCCUUGGUGAAGUUGCCAAGUAUCGUGUUCUUCCCAUGCAGCAGCCAAGUUAGAAACUGGGGCAAAUGGGGCCUUAACUCUCUAGUUUGGGAUUUAAUGUUUGAAGAAAAUUUCGAUUUAUUGCUGCAGCAGCAGCUAUAUAUUGCCAGGCUGCUAGCCAACUUAGAAUUACAGAGCUGUUUAGCUGAAAAUGAACUUCGGCAAACUGUUACUCUUGUUUCUGACCAUAGGCUUGGUUGAGUCAACCGGUGCUUUGAUGUUUGCCUUCGAUGGCUUCAACACUUCAAAACUGUUGCUUUAUGGCAACGCAAAACUGGAUUCUGGUGCCAUUUCACUCACCCAAGAUACCACCUUCUCCAUCGGAAGAGCUCUCUAUCAUGCUCUGGUCUUCAUCUUCGUGCCUUCCGCAGGCAUCCAAGGCGCUGCUGCAUCUCAAUAUCUCGGCUUCCUGAAUAGAACAAAUGAUGGUAAUAUGAACAACAAUGUUUUUGGCAUCGACAGGAAGAUCACUGCAGAGAGAGGGGUAUUUUAGUCUCAAAGGUCUUUUUAUGGCUAAUAUUGAUAGAAGUUUGUUUGGGGGGUUAAGAUGAAAAAAGUCAAAAUGUUUAUGGUUAUUGAUGUAAAUUUCCCAUAUUUUUUUACCAAACACUUGUCCCUUGAUAGCAAUCAAGAACUUUCAUUUCACAACACCUUGGUAACAAACAAAAGGAGCCUCAACUUUCUAAUGAAUCAACAUGUAAGUGUUUUAUUUAUUUAUUUCCAAUAAAGGAGCGUACAUUGAACAUUUGAACUCCUGAAAAAAAGCAUAUCAAGGAUCAAUAGAUUGGACAACUUGAAUGAAACAUCGGUAUUAAAUAUGUACAAAGGAAUGAAUUCUUGAGAAGGCAAAAGUAUACAAGACACCAAGUUAGAAGAGCAAAAAUAUACACCCUCUAGUCCUCUAACUAUUUGCAGCGUCUGUUUCUGUCAUGUAAGUUUCGAAGUACAAAGUAGUCGUCGAGAGUCCGAUGUAGAAAUCCAUGGCGCUCGCACAAGAAACACAUGACUCAAAACGGAAGAAAAAAUAAUAAUAACAAUAAAACAACACAACUUGCAUUGGUGAAAAUUUGCUUGUGAUCGACCCUUUAAUCUCCUAGCUACAACACUGUGUUUGGUGAUCGUCCAGAACUCUCCAAUACAAUUUCAAAUAAAUCAGCCUCAGACUCCUCAUCAAAUUCCUCUGUUCGAUUAUUAGCACCAGUGUUGUGACCGCCUUUGGUUGAGGAUCGGUUAAGCCAUUGAGAGUCAAUUCUUCCCAUAGAGAAGAGCUCUUUGCUGUCCUCAUAGCCUAGUGCUGCAGCAGGUGGGUUUGCAAGAGGGCCAAUGAAGCACGGGUUUGAUGUUCUUUGUGCAUUUGCUGGUGCAUAUGUGAAAGCACUUUGUCCAAAAUUGACAAGUAUCAAAACAUCAAUAUUUGCCGCUAUAGUUGGAUAGAGGGGAGUUUCAAAUUCCUCAGAUUUGCAAUUGAUCACGUGCACCAGCUCUGAAUCUACUGUGAAGAACACUUUCUUUUGCCUCGGAUCAAACCCACAACCAAUCACCCUUUCUGUUCUUCCCCAUUCUGCUUUCUCGGAUUCAAAAACAAGCUUAAUCCCUGAAAGAAAAAGAAAUCAUAUGAUUGAUCUUCAAAAAGAAUUUUUAUUAUUUUAUUUAUCCAUUUUGUUCUUUUGUGGCCACCACAUAGAAGUCACUUGAGCACUAAGAAUGCUAAAGAAGUCACUUCACCACUAAGAAUGCUGAAAUAAAACUGUUUAAAAAUUGAGUUAUACAGAUAAUAUAGCAAUAGUUUAUAUGACCCCUAACUAAAAAUUGGGUCAACAGCUUCAUACCUACUUUAACAUACAUUGAAGACAGGCUAAAUAAAAGGAUCUUUGCAAAUAAUAAAUCUCUAUUAUAAGCCAUGAUCAUGUCAUAUAGUGGGCCUUUUAUCAUUAUCUUUCACCAAUAUUGGGACCUUUUAGGUGGAAGAGAUUUAUUCAUUAGUGGGAUGCUACUGCUCGCUGGUACAGUGAAUAAUAUCGUAACUGUUGUAUAUGUUGUAACUCUAGCCAUGGAAAUUAAAAAUAUAUUAAUAAAUAAGGAAAAAGAUGAAAGAUUUUACCGUCCAGAUAGACAGAACCAUCAGAAUUGAAUCCGAUUGAUCCCGGAUAACUUCCGGGGAGUCUCAAAGGAAGGGAGCCACCGGGAGUGAGCCCCAAAGACAACAUUACAACUUCGCCCUUGCCAUCAUCUUUAGCAGCAGCAAGCUUCAAUUCUUCAACCUUGUUCACACUAUGACUGCUAGUAACAUGGACUAGAGAUUCGGAAUUCGCAUUUGCAUAAGAAUUUUCUUGGAUGAGUUUAGUCUUCUCGCCUUCUCUAGUCUUUCCAACUGAUUGAGAUUGACCAUCAUCGCGAGCAUACAGAAUGGUAAUUUCAAAAUAGGCCUCUUGAGGAAAAGCAGAGUUGCCCAGAGGCGGCCCAGGCAAAGGCAGGGCUGUUCUAAUCACGGCAGCAGCAGACAUAAAAGGGCUGCUUGUAUUAACCUUCUUUAGUCCUGAAUUGAGCCUAAUCUUUUGCAUAAAAUCUGCUGAUCCUUGGCACACGUCCCAGCUUAUAUCCGCUUGCGUUUCUCUUCCGUAAUCACCAACCGCGCAUAUUCCUAAUAGGCUUGAUCUAGUGGACGGAGAUGACAUGUAGGUCGUGAAACCAAAUCUAGACCAUCCAUUUUCGACAGCAUCUGUCACAAGUUCCGGAUGAUCAGCCCAGUUGAACAAUGGUUUGGCUGAAACUCCACGUCGGAAAACGUAGUAAUUUCCUCUCCUCUUGCUAUCUAAAUCAAGAUGAUUAUGCGGACUCGGACCGUUCUGUUGAUGAAGCUGCUGCGGAAUCCGAGUUUGAAGACUCUCGGGGGUUGUUUGGUUCGCGUCAACAAAAUCCUUACGGUGUCUGUUGCAACACCAUCGCCAAAUAAACACGAUCAAAAGCAUUAUAAGAACUCCUGCGGAAAACGCCACGAGUAUAACAUGAAGCAUCUCGUAUUUUAUGUGGGAUUCGGAGAAUAGUUCUGUAAGGAAAUGGGGCAAGAAUAUGGAGAGGCAUCCAAUUAAGAAGAAACAGAGGACAGGUCACAGGCCGACGCAGGCGUGGACUAGGACUGAUUCAAGAAAGGCAGGAGAGCAAAAUAUUGUGCAAGCUAACGCAGUAAACCCAAAAAAAUAAAAAAUAACGUGGGGUUAAUGUAUUAAUUUAAUUAAUUCUAAACCGAAAAUAUUUCCCACUUAAAAAAAUAACGCGUUCUUUGAUUCAUUAAAGCUUGUGUUUGUUUAUGUCGCUAUGCAGUCACAAGCACUUCUAGAAGGGCCACGUGGGCAAAUACUUAUGGUGGGCUGCCACACUUUUCUGAAUUGACUUGUCUGACAAAUGGAAUUUAUGGAGGAGACAACAUGGAGAUUGGUUAAAAGGUGACGUGAAUGAAACAAAGGAACAUCAACUUAUUGUAGUACGAGUUUGGGAAGUUUUUUGUCUGACUAACACAGUAAACAGUUAAUCCUAAAAAUGUUGUGACCUCUGCUAAUUAACAGUGGUGCUGUCUGUCUAAUGAUUCAAUUCUGUUUAAACGAUAAAAGAAAGCAAUGAACACCAAUCCCUCGUGAAAAAGUUCAUUAAAUUUGGGUAAUUGAAAAUAAUUUGUUUGAUUUGCCCUCCUUUCCAUGACUCCACAUGUACAUUCCAUAUAGAAAUUUUGUCUCAUUUGGAUUUUGGGCGACAGCAAAGGCUAACUGUGCCUAGAUACAUCGGAGGGGGCACGCGCCUAGUUUUGCCAAAACCAAUUUGGGGUGCAUGUGGGGAAAAGUAGACGUGGGGACUUCAAUUCUUGUGUUAUAGCCUUUCUUUAAUUCAUUUAUUUAUUUAUUUUACUUUUUGUAUGGUAUCCUUUGGUUUGCAUUUAGAGGCAUCUUGGUUUUAUUUAUUUGAUUGUAAACCUUUUAUGCCAUCAAAAUUUGGUUACAGAUAGAAUGAGUUCUAUCUUCUGUAUGGAAUAUUUCUGCUCGCUGCAGAGGUAAGUUGAUUAUGUACAGGAGCUAAAAGAUGAAAGAUUUUGUUUUAUAGCAUUUGGGCAAUGGCUUAAAACUCAAAUUUUAUUGUGAGCCAUAACUUCACAAGAGAAACCCCACCAUAUAUUGUACAUACUUGGUUUGCCUUAAGUCAUUAUCAUUCAUCCCCUGAAUCGAUUGGAAAACAUGAGAGCAAUCAUCAGAAUAGUUUAUAAUUAUCCUGUUUCGUAGUAGUUGAUGAAAGGUGAAUAUAAUAAUUCUGAGGAUAACUGCCAUAAUUCAAGGAGACAUCAUUAAAGGGAAACAAGAAAGUUAAAAAGACACUUGAUUUGCAAAACCCUUAAAAUUCUAUGAAAAAGAGAUCUUAUAGGGCUUUGCUAAGUUGAAAAUAAGAAGCAAAUUUUGCUUGCGCUUAGAAAAGGUAGAAGGAUCCUUGUUUUUGCCAAAUUUUUUGCAAUAAGAAAUUGAGUGACGAGACAUAUCACUCAAGAUUAUUAGUGAAGUCAAUUAACAAAAGGGUUUUUUAAUUUUGUCCUUCUAUUUCCCUCUCAUACUGGCAUUGAUGGACGUCUCUCUCUUUUUAUAAAGGAAAAAAUGAGAAAGUGAAAGAAUGGCAAAAAAGAAGAAAAGUUAGCAUGACGAUCAUAACCUGCAACAAAUAGCUUCUUCUUUUUUUCUUCCCGGGGAGUGUGGGGAGAAAUUAAUACGGGCACGGGGACAAAACCAUUUAAGUAGGAGCCCAUUCAUUUCACUUGUCUCUCUUGUUGCGGACAAGACUUCUCACAAGUAAUGAUUGGCUAUAGAGUUGCUUAAUUCUACUGGCAUGCUAAUCUGGGACUUGUGAAAAUGAAAAUUACAUUUGACAUAUUUCCAGACGUUGGAAUUGCAUCAGCGCAGAGUAUCAAGUAUCGGUUCGUGCGUGUUAUAACAGUGGAUGAGGAUAUUCUCACUGGUAUAGUGGAUGUCACAGCUUUAUUAAAAAAAAUGAAUUAUAAAAGUCCCCUGCUGCAAAAAUUAAGAUUCUAAUGAUCAGAUUUUUUAAGCUAUCAGAAAUUAAAUUGGAAGCCGAAUCUACAAGCUAAAAACUUCGAAAUCGGAGACAACCUCAAUUGAGUUAAGAUGAAGGAAAAGCAGAUAAAAUAAAAUUCAACUCACUUAAACACUGGUUUCAUGAAUGUACAAAGUCUUCUAACAGAGCAUGAAUUGUCAAUAAGUCUUCUAUAUGAAUGUACAGUGCUCACUUGUCCUCAAGUGUGUGAUUUUUGAGAAAUGGCAAGCAACCCCAUUGUCUUCUUUGCCAUCAUAUUCAAUUAUUCAUCUUGAUAACACACUUCCGUGUCUUGAAACUUUCCAUCCAUCUCUCUCAAAGCUUUUCAAUACUACAGUUAAAUGCCAUAUUGGGUACUGGUUUCGAAUUCUCAACUUGUGAUAGUAGGCCCAAAAGACACAUGUCUAAGCCCAUGUUGGACAAUGGCAGGUCCAUUAAGAUCGGAUAAGACCCCCCAACAAUCUAUCUCGGUAUCCCCUCUAUCUGAUUAAAUUCAAUUCGCGUCUUAAUAGCAAACAAGAACAAAGAAAUGAAAAAAUGAAGUGGCUCUGCAGCUCGCUCGACGCACGCCCUCUGAAACCCCUGGUUCGUUAUAACAAAAGUGACUUCCAUUUCUCCCAAUCCCUUGUACUUGAGAAACUCCCCACUCAUUUCAACACCAAACUCGCUCUCAAACCCUCGAAGUGUUGCAUCAAAGCCAGCUCAGCGUCGGCGUCCAUUGAUAUCGACAUGGUGAGAAACAAGCAAGGAAUCUACACGCAAAAACAGAACAACAAAGUGGUGGUUCUGUGGGACCUCGAUAACAAACCCCCGCGGGGCCCGCCUUACGACGCCGCCAUGUCGCUGAGACGAGUGGCGGAGAGGUUCGGGGAAGUCACGGACAUCUCGGCUUACGCCAACCGGCAUGCGUUCAUUCACCUGCCUCAGUGGGUCAUCCAGGAACGCCGCGAGCGCAAGCAAUUCGACAUUCUCGAGCGCAGAGGAGUGGCGGUUCCAAAUGAUCCGUACAUUUGCGGGGUGUGCGGACGCAAGUGUAAAACCAAUCUUGAUCUGAAGAAACACUUUAAGCAGUUACAUGAACGCGAGCGGCAAAAGAAGCUGAAUCGGAUGAAAUCCUUGAAGGGUAAAAAGAGGCAGAAGUACAAAGAGAGGUAUAUAAGUGGGAAUGACAAGUAUAACGAAGCUGCCCGGAGUUUGUUGAAGCCUAAAGUUGGUUACGGAUUGGGCUCGGAGUUGAGGAGAGCGGGGGUGUUUGUUAAGACUGUUAGGGAUAAACCACAGGCAGCUGAUUGGGCGUUGAAGAGACAAAUGCAGCAUUCCAUGAGUAGCGGGGUUGAUUGGAUGUUUUUGGUGUCGGAUGAUAAUGAUUUUAAGGAGAUGUUGAGGAAAGCGAGAGACGCCAAUUUAGGGACGGUUGUUGUAGGGGAUUCUAAUAGAGGAUUGGGGCAACAUGCCGAUUUGUGGGUGCCCUGGAUUGAGGUGGAGAAUGGGGAGUUAACUGAGAGGGAUUUGGUGCCUAGGACGAGGAGGACCACAACUGAGGACUUUGAGAGGGAUGGUCAUGGUUUAUUUUCACUUAUUGAGUUUGACGGGGUAGUUGGUUUCGAGGAUGAGACUGAUUUGGAUAGUGUGGUUAAUGAACUUGUUGCUGAAAGGACCGAGUUUGGUGGUGUAAGGAUUUCAAUGUUUUCUGAAGGGGAAGAGGAAGAGGAUUAUUGGGUGACUGAGGAGGCAGGCGGAGAUUAUUUGUUGGAGGGUGGGGAAUUGGAAGAGCAAGAUAGUUACUUUUGAUAUAAGCAAGUGUGCUUGGUUAUAGAAGGCUUCUUAUUGUUUUGGUUUCGUUUCGUUCUCUAACCUGGGAUUAGUUUUCAAACUAAGAUCGAUUAUGCAUUGAGAACACGGUUGGGGAAGUGAAUUUUUCUUGUUGAUGGUUUGGUUUCUCUUGAGGUUGGAUAAUUAUGAACGAUUUUAUCCAUUUGAUGGUCCAAAUCAUUGUGCAAUCAUGAACAGGUCGGUUUUGCUAUCAAACUCUGAAAGUUGAUGCUUUUUAGUCUUCAGACACACAAUGGGUAGAUAAUCUCCUCAUGUUUCCUCUUUUAGUGUAUAGUAUUCCUAUAUUUAAUUUGCAGUUGCUACUGAUGGGAAUAUUACAAUACUGUGAUUCAUCCGUCUGCAUUGCUGUUUCAACUGUCCUCAUAGUAAAUGCUUUAACAUGCCAUCUGAUUGUACUUGACUAGAUUAAAACUUUAUUGGUGGUAUAAGACAGCUCUUUAGUUCUUCUCCAAACUUUUGUCUUAUAAUCCUAUCUAUGUCGAAGAAACUUAUUAUGGUAUUCUAAAGUUUAUAUAUUUGCACAAAUUUUACCAUUGUAGUUUCCCUCAGAGUUUGUGCAUAUCUAGGUUAAUUGGGUGGAAUGCAUUUUACCUUGAUUGAAAACCUGUUCAUAUCAUUGUCGUCUAUUUGUUGUUGUACAUGCUUUUGGUUUUCAACGUUGUGGCUUUUUGAGAAAACGUGAAAAUGUUUUAACGGUCCUAUUAACCAGUAUCUCAGGGUGAUUCUUGGUGUGUCAAGGUGCAGUGGAUAAAUACAACUAAGUUUAUGGCAAGUUCUAAAGAUUUAGAAGAGCAAGACAUGAGAAGCAAUGACGAAGAUUAGGAACCAUCUGUAUUCUGAUUCAAGAUGGAUUUAAUUAUUUAUUUAAAAAUAAAAUAAAUUGUUUCUUGAGAGUACCAUGGUGUGUUGCUACUACCUGCUCUGAGAACAGUGGAGUUUAGCAUUAACUGUGAUUCUGGUAUCUGCAAUAAGACCAUCAUUAAGGAUUUGAUAUAUUAUUCUGCUCAGUAACCUAUGAGCAGUGGGAACCUAACUUAUGCCGAACUAAGAAUUAUCCAAUAAUAUGACUUUGGGUUAGCUUAAAGUUAGGGCUUGAAGACAUCAGCACACCUAUAAGUUUGAUUUUUAAAAUAAAAAAAUGUAGGUUCUAGUGUUGGUUGUCAUGAUAAUAUCGACAUCUUACCUUGACUUUGUAUAAGAGGGUAUUCAACAGUUCUGUAACUGUAAUAUCUUUGUGAAACAUGAGAUGACAGUAAUUUUAUGCUAAUUGAGUACUUUGGUUUAGUGGUGGUGGGGUACAAAACUACAUUGUUUAGUGAGGUGGUUAUUCCGAUGACAGAAUUAGUAGCUCUUGUGAACUUAUCCGGGGUAAUAAUUGUUGAUUAAUUACUCUGACUACUCUACCUAGUUUUUCCUCUUAAGAGUACAAAAUUAAGUGGAGGAGGAAUUCAAAUAGAGAAAGAAAUGUACUGCUUAUGAUGGAACAAUUGAAGAAAAAUCAUUGGCCAAUAGCAUUUGGAUAUCUAUUGUACGUUAAGUCAUUUGUCUGAAAGAGAAAAUUCAGUGUCAUAAACUGGGAUCAGGCUAAGGUUCCCCCCAUAAACUGUUGUAUUUUUCUUCUAGAUUGUUCAUUAAUCUACAUAUUAGAUUUGGCUUGUGCUGCAAAUGCUGUGUGAAACUUCUACUGUCUUCAAAGAAGUGUUAGUCGGCAGGUUUUGGGGUGGCUGAAUCCUCCUUCAGAAGCAUUAGUUCCAUGGAUUCAUGGUCCCUGGCCAGCAGAGGUCCUUUUCAGUCUAGUGGACUUUAGUGAUUCUGAUUGACAGUUUGGAGGUAAGGUUCAAUGACUUGAAUCUUAGCUUAGAUCUUUACCCAUAGGCAGGAACUGCCGCCACUCGUACUUCGUUUGGCUACUUGAAACAGUGAGUUUCAUCACAUCAUGUUGUAUGACUGGGAUGUCUUGCUGUGGGCAAAGCUUACGUUACAUUACCUGUAUGUUACAGCUAAAAAUUUUUAAACCCUUAGAAAAGAUAAUAAUUAUUGAAAAGGUUAAUAAUUUUUAUAGUUUUACUUUAUACCCUAAGCUGCAGCCCGGUAAUAGAACUGUUAGUCUUUUAAUUUUUUUUUAAGUUCUCCAUUUAUAUUUAUAGCAAAUUUAAUACUAAAUUACUCAAUUUUUUUUCUAUUUUAUUUAAUUGAAUCUCUAACUUGUUUAAUUUUAUAUCUAUUGAGUAUUUAUUGAUUAUAUUAAUGGUCUCUUAUUUUAAUAUAUCAUGAUAAUCAAUAUUGAAGCCUUUUAUGAAUUGUUUAAUUUUAUUAAAUUCUUUACUUAGUUGAUCUCUUAACUUAUUAAUUUAUUUUAUAUUUCCUUCAUUGAAAUUAUUAAUUUCUAAUAUUUUGUUUACCCUUUCUAUAUCAUUUAUAGAUUAAUUUGAGUUUUCUAAUUUAUUUAAUAAAUACAGUGAUAUUUAAUUUAAUUGAUUAUUUCUCCACAUGUUUGAAUCAUUGAUUAGAUCAAAUGGUUGAAAUCUUUCAUUAAAGGUUUUGGUAAUUUAUUCACUGUAACAUCUUUUUAAUAAUUCAUUAGAUUUAUAAUAUAUAUAUCACAUAUAAUAUCUCUUAUAAUUUAAGAUACUAAAUUUAGAUUAAAAAAUCUAUGUGACAUCACUGAUAGUAUGUAUUUAGGAUAAAAAAUAAAUUGAAUGUGUGUGUGUGUGUGUGUGUGUGUUUGUUAGAAGAAAAACCUAGUCUAUGUCUCAAGAGAGAAAAUAAAUUAUAAAUGUAGGUACAAAAAUUUAUUCAGAAUUUGUAAUUUUUAUGAAUAUAAUAAUAAUAAUUUAAAUCUUUAUAAAAAUAUAGUAAAAACUUUAUAAAGUUUUUAAAAUAAUUAUAGAAGAGAUGGAUGAGAAAACCAUUAAUUAUAAAAAAUUAAUGAGGACUUAUUUGAAAAAAUAAGUAAAUAUAUGAUUAGAAAUGAAAUUUUUGAUAAAUAACAAUUACACCUGUACUUUGUUUUAGGUUAAAAUUAUUUUUAUCCAUUAGAUUUAAGAAAUAUCAAAAUCAAUGAUCUAUAUUUAUUGAUUGUUUGUUACAUUAUUUGUAAGGUAAGCUUUGCCCUUGCUGUGACAUCAAUGGAGAAGUGGAGAAAUGAUAUAAUGACGGCAGUUCCUGUGUAUCUGGGAGAGAAAUUUGUGUAUGAUAAGUACUGUGGGUAAUGAUGACGAAUUUUGAAGUGGACCAUCUGAGGGAAAGACUAGUUUGUUCAGCUUUAAUGCGAUAACCCAGUAUUUUGUUACAAUUUUCAUGAUUUCCAUGAUAUUUGAAAAUUUUGUAAUGUUGGAGAAAGUAUUGGGCACGUUUGAAAUUGAAGUGCAUUAGUUUUUAAGUUAAAAUUAUUAUGAAAAAAAAAUUAUAAUUAUAAAAUAAAAGUUAAUAAUAUAUAAUAAAUUUAAAUUUUUCUGCUGUACGGCCAAGGCGGAUGUACGGUACAGCAGAUAAAUUUUAAAUAAUAAUUUUGAUAAAAUUAUUAGAGAUAUAAUAGAUUUUUUAUUAUAUAAAUAUUAACAUAAUUUUUAGUCGUUAGUGUUUAUUAAAUAUUUUAUUGUUGUAAUUUUUAAGUUACGGUUGUUCAACUUCAAUCACAAAUGCACCUUCAAACAUGUAACUAAGGUAGCGUUUGUUUUUUUGUCUAAAAUCAGAAUAUAUUUAAAUUAAUCUGAAUUCUGAAUAGAUCUGAAUGUCUGAAUCUGAAUAAUAUGUUUGUUUUUUUGUCUGAAUUUUAAAAAAUAAGUAUUAAAUUGUUUAUUUUUUUUCAACUUAAAAAGUUGAAAAUAUAUACUUUUACAUUUGUAUCCUUAUUGAAUUUAAAUGUCAAAUAAAUAAUAUAUUAAAUACCAUAAUAUUUUAAUAUUUAUAAAUAAAAUUAUAUUCAAGUGAAUACAUAAUUAUUUUAGAAUUUUAAUAUAUAAAAUACCAUAAAUUUCAAAUUUUAUCGUAUAUAAUAUAAGAAAGAAAAAUAAGGGUAUUUUUAUGUGGAUUAAAUAUUUAUGGGUGAGUUUUGGGAUAGAUAUGAAAAAUAAAUUAUAAAGUAAGAAUAUUUUUAACAUUAAUAAGUAAUUGACUUAAUUCAGAUUUUUUCAUUAAGUAAAAAGUUAAAAAAAUUAGUUUAUUUUAUUAAGUCAACAUUAUCUAAUAAGUCUUAUUAAAUUACAAAAAUAAAUACUUUUAAUUAAUUUAAUUAAUUAAGUUAAAUUAUUUUAAAUUAUUAAAUUAAAAAAUAAACGCACCUAAAUCUAUGAGGAAAAAAAAUAAAAAACCGUGUGAUGCGAUAAAUUGAUUGUAAUAAUAUCAUCAUGUGUUUGGGCUGUUCUUGCCAGCAGCAGGUGUUUAUUUUGUCAAAAACAUGGCGGGCGUAAGAUUACGACUUUUAUUAGGAACGAGUACGGCACUUUUUAUAUUGGGCAGAAAUAAAGUGAAGCCGUAAUUGUCAAAUUUUAUACACAAUUUUUUUCUUGCGUUUUGGUUUUUUUUUUUUUUUUUAAUAAGCCACUUAGGAUUAAUAAAAUCGUAGAAAAUGGUAUUAUUUAGAUUUUAAAAUAUCAGAUGAGCUGAAGAAUACAUUCCAAAGUUGAAAAGCCUCAGCGGCUGCGGCAAACGAUAGCGCCGCUAAAAAUUGUACGCCGACGCAGAAUCUUGCACUAGAUUUACAAUCUGCUACGAGAGAGUUGAGAUUGAGGCUGGAAUUUGUCCCAUUAAGAUUAAGUUCAAGUUGCGAAGCAGAACCCCUAGGAAGUAGGAAACCUGCGUAAACAUCUACCUGGAGUGAGUGAGUGAGUGAAAGAGAGAGAUUAAUAUUUAUAUAUAUACAUUAAAUUUUUUUAACUGUUGUCGGUAUUAUAUUGUAUUAUUGCCGACUGAAUCUCCAAGUUGGCCAGUUGAUCAUACUGUUGAUCAAACUUACUAUUCAAAAUUAUAAUAAUAAUCGCAAUCCUUUUGUUUUAUUUUUCGGUUUGGAGGGAGCAGGGGUGCUCUCAGAAUGCACCGUUCUUUUCAUUCACUAAUCAAUCAAUUAUUUGUCCACAUGAUAUGAUACCAUUGUAGUUCACUUCCUUACUUUAUGUAUUAUUGCAAGAACUAAACUCAAAGAAAAAUAAAUAUAUAAAUUUUAAUACUAACUACAUCGCAUUAAAAUAUGUCUUUUUAUUCUUUAAAUAAAAAAGGAUCUCUUAUUUAAAAAAUUAGUCAGAUACUAUCUAUCUAAUUUUAUUUAUGUUUAUUCGAUUACAAUUACGCUUUCAAAAAAAAAAAAAAAAUUGGUGCCGUUCUUAACAAUGACUCACGACUUCAAAAAUUCUAAAAGAAGUGAUUCAAAGAAAUUGAUCGUGGGGGAUUUUGUAUUCAAGCUUUUCCAAGAGGCUAAAGUCAAUAAUUAUCAAGCUUUAAUUUUAAUAAUUAUGUCAAUUAUCAAACCGAUCCCCACUAUGAAUUAGACACAUAUUCAAAAUGAUGUUCGUGGCGGAGGCACUAACAAUUGUUGAAUUGAAUGGUACAUGUGGUGCCACUCAAAAGUUUACAAUUAAUCAGGUGAUUAAGAAAGAGAACCAAAUGGGAAAAAAAAAAUACGAAGUAAUCAGGAUUCUAAUAAUUGCAAAAUUUGCUAUUUCCAGUCCACUACAUGGUAAGGUGAUUGCGUGGACGGAAAGAAAGUCACACUCAAAACCCCCCAUCCAUUCAUCCACCACCGACCCACCUCUCUCUUACCUCACCCUAACUUUGGUUCCACUUGUCAACAAACCAAACUCAUCGCUAUCAAUCUCAUCCAUCCAAACAAAUCAAACUAAAUCAACUAACUAUUAUCCUAUUUCUCAAGUUUGACAGACCAAACCCAGGAUUUAAAAAAAAAGAAAAAAAAAAAAAACAGUCUUCUUAUUAAAAAUAAAAGAGGUUAAUUAAUUCUCCUUUCGUUGGCGUACUUGGACGUGUUACCAUCCACGUCGGCACUCACAUGCCCUCCAGCCGCUGUGUCUGUUCGUAUCAAAACAUUGUGCUACAAAAAUUCCUUUUUUUAAAAAAAAAAACUAUAUAUAUAUAUAUAUUUACACGGGUAUAUAUCUACCAUAAAACAACGCUGUUUUAUUAUUUGUUAUGGUGAUUACCUACCUCCAACCCUUAUGUGGAAGAAUUUUACUCUCAAGAUUUGUAUUACUAAUCUGCUUCAUUACUCUGAUUUUAUGAUAUAAUAUUAUCUAAAAUUUGAGAUGGUCAAUUAAAGUAUGUACUAAAUAGCCUUUUUAUGGAUAAAAAUUUCCCAUAAGAGCAUAAUAGUUUUAAAUUAUUAAUUUUAAAUUUUUAUUAUGUUACAUAAUCAUAUAACAUACAUAAUUAUGUAAGCGCCGUUGAAUUUUUAUUUAAUAAUUAUAAAAAUAACAUAAAUUUAUUAUUUAAUAUUUUUAUAACCAUUGAAUAAAAAUCCUAACAUAACAAUCUCUCAUUUUAUGAUUUGGAGCAGCUGAUGGAUUGUGUCGGCCAAAUUUGGAUUUAUCUUAAAGGAAGAUCAACGUGGCGGCGUGCUCAGACGACAGACAAGCUAGCAGCCAAGUGGGAAGCUAAUGCUUCUUCGCCUCUUUUCCUUCUUUUUCUAUAUAAUUUAAUUUAAUUAUAUGUAUAUAAUAAGCAUCCUCACAGCUAUAUCAUGUAUCAUAUGAAUUCACAUAUAUAAGUGACUUGUACAGCAUCUGCGGCAAUAAAAGUGGAGUCGUCUUAAUUAUUUUUGGGUUGGGCAUCGGUAUGUGUCCCUCAGAACUCACAACAAGAAGAAAACUUUGAUUAAUUAUCUACGAAAACGACAUGGAAGGAGGCGGGUGCUGCAGCACUUCGACUUCAACGAAAAGCCCAGAGAAGCGGAAGCCAAGGCAGCAGCGGCAACACCAACAGCAGCAGGAAAAGCCGUACAAGGGGAUAAGGAUGAGGAAGUGGGGGAAGUGGGUCGCUGAAAUUAGAGAGCCUAACAAGAGAUCCAGAAUCUGGCUUGGUUCUUACACCACGCCUAUAGCCGCCGCACGUGCCUACGACACGGCCGUCUUCUAUCUCCGGGGCCCUUCCGCUCGUCUUAACUUCCCCGAAUUGAUUUUCCAAGAAGACGAUCUUCGAGACGUUUCUGCCGCUUCAAUACGCAAGAAAGCUACCGAAGUUGGCGCUAAGGUCGACGCUUUACAAGCUGCUCUCCAUGCUGGUAAUUCAGAAUCUGAAUCCAAUACCAAUUCCAAUUCCAAUUCCAAUUCUAUUCGAUUGUCCGAGAAGCCUGAUUUAAACAAGUUUCCAGAGAGUUCUGAUGAAGAUUGAUAACACAAAAUACUUGCAAGCUCACAAUUACCUACCCUAGCCUUUCCACGUUUACGUACUGUUUUAUUCCCAUCAUCAGUUUCAACUUUGAAAACGUACGGAAUCACAAGGAUUCUGUUUCAUAUAUUUAUAUUAUAUAUAGGUCGAUCUUCUUACUUAGUAUGUAACACGUACGGCUGUUAUUUAGUUGAUUAGUUAUGGUCUUAAUUUUUUAGUAAACUUAAUUGUUCGUUUUUCGUGUUUUUCCUUUUUUCUAAAGAAAAAUUUAUUUAUGAAUGAACAUGUAAUAAAGCCUGGGAAAAUUAUUGAAUGAAAUAGGAGGAGGGAACUGAGAUGAAUGAUCAAGAAUUUUGUAUUGGUCUUACUCAUAGUUUUGUUUUGGCUGCCAAACCCGGAAAAAGAAAGAAAAAGAUUGUAGAUAUAAAGAUAGGGCUAGCAAUAGUGACGUUGCUUAUGAGCCCCUAUGACUUGCGCUGUGGCCUUGUGCUGAUCCUCACUCCUGAUGAUCGAUAAGCCUAAAUUGUCACCCUCGCGAAUAUGGUGGGAGCUUACGUGAACGGUCGCUUCCUGGAGGUUGAUGGGUGAUCAAAUGUGGGCGGUGAGUGUUUCUUCUGUUUCUUCAUUUAGUUUUCAAUUAAUUAUAUCAAAGUAUAUAUAUAUAUAUAUAUAUAUAUAUGGUUAUUUUUAUCAGUUUUGCUAGUCAAAAUAUUUUAAGCAAGGCUUCUUCACCUGUUAUCUGUUUGGGGACCGACUAUGUAAAACAUGUUAAUUUAUUAUCAUUUUUCUUUUUCCGUUUCUUUGCAUGCGGCCGUUUGCUUGCAAUUUGUAGGGACCAAAAAAAAAAAAAAAAAUGUAGCUGCCCAACUGUCCUCCAAUUAAAAAAAAAAAAGAGAGAGAGAGAGAGAGAGAGAGAGAGAGAGAAUUGACCUAAUUACUUGUUUGAUUUAUAAAUUAUCAGCCAACGAUGUUAAUGGAUCUUCCGGUCCUACUCGAUGUAUCUGUCUUGAAGAUUUGAUUAGCUACUUGCCAGUAGCUUAUGGAUGUGUUCGGUUGGCUAUUGUGAUCUUUUGUUUAACUAGAUUGCAAAUAAUUGUGCAAGCUCCGGCUUGGCUCUUCCAAGUGAAACUACUACUUUUUCAAUUUUUUAAAUAUUGAGGCCAUAUGUGCAUAUACAUAAGAUCCUUUAGACUUCAUUUUGUAUUAAUUAUAUAAUUAAAUUAUUCAUCUUUCGACCAAAAUAAAUGUAUAAAGCAAACGGAAACAAUGUAUUAAGAAUUAUGAUAUACGAAUGGAACCAGCAACACUAAAGUUUUACUUACAUAUUUUUUACAUUUUCACAUCACAACUCAUUAAUGUGAAAAGCUUUUCUUUUUCUUGUUUGGUAUAAUAUCGUAUGAUGAAUAAUGUAUAAACAGUUUUGAGGAGUAUUCUCUUUCUAAUAUAAGAUUUUCCUCAUCGAAAUUUAAAUUCCUCUUUUAAUAAAUCUUACUCAUAUAUUUUUGAACUCAAAAUUUUUAAUAUCUCAUCAUAACUCAAAUCAUAAGAAAAUUCUUAUUCCUUUAAAUUUUUAAGACACAAUAAGAUCAUUUUUAUCUCAAACUUGAAAGUACAAUUAAGACUAUUUUCUAGAACGUACAUGUGAUUGAUUACUGAAGGUGUUGAAUUUUUUUUACCUUCACACGUAUUUGUAGUUUGUGGAGAACUUGUCACGAUCAUUGACCUGGAAUCUGACGAGGUGAGUACCUGAAAAAGGCACUUUGACGUCCAAUUUAGUGUUUAAUCAAGAUUAAAGAAUGAAGAAAGAUGGAGAAUGUGAGUUUCUCUCUCUAAGUUUGAAUAAUACUUUUGGAGGUCAAAAACCAUUUUCUCUUAGAGACGAGUCUCUAUUUAUAGAUGAUAAGUGAUGUGGAUUUAGGAUUUUACUUUGAACCCUCAACCUAAUAACAUGUGUCCCUCGCCGUUUUUGUACUCGUGGAAGUAAAUUUGGUCGUAGGAAAUUAUUCCACAUGUGCAUAUUUUCCUGUCAUUAUAACCUUUGGCCGUAAUUUCCCUAGACCAAUGGGUUGAGGAAAUAAUUCCUCCUCUUACAUCUUUAUGAGCUACGAAAGAAUUUUUUUCUUGGAUACUAUUCCCCCAGAAUAGUUGGAGUGUUAUCACUCUAGAAUAGCUUCUUUUAUCUUAAAAGAUAGACAAAUGGCAUUGUUUGGUGCCUUUGAAAUAUGGCACUUACACUACUCCCUCCGCAAGUGUAUUUUCUUUAGAAAAUACUUUGAUUGACAUACGAAGUUCUGACUUUUGUUUUAUUGAGCACGUGGCCUUUUUGAAGAACUAUGCCUUGGGCGUUUGAAUAUAUUUUGAGAGGAAUAUAUUAAUGAACUUUUCUUUUUGUUGAUUUAGGAAAAAGGUGAACUAUUUCCUCUGAACUCAAGUUCCUAUAUGAAAUGUUAACUCUUUGAAUUUUUCCUCUAAACUGAAGUUUUAGAAGGAAAUGAUAGUUUUUCUUUGAGAUUUUCCCUUUAACCGAAGUUCCAGGAGGAAUUGUGAUUGUUCUUUAAAUUAAUGUAAUCAAAUCCACUAAAUUUUCCCUUUGAACUGAAGCUUCAAGAGGAAAUGUCAGUUUCCUCGAUUUUUUUUUUCUAGCCAUUCUAGUUAGUUCAGAAAUGGUUUAUGAUUGUUCUCCCCACAGACGGUGCCAAUGAAGGUGUUGGAUUUUUUUACCUUCACACAUAUUUGUAGUUUGUAAAGAAUUUGUCAUGAUUGUUGGCCUCGAAUCCGACGGGGUGAGUAUAUGAAAAAGGCAUUCCAAUGCCCAAAUUAGUGCUUAAUCAAGAUUAAAUAAAGAAGAAAGAUGGAGAAGAUAGGUUUCUCUCUCUACGAAUGAACAGUGCUUUUGGAGGCUAAAGACUCUUUUCUCUUAGAGAUGAGUCUUUAUUUAUAGAUGAUGAGUGAUGUGAAUUUAGAGUUUUGCUUUGAACCCUCAAUCUAAUAACAUGUGUCACCCGUCAUUUAUGUACACGUGGAAGUGAAUUUGAUCAUAGGAAAUUAUUCCACAUGUGUGUAUUUUAAUGUCAUUUUAACCUUUGAGCGUGAUUUUCCUAGACCAAUGGAUUGAGAAAAUAAUUCCCUCUCUUGCCAUCUUAUGAGCUCCAAAAGAAUUUUUUCUCAAGUGUUAUUCUCCCGGAAUAGCUGGAAUGUUAUUGCCUUGAAAUAUCUUUUUUUAUCUAAAAAGAUAGACACGUGGCAUUUUUUGGUGCCUUUGAAAUAUGGCAUCUACAAUUACGUAGAAAUUAAACAAACAAAAUUUCAACUAAACCUUUGCAGAGAAAGUCAAAGCCGCAUCAUGUAGCUUAAUCUCUCUCUUAAUUGGAAAGAAAACAGAUAAUUAUGGAUCGUAUAGAUCAGUUACAGAAGGAAAGAACUUAUAACCCAGUUCUAAAAAUAUCAAUAGUACCAGAGAAAGUACGUACUUUUUCCAAUUUAGCCCGCCAUAAUGAUUUAUUACUCUCGUUUUACAUACUCAAAACAAUUAAUUUCUGAUUAAAUGCAAAUUGAAACUCUAAUAAUAUACAAGCCAACUGGUUGUCGCAACUAUUAGGUUGUCAACUUCGGACUAAGCUAGCUUAGGUCGGUUUAAUUGGUAUUAUGGUGCCGACAGUAAAGUAGCUCGGGUAGUGCUAAGUUACAUAAUUUGUAACUUAUACAGCAAACUCAGGUACAGUUAUUUAUGAUCUCGCAAUCGUUUCACUUUCAUAUGUUGUCAUUUUUUUAAGUUGGAUGACUGCUUUUUAGUUGCUGCAAUAUCAGUCUUUUAUUUAACAAUUGUAGUACAAAAUUACUUUAACUUCUACGCCAUAGUCAUGCUAGAGCAGCUAAACAAAAAACACCAAAGGGAGCCUUAAAUUAUUAUAUGCACUAACGGCAUCUUUCUCCAUCCACUUUAAUGCCGAAUACAAGAGGAUUUUUCUUAUGAAUUUUAUUAAAAAAUAAUGCUAGAUUUCAUAAAUAAAUAAUAUAUAUCCCAGAAGAUUGAGACCAAACCAUGUUGCUGCUGAUUUGUGACUCCCACAUUCUUUAAGUUACUAAGUUUUAUUAAUAAAUUAAGUUAUGCGAUAAUUACAAAUCAACUUGAGAUAUUAUUUGACUCAUUUCUUCAAUGAUGUGAGGUAGUAGUUAUAUAUAUAUAUAUAUUUAAUAGAUCAAAUAAUAAAAUAUAGAAUUCAUUCAGAAAUUAUAUGUUCUAUUGCCCACAUAAUUAUAAGAUUGACUCUUCAAAGCGCCAACAACUCUCCACUAGGGAUGGCAAUGGGUACUGUCCACAGUGGGUUUGUCAUUACCAAACACAAAUUCGCACAAAAUUUAAAUUACCAAACUCAUCCGCAACCUGCAGCAGGUUUUAAUUUUUUUUAAAAAAUCCACCCGCUGUGGGUUUUGACAGUUACCAAACCCGCAAUGGUAUCCGUCGGAUUUUUUGUGGAUUUGUACAUUUAAAAUCACAAAUGUUCAAUAUAUAAAUUUACAAUAAUAACUUCAAAUUUCACAUAACAUACUCAAUUAAAUUUAACCAAUGUAAAUAAAAAAUUAAAAUUUCAACAUCAAUCCAGCAUAAAUUCUCAAAUUUAAGUGUAAAAUACACAAAUCCAUUAAAAAAAAUUAAAAACUAGAAUCUAAAAAUAUCAAUUACAUUUCAUAUUAUCAUUCAACACAAAUUCCAAGAAAAGAUCUUCAUUUUAUUCACCACCAUUAGCACCCAUCCAAUAUGAUGCCUACAAUAAUGAUUUAGAUUAAUAUUUUCCAAAGAAUAAUACUUUUCAAAUAUUAAUCUGAAGAAAAAAAUUAUAAUAAUGAAAUAAUUCACGCAUUAAGUUAAAGAAAAAUAGUCCAUAAAAACUUAUAAUAAGUAUAUAAUAAUUCAUGAAUUAAGUUAAAUAAACUUAGUUCCUUAUCUCAUCAACAAUAUAUUCAUUUUUAGAGAAUUUUCUAUUUCCUACUUUAUUAGAAGAUUAUGCAUCUACAAGUAAUAACUAUAUCAAGAAAAAAGAUAGAUGAUUAUAAGUUUGUAAUAUAUAACAUAUAUUCUAUUGUAUUGAAGUAAAAAUACAUUUUCAUACCAUUAAAUUCAGCACACAACUAAUUUUGAGCACACAGUAAAGCCUCCAACGUCUUUGGAUGAAGUCUAUUACGAUGUUAUUUGGCACUUUGCAUAAUUAUAUUAUUUUCUUUGUAUAUUUUUUAGAUUUAAAUAUUUUUCAAUUAAAAAUAUUUAAAUAAAUAUUGCGGGUCUAACGGAUAUCCGCCGAAUAUUAGACUAAUACCAAACUUACCCACAUUCAAGUGCGGGUUUCAAUUUGUAAUAUCAAAUCCGCCCGCAACUCGUAAAAUUAUCCAUAACGAACGAGUUUUGAUAGGCGGAUUUGGGCAAGUUUGCUGAUUUGCGGGCACAAUUGCCAUCUCUACUCUCCACUCAGGAAGCAUUAUGGGAGUGCACAAAACGACCAAUUGGAUUAAUUGGGCUACAAGAUCACGAUUCGUUCAUUGGGGUCCAACACGAAGCCCAAGCCUACUUUUGACAUGUGGACCAGCCCAAAACGCCAAACUUCUUUUUAUUUUCUCUGGAAGAAUAGUACAUAUUCUUUUAUUUUCUUUUCCUUUUUUGGGGGGAAAUAAAGGUCAGCAGUGGCAAGGAUAGUAAAACUAGGUCUAAACAUACAGAGAGAAAAUAAACAGAUUGAUUUUCAUUUUUUCUCUUUGAAAUGAGUUAUAGAGGUAAUGUAAUCGGUAAAGGCUUUGAUUCCAGAAGUAAUAAAGGUCUUUAUAAAGUAAUUGAUUUUUAUCCCUUCUAAAGGUAGCAUUUGGUAUUCAUCUUAAUUUAUCUGAUUCAUAUAUAUGGCUUUGCAAGACCUUUAUAAAGGCUUGAGAUUUGUUCAAUCAAUCAAAGAAUGAUUAAAAAUCCUCAAAAAGUGGAUUCAAAUUACUCUCUUAAAAAAUAUACCCCCUCUCAGACACAAAUACAGGCAAAUAUAUACAUUAAAAAAUUCAAAUGCCGGUAUCCCAUUUUUAUAGACCACGAACUCAUGACGUAAACAAUUAUUAAAAUACAGGGAAAAAAAUAACAAAAUUUUUUUCUUUUAAAUAUUUUUAUGUCUUUUUAUUUUAUUUUAUAAUAAUUGUGUUUGUUUAAGAAUUGGACCAAUUUAUGUCUGCAAGAGAAAGGAGAUGUAAAAGAACUUUCUGAGUUAAGAAAAUUGGACCAACAACCCAAAUAUCUACCGUCAGAUGAUAAGCGUCGCCCUCACGCAUGCGAUAUCUUUUGGCGGGAAGUUGAAUGCUUGAGCUGGUGGCAUAUAACAUAAUGUAGUGAAUAGACGUGGGCAUUUUGGCUCCCGGAUCAAUGAAAAUGGUGGAUGAUUUUAACGCACUACACAAAAAGGACGAUUGAUUUAUGCUUUAUGGAAUGCCAAUUCUAAUGUUGAGGAGAAGAAGACGACGAUAAAAGAGAUGUUAGACUUUAAGAGGAGUCAAGAUAUGAUUUAACUCUUCGAGUUUGUGCAAGCACCACAAGGAGGUUAAAAUAUUAACAUGGGAGAAAAAUAUUGGGAAAAAAAAAAAAAGCUAAAGAAGAAGUAUAAAGAAAUAUUAACAUGGGAGAAAAAUAUUGGGACCACAAGGAGGUUAAAAUAUUAACAUGGGAGAAAAAUAUUGGGAAAAAAAAAAAAAGCUAAAGAAGAAGUAUAAAGACACAGAGAGAGAAAGAAAAAAUGAAAAAAAGUUUAGUAAAUAGUGAAGGAUCUUUCAGUGCCAUCAAUUCAAUUAAAUGUGUUUGGACUGUCAUCCAUUUACUCUUAGAGCAAAAUCGCUUUCCCUGCACAUUUGCAGCCACUUUUGCUUACAAGACAGGACAAUUUUCUCACCAUGCGAUCAUGCUCCCCGUCUAUUCUUUUUCCUUUUCUUCCCUCUUUCUCGAGAGAAAAAGGAAAAGGAGGUUUAAAAAGCAAAGAGAAUUACACUGUAGAACCAUAAAGUCAUGAGCUAAGUGUUCAUAAAGAUGCCCCAUCUAAAUCUAAUUGCGAAUAUAUUUCAAUCAAAACAAUGAUGCCUACCCGCAUUCACUUUAUUUUUGGAGAUUAAAGGCUCAGUAACUAUAGCAUCAACAAUCACUUUCUAUCAAUUUCCAAACUAAAAAGGUUUCCAAGCAAAACGAAAAACUAGAGUAUAGAAAUAUAAAGUAGCCAUUAGCAAAAGUGGGUGAAGAUGACCCUUCUUCAUCUAUGAUAUCUAUUAAUUAUAUUUAUGAUUCUUUUAAGUAAUGAUAUUUGAUGCGUGGCAAUAGCCAAAUGUCAUAACCGACAUGUUAGCAAAUGGUCCAACCCCUAGCUAGAUGAAGUCGAAACUUCAAACACAAAAUUUAUUUGCAUUUAUUGGUAAGAGAUUUCAUUUUGCUUGGCAAUCGAUGAAGUCUCUGCAUAUUGAUUCCUGCAAUAACUUAGAACGGUUUAAGCCUACAGGCUCUAAAGGCCAAGGGAAACAUUAUUUUGGCCGCUUAAUCUACACAAAUUAGUUUUGAAUAUGUAAGAGCUAACAGUUCAAAUUGACACGGUGUUAUGAAAACUUUUAGGUAUAUAUCAUAAUAAGACAUUCCAUUUUAUAAUUUAUACUGAUAAAAAAGAAUAGUCCCAAGGUUUUGGCUGAGUUCCGUUUAAGGUUUUUUUUUUUUUUAAAUAAAUUUUUGCCGACCACAUAUAUUUGAAUCUUCGGGAAGAAAAGGGCCAAAAAAAAAAAAAAAUUUGAACUUUGUCUAUUUCUUUUUUUAUUUUUCAAUAUUAUAUUCAAUUAAAAUUCAAUACAACUCAACCCAUUUAAACAUACAAUCAACCUAAUAUAGUAAGAAUGAACAAAAUGUCAAAUAUCCCGUCUGCGUAAAAAUAUAUAGUACUCCUUUAAAACCCUAACAACAUAGGAACAGAUAACUAAUUUGUGUUUAAUUUAAAGCGCAGAAUCUCCCCAUGAACAAAUUAAUAUAUUUACACUGAAAUUGGAUCAACUAAGUGGAUUUACACCAAUUAAAACGUACUAGUAACCUUUCUUAAUUAGUUGGAAAUACAAGUCAAUGAAGUCUGAGCCCUCUUUCAAUCUCUAAAGAGUCGAGGAUAUUGAAGAUGUGCAUGCAUGUUAAUUGUUAAGGUUUAAAAGCUACAUGUCGUUUUGUUAAUGUAUAAUGAUAGUGGUACUGCUAAUCAUGGACUGAUGGACUGGUGGUGUGGUCCAUUGACACGUGCAAAUGAUGACAAUGUCGUCCCUAAUGAUGGAUUCCCACCGUUUCUUCCACUGUGUGGGUUCCACUCCUAUCAUGCAAAGUCACCUUUAUCUUUGACCGAAGGAAAAAAGAAUAAAAAUUACCCAUUUUCACUUUCAUAUCUUAAACCAGCGAAAUUUGCUUCAAUUUUUCAUGCAUAUGUUCAUCUCCAUAAAUAGAGCCAAAUCAUGCUUUAACAAGUGUCCAACUUACAGUCAUGGUUUCAACGUUGGCUUUUCCUAACCAGCGACGUGGCAUUUCAUGAUCGGUCAGUCAUCAUUCAGUCUCUCCAACUACUUCAGUCUCUUCAUGUUGAGUGGCUGUGAUUCAAUGUAGAAUUCUGGACGAGCACCUGAAUUUUGCAGCUGUUUUUGUUGAAUGAUCAUAGCUGCAGGACCCACUUACAUUUUCUUGUAACUUAUCGAUUGAUCAUCACUCAUAUCAGAAGGAUAAACAAACCAUUCGAUGCUUAAUUGACAUCAUCUUAGAUUCGGUUCGUGGGCGCUCAUCACUUUAUCUUAGAACAAUAAUUAAUGUGACAUGAUUUAAUAAUAAAUAAUUGAGACAACUGUCCCAACACCAGCAAUCGGAAAUCCCGAUGGUUCUCGAUCGAAUAUAUACUUCUUUUACUGAGUGUUUCUAGUUAACUGCAGGGGGUUCAUUUGUAGUUGCAGCUAGCUAUUCCAUAAUCAGCUGCUUUCAUAGCUGUGGACCGGAAGUAGUUAACAGAUAAAAGGGGUGAUGUGCAUGAUUGCGCCAAUUCAUUGGAUAAGUAACUGGAAACAAAUUAAAUUAACUUAGGUUAGGUGCGAAAUAAUGAGUGCCUACGCAAAUAGGAAUGAGAGAUUAUCAUUGAUUUAGGAAAAUUUGUCGUGAUUGAAGGUGUAAUCAGUUGUGGGAUUUGCUUACGUGAGGCCAAGAACAUGGAUUCAAGCACAUAAUCUUAGUUGUCAAAAUUGAUAUCAUUAUCCCACACAUUGUCUUCAAGCUAGAAUGACACCUGGCCAAUAGGAUUUGAACUUGAACGGCUCACUUUUUUGAAAUAAUCUCUCCCUUUCGAGGGAAUAGCUAGGGUUUUUUUUUUUUUUUUUCACCAUGCAAUGCAACCGUUUUACUUGGCACGUAUAUGCUGCUACCGUAACUGUAGAAUAGUAAAAUUCCUUGUUAAAGAAGCAAUGAUUGACAGGUAUCGUAUCUAUACAGUGUUGAAAGUAUAAUGAUCAAAGAAAUGGAUUCAUCGAAUGAGACAUUUCUUGUACAAGGUAUAAAGUUAAAAGGAUAAGGUGAAGAGCGAGUCCAAAUGAGUCCAAGUAAUCACGAUAAGGUAAAUCCCAUGACGAGUUAAGAAUGAGCUGUUCAGCAAAUAAACAUGGCAACUUUGUCAAUGUCAAGAUCCUCAUUCUACUGCAUUACCAGUCUUUGGUCGGAAGAGAAGGAGAAAAAUGUCACAUCAAGCCAGCGACCAAAUCUCUAAAGCUUGAAUUCUUGUACAAUAUAUAUCUAAGGAAAGAUAUAAUAUCAGAUGCAUGAAAGUUUCACCAUAGCGGUGGGAUGCUGUUAGAAUUUGUAGCUACAUUCACAUUUAGAAUGUUUUCUAAUUAUGACUUCGGGCGGAAUUACUCUUACUGGCCUAUUUUCCUUCUGCACUAUUCGCCGAACGUGCGAUCGAGAGUUAAAAACCCUGACAUAUAAUAAUUGAUGUUACGAAGAAGAAGUUACAGUUAGCAACUGCAGAUGUUUGUAUAAUUGAAGCACAUGCGUUUGUUUUUUAUGUUUCACUUCAUGUGCCCCAAUCACACGUGCUAAUGUGCAAUCACUCAAACGACUGUCCGUGAUUGCAGUCAUCAGUCCCCCACUUUGAAUGAUUCCAAAUUUAUUCAAAACUCAUCAUACAAAUUGGAACAUGGAAUCAUUACUUACUCACACACACGUAAAAUUUAUACGUUUGCUUAACAUAUUACAUAAUUUGAGUUGCAAUGUGUACGUACGGUGGCAUGUUAGGUACAAGACCCAAGAUAUUAGUAAUUUCUUUAAUUAUAAAUAAAAACUGAGGGAACGAAAAGAAAGAAAAGUGGGAUUUGGAAAUUUUUGAGUUUAGGAAUAAAUUGGAGCUACAGUUUCCAAAGAAGAGGAUUGUGAUUGCGGAUAUGGCAUGCACCCAAAGUAGAUUUUGUUCAAAUGUGUGUGGUUUUUUCAACAUUCUCUACCAAUUAAAGACGACGGCUUUCACUACUUUCUCUAAUAAAUAUCCGUAUCCAGAAAAGCAAAGAGUUGCAUUUUCAAGUGUUGGGAUUGGAGUAAUCCUUUUUUAUUCCUCUCCCUCUCCUCACUUUAUGAAAAAUAAAAAUAAAAACAAAAAUAAAGUUUGAGAGAGAGCACCGAAAAGCAUAGACACCUUAUCAUGAAAGCAAGAAAAAAACGACCCGAUUAGACGGGGCCAGCCCACACGCAUAUACAUGUAACACAAUCACUCACUCACUCACACAACCACACGCUCAUUUACAAUUGUGAAAUUAUUUCUAAUUCUACUGCUUUCAUCAUCGCUCACUCUCUAUAAUUACGUGUCUCUUUACUUUUCACCUUUUUCUUUAUCACUCAUCUAAAGUUAAUUAAAUGGAAAUUAAAACUCAAGUCAACCUCUCCUCAUCAUUUGGUCUUGGUUCUUUUAAGCACCACCUCAUGUCCACUUUCUUCACUUUUAACUCUCAUUCAUCUGGCUAUAUAAUAAGCGCACUCUCUCUAGCAUUCAACCCUCCACCAUGGGAAGCAUGAAGGUUCAUCAAUUGGCACGUGGAUUCUGGGAGCAUGCAGAGCCCUCUCUCACGCUUGGCUGUAAACGGUUACGCCCUCUUGCUCCCAAGCUCCCCAACGCAGAAAGUACUAGUGUCUCUUCUUUCGAUCUCAAGAGCUUCAUUAGACCCGAAAGUGGUCCUAGAAAACUUGUGUCUUCUGACGAGAAGAGAAAUCCCCCUCAGGUUGUCUGUCACUCACUCUAAAUAUCUUAAAUUAACCAUACAUUGUUAGCUGUAAUAAUGGUGGUUAAUAAAUUAAUUUAUAAAGUAGAUAUAAAUUUGAUGAUGCAUGCAGGUGGAGACGCAUCCGGGAGGCACAAGGUGGAAUCCAACGCAGGAGCAGAUAGGGAUACUGGAGAUGCUGUACAGGGGAGGAAUGCGAACACCGAAUGCCCAACAAAUAGAACAAAUCACAGCGCAGCUGGGCAAGUAUGGGAAGAUAGAAGGAAAGAACGUGUUCUACUGGUUUCAAAACCACAAAGCACGCGAGAGACAAAAGCAGAAGCGCAACAGUCUUGGUCUUAGCCAUUGUCCGAGAACCCCAGCAGCCACCGCAAGUUUUACCACCACCAUAUCUCUGGACUCUAGGGUAUAUACAUGUACCAUUAUUAGUUUCAAAUAUAUACGUUUAUUGAAUAAAACCAUAAAUUAUCUAAAUUUGAUAUAUAGGAAAGAGAGGAAGAGUCUAGCCCAUACAAGAGGAAGUGCAUGAACUGGACAUUUGAAUGCUUGGAAGAAGAAAGCAGGUCGUGCAAAGAGGAUCAAGGAGAUAGAACUCUGGAGCUCUUCCCUUUGCACCCGGAAGGCAGAUGAAGGGGGUUUGAUGAGUAAUUAAUUGAGAAAAAUUAAACUUUCGUUGAACUUUGUUCCAUUAUUAAUUUUGUGAUGGUGCUAGCUACAGCUAGCUAGCUACUUUGAUGUGCUUUUCUUUCUUUCUUUUGUAUGGGGGAAGAAGAAAGACAAGUUGUCUCUUUGUAGUACUAUCUCUAUCUCUCUACUGAUCUAUGAUUCCUGACUUUAAAAACCAAAGCGGUUUGUUAUUCUCUCUCUCCCUCUCUCUCUCUCUCUCUCUCUCUUUCUCUGGUGGGUCGUGGGUGUGAAAUAUCAUGUGAUGCUUUUGACUACAGGAGCUUGAUGAAAUAAAGCUUUUAGGUUAAAAGCAGAUAACUUAUAGACACUGAAGUCCACGCACCUACUUCUUCUUCCUUAAGCCUGCCCUUUCAUGUUUCAAGUUCAAAUGGGAAAAGAGCAUAAGAUAUUGCGCUACUGAGAUGACUUUCAUAAAGUAGCUAGCAUAUCAACUGUUACGAGACAUGCAAUUUCAUUUUUCUUCUCUUUCGGAUUGACAUGCAAUUUUUUAAGGACAAAAAAAAGAAAAAUGGUCCAGUGUGAGGUGGGACCGUUGAUCAUCAGUAGUUCCAAUUAAAAGUUUUCGGAGGGAAAGACUGAUUGAUCGAUGAAUAUUUUUAAAAUGAUAACUAACAAGAAUGGCUAGUAGAACGUUGAACUUUUAUCUUGAAUUUUGAAUCACAUUGGAACUCCCAGUUCUUCAUACCCACAUUUUAAUUCUCGCCAAAGUCAAGCGAACUUUUAACAAGAUAUAAUAAUUGAACAAAAUAUUUUUUUCUGGAAUAUAUAGUAGGAAAGAAAUAUAUUCAAUAUCUGAGAAUUACGUACGAGUAAUUAGGAAAAAAAAAAACAUUGAUUUACGUGAUAUAACAAUUAAUUAAUUGGAUUUCUCCUAAUCCGUGCUGUCUUGAUCAUUUUAAAAAUAUUGUGUAAUAUCACUUAUAUGCAUUUUUAACAAUGUACAUACAAGAUCUAACCAAGAUCAUUACGAAAAAACUCACUGUCUUUAUUUUAUAAAUGCUUAUUAAUUUAUCUAUGUAGUUAUUAGAAGAGUGAAAAAAUAAGCCUCCUUAGAAAAAAAAUUUUGAAUAAAAAUAAGUUUAUAUUAUUUUUUAUCAAAUUUUUUCCUCCACUUAAAAAAAAAAUUAUAACAACUCUCUCUUUAAUAUGAAUGAGACAAAAAUAACACAAUAGUAAUUGAAUAAGGGAGUCAUUCUUCAAAAUUUAAGAGGGAGAAGAAUAAUCUAUUUGAAAAAUCUCGUUUAUGGAAUAUUUUAAAACAUUUAUUGCUGAUAUGGCUUCUCAAAUGAAGUGGAGAUAUUUUUACAUAUAUAUUCUUAUUAUGUAUCUAUCAAUCAUUAGCUCGUAAAAAUAUUAACACGAAGCUUAUAUCAUCACUAAUCCAAGUCCAAUAAUGAAAUGUGCAUCUCUUGGAUUGGUCUCUCAUAGUAAGGGCUCAUUUGGAAUUACAUUUUGGGUGGUUUAAAAUUAAUUUUGAAUAGUUAAAGUUAAUUUUAGUGUUUGGUAAAUUUGUUUAAAAAUCACUUUAGGUAAAAUCAUCUCAUCUUAUAAUAGAUUUUAAAAAAAAUAAGAAAGUAGCAGCUUUUCAAAAUCUAAUUUUAUAAUUAAUUUUGUAUUUAAUACAAUUCCACCUACAUCUUUUUAUGUAUUAUAAAAUUACUAAUUUUAAGAGAUUACUAUUAAUAUAACCAAUUAUACUGGGUUAACAAAAUAAAAAAUAAAAUUAAUAAUAAAAAAUAUGUAUUCUAGUUAUCAGUUAUAAUAUGUGCAUAAUAAAAAAUAUUUUAUAUACAUGUUUAUAAUGUGUAAAUAAAUUUUAUUCAAUUUUAUGUCUAAUUCAAUAAUUUAUAUUCUUACAGCAGUUUAAUAGUAAAAUUUAACAAACACAUAAAAUUGCUUUUAAAACUCACAAUACUUUAAAAAUAAAUUACUAAAUGUUUAGUUGAUUCUCUUACAGCUAAUUAUUUUUAAAGCACAUGCAACAAUAAUUAUUUUAAAAGCUACAAUACUACCAAAUUGGCCCUAAUUGUGGUAAAUAUUUUGAAUCUCCUCGGGCCAAUAUGAAGUAGGGUAAGAAAGUUAAGAAAUCCUAAUUAAAUUGAAAUUUAUAAUACUUAGAAUAUUUUAAUUAACUUGUAUUCUAGUUUAAUUUUGUUGUCUAUUUAGAGUUUUAUUGUUUAAGUAUUGCUUAUUUGAGUUGUAUUCAAUUUAGGCAUGCGUCUUAUUAAAGUAGGUUUUCUUGUCAAAUUAGGAUAAGUCAUAGCUAGUAUAAUAACAAGGACUAGGUUAUUUUGUUAUCGAUCAUUUCUUAUAAUAAACUCUAUAUUUUAGUUUAAUAAUCAUUUCAGUUUUCAAAGUGAGUUUAGUUAAUUAUCAGCAUUCUGUGAAAUAAAUGAGUCCUAACCAUCUAAGUUCCUGAUACUUUUUUUUAGAAUCAACAUGAAUUUAAUUUAUUUCUUUAUUCCAGUAUUCUCAAGAAUCAAUCGAGUAUUGAAAAUAUCUCUAUCUAUCCAUCACUCCACAUCUUAUAUCCUUCCACUGCAUUAGUUUACACUUCUACUACAUCAGUUUCACUUCAAAGUGUUCCUUGAUAGAACUGCGUUGCAUAACAAUUUUAGGAGAAAAUCUUCUUAACAUAAAUGAUAAUAUGGCAAGAAUAUAGCUCUUUUUCAAGGCAUAUUGAAACUUAUAAUUUAUGAGUUUUACUACUUACCUAUUACAAUUUUUAUAAUACCAUGUGAUCUCCUUGAUUUUUAGGUUUUUAAAGAAAAAAUUAUUGCUACCACAAAAUAACAAUUUUUUUUUAGUUAAAAGUUUUAUGUCAACAGAGUAACAACACAUUAUUAUAAGAACGUAACAACACUUUCUCUUAAUUAUAGCGUAUUGGCAACCCAAUUUCUCUCUCUACCUAAGUGAGUUUAGUUCGAACACCCAAACUCAAUAUCUUUUCAACAACAUAAAUGCAUGUAUGAUAAUAAAUUUUUAAUAUCAACUUAGGUCCUAUCUUAUAUUAAUAUGUUGUAUCUUUUAAGUUACAGUUAAUAUGAAAAAAAAGUUGUAACUAAAACUUUAGCAUUGUAACUUUUAAGAUAUAAUUGCCUAGUGGUAAAAAACAACAUUAUUAUAUGUCACAUCUUGGUUUCAAGCUUCAAUCGGUGCGUAAGUUAAUAAUAAUAAGAGGAAGAAGAAGAUGAGGAAGAAGAAGAAGAAGAUUGAAUUUCACUCACAUGGGUAGGGAGGAACUGAUUUGCUGUUAGGUUGGAUAAUUAAAAAAAAAAAGUUUUUCGUUUGAUUACUUUAAGAAUUGCAAUAAAUCAAAUGAUAGAUUAUAAUUGCGCAACCAUUAUACCAAACAAGAGCCUAAACUUAUUUUUUUUUUUUUUAGUGGAGCUUCUAACACCCUGUGAAAACUCUUUUGAAACUCUACUUGUUACAUUUAUAACUCUUCCCUCAAUCACAAUUAUAGAAAAUGACAAAAGAUACAAUAGGGUUUAAAUUAUAUUUGAAUAUCACCUAUAAUAAAUUCAUUAAAAUUCUAAAAUAUAUUUUUUCAUUAUAAAAAUCAAUCUUUAGAUAACUUUUUCCUUAUUAUUUUAAAGUGAUUUCGAGUUUAUAAAAAUUAGUUAUAUCAUAUAUUAAAUUUAAAGAUAAUAGGUUUCGUAAUUGAGUAUAAAGACAUUUUAAUUUAAUUUUUUUAAUGUAAUUUCAACUAGUUAGAACAAUGUUGAAAAAAAUUGGGUUUUAUUAGGAUUUUAAUGGAGCGCGAAAAGGUUAACCUUUUAUUUUCAUUAAUUUACGCAGCAAACAAACUUAUGGGUGAUUCUCCUUUAAAAGUUUGAGUUGUGGUAUUUCAUCCCCUGAAUUUAUCUCAUAAUUUUUCAUUUCUAAAUGAGCCCUAAAAAAAUUUUAAAAUAAUUUCUCUAUUAAUAUAUAACUGAUACAAUUCCCAAUUUACCCUUACCAAGUAAAAAAGGAGGUGAAAUAGCAGUCCCAAUUAUGGGGCACAAGGCACUGCGAUACCGUUUUUCCAGGUGGCGGUGACGAGGACGACCAACAAAGCAAGCUCUCAUGAGCAUGUUAUUCGGUUUGUUGUUGUCAAACACUACAUAAAUUAAGGUGGCUCAAAACCCGAAUCUAAAGAACAUAAACAGGAAGCGGCUGAACUCAUAAGAGGCCAAGCUCCAGUUGUGAUAUUGGUGGCACUACGAGUGCUUAGUUUCUGUCAUUUUUUUUUAAUAAAAAAAAAUUUGUCAUCUCUAUAAUUGACUGAUAAUUUUACACGAAAUAAGAAAUUGAGAUUAAUUUAACAGUAAGCGUAAAAAUUGAAGUGAACUUUACUUUUGGUUAAUCACUUAGAUAUGAGUGUGAUUCUGUGAAGUAUGAGAGAAAUAUAUAAUUAGUAAUAAGAGUAAAGUAGAGAUUAACAAAUUUAUAAUGGGUUAAUUAAGAAGUGACGACUGGUCCAGAUAUUAUCACUAUAAAACUUGUGGGUUAAUUAUCCUUGGAAGCCCAAAUCUGUAAUCCGGCUUAAUCGAAAGCCGAGUCCAAACUCAGGUUCAAGCGGGUUAGAUGCGCUCAUCACCAGCAUAACGGCCCUACAAAUUUGGGCUUUAGGCUUGGGUGGCUAUUAACCCACAAAAUUUCACCUCACUUCCCGAGAAUAAGGCUUUUCGCACCCUUUUAAUAUCCUUAUACCACAACGCUUUUGUAAUCAUGGUUCUAUUGUAACUGAAAAUUACAUAAAAGGAUAUAAUAAAUUUAGUUAAACUAAAAUGCCUUUACAAAUUACGGACCCUAACUAUGUUUUAAUCCUAAUAUUUGUUAUAAUGAAUUUUUUUCUUAAAAUCAAAAUAAAUUUAAAACAAUGAAUGAAAAAAUAAAUGAUAUACUAACAUUAAUUUUAUAAUGAAAAACUAUGUUUGCAAAAUUUAUACUGAACAAUAGUGAAAUUUAAUUAAAAUUAUAUUGUAAUUUUAUAAUCUUUUUUGUAAGUUCGUACAAGAAAGAGACAUAAAGAUACAAUAGCACAACGACGAGGAUAAAACUUUAAAGCAGGUGAUGGAUUCCAAUUUUCAUUUCCAAUAUUGAUUCGACAGGUAAUCUAGUCUUUGAUUCUUCGAUUGACUUGUUCUAUUUGGUUCUAUUAUUAAUCGAGUCUAACCCAUUUCACAUGGACUCCAAUAUUUACACUGUAAAAAUUCAUUAAAAAAAAUUUAAUUAAACUCCCCAAUCAAAUUUACAACGAUGCUGUAAAAAUUCACCAAAAUUCAAAAUUUUUGCAUGAUUAUAAUAAAUCUUGAUUAUAAACUAAACACAACUUUCAUAAAAUGACAUCAUCUUUUCAUUACCAUAUGAUGAAAUACAAAUCUUGUAAGCUUCGCCCAAAAUCGAACGUGACCCAAGUUAAAAAAAAUAAAAUAAUAAUAAGAAUAAGAAUAAGAAUAAGAAUAAGAAUUUCAUGACAAUUCUUCAUGCCGACACGUGUGAAAGCUGCCCACACGUGAUGAACACGAUUUCCGCAUCAACUUAAACCGUCAUAUUAACCACGGGGAUUUUAUCACCAGGGGAUCGGACGGUCUGUAUUUAGUUAGGAAAUAAAACUAGGGUUUCUUCUAGUAACUUCGGUAUAUAAGCGGCACGGUUACUUUUGAAACGGUGCGGUGGCAGUGGUUUCUGCCCUCCCACCGAAAAUCGAAAAAAAAAAAAAUUCAAUUUCCUCCGUCGAACUCCGUCCGGUUUCCGUUCGGAUCGCCGACGAAUUUAUCCCUAUUUUUACCCCACCUCUCCUGUCCUAUCUUCGAAAAAUUCCAAAAAAAAAAAAAAGAAGAAUUUUCAGUUUCGGGUUUUUUCCCCUAGAAUUAUAGUCAUAGAAUCAGAUUAUUUAUCCUGUUAUCUCUCUAGAUUUUUAUUUGAGAACUAGCAAGAGAAGAGGGAAAUAAAAAAGCCAAAAAAAAAAAGAAGGAUCUAGAAGUGGUAGUGAUGGCACAGAUUCAGGUGCAACAUCAAGCGCAAAUGUCGGGGCCAAACGGAGUGGCGGCGGGUGCGUCAGGGAACCAGUUCCUAACGACGUCUCUUUAUGUUGGCGAUCUCGAUUUCAACGUGACCGAUUCGCAGCUUUAUGAUCUGUUCAGCCAGGUCGGUCAAGUUCUGUCGGUUAGGGUUUGUCGGGACCUGAGCACCAGGCGCUCACUCGGCUAUGGUUACGUUAACUACGCCAACCCUGCAGAUGGUAAUAUAGAUUUUUUUCUUUUGGACAGAUUUUUAUUUGAUAUUGUUUCUACCGAAUGGAGUUGGCUGCUUGAGUUGAUUAUUAUUAUUAGUAUUUUAAUCCUUUAGUCGCUAGUAGCCAGUUUCUAACAAUUGUAACAUUUCUUGGUAAUUCCAUUUUGUGAAACCCAAUAAAAUAUAUUGUGCGUUUCUGUUUUAGGACAAUAAUCAUGUGGUAAGAUGUCUGAAAAUUUGCGUAGUUACUUUGUUGCCAAGGGAUUCAAUGAUAUCUUGUCAGGUUUAGUUUGAAUACACUUAUUCUCUCUUCUUUUGCUUGUUUCUAUGUUGGUUGGAUGAUGGUACCUAUGUGGGAUUGGUUGCACACAUUGUGUAUAACUGAAGCAAAAUUGAUCUCUUGAAUAAAAUAUUAGCAUCUCCUAUGCAGGGAGAUAUAAUUUUCUCUUCCGGACUUUUUUGUUGUUGUUGUUGGAUAUGUAAUGAAGUUAAUUAAUUAUACAUUGUAUUUUGUGCCCGAAGAGAAAUGCUAUUUGUAUAUUUGGAUAGGAGAAAGAUAUUUUUCUUUCUUUUUUGCCAUUUUGUAACUUAUGCUUAUGUUGUCUUCAGCGGCAAGGGCACUGGAUGUUCUUAACUUCACUCCACUUAAUAAUAAGUCCAUUAGAAUCAUGUAUUCCCAUCGGGAUCCUAGUAUUCGGAAAAGCGGUACUGGGAACAUAUUUAUCAAGGUAUUCUUUUUAAAUAAUGUAUAUCCGUAUGUGUUUUAUUUCUGUUAUAUACUCCUGGUUCCUUGUUUACAUUUAGUCCUUUUUUUUAAUAAUUAUGAUUGCAGAAUUUGGACAAGUCUAUUGAUCACAAAGCAUUACACGAUACAUUUUCUUCAUUCGGAAACAUUCUUUCUUGUAAGAUAGCUACUGAUGGUUCUGGCCAGUCCAAAGGUUUCGGUUUUGUGCAAUUUGAGAACAAAGAAUCUGCUCAAAAUGCUAUUGAUAAGUUAAAUGGCAUGCUUAUUAAUGAUAAACAAGUGUUUGUUGGGCACUUUCUUCGUAAGCAGGAAAGAGAAACUGUAGCAAUUAAAACAAAAUUCAAUAACGUAUUUGUCAAAAACCUUGCUGAGUCAACUACAGAUGAAGAUUUGAAGAAAUUUUUUGGUGAGUAUGGAACAAUUACCAGUGCAGUAGUGAUGAGGGAUGGAGAUGGAAAAUCCAAGUGUUUUGGAUUUGUGAAUUUUGAAAAUGCAGAUGAUGCUGCCAAAGCUGUUGAAGCUCUUAAUGGAAAGAAAUUUGAUGACAGAGAAUGGUAUGUUGGAAAAGCUCAGAAAAAAUCUGAAAGAGAACAAGAGCUAAAAGGGCAAUUUGAGCAAGCCAUGAAGGAAACUGUAGACAAAUUCCAGGGUUUGAAUUUGUAUAUCAAGAAUUUGGGUGAUAGUAUUGAUGAUGAAAAAUUAAAGGAGUUAUUUUCUGAAUUUGGCACAAUUACUUCAUGCAAGGUUUGUGAUUUUUUCCCUUUUAAUUAUCCAAUUCCGUAUUUCUCAUUUGGUUGCUUUAUACCAAGUGCUUUUCCUUUUCCAUCUUUUUGCAGGUUAUGCGUGAUCCUAGUGGAAUUAGUAAGGGCUCUGGAUUUGUGGCGUUUUCAACUCCUGAGGAAGCAUCUCGAGCUGUAAGUAAGGCUGAUGUAUGAGCUGUUCUAACUUUCUUCAGGGAAAUCUUGUCAACAUUUGUUCUUCAUUCACAGCUUGCAGAGAUGAAUGGUAAAAUGAUUGUUAGCAAGCCUCUUUAUGUUGCUGUUGCUCAGCGGAAAGAAGAGAGGAGGGCCAGGCUGCAGGUAUCUUUAUUUUAGACCAACUGUUAUUAUUUUGUGCAAAGUGAUACUGCCUUAUUUGUAUGGAAAACUGGUAAUGCUCGUUUUGAUUUACAUGAACUGUCUAUUGUUUUUAUUUUUGCAAAUGUAUAUUUUAUUUAUGCAGGCUCAGUUUUCACAAAUGAGACCAGUAGCUAUGGGUCCCUCGGUUCCUCCUCGUAUGCCAAUGUACCCACCUGGCCCUUCAGGCCUAGGGCAACAGUUUCUGUAUGGCCAAGCACCACCAGCAAUAAUUCCUCCUCAAGUAAUUUUCUGUCUGAAGACCCUUGUAGUUCAAUUUGCACUGUUGUAAAUGGAGUCUACUUUGUUUAAUGUUAUGGUCUGUGGUCAAGGUUUCUUACUCAGUUUUUUUCCCUUUUUUCUUUAAAGGCUGGAUUUGGUUACCAGCAGCAACUUGUUCCUGGAAUGAGGCCUGCUGGGGCACCGAUGCCGAACUUCUUUGUUCCAGUGGUCUCGCAAGGUCAGCAGGGCCAGCGUCCUGGUGGACGACGUGGUGCUGGACCUGUGCAACAGACCCAGCAGCCACUCCCCAUUAUGCCGCACCAGGUCUGUCUCAUUUGAAAGCUAUUAUUGUUGCUUUCGAUGGGUAACCCCCCCCCCCCAAAAAAAAAAAUCAAUGUUGACGUCAUUUAUUCGUUGCAGAUGCCUCCCAGGGGUCAUGCCUAUCGGUACCCACUUGGCCGUAAUAUGCAAGAUUUCCCCUUUGACAUGGGUGCUGGCAGUAUGCUCCCUGUUCCCGUUGACAUGGGUGCUGGCAUACCUCGGCGAGAUGCGUCUGUUGGACAACCUAUGCCGAUAACGGCUUUGUCUACUGCUCUUGCAAAUGCAUCACCAGAACAGCAAAGGACGGUAAGAUUGUGUUUUGUUUGUUUGAUGUGCUUGCCUAUUUUUUCUUUUUUUCAUUCCCUAAUAUAUUUUUUAAUUUGUGGACAGCUGCUGGGUGAAAGUUUAUAUCCUCUAGUGGAGCAGCUGGAGCGAGAUGCAGCGGCUAAGGUAACGGGAAUGCUCUUGGAGAUGGACCAGACAGAGGUUUUGCAUCUUCUUGAGUCACCAGAGGCUUUGAAGGCGAAAGUAGCUGAGGCAAUGGAGGUUUUGAGGAGUGUUGCUCAGCAGCAGGCUAAUAAUCCAGCAGAUCAACUGGCUUCAUUGUCCCUGAAUGAAAACCUUGUUUCUUGAGCGCGUUGCUGUCAUUGAAGAAGUUUGGAUUAGUUGUGGUUUCAAACAAUUAAAGUCUUUGUUUUUGGCAUGGAUGGUGUAGGUGUUUGUGUAGUUUGAUCCUGGAUAUGCUGUCAAUUUGUUUUGUAGGAUUCUUCUAGGCCACAUGAUUUGUUUGCUUGACUGUUCCAAUUUUUAAGCGUGGUUGCUGUUUUCAAUUUCUGUGACUAAUUAUUUGGAAUUUGAUCUGGCUGCUGCUUCAUGUUUUUUAGAUCUUGCUGUUGCUGAAUUUUUUCUUUAUCCGAUGAUAAUUUAGUGGAAAAGGAGCUCUCCAUUUUUUUAUUAAAAUAAUACAAAUUCAUAUUUAUUUAGAGAUUUAUUUUGAAAAUGCUUUUAACCUUAUCACAUAAAUAAGUAAACACUUUUUAAAAUUUGUAAAAUUAGGUAGGGCUUUUGAGAUGUUCUUAAUAUCCAUAUUAUUUUUCCUAAAUAGUACAUCAGAUAUGCUUAUUAGUUAAGACUCUUUGUAGUUGCAAAUGUGAGGAACAAUGUCCUUUGCACCAAUCUUAAUGGAGGAAGAUAUGUAGUUUAAUGUUAUGAACAGAUUAUUUGUUUAAAUUUAUCGAAGUUUAUCCGGUCUAUUAUAAAUAAGGCAAAUGCUAUGUUACAAUUAAUGUAACAUACACACUCAACAAUAACCACACAAAUUAUGUGGGCUCAUCAUUUGUGUGGUUGUUAUUGAGUGUGUAUGUUACAUUAAUUGUAACAUAGGGGCUCCCUAUAAAUAAUUAUGAUCUUAAAUACAGACACUCUUUGCGAUUCCAAAUUCGUUAGAAAAAUAGAGCCAUCAAAUCAUUAGUUGAGUUGGUGAAUUAGUAAUUAUUAUAAUGAAGUACAAAAUAUGAAAGGAUCCGUGACAAUACAUGAGAAACAAUGUAAAGGAAAUAAUCAUAGCCGAGAAAAUAAUUAAUUACCUUAAUUUGUUUACAUAAUUGUAUUCAUUAUGCAUAAAUUUUCAUUCUUUGUAUAUUUUAUGUAACAGUUAUUUACUUGUCUAUGUGAGUUCUAUCUCACAGCUCGCUUGGGAUUACUUUUAUGAGAUUCAAAAGUGAUUUUGAAAAAUUAAAAGCUGAUUUUGGUGUGUAGUAAGUUUUUUUAGAAAUCGCUUUUGGUAAAAUCAUCUUAUCUUACAGUUGAUUUUGAAAAAUAUGAGAUAAGUAGUUUUUUAGGAUCUAAUUUUGAGAAUAAUUUUUACACUUAAUCCAAUUUCAUAUGUAUCCUCAUAUAUAUUAUAAAAAAUUAAAUUAUCCUUAUAAUUAGAAAACAAAAUCAUGAACUUUAAAAAGAUUACUAUUAUUACCAAUUAUAUUGAGAUAACAAAAUAUAAAAUUAAUAAUAUAAAAUAUUUAUUUUAGUUAUCUAUUAUUAUAUAUACAUGAUGAAGGUGUUUUAUGUACAUGUUUAUAAAUAUUUAAAUAAAUUUUAUUCAGUAUUAUGUACAAUUCAAUUAUUUACGUAUAUUAGUUUAACAAUAAUAUUUACUAAAUACAGAUAAUUACUUUUAACACACAUACAAUUAGUAUCGUAGAGAGUGUAGCGUUGACGCAACCAUUGUUGGGAACAAAACUAUAACAAGUCAGCGUUUUUUAAUUUAAUUUUAUAAAAUAUUAAUUUAAAGAAAUUUGUUGUAGGGGUAUUUUCGAAAAUGAAUAGUUUUGUCUAGGGUACUUUUGGUAUUUUAUUUUAAUUUUAUAUUCUAUAAAAUAUGAUAAUUAAAUAAUCAUUUUUAAAAUAGGUUUGACCUAACUCAAAUCAAAUAAAUUUUCAACCCAUCUAAACCAAUCUAAACUAAACUAUUUAAUUUAGUUUGAGUUGGGGUUGAAUUAUAAGAUGUGGGUUUUUUGCCCACCUCUACUUAUAUAUGAGAAAAUGAAACAUUUGCAGAACAAACAGUUUCAUAAUUCAAACUCAAUGCCGUGAUUUCUUUUCCCAAAACUGAGUGGGGAUCAUACGUUACCAUUUUUUUUAAUUUAAUAAUAUAAUAUUAUUAUUUUUCCAAACUUCCUGUGCAGGUACUAUACAUAUUUUUAAUUCUUUUUCCAAAAGAAGCCAGCACGUUUUCAUAUUUAUUAAAAAGUAAUCACCCUCAGAUUAUAAAAUAAAUAAAAGAAAAUGCCAAAUACACCCUUACUUUUCCUUCUAAGAGAUCAUAGUACUGAUAAAAGUUUCGUUCCUAGGCCGAAGUUUGUGUUGUAAAAAUGGUCAUGCAAUAUUUCUUGUGGGGUACCAAUCUUAGUUUUUAUUUAGGUUGGAUAGUUGUAACUUAAAAAUUAUAAUAUUAAAAUGUUUAAUAAAUAUCAAUUGAUGUAGUUAAAAGUUAAGUUCAUUAGAUUUUACAUUUAUAUGAUAAAAAAUUUAUUAUAUCUCUAUUAAUUUUAUUAAAAUGAUUAUUUAAAAAAUUAUAUUUAUUAUAUAUUGUUAACUUUUAGUUUAUAACUAUAGUUUUUUUUUCUAAAGUAACCAUAAUUUUUGAGCUACAAAACCUUAAUAUCAAAUAAGGCCUUAUUACUCAUUGUUGUACGACUUUUUACCAAUAUGCUAACCUAAAUGUCAAGGGAUAAGAGAGGGUCAAUAGUAGGCGUACUCUAAUAUUUUGUUGUUGAGCGGAGAAAUAAUAUUUACAAGUUGCUUUAGGGGUGAGCAAAUUCGGGUUCGGAUAAAACAAAUCGGAUUUCGCAUCAAUCGGGUUGGAAAAAAUAUAACCCAAACUUAACCUCAAUAGGAGAUCCAAUCCAAUUAGGUUAGAGCCUUGUUUUAGUUUUGAUUUUUUCAAAUUUUCGGAUCGGAUCAGAUUGGCUAAAAUCCAAUCCGAUUAGGUUAGAGCCUUCAUCUGAAUACAAUUCAAACCUGAAUUUUUUGGAUCGGAUUGGUUCCGAUUGGAUCAUUUACCUAGGGGUGGGCAAAUUAUCCGACCCGACCCGAUCCGAUCCGAAAAAAUUCGGGUUCGGAUCGGAUCGGGUGGUCAACAAAACCCGAUCGGGUUGAGACAAAAAAAAAAACUUGGGCAAAAAUUACAGAUUUACACUUACAAUAUCACACAGAUACACACAUGACACACUCACAUCUCACACGAAUACAGGCACUGAAUCAGUAACUCACACUCUCAUAGAAACAGAAUACAGAUCACAGUAUAGAGUACAAACUCACGGAUUUACAGUAAUUCACAAUUCAAUUCAGUAAUUCACAUUUCACAAAGUAUUCACCGCAACAAAACAAUUCAGGAAUUCACUCCAAACUAUUCACCGCAACAAAAGUUACAAAAAAAUUCAGUAAUUCACUAAGAAAACAACACAAGCGAAGUAAAGUAACAAGCAACAACUCACAGUCACAAACCCUCAUUUACGGUAUCACUAUCACAAUUCACAAACCCUCAUUGUCACACACAAAUCACUGAAACCAGCAGCCGUCAAGCACAAGCAGGCAGCAGCCAACCCACAGUCCCACACUCAUUCACGCCUCACGGAGUCACGGCCUUCGUCGCUCACCACACGCAGCAAACACACACGCACAGUUCACGAAGCUAGCUUCAACCGACCACCACACGCAGCCAGCAACCACUUCCGAGAACAACCCCAACCGAAGCCGAAGCUGAUUCGCGAAGAUCGUGACCCGAUCUACAGAUCUGCUACAACCAAGCGCCGGAUCCAUGCCUUGAAUCCUCCACUCCACCAUAACUCAGUCCGAUUGAAGAUCCACCCAACAAGCUGCCUCCAAUCCACUCGAGCCUCCACCAUUGGCAUCCACGGGUCACGGCUGUUGAGUGUUGACAUCCGGCCACCACACCCAUUCACGGUCACGCCUCACGGGUCACGGAUCCAGCCUCCAGUCUCAAAAGGUCUCUGACUCUCUUCACUCUCUGUUUUGGAAUUGGAAAUUUGGAAGUUUGGAAUUGGAACUUGAAGGCUUGAAGGCUGAAGCCCGAAUAAGCAAAGCAAGAGUGCAAGACAGCAAAUCCGGCUUUUCAAGUUAUUUAAGAGAUGGUAUAUAUUAUAUAAUUAUAUAUGCAUUAAUGAUUAAUUAUAAUUUUUAUUUGUUAUAUGUUAUAUGAGAAAUGUUAAUUGUAAUUUUGUAUGUUAAAUUGUUAAUUAUAUAUAAUUAUAUAUUGUUAAAUUUUAUCAAUAAAAUAAAAAUAAUAUGGCAUUAAUUUUCUGUUAUUAAUUAAUAAUUGAUUUUUUGUAUGAAUAGUAAUGUUAGAUUAAAAAUUAAAAUUAAAUAUUAUGUUACAAUAUAAAUUAUAAUUGUAUAUGUCAUAUGAUAUGUGUAUUUAUAGAAUAGUUUCAACUUCAACAAAAAAUUAACUAUUAACCAAUUUAAUUGCAGUAGUUUCAAGUUUCAACUUCAAUAAAUAAUUAAUCAAUUUUAUUAAUUGCAUGAUAACCAUUAACCAAUAAGUAAAUAUUAAGUGGUUAACUACAUAUAAUGUGGGCAUAAUAAGAAUUAAGAAUUUAAGAUACGGAUAUGUAAUUAAUAUUAUAUUAUUUUGGCCAAUGGAUAAUUAGAUAUUAUAAAUUAAAUAAUUAGUUUAAUUUCUUGGUUUUCUUUUAUGGAAUAUGCAUCUUGAAUUCUUGAUCAUAUAUAAACAUUAUGGUGGAAAAUUGGAAAUAUCGAUUUCAAAAAGUUUCAUAAAAUUAAAUUAACAAUUAUUUGAAUCAAUUUGUAAUACUAACUAUUAAGUAGAUUUUUUUAAUAGUCUUUUUGUGUUUUAAUUUAUGAAUUAAUGAUUAAUAAUUAUUUAUUUGUAUGUUUAGAUGUCUGGACACUCAAGAUCGAAUUCAAUAAGUGAUGAUGACAAUCAAAGUGUUCAAAUGGAAGGAACUCAAAAGGCAAAGCGGAAAAGACCAGCGAUAAAGAAAAGAUCUGCGACGUGGAAUCAUUUUACUUUACUUGAGGACAAUCCAAACAAAUGCAAGUGCAACUAUUGUGGUAGACAAUAUCAAUGUCAUUCAAGGCGUGAUGGGAUUACAAAUAUGAGAAAUCAUAUACUGGCUUGCCUUGCAUACAAGACAUUCCGGGAACAACAAGAGGGAAGUCAACAAAACUUGACAACUGAGGGUGGGGAAGGAAAUGCAAGUAAUAUGGUUUUGGCUAAAGGGUGGAGUCAAGACGUUUGUAGAAGGGCAGUCACCAAAAUGAUUAUUAUGGGUGAGUUGCCACUUAGUUUUGUGGAUAACAAAGGGUUCAUGCAUUUUUGUAGUGUAGCAAUUCCGCAGUUUGUUAUGCCAUCUCGGAGACUAUUGGUAGGGAUGUUAUGGAUUUAUUUUUGGAAGAAAAGACAAUGUUGAAGAGUUUGAUUUGCAACAAUAAAUAGCGAGUGUCUCUUACCACUGAUUUAUGGACUUCUGUUCAAAACAUGAGUUACAUGGUGAUCACAGCUCAUUUUAUUGAUAGUGAUUGGUGUUUGAACAGAAGGAUUAUUAGUUUCAGUGUGAUUGAAGAUCAUAGAGGGAAAACGAUCGGUAAAAAGAUUGUAGCUUGUUUACAAGAUUGGGGGAUAGAGAGGUUGUUUGCAAUAACUGUUGAUAAUGCCAGUACAAAUGAUGUUGCUGUUAAUUAUGUGACUAUGCAAUUGCUUGCUUGGAGGAAUGAUGAUGCAAUUGUAUUGGCGGGUCAGUAUAUGCAUGUGCGUUGUUGUGCACAUAUUUUGAACUUGAUUGUUGUUUCGGGGUUGAAUGAAUUACAUGCUAGUGUUGCCGCCAUCCGGAAUGCUGUGAAGUAUGUGAGAUCCUCCACAACGAGGCUACAGACAUUUAAAUUUUGAACAAACAUGACCAUAGGAUAAGAUUAAAAUUUGUAAAAAAUAAUUCAUUUUUUGAUUGUGAAACUGCUGUACGGCCAAGGCGGAUGUACGGUACAGCAGUGUCCAAAUGGAACAGUUGUUUUAGAUUGUCCUACUAGAUGGAAUUCCACCUAUUUAAUGUUGAUGACUGCGUUGAAGUUUCAAGCAGCAUUUGAUAGAAUGCAGAGGUGGAUAAACCAUAUGAGGCAUACUUUCUCGAGAAAGAAAAUAACGCUAAGAGGGUGGGCCCGCCUGGACCUGAGGAUUGGGAGAGUGCAGGGCUAAUUGUGAAGUUUUUGAAGGUAUUUUAUUAUGCCACUUUGUUAUUUUAUGCUUCUUUGAGUGUGACUUCUAAUCUUUGUUAUGAUACCAUUGGCUUAAUUGAGAGCUCAUUAACUGCAUUAGAGGGAAGUAAAGAUCCUUGGGUGGUGGCUAUGGCUUAUCAAAUAAGAGAAAAAUUUGAUAAAUAUUGGGAGUCUUCAGGGAAAAUAAAUAAAAUGUUAAUUGUUGCCUCUAUUCUUGAUCCACGAGCUAAAAUGGAUUUUGCCAAACAUAUUUUUGAGAUCAUUUUUGCCAAUGAUGGUUGGAAAGUUGAAAAAAUGACCAAAGCAGUGAAAGAUUUGUUGAAUGAGCUUUAUGAUGCAUAUAGUGCAAUGUGCUCUAGUUCCACACCAUCGAUGUGUAGUGAGAGUGUUCCUAGCGGUAGCUAUGGUGGUACAAGUUAUUCUCUUUAUUUUACAACUGAGGUUGGUUUGCCGGAGGGUCCUAGUGGUGAUGGUGAUGACAUUUUCCGAGUUUCUCGCCCUUUCUUUGGGUAUGCUCAAAAAGUGUUUGUUCAGAAUUAGGGCAAGAGAGUAAUAUCUGAGGUGGAACGAUAUUUGAGUGACCCAGUUGAAGAUCCAAGCAAUCUUAAGCUCAAUGUUUUGCUUUGGUGGAAAGUUAAUGGAUCGAAGUAUCCGAUAUUAGAGAAAAUUGCAAGGGAUGUCCUCGCUGUUCAUGUUUCCACAGUGGCAUCUGAAUCUGCCUUUAGCACAGGGCAUCACGUCACUGACGAAUAUCGGAGUUCUUUGACCCCUUGUAUGGUUGAGGCAUUGAUAUGUACCGAAAAUUGGUUACAAGCUAAACUUUUUGCUAAUCCUGUCUAUAACCUUCGGGAAGAUAUUAAAGAGCAGAUAUUCCAUAUGGAGCUACAAGAAGGUAAUAUUUUUCUCAUACUUUAUAAAGUUAAGAUGUAUUAUAACUUUAUAAAUAGCAUCUACAUUAGAGGGAAGUUACUUACUAAUUUCAUUUUUUUUUUGACAUUUUAAAGAGUUUGUAAAAUCACAAGCUUCAACAGUGGAAACAGUGAGCACUGAUAUGGGUGUUAUGGAUAUUUAAAAGGUAAUUCCUAAUAUAUAUUAUUAUUUAUAAUUUCAUAUUAUAUGUUUAGGUUGUAAUUUACACUAUAAUAAUAGACAGUAGUUGUUAUAGUUUUAAUUCAAAGUGAUGACAUUAUAAUUGUUUCAUUUAUUUUAGACACAUUGAAAUUGUUGGAAUGGUAUUACUUAGGAAUUAGGAUUAUUAUUAAAUUUACUUGAUGAUGAAUGCCAUGAAAUAAGCCACAAUUGACUUAAUUUUUUUCUCAUAUUUAAUCAAGUACACACAUGAAUUGGGCAUAUGUGUUUGUGUUUAAUGUCCCUUUAUUUGUAAUGUGGCUUAAAGAAAGUAGUUAAACGGUUAUCUAUUAUUUUUUUAAUUUUUCCCUAGGGGAUAUAUGCUUCAAUUCUUCAACUUGGAGUAGAAGAAAUUGAAGUUAAAAGUUGUCAAAGUGCUUGCGAGGAACGGUGGAGCCGUGGAGGAAGUUGAUCUAGAUUUACAUUUAAACUUUGUUGUGUUUUGGACAUUGCGCUUUGGAUGGAGACUAUUAAAUUUAAACUUUGUGUUAAUUUUUAAUUUUGAAUCAUUUGAAUUUAAUUUUAUAGUAGUUUUCUCUUUUUGUUGGUUGAAAUGAAUGGAUGAAUGAAUGAGGGAGGACAAGGAAGGUGGGAAAUAAAUGUCUUAGUUAGCAAGGUGACAAGAAUGAAAGAGAAAUGUCCUUGUUUUAUACAGGACAUGCACGUUCAUGUAUUAAUAAUUGAUUUUUUGUAUGAAUAGUAAUGUUAGAUUAAAAAUUAAAAUUAAAUAUUAUGUUACAAUAUAAAUUAUAAUUAUAUAUGUCAUAUGAUAUGUGUAUUUGUACAAUAGUUUCAACUUCAACAAAAUUAAUGUGGAUUCCAGUCCACUGAUUGAGUUUUGCCAUUUGGUAGAGGGUUUUUUUUUGUGAUUUAUUAUAUUUUAAUAUUAGAUUUAAUGGGUUUUAUCUUUUACUAUAAGACAUUAAGAUUUAUUAUUGUGCCACAUAGCAAGUCGUUAAGGUUUUCUUUGAAUUUUGAACAAACAUGACCAUAGGAUAAGAUUAAAAUUUGUAAAAAAUAAUUCAUUUUUUGAUUGUGAAAAACUUUUGGACAGGAGAAAUUCUAGCGUGAUGUUUUGGGUCUUCAUAAUCUAAUAUGAAACCACUAACAAAUAAUAUUUUAACAUAUGUACAUAAUUUCUAAAUUUAUAAGUUAUUUAAUUAAAAGUCAUACAAUUUCUUUUUCCUCCCUUUCACUCUCUUCCCUCUAAUUAAAGAUAAUUAAUGGAGUUACGUUUAAUCCCCAAUUGCCAAAUUAAUUAAUUAUAACCCGAAUUGACCCGAAUUGAUCCAAAUAACCCAAAUUUAAUCCUAACCCAAAUUAACCCGAAUCCGAUCCGAUUACACCCGACCCGAAUUAACCCGAAUUUAAUCCGGAUCGGAUCGGAUCGGGUUAUAAGUUCGGGUGGAGUUCGGAUCGAUUUUUAUCCAACCCGACCAACCCGAAACCCGAUCGGGUUGAUCCGAAUCCGACCCGAACCCGAUUUUGCCCACCCCUACAUUUACCCACCCCUAAGUUGCUUGAUAUAUACGCCUGGUUACCACUGAAGAAAAUAUUUCUUUCUUGCCAUCCAUUGUUGACUAGUAAGGGGAAACCCGGCAAUCAGGUAAUUAAUAAGGAGGGCAAAUUAUAUCAAUCAGUCAACAAGACUUGAUGUAUUAUAUAGACAUCAACAACUUUACCUACCAGUGGAACAAUGUGACAUUGAACAAAUAUAUAGUAAUAUAAAAUUAGAUGGGAGAAGGUGAAUGAAUGUGUUACCUCAGUUUAAUGUUCAAGUACAUAGUUUUAUUUAUAAUGGUCAGCCUGUAAAGCACGAUUGCAAAGACCAAAUAGAAAAAAGUAGCUAGCUUUGCUUGAGCGAAGGAUGAAUUCCCCAGCAGUUCAAUACAUGUCAGAAUGCUUUGUCCAGCCAGAGUACUUUUCAGAGGAGAUGAAACAGCCCUGUUACUUGACACCAUGGGAUCUAGUAAUGCUAUCGGUACAAUAUAUCCAGAAGGGCCUUCUGUUUAGGAAACCAGCGAUACCACCAGCAUCAGUUGAUCAAGUUGACUUCAUCAAGACUCUCCUAGACAGGCUUAAGCACUCCCUGUCCCUCACCCUUGUUCAUUUCUACCCUCUAGCCGGGCGCCUCGUCACACGACAGACCGAUAGCCCGCCUUCUUAUGUGGUCUUUGUUGAUUGCAAUAACAGCCCUGGUGCUAAGUUUAUCCAUGCGUCUUUAGACAUGGCAAUAUCCGACAUCCUUUCACCUACUUAUGUUCCUUUGGUGGUCCAAUCCUUUUUUGACCAUGAUAGAGCUUUGAACCAUGAUGGUCAUUCAAGGCCUCUGCUAUCAAUUCAGGUGACAGAGCUGGUUGAUGGCAUCUUCAUAGGUUGUUCAAUGAACCAUGUCUUGGGUGAUGGAACCUCUUUUUGGAAUUUCUUCAACGCAUUUUCUGAAAUCUUUCAAGCACAAGGAAAGAUGGCUUCCAUCUCGCGCCCGCCAGUCAUAAAACGCUGGUUUCCAGACGGACGCGAUCCAAUUAUCAACCUUCCAUUCACUCAUCGUGAUGAAUUCAUCCGAAGAUAUGAAGCGCCACAACUUUUAGAGAGAAUCUUUCACUUCACAGGGGAAUCCAUAGCAAGACUCAAAGCUAAGGCCAAUGCAGAGGCCGGCAACAAUACCAACAAAAUCUCCUCCUUUCAGGCCUUGUCUGCCCUCGUCUGGAGGUCCAUAACCCGGAUACGCAAUCUACCACCGGAUCAAACAACCGGUUGCAGGAUGGCCGCCGAUAAUAGACCGCGAUUGGAACCACCAUUGCCUCGGGAGUACUUUGGAAACUCAAUCAAUCCUCUGCGAGGGGUUACCACGGUGGGUGAGCUACUUGGACAUGACCUUGGAUGGGCAGCUUGGAAGCUGCAUCAAACCGUUGUUAACCAAACAGAUAAAGCGGUGCGUGAAUGGCUUGACGCGUGGUGGAAAUCUCCGUUUAUGUACCACCUAGAUCGGCUCUUUGAUCCAUUUAGUAUAAUGAUGGGAAGCUCCCCAAGGUUCAACAAAUAUGGAAAUGAGUUUGGCCUUGGUCAAGCAGUGGCACUUCGCAGUGGAUAUGCACACAAAUUUGAUGGGAAAGUGUCAGCAUAUCCAGGACAUGAAGGCGGGGGAAGCAUAGAUUUGGAGAUCUGCCUGCCACCUCAUUCAAUGACUGCUCUUGAAGCCGAUGAAGAGUUCAUGGAAGCGACGUCCUGUUGAUCCCAUCUAGUCGCGCUAGGUCAGCUCUUCCUUGCGCGCAGAACAAGUUCCCAUUUACCAUUUAGUAAGUAUACGAGCAAUAAUGUGAGAGUAGUGUAAUUAACAACUCUGCAGUAGUUUUGAAGCUAGAGAGGCUGACGCGAUCGGAGUUAGGGAAGCCCUUAGCUGGCUUAAGAAGUUUGCUUUCCAUUCUGUAAUUCUAGAGAUGGAUAGUUUACAAGUUUUCAAUGCUUUACAUGAUAAGACUAGUUAUCCCAAUGAUUUUGGUUUAAUUAUUGAUGAUUGUAGAGCCUUGACUCGCUCUCUAGGAGAAGUAGCUUUCUCUUUUGUUCGUAGAUCUGCGAACUCCGCUGCCCACACUGUAGCUCAGGUGGAGAGUUUUAUGUCAGGUUCGGGUGAGUGGAGGUUUGUUCCACCCUUGGUUAGUUGAAGCUUUGGCUGUUUUAUGAAUUCCAUAUUUUCCUCAAAAAAAAAAAAAAAAAACUCUGCAGCAAUUUUAAAUUUGCUGUGCUAUUCUACACAAAAAUGAUAUUUUCAUUUACUCCAAACAUGCUUUUGGGGGUUUAUGUUUUCUCCUUGUUUGGAUUUCGAAUCUUCUUCUCUAAUUUUCUAACUCAAAAAAAAAAAAAAAACAACUCUGCAGCAAUUUUAAAUUUGCUGUGCUAUUCUACACAAAAAUGAUAUUUUCAUUUACUCCAAACAUGCUUUUGGGGGUUUAUGUUUUCUCCUUGUUUGGAUUUCGAAUCUUCUUCUCUAAUUUUCUAACUCAGGUCUCUCCUCUUGCUUUGUCGAGGUUUUUUUAUAUUUUUUCUACACCCCGAAAAAAAGAAAGACCAAGGAGGAGAUUUUAAUUGCGUUGAAUAUACAGGCUGCCACAUAACUCUGUCUUACACUUUAAAACGUCUUUAGCAUGAAUGCCAUAACUGUUCAAGUUUAAAACCUCUCUCAGAAUGCAGGAAAGAGAUGAAGUCGAAGCCUUUGUCUAUUUGACUGGUGGGUUUUUACCAUACUCCCUGUAUGCUACAUAUUAAUUAAUUAUUGGGCCGAGGCCUAUUAUCAUUGUCAUUUGGGUUACAAUUCCAGAUUUCGGACGGGACAAGCCUUUGCUUCCCAUAUUCAAAACACCCGCAUCUCUUUUAUCGCUGCUCAUGGGACAUACACAAUUGACGAGACCACGGCAACCUGCGAAGAUAAAUAGCUAGAUACUCGCUAGCUCGUAUUUAACACGUGUACGAAAGACCAGAUUUAAUAGCAUAUAUAGAGCGAGUGAAUAUCGGCACAUCGCACCGCUCUUCUUUAUAAAGAGAGACCGAGGAAAGCAUACCCGCAGAAUCUGGAACAUCAUCAGAGCAAGUAUAAAUUAUUUCUCUGUAGCACCAAUUUUCCAUGCUACACAAAUCUUAACAUCGAAUACCCUCGAAAUCAACGGCUAUAACGGAAGUAGCACAAAAAUUCAGCACUACCACCAGUUACACAUGUCGCUUCUUUCUUCGCCGCUUUGACGCAAUUAAAAAUGUUGUCUCCACCUUCCAUUUAAGCCGUCGGAGAAAUUUACUCAUUAGCACCAAUCUAAAUCUGCCACAUCAUCCAUAAGAACCGAGAUUCCACGCUCCAGGUGGACAUACUACAAAUAAGGAAAGCAUACACUUGAGCAGGACAGUAUCACUUCACUCGUACAAAGAAACUUUCUGAGCACGCUACUCUUUCACUAUAAACCUCUGAACAGAUUUUCUCUUGGUUGCUGUUGGUUUUUUCGGUUUUCUAUCCCAAAACGCGUAAAAAGGCGAAUGGGAGAUCCCCACCGUAGCGACGGCAACAGGAAAAUGGAGUCGUUUUCGCUUCAUCCAGGUUGCCGGUUCCAUCCUUCCGAAGAACAACUCCUCUGCUAUUACCUCACCAACAAAAACAAAGGCACUGAAGAAGAAGAUACCAAUCUCUGCGAUAAUGAUUUGAUAAAGGAGCUUGAUUUGUAUGAGCACGAACCGUACGAAUUACCGGAGACCACGUGCUAUGCGUACGGAUACAGAGGAAGGAAGAGACACUGGUAUUGUUACGGUAGAGUUAGUGUUGUGAAGGGCAGCAAAUGUAGAAAAGGAAAGAAUGGAUAUUGGAGGAGGAGAGGGAGAGUGACAGAGGUAGUUGUUAGGAAUACUAGCUGUAAUAAUUAUAACAACAACAACAAUAAUAAAAGAGGGAAGUUGGUGUUGGGGACCAGAACCAGUUUCGUGUUUUAUUUGGGAAAUUCUUUGAAAACUGCUGUGAGAACCCAUUGGCUCAUGCAUGAGUACGCCCUUGAUGACCAUGUCGAGGUACUCCGAAUCAAGUUUCUGUUAUGAGUUUUUAUUUUCUUGUUCAGCUAAAAUUCUGUUGUGUUCGGGUUAAAAAUAUUUUGUUGCUAUUUCUGAAGUACACUAACAGAUGAAACGGUAGUGGUUUUUUAGUGAAUUUAAAUGCUUGAAUAUUUUUUCUGUUGUAAACCACUGCUUUGGUUUCUUUUUAAUAAAAUCUGGACAAUGUGUUGAAAAAAAUUGUUCAUUUUAACUACGGUUCUAGAUGUCUGAACUGGAAUUCAUACUUUUUGCUGCCUAUUGUUUAUGUGAGAAUUGUUGAAAUUUGUUCUGUCGGAGACUCUUGCUGAUCGUUGAGCAUGUUCCAUUUUCUGUGAAUAUAUCUCUGGCAGAUGUUCUUUAUUGAAGACUACGAGCAGGUUGAAGCAUAACUUAAGAUCUUAAUUGUCUGUCUCUUUUGCUUUCUUUGGAGAAUUUUUUCCAAUUUGGUAGCAUCAUUUCACCUAAAUUUAUUCCACACCUGACCUCGUUCGUACUCUCUUCAAUUAGUUGAGAAAGUGGUCAAGUCUUUAACUUAGCAAGCAGUUAGCUCUAUAUCUAACCUCACAUUAGUGAAAAAUGUCGCAGUUAAAUAUGUACAAAUAAUCUACCUGUACUCCUUUCUCAUAAUCUUCUUAUUGUACUGCUCUUUGCAACCUCCAAAGUUGGUGCCAUUUGAACUUUGGAAGGUAUUUUUAUUCAAUUUAUUUUUUUAUCUACUCAUUUAGUUCAGAAGUUGAGAUGGUUUUGCUUUCUUAUUCAUGGGACAUAGAGACCAAUUGAUUUGUGCAUGUUAUAAUAAUCCAUUUGAUUUGUGCAUAAUUAUAGUUAUUUUUCUUGUGUUGCUGCCAUGUUAUCUCAGUUUUAACCUGCUGCAGGCCUCUUUUGUGCUCUGCCGAAUAUUUGUCAAGUCUCGUGGUGGAAAUAGCAAAUCAGAGGUUAGUUUAAGUAGUGGUGCCGGAGAAAGUGUUUCUGCAGUUCGCCAUAUUGGUAUUCAGCAUGAUGGAUUUCUUAUACCAGAUUCCUCUGAAGGUAAAGUAGAUGAUGACAAUUCUAUAGACAGGAGAAAUGAUACAUGCAUAUAUCCAGUGAGGUUGGUUAGUCAGCUAGAUGGCCAUGUCACAUCUAGGCCUGUUUCUGAUGCCAGUUUCCAGUUUCCAGCUGGCAUCCCAUCAAAGGAGCAGGUAAUAUAUUUCAAAGCUUCCCCUGUUAAUUUAUACUGUCAUUUUUUUUUCUAAUGUUUUAUGUUUAGCCUUUUAGAACCAAGGAUCACAGAUUUCCCUCUGAUACAUUUCCUUUCACUGGGUAAAGUUUUAUUUGCACCAUUCAGUUGUUUUAUGUUGGAUGUUUGAGUGAAGCAGUAUGGGAUCACACUUCAUGCAUCUGCCUUAAGUCACACACAAUAUGCCACUUUAGCAUGUUGAUUGCAUAGAGUGCAUAAGUUUCAUUGCAAUUUGUUGCACGUAUAAACUCUUUUCUUCAGCUUUCCUGAACAAUAUCAAGUUUUCUUCAGAAACAGUCGGCAACUUCUUGUUGCAAAGCAAAUUUUUUUCAAAGAUGUCGGUAUUUGCGACUCCAUGUUUUGUUCAACUAUAAAAAAUCAAUCCCAACUCUGGUGAAUUAUUUACUUUUACUAUCUUAAUUAGGUGUCAAGCACAUACUUUAGUUGUUGAUCUGAGGUGCCCAGUCUCUGAGCUCUCAACUAAUUCAAGUGCUGUGAAAUCCGAUUUAUAUCCAUGUAUCUUAUGGAAUCAUGUCUGUAUUCAUCAAAUUACUUACAUUUCUUUCUCCAUUAUGGCUUCUGUGUAGGUCAGUACAUCUGGGCUUGCUGGUACUUCUCUGUUGACUGAUGCUGUAGAAACCCAGCAGUUACAAUCAAUUUUGGAGGAAGAUUUCAUUGAGUUGGAUGAUCUUGUGCCAUGAUGCCCCAGAUUAAACUGAAGUAUAUGUGGAUAUUAAUGAUACCGGAAUUGAGUUACUCUUGCCAAUAUUGAUUUGAAAUGGGAAUUACCACCCAGCAAACAGAAAGGUGGACUUUAAUCACCCAGCAGAAAAUAUUAGAGUUUGUAUAUCAGAAAACUUUCUAAAAACUUUAGAUGCAGAAAUGUACUUUCAGUUUUGAAGUUGGAGGAGAUGUUGUAACGGAUCUGCUUUGCCUGUUAAGGUCCUUAUUCUGGCCGCAAUCUUUCUGUUUUUCUUGCAAACUUUAAAUAUUGGCACUAGUAUUGGCUUAGAUAUGAAUUUGACAAAACAUUUGGCAAUUCAUGUUUUGUUUGGCUUGCAGAUUUCUAUAACAGGCGUUUUGCUCCACUUCAAACAUAAAGAGAUUGACUUAUUGGUCGGGUUAUAUCGUAUGCAAUCUUGAGUAUCAGCUGCUUCACCUGGCUUGUUUGUCAUGCAUUUACUCUGCUGAUGGCAGCAUUCUUGGUUGUGGGAAUAUUAGCUCUUCCUCUUGUUACUAUGGUGCCUUCUUUCAUCAAGGCCUCUGUCUUAAAUCUUCUCUGUUUUCACUAUUUAGUUGUAAAUGCUGUAAUAUGUGUCAGUAUUUCAAUGGUGUUUAUUUCCUUUUGUCACAGCAUAGCCUUAUGAUGAAGAUGCUUAGAGUGUUAACAAUGAUGAUGACAAAUUGCAUUUUUAAACCUACUUGUGAUGACGAUUUGUACGUAUUACAUUUGAUUAUGACUACACUUGAUGCUAAUUGACUAAUAACGAUUGUGCUGCUUUCCUUGACUCCUAAUAACUUAUUUUGUUAGCCUUGCUCAUAUAUACUUCUAACAUUUGUCAUUUUUACUCUUUUACUGAUUUUUGGGCUGGAUUCAUGGUUGUUUCUCACAGUAUCUCUACUGACAUGCCAAAGCUUUCUUUUCAUUGCCUAGAAACUGGAGAUAGAGAACAAAAUCUAGGAAUCACACGAGCACAUGAGGAUUGCACAUUUGUACUUUUGCUCUUUCUUCCUAGCCUUUAGGACGAAGUUUUCUUGCUUCUUUCAACUGGACAAUGUUUUUUCUCUGAUGGCUUUCCUUACACCGUGUAGUAGCUGCGGAAAUGUUUGGGAUGUUAUUACAUUUUCUGCUUUCGUUUACUGUGCUGUAAAGCACCGUCAAACUAUUUUUGAGCUUAAGUACUUGACCUCUUGAUUCUAUGGUUUGUAAUUUACAAAUAGAUCACAGAAAGCCACCUGGUGGUUUGAUCUGUUCAUUCGUUGCAAUUUAGGAAUAGAAAGCGAUUGUGGUGUGAAUGUUUUUCACAAUUGCCACAUAACUUGAGUUGUAAGCUUGCCAGGGUGCUAUGAUCUUUCAGAGUACUUGUCAGAAUGACAAAGCUGCAUGGUAAUCAAUUUCACAAAAUUUCCUGCUGUCAUAUUAACUAUUGGCCUAUUGCACCUCGUUCUGUUGCCUAGCAUUCUUAUUUUUCUGAUGAUUUUUCUCUUAUGUAACUACUUGCAAAGAUUAAUAUUAUUCUGAGUGGAGCUAUUUUUAAAACGUGUUGCCAUGAAUUGGUCUAGAUUAUCUUUAUUCUUUUGUUAGAGUGUUGGAGACUUGGAGCACAUACUGGAACAUAUUCUAGCUGCAUGUGUGCAUCUCAAGGUUGUUGGUGGCGGAUUCACUUCACAGUCCACAACGGUGGGCAGAGAUAAAUUUACCGACCCUUUUUUGGUCCGCCGAAGCAUUGAUACAGGUGAAUUGACUUAAGAUUCUGGAACUUGUAUGACAAUGUUGUUGCUAUCACCCCAUGUGCGUUAUUUUUGUAUCUAAGUUAAGGACAAUAUUCUGCGUUGUGUGUGUGAAGUGUGGACUGUCUUUAUCGUUUUGUCUCGAGACCCCUUAACUUUCUUUUUACAAAGUUCAAGACAGAAAUUGAAUGUAACAAAGUUGCCACGGGCGGCUGUUUCGCGUUAGCUAUGAGACAAUCUUCCUCCUUCGUAAUACAUACAAUUUCAUUAGGCGAUAACAAACACUUUUGACACUUUUCCCAGUCCCUAUUGAAACCCAUUUAGAUUUUAAUUAGUGUGCAAACAGUUGCCGUGCCCAUGUGCAAUUGUGCAUAAUCAUUAUCACACAUUCAUUCAACCUCAUCAUCUUCUCAUAAGCUAACACAUGCUGUUGUAGGUGGGUCAUUUUAGUCGGUCCUGUUUGUUCUUUGGCAGACCCAGUUUUGGGGGGGGUGUCAUAAGCUUUAUAUGCCUCUGAAAUAAUGGAUUCAAUUACAUCUCCCACCCACCUUAGAGGAGAAAAGAAAGAAAAAAAAUGCUAUUGCAAAGAUAUUGGGCGUAUCAGUAAUAUGUUAAAUGACAAUUGCCAAUAACAGCAACCGAUGCCCUUCUCUGACUCAUCCCUUAAUUCAAUUUAUGAGUGCCACCGAUGACAGCAAAUAUCCAUUUAUUUUCUUCCUUGUGGGAAAAGUCAAAUUAGCCAUUUAAAUUUCGUUGAUAGUCGUGCCUAAAAGCAUGAGCAAUGCAUAGCCUUUGUUGUCUUGUGUUGUGUAGCCGGUUUGGUUAGGUUGUCUAAUUUAUUCUCAUUUUGAAAAGCAUAGCAAGUUCCCAAUAGUGCCUUUGCCCUUUGGUGGAAGAAUCGCUACUUCUUAUAUUAAUAUAAUAUAUAUAUAUUUUUUUUUCAUACAAGUAGUACGCAAUGCUGUAUUAAAUAAGCAAUCCAUAUGGACAUAUUAGAGUCUGUUUUCGUGCUCAAAAAUAAAAUUCAAAGGUGCAAAGCAAGCACCUUUGAAAAGAAAGAAAGAAAGAAAGAAAGAGCAAGGUAAAAAUAAUGAAAGGCACUAAUGUUAUCAGAAUACAUUACAUGAGGCCCACGCCACGAUUGUGAUAUGAAUGGCAGCAGACGCAACACAAAGGAAGUUGCAAUUGCACAAAUUCUAUUGAGACUUUGUGUCUUUGCAUUCACACUUCUUUUAAGCAAAAGUAAAUAACAUAUUGUCUUUGUUAGCUACUUGUAUUGUCAUUGUAUGUCCAGGUAUCAUCGCUACCAAAGUAUUAUUCUCAUCAUAUACAUUAAAAAUAGGAUUUUGGCACCUAAAAUUAAAUCGACAGCGCAACCAAGCGGCACUAGUAAUAUAUUACGUACAAAAAUACAUACAAUACAAUUUUGGUCAAUUACAGCCCAGACGAUUAAUCGAUUUAUAUGGUUCAACAAUGUGAUGUAUGACACAAGUUCCCAUUAAUGGACAGUCAAAAUUGAUACAAGCAAUCAAAGAUUAUUAGGUAGAGGAAGAAAAUCUAAGCUAUCUAACAAUGGGGCCGACUAACUAAUUAAGCUAAUGACACGUGCGUACUCAUGAGAUAUGAUUACAAUUAGAAGGACAAAAAAAAAAAAAAGAGGAGAGUGAAGUUUGACGUUAAUUUUGUUUUGGUCACACAGCUCAAAUCACAAAGGUCCCCAAAAAAAAAAAAAUGAGAGAGAGAGAAGAAGAGGGGUAUGUACGAGUGCAAAGGCCAAAAAUGCAUGUGAAGGUAGGCGGAAAAAAAAAAGGGGCCAGGGGCAGGGGGCAGGUGCUUGGCGUGAAGAAGAUGGAAACAAAACGCGAGAGUGGGGCUUGCCUACACCGCGCAUUGAAACACGGGGUAUUUUGUUUAGUUUUUAUUCAAAAGGAAAAGGAGCAGUCUAUAUCUAGAGAAUAGAGAAGCGCCAUUCGGUAAGAAGCGGCCCAACGGAACGCAAUUUCUUAUUAGUUUCAUGGUUUGCUUGCCAAGUUGUAGAAUUUUUUUCUUUCUUUUUUUUUUUUUGAAUUUUUGAAUUUUAUUAAUAGAAAUAGAAAGAAACUGCUCUUAUUAUUAUUAUUAUGAUCAGUAACACAAUAAUAAAUUAUUAAUAAAAUCAGUCGGGGUUGUUUGGUAAAUUUAGGGAUUACUGUCCGCUUUUAAUCUCUCCCCUUCCUUGUUUGCUCCAUAUUCUCAUCUUAUUUCAAGGCCCCUCUUCUCUCUCUCUCUCUCCCUUUCUCUCAUUGUUUGUUUUGGUGCUCGCCCUUGAAUCUCCUUCUCUUUCUCUUGCUUUUGCUGUUCUUAGGAGAGAAUAGAGGCCCGUUUAUCCGCAUUUAUUUUGCUUCUUUUUUUUUUUCCCCAUAUCGAUCGGUUGAUUCCGCUCAGGUAAAUCUCUCUUAUUUGUUUUCAUUCUUUUUUUUUUUUUUAAAGAAAAAAAUACUAGCGUUGAGUUAUUAUUUGCUUUGGUUUUUGAUUUAUAAAACCAGCUAGGAAAAAAAAUGCCUGGUUAAUAAUCAGCUCAUGUGUGGACGCGUCUUUGUUUAUCUGCUCACCUUUCUGGGUAAGAAAUUACGGGUCCACUGUAGCUCGUCUUGAAAUCCUUGAUUUUUUUUUCCUUUAUCUAAGUUUUCAAAACUUUUUAACGCUUUUGAGAUAAUUUUCAAUAUUUUAAUUCCAACUUCUGCUGUUGUUCCAAUAUCUGCUGCUGCUGUUGAUUUAUAUAAUGUAAUUGUUGCAUACUUGCGUUGGUAUGACGAUGUAGCUGUAAUGUUCUUGAUGUUUAUCCUUUCAAGGAAAAAUUUAAAAUUUUUUGAGCUUUGAUGAUGUACAUUUAUAUUUGUAUAUGUGGAUGCCCGUAUUGACAGUAAAAUAUUGAUUGAUUGAUCGAUUAGUUUUUCGGUUUACUUAGGCCACUACUGCUUUCUUAUGUUUCUUUGUGAAAUCGAUAAGCCUGUUGGCAUAAUCGAUGGCUGUUUAUGGUCCAUCUUACAGUCAUAUUCAUAUUCAUGCCGUUGCGGUCUAAUUGUAUGCAUGUCGAUGAAUGGAUGUAUGAAGUUUUUCAUAUUCAUAUCGUUAAAUCAAGCUGCUUGUGCAAUUAGGUCAAGUUGUCUUCUAUUUAAUGCCUUUUAUACGGCUGCAUCAUCUGGGAGUUUGUUUACCAGCAAAAAUUAAUGUUGUUCUCCUUGUUUUACUGUGGCAGGUUUGCUGUCUUUUUUUUGGAACGAUAAAGAGUAAUUUAUACGGAAACUUAUAUCUGCCCUGAUGCAAGGGCAAAGGGGUACUAUUGGUUCCUUGCCAGAAACCUUAAGCUUUGACCAUGGAUCUACCUCAACUUCUGCUGUUGAUCAACAAAUGUUCUGGAAUAAUAUGCGGAAUCCUCCAGAAAGUCGACCUCCAGAUAAUAUGCUAUCACCCGCCGGUACAAGGACAACCAUGACAUAUGUGAACUCAAUGAGUCAUGAACAGCAAAUGUCAACUGCUUGGAGCUUAGGUGAACCUAGCUCGCAUGGCCCCCAAAAUAAGGUUACCCAUGAUGAGCGGAGAACACAGCAUGGCUGGCAAUGUGAACCUACUAGUAGUAUGCCGGUGGAUGGCGCUAAUGUUAAUCCUAUGUUGGUGCAAAGUUCCAACUCCAAUAUGAUGUCCCAAAAUCUCAACUUAAAUGCAGGUUUUGUGAGUGAUGAUGGUGAUAAUUUUCAAGUCAUGGGAUGCCCUAAUUUACACAAGUCAGGCUCAUCAGUAGAUGAGCGGAUUCCACCUCCUGGUAGUUCUGAUUCUUUUCUACUGCCUUCAGGAAGUGGUGGAUAUCUGGCCGAAGAGAAUAAUGGUAGACCUGGUAGUUCAUCUGAGGGUGGUCGCCGUGCCUCUUGCAAAAGAAAAGCUCUUGAAGGAAAUGUCGAAAAUUCAUCUGUCGGUGGAACUUCUAGUUACUUUCAGCAUGCAGAAAGUAGUGCUUGCUCUGCUGUAUCUGCUUCUUACAAUGGAGGCAGCAGUUUAAGUAUAUCUGAUCCUUCUGGGCAGGUGAACUCAGGACGUGGAUUAGGUGUGAGAGGACCAGUUCGUGAUGGCCUUCCUGAAUGGCCUGUGGCAGGAAAUGCAGAAAGAUCCAGAAGAAACUACCGUGUGCGUAUACACCCUUCAAACCAGCAAAAAGUUAUGCCCUAUGCUCAAUUUCCAACAAACGCUGCAGUUAGACAUUCUAGUAUUUCAUCUACCCAAGAGUCAUCAAGACUUCCACCGAAUGAUCAAUCUUUGGACUCAAUGACAGCUCCAUCAGUCGAAAAUACAGGUCCUCAAAGUCAGCCUGUUCUAUUGCACGUACCCAUGUUUCCACAAAAUUUGCAACCAUUUCGGUGGGAUAAAGGUUCUAGCUCAAGGAGUGGAAGUUCAUCCAGUUCUAAUGGUGCCAGAGAUAGGGAUGUUCAACGCGAGGAAGCCAGACCAAGAAUAAUGGGAAGAAAUAUAUUGGAAAAUCCUAUGUUUAUUCCUGCACCUGAUUUGAGAAAUUUGGUUCGGAGUCCGGCAAAUAGAAGUUUAGCUGGUGGAAAUAUAAGUACACCAGGAAAUGUUGCUUCUUCAUCUAGAGCAGGUUCAAGUUCAGGUGUUCAUCCACCAUCUGCUCCUACAUGGGUUCCUCAUCCAAAUCCUUAUCAAUAUCCACGUAGGUUUUCAGAAUUGAUUCGCCGAUCAUUGACUUCUUCCUCUGGUUCUGAGUCUGCGGGGCAGAGCAGUAAUCAAACGCCACCGCGUUCAGUUCCGCUUUCCCCUGAAGAGAUGGUGCUUUCAUCUGGAGCUGGUAAUCAGAGGCAUCAUCCGUCUUACCCUAGGUCAGCAUCACGGUUGGAGAGACAAGACGGUGUACUUGGAUUUCCGCAUCCAUUGCGAGCUUUGGCUGCUGUCGGUGAAGGAAGAAACAGGGUUCUUGUAUCUGAGGUCUGUUCUUGAAUUUUCGGUUGUCUGGCUAUGAUGUUUUUCCCCUUAGAAUUUCGUUAUAAUUUAAUAUACUGAAUAUGGAUAACAUUUUGGUUGGUCCUUAUUAUAUCAAAAUUCUGAUCUGUUUCUACUGUGAUGGUCAUCAUAAUCUCUGCUUCCUAAGUUAAAAACUCAAAAGUUGUGAUGACUAAUGUUAUCUGUUGACUCAUAUAUUUCUUUGCUUUUCCAAGAUGAUGUAUCAUUUUCAUCCCACCUUUUCUAUCUGUGUAAUGUAUCUUUAGGAUCAUGUGUUUAUUCUUUAAAAAAAGAACAAAGAAAAGGGUGUACAUGAGGAAACUUUUCUCUGUAUGAUGAGGUCUCUUGCAUCAUCAAUGUCGGCAAGUGCUUUUCUUGCUUAGUUUCUUAUUUAUCAAUUGAGGCACUUUAGCCAAACAUUUCAAAUUGCUGCUGUCUGAAACUUAAAUUUUGUUUAUCAUUUGGACAUUCAUUGUUUUUCUAUUCCAUGUUUAGGUGUUGUAGCAAACACUAAUUGUUUCUCUUCUUUGUCUGUGCAUGCGCAUGCAUGUGUUCAUAUUUAAUUUGAAAAGUAAUCAUGUAUUAGAAAUGUUUCACUUCUUUUUUUUUUCCCCUCUCUUUUUGUGCCUACUGUGUUUCCUAAUUUCACUUUUUUCAAUGUUAUCCAAUACUAUUGGCAAAUGAAACAUUGAAUGGGAACUUAUAUUGUGUUAUCUUCAGCAGAUUCGCAAUGUGUUGGAUCUCAUGCGUAGGGGAGAGGGCUUGCAAUUUGAGGUUAGAUCUCACAUCUAUGUAUAUAUUAAUAGACAAAAUCACUAGCAUUCUAUGAUGACUAACAUAAAACAUGGAAAUACACAUAAUUUUAUUUUGUCUACAAUUCAGGCUUAUGUAAUUUAACAUCGGUAGCCAACUUUCUCUUUUUGGUUUAUGGAUGUUGAACCAAGUGUUAAAAGAGAUUAGGUACUUCUUUAUUUUGUUGAAAACAAGGUGGCUUGACAUUUGACUUUGUCCUUGUCUGUGCCAGGAUGUUAUGAUUCUUGACCAGUCAGUCUUUUUUGGGGUGGCUGACAUUAAUGAUCGGCAUAGAGAUAUGCGGCUUGAUGUUGAUAAUAUGUCAUAUGAGGUAUAAUUUGUACAAGGAUUUUUGACAUGUAAAUUCCAGCUUACGGAGAAUAUUUCGUUCAUAACACAAUGUUUGUUGGGAUUAUAGGAAUUGUUGGCUCUGGAGGAGCGCAUUGGAAAUGUGAGCACAGGAUUGACUGAAGAAACUAUCAAAAACCGUUUGAAACAGCAGAAAUAUUCAAUUUCCCUGGGAUCCCAACAGGAGCAAGAACCGUGUUGUAUCUGUCAGGUAAUGACUUGCUAUAUUCUGGUUGAUUCCAGUUUCCGUGAAUUUGUCAUGAAGUGAUUUUAUUUUCUUCAUUGUUUACCAAUGUAUUUUUUGCUUAAUCUUUGUUUUGUAAUGCACAGGAGGAAUAUAAUGACGGAGAAGAUACAGGAAUACUACAUUGCGGGCAUGAUUUUCACACCAGUUGUAUUAAACAAUGGCUGAUGCACAAAAAUUUGUGCCCCAUUUGCAAAACAACGGCCCUGUCCACCUCCUCAUAGAGGAACAUUAGUUUUGGGCUGUGGUUUCUCAAAUUGGAUGAUCAUGAAUUUGUUCAUUAUUGUAUUCCUAAACUGGUAGGCAAUGCAAUGUGCAACCUGCCAAUCCUAUGCAUCCUCGUUGAAGCUCGUCCAGGCCUCCCCUCUCCCGUAGCCAGAUCUUCCUCACCCCCCCUCCCCUACUUUUUCUCUCUGGCUAAAUUUUAUUUUCGGAAGCAAUCGAUGUUUGUAACCGAAGAGAGCAACUCUAGCCUUUAGUUUCUCCGUUUGCUAAUGAACAAUUAAUUUAAGUAAUGAUGCCCAUUGAGCAUUCAGAUUAAUGCAAUUAAAAUUUAUAUUACUUGUUCGCUUUUUUUAUUGUGGUAUUUCUUAAGAACAGAAAGGCUAGUCAAGCUUUGGUUGGUGUGAACUGAGAAUGAUACAUCAGUUAUUUAUUUUCCAUUCUAAUUGGAGACUGAUGUCCCAAAUUUUCCUGUAAAAGAGAGCUUAUGAAAGAGACGAUACACGUACUUGGACGUCUCAUCCAAUCAAAAAAUAAUUUUUCCCAGUCGGUGCAGGGGAUUGGGGAUCUCCUGAUCAUACCCUUCUGUUUUGUAACAUUUCUGAAGCAUGGCUUAUCGGUGUCGGGGAGAUCGCAUUUAGCGGGCUCUUGGCCGAAGGAUCUUUACUUCCAAAGGCUUCACGUCACCGAGCCCACUAACCAAGCAUGCCAUUUUUGAAAUGAGAAUGCGUGGAGAUGGAGGCCUAACCUUGUUGGUUACCUAGUUACUCGAUUUUUUGUUCCCAGCACGCCACAAAAGGUGACAUCGGGAAUUGCAUUCUUUUCGUGGCUUAAUUUCAGUGUAACCCUCUAUUUACUAAUCAACUUCAAAUCACCCCUUGCUUGGGUUGGAAUUGACAAUUGACCUUCCUUCAGUUGACUUGUGCAAGUACUUUUUAGCCAUUGACAUUUUACUCAGUACUCAAAAUUUUCUUUAAGAAGACAGCUCACCCUUAGUCCCCUACAAAUUAUUAAUUUUAAAAUAAAAUUAAUAAUAUUCUAAUAGACAAUCAGGAAAGUAAAAAGAGCUUUUACCUUCCCUAAAAAUUUAAAAAAAAAAAUAAAAAUAAUGAUAAUAGUAUUCUAAUAAAAAUAAAGAAGUAAAAGAAUUUUUAUUUUCAUCUUUUUCUUUCGCAUGUUUAAUUUUAUCUUUGAUUUUUCAGUUUUAACAUUUUUCUCUUUAAAAUUUCAAUAAUGUGCUACUUUGGUGCUUCUUAGAUACAAAAGCCACAAACAAAGGAAAAUUUUGAAAAGGAAAAAAAAAAAGACCAAGAUACAAUUUAUUAAUAUUUUUGCAACUAUCAUAGGCUGUCAUAAUGCUCUAUAUUAUUAAUCUUCUGAUUUUGUAGGUUUUGGCUACGUAGUCAAAAUUGGAGGAGGGAGUAAGUUAUGGCUGAUUAAGAUAGCACAAUCCGUAAUUUGAGGAAUACUUUUUUAUUAAUUUAAUUUUUAAAAUCAUUUAAGAUAGAAAUAAUAAUAAAAUGACAAAUUUACCUGUAGUUUAAAAUGUAAACGGAAGCAACUAACAGAUUAGGAUUGCGAUGAUGAUUUCAAAAAUUUUGGAAAUAAAUCGAUGUUUGUUAAAAUUUGAAGGGAAAAAGAGGAAAUUAACCCUCCUUUUGGUGCCUUAAUUAAUGCUUCGUUCAGAACAACGGUAGACGUUUGGUUGGAUAAGGCUGUGAAGUCUGAAAUCUGUCUGACUGUCUCUUUGACUUUCCCCGGCAGAGGUUAAAAACAAACCAAUUUUGCCUUUAUAAAUUGAGAAAUCACGGGGAACCAACUCUAAUUUCAAUUUAAUCCCACAUAAAAAUUAACAAAAGUUUAAAUAUUUUAAUAGAUUUUUUAAAGUUUAAAUUAAUGAUAAAUUAGAUACAAAAAUUUGUCCGAGUGAAAUUGAAGUGAGGUUUAUUAAUAGGGUGCAUAUUAUUAUUAUUAUUUUCUAAAGUAUUUAAAAAUUUAAUACUUUUAAAUAGCAUCUUUAUUCUCUAAGAAUUUCAACAUCAAAAAGUUCAAAAUUUAAUACUUUUAAAUUUCAGCGUGUGUUCAGAAAAUUAAAAGAUAUCAAAACUUAUUAUUAUUAUUAUUAUUAUUAUUAUUAUUUUACUUGUUUGGUUAUCACAAACCCAUUGUGCAACACAUUGGUUUUGGACCAAAAAGUCUCUCUUAAAACUAAUAAUAUAAAAACUAAAAUCAAAUAUUCACAACAACAUUAAAAAAACUAUGUAUAUAUAUAGAGUUUCAUGAAGCUUUCAACACCACUAAAAAAUCACUUUUUAAAUCAUUUAACCAAUGAGUGGAUUAUUGGCAACCCUCUAAAUGUCUCUUAACACCUCUUUUUUUAAUUAACCUCAUUAAAAUAUUUUAAAAUUUAUAAAAUUCUUUUAAAGCCUCCAUCAAUGAAAAAAAACUCUUAAUUAAAACUUAUUAGUGUACAUGUUAUUUAGUAAUUUUAUUUAUUUUUAUUAUUAAACCCCAUUUCAACAAUAAGGUUUCUUCCAUUUAAAAAAAAAAAAAAAAGGCAACCACUGAUGGAUGGUAAACUCCUCACCUGAAAAUUAGAGAAAAAAAGCAACUUUUUUAAUUUAUAAAAUGUUAGAUUUUUUUAAGGGAAAAGAAUUAUUUGACUUUUGAGUGGAGGUUUAAUUAGAAAUUGUCCUAUUAUGUAAUUUUAAUAAAUGUUAAAAUUAUCCUCCAAAAAAAGGUUAAAAUUGUAAACUAAUUAAAGGGAUUUUAAGAGGUAUUUGGAGGGGUGUCAAUAAUCCGGGUUAUGAUUCUCUCAUAAUCUGAUCAUGUCCUAAGCAAAUAACUCAGUUGCUGAUUGAUUGUUAAUAAAUGAAAAAGUAAAAGAAGUUAAAUCUUACCCAUACACUACCACUAAAAGACACAUAUCAAAAGAUUUUUAAAAGCUCAGUAAUGAUCAGACCAGGAGAGGAUCUUGUUCCCAAUAAUCCCACUCUUAACCAAUUACUAGUGUUUGAUAUGUUGGAAUUACUCUUAUGAUAUCAAAGUGCUUUAACAAUCAACUAAAAUAAAGUAUCAUAUGAUGAAUUCUUAUAUAUGAAAAAAGUUCGUGAUGAUUUUUCUAAAGUAUUUUGACUAUUAAUCAUAAUCAAAAGAAAAAGGAGUAUAAAUGACUUUCAAAAAAUUAAAAAAGAAAAGAAAAGAAAAAAAAAGGAUUCAUUAAUGCAUAAUGGGGGGAUGGGGAACAUAUAAGGUGGUAGAUCUGAGAUAUAACAGAAAAUUCGGGGGGAAAAUAUAAAAGCGAAGUAAUAGGUAGGAAGAAAUUGAAACCGAAGAAAUUGAAACCGAAGAAAUAAUGUAAUUAGGGCGGGAGAUUAAUCAAAUUUGAUUAGAGAGAGAGAAUGCUGUUAAAAAGAAACAAAUACGAAAAGCCAACAAAAGAGCACAGAAAAAGAGAGAGAGAAAGAAAGAAACAGCACCCCGGGGGCACAAAACCAGAGGAAGAGAAACCGAAGCGAGAGCAGCAGAAACACUCUGUCUGCGUUGCACUUUACUAAAUCAAACAAAACCAUUCUCUCUCUGCUGAUUUGUUCUUUCCUUUUCCUUGUCCUUUUCUUUUUCUUUUAAGUUUAGUUUUCGAAAAUACAAUUAUCUUCUGCAAAUUCAUGGCCGAUCUGUACGGAACAACGCCGCCAACUGCCGGCCACGAACCAGAAGAAAUCUCUUCAUUUUUAAACCAAUUUAUACACAAUUCAUCGUCGUCGUCGUCUUCUUGUUUUUUCGCUCAGCCGGAGGAUCGCCACCCUUUCGGCCGAUCGGCUGACCCCUCUGUUCUCGACUCUUCUUCUGCUGGUCUCAAUUUCUCUAAUUUGGUCGUCGGUGCCGUGGACUCCGAUACCAAUGAUAGUGAGGUAGUUUUGUUUGUUUUAUCUUUUUUUUUAAAAAAAAAAAGUAUAAAUAUUUUUAUUUAAAAAAAAAACUCUGAAGUUUAUUAUUAUUACUAUUAUUUUGAAUGUAGAAGGGUCCUGAUGCAUUGGAGGUGCCAUCGAACGACACGGUUCGAACUAAAACGUCGUCUAAACGGAGCAGGGCUGCUGAAGUUCAUAAUCUGUCAGAAAAGGUUUCCCUUCAAGCUUGAAUUUUCUUUUUUCCCCUUUGUACUUUUAAAAGUGGAAUUUUUACUUUAUUUAUUUGUUCAUGGACUUUGUUGAUGUGUAUGGUUUAUUGUUUGGAAGAGGCGGAGGAGUAGAAUUAAUGAGAAACUGAAAGCUCUACAGAACCUAAUUCCCAAUUCUAACAAGGUUGUUAUUUUUGCUCUGUGUGUAUUUAUAUAAAUAAUUUUCGCCUUGAUUUUUUUCUUCAAAUAUAUUUUCUAGCUAAGGUGAAUGAUUGUUUGGUGUUGUACUUGUAUGAUAAUAGACUGACAAAGCUUCAAUGCUGGAUGAGGCUAUCGAAUAUCUCAAGCAGCUUCAACUCCAAGUACAGGUCAGUUUUCACUUUUCAUUUAGACAGAAACAUGAGAUUAGGAUCUUCUGAGGAUGAUGUUGCUAGAACUAGAACUUUGUCUUUUCUGACUGAACUAUAGUGUGCAUAAAAAUUGAUUUAAAUUAAUUUCUGGUUCGGAAUUUGAAAGCAAUCUCGACGUUUACAUGAUUACCAUCAGCUUAGCACCCUCCAUGGCAGUUGAAAAUUGCUCUACACAUAACCACAGGAAUGAGUUUACUAGUGAAUAUAUGUUGCAUUUCACGUUGUGAUUGAUGGUAAAUUAUCCCAAAUACCUCCCUGUGUGUCUUAGUAGUUGUUAGCUAGUUCACUUUCCGUAGCAUGCCAUUAUUAGCCACAGUCAACGAAUCAAGUCAUAAAUUAGGAACUAUCUUGUCCUUUGUUUCAGUGGGUUCCUUAGGGAUCAGUUUGGGGAGCUAAUAGAUAAUUUUGACCAUCCCAGCCCAUGGUCAUCAGAAUCUAUGAGAUAUUUUAUAAUUCUAAACUCACGCAUUUGUUUCUAUCCAUAUUUGGGUUUGUGUGAGUAAAUCCCUUGUUUCCCAAUUCCAAUUUUUCUUGUCUUCUAUUUUUGGAUUUUCUCAGCACGUUUCCUGCAGUCCGUACUCGCGUAUAACAGUCUGGAGGACCAAAUUAUUUUUAACCAUCAGAAUAUGAAGUUUUUAUAAGUUGUUAGAUGUUGAUUUAGUAUUUCCUUUUUCAGACUGGAUCAAAAUACUAGCUUUUGGUGCAUUCACUUGCCUUCAGAGCAAUAGUGUACUUCAUUUUAUCACUAUCAUCUACCUGUACAACGACUAUAUAAGCCCAAGAACUAAAGGUGAAUGUGUCAUUCUGUUUAUAAGAUUCUUUGUUGCAUCAAGUUUCUAGUAAUAACUUGGUAGUAGGCUGCACUAGGACUAGUUAUUAAAUCAGGAUUGGAUUUUGUGUUGCCCAGAACUCUGUUCCUGUUACUUCUUCACUUAACACAGAGAGCAGUAAAUAGCAACAAUAGUUAUCAAAAUUCAAUUUUUUGCUUUAUUGUGAUUGGUUCACAGAUGUUAACAAUGAGAAAUGGAUUGAGUUUGCACCCAAUGUGGUUACCAGGAGUACUACCAUCUAUGCAACUGCCUCAGAUGGGAAUGGUAUUUGAUGAGGGUAAUGGACUGUUGAAUACCGAUGGAGGAACCGAAACAUUUUCUGCAAAUGAAGAAAGCUCGGUGCAAACUGGUUUUAAUCUUUCCAGCCAAUGUACCAUCUCUGAUCAGCCAGUUGCCUUACCUUCAGCAGCAAAUAUUAGCACAUCAGAAACUGCAUUUGGACUUGAACCACUGAUUCAGGCUCACUAUGGACCCUUCACUCUCCCCUCUUCUUCCAAGGUAAACUAUACUGUGAGUAACUAGUGAAUUCAUCUCUGUUCUAGGAUCUAACAAAUGCCGAUAUUUCUUGCAAUAUGAAGGAAAUCUGCAGUGAAGGUGCACCUCAUCUGCAUUUGGAUAUGAAUUUCAAUGGAAAGAACUCAUCUGGCGUGUCGUAGCCAAGAUCUUUAUCCUCAAAGAUGUAGCGUAUGACACAAUAGCCACCUUCUUAAAGAGUUGCAAUUGGUCAAACACCAUAGAAACUGCAAAUAAUCCUAAAAAUUGCUGACGUUUCACAGUUAAUCAGCUUUCUUAUGUCGCAAGCCACAACAGUUUGAACUGUUGACAUCUGUUUAACUUAUAUAAAAAUCUAUUUCAGAAGCAUAUGGAGUCUUAUCAAUGACGGAACCAAUUUUUUUUUGUAUAUUGUGCGGAUGCUUCUAUUAUGCCUUGUAUGAACUGGAACUGUGUUUGAUGGAUUUUGAAGAAAAUGAAGAAGAAAAUUUUCCAAUGUGAUGUGCUGAAAUACAAAUCUCUUAUGGUGAUCAUUGAUCAACGCGUACAAAAGUUGUAGAAGAUGAUGAUGCCUCCUGAUGUCAAACUUCUUGAUUGAGACCUAAAUUUUUUCUUUCAACUUCCAUUAGGAUACAUUGAAAUGAAAAAUCAAGGUAAAUGAAAAAUUAAAAUUUCAACAUCAAUCCAACACAAAUUCUCAAUUUUAAGUAUAAAAUAAACAAGUUCAUAUAAAAAAAUCAUAAAUUAAUAUCUAAAAAUAACAAUUAUCAUUCAACAUAAAUUCUAAGAGAAGAUGUUCAUUUCAUUCACCUCCAUUAGCACCCAUCCAAUACGAUUCCUAUAAUAAUAAUAAUUAAGAUUAAUAUUUUUUAAAAAAUAAUACUUUUUAACUAUUAAUCAGAGGAAUAAAAAUUAUAAUGAUGAAAUAAUCCAUGUAUUAAGUUAAAGAAUAAUAAGUCAUGCAAAAUUAUAAUAAGUAUAUAAUAAUCUAUGUACUAAGUUAAAGCAUGUUAGGACUAGGCAUGUUGCAACUUGCGUUGGCACUUUACAUCAUUUACUUUAUAUAUUUUUAAAUUCAAAUAUUUUUAAAAAAUUGUCGGUUGACGGAUAUUCAUGCGGGUAUCCGUAAGAUAUUUGGUUAAUACCAAACCUACCGACAACUUAAUGCAGGUUUAGAUUUAUAAUACUAAACAUGCCCGCAAUCUACAAAAUUAUCCUGUAGUGGACAAGUUUUGACAAUUGGGUUUGGACAGAUUCAUGAUUUUGCGGGUACCAUAUUGCCAUCCUUAGGCUCUGCUGGUUGUAGCGCAAUCCUUGUGACCACAAGCUUUUGAGAAAAUGAUGGGCUUCAGGCUACUUUUGCGUCGCACUAACACGAAGAGGGACGAACAAAUCUACACGCCAUGUGCAACAGAUUCAAUGAAAGAGAACAAUUAUAACUGCUCUCGCGAAGUACCAACAAGUCAUAAAUUUUAUGUUGCCAUUAGGAGCGGUAGCGUUUUCAAGUAUGGUGACUUACAACUUUUGACUUAUUUGUGCUUGCACAAUAACAAUACCUUCACACUAAAAUCAAGCUAAUUUAUUGCCGACCAUUGUGAUUGUGAAGUAAGUUUCUAAGCGGUCAUUGUGUACACGGAAUGCGAAUCCUUGUUGAAUUUUUUAUUAAAAAAAAUUCUAGGAGAAGUCUUGUGCGGGAAAAUUUUCACCGUGUCAUCUAUAAGGCGUCUAAUAAAAGCCUUACUACGUAUACUUUCAUUUGAAGAGCAAUCAAUCAUCAAAUUUGUAGGAUGAGUGAGAAAAUUAUAAGUGCACGUUACAACUUGUUCUCGCUUCCCCGUAUAUGGUUGCCCAGUUUAUUGAUUUUUUAUGACAAAUUGGUAACUUACAUCCUCUAAACACAUGUUGCCAUAUUGGUAAACUUAAUACUGAUAUGGACAUCCCCAUAUUAAAGGUGAAAAUUUGUCCCAAUUAACUUUCAAAAUAACAAAUUUAGCAUUCAAUUGACAAACAUUAAAAAGAGUACUGGAUCGUUAUUUCAAGUAUGACUUAUAACGAGUGUGACAGCUGUUACGAAAAUGAUUGAAUUUAUCAAAAAUUCAAAGAUAGGGAGUGAUCUUAGAUUGAAUGGCCAUAUGGGUGAGGACUUCCCUUAGUAUAACAAAUUCCGGAGACUGGAGCGGAAAAGAUCAUUUGCUUGAACUAAUUUUGAAAAGAGACAAGGGGUGGCAUCAUCAAAUUCAAAUGGGUGGUUUGUUAUGAUAUUUAAUUUUAAAUAAUGAGUUGAUCUAUCUCUUAUGGAUGGUAGAUCAGAGGGAGUUAGUUUCAAAGUCAUGAUUGUCAUUCAGAUACGAACAAAAAACUCCAGCUUUAGCAGUCGUACAAUAGAGCCAUUCUUCAGAGAAUCUUAUAAAAGUUUUUGAGAGUUACGGAUAAAUGCAAUCACCUCCAGACUAGAGAAAGUUUCUGAAACUGAAACUUUUGCGUCUUAUGAAUAUGAAUAUUAAAACAAAGAGAUAAGAGAGAAAGACAAGGAUUCUCCAAAAGACCAAAGGCGCUAAAUGGCGUGGUUUCUUGUAAUUUUUUUAAACGAUAACGGCCAUUGCCAUAUUAUCAUGGCUUGUGCUGCGGUAUCACGCGAUGCCCUCUUCGAUUUCACCCUUUUACUUCACCUAAAUUAUCCAACUGCCACACACUUUAAUUUUGCACCCAUUAUUCCACGCUUUUCUACUAACUGGACUAUUGUUUUAGAUUAACAAGUAACGUUAAUUCUAGUCAUUCAUGGAAUUUUGAAAGCAAUGACAUUAUGUCAGUGUCAUAAUUUAAACUCGGCAUAUUUGAGAAAGGUGAGUGUUGUAAAUAAACAAGUGAAGGAGGGUUGGCAAAGUAAAAAGUGUAAGAUGGCCGGUUUAGAAAUCUUGACUGGCACGCACGGGCUGAGCGUACUUAUCCGUUUUUGUUUGGAAACCAAAUAACGGCAUUGUCUGUCUCAUGAUUGUAUUUUGGUCACAAAAAAAUAAAAUAAAAAUAAAUAAAACUAUCACACUUCCGCCAACUUUUUUCCUUAUAAGAAAGAAAUGCAGACAAAUCUAUGCUUGCAAAUCGUCUUGUCAAGUGCCCCAAAGCAAAACAAUUUGCGGGUUAAUUCUAGUUUUGAUGUUUCUGGUGUUUCCAGCGGUAGUGAAGAGAAAAAAUUAGGUUAGAGACCAUGAAACAGCCUGAUAAUUCAAGGACUCAUAGCCCCACGACGGCCGAAAUGGAAACAACACCAGCAGAAGCAGAAGAACAAGCACGAGCACAAGUGGGUAAAAAGAGAAGUAGAAAUAUUGGAAAGGCUGUAAGCGGAGGUGAAUCGGAGCACGAGAUGCAUAUAUUGACUGAGAGAGAAAGAAGGAAGAAGAUGAGGAACAUGUUCUCUAAUCUUCAUGCUUUGCUUCCUCAUCUUCCUCCCAAGGUAUUCGAUUUACAAACUCUUGCUCUUUCUCGCUCACUUCAAAUUUUAUCAAAAUUUUGCUCCCAUCAAGAUAUAUUAUACCCUAACUAUAAUAUAGUGUUACUAUACAUAUGAGUUAGGGUUACUAAAAUAUAUAUACGAUCAAUGGGCAGCUUCUUCAAAUUGAAUCAUUGAAAUUUUCUUAGUAUAACCUUUUGAUAUGGGAUUUCGUAUUGGAAAAACAUGAAGAUGAUAAUAAUUUUCCAAGUUUAUUAUGUAUAUUUCACUUCAUCUAUAUAUCCAAAAUUGCUUGGAUAAGCAGUCCUCCUGUUAUGCUUGGGGACAAUUUUAUGUAAGAAGUUCCAACUGCUAGCAAGGCAAAGUUGAUCUCGGCCGAAGGCAAAUGUAAUAAGACUAUAAAAUAUAAUACGCCAAAAAGCCUUGUUCUCUCUCCUUUAUAUAUUUAUAUAUGUUGCAUAUGAAUGAACCAUGCAUAACUUGAGCCAGCCUCAGUCGUCAAAUUGUGAUUGUAACUUCGAGUCUACUAAUUUGAAAUUUCUAAUUGAAUUAAUUUAUCAGAUGGCAUACUUGACGACAGCGUUUCAAACUUUCAGUCGCUUUGGAUGAUGCAUUUUGCAUUAUCGAUAGCUUAAUUGGAGCAUAAAUUCAAUGCCUACCAUAUAGCUGAAUGUUUAUUAUAAGGUUUCAAAUUAAAAUUUGCAAUUAAACAAUUUCAUACAUUAAUUUCUCAACGUUAGACAAACAUCGCUGAAUGAUGCUUUGGAUGGUCAUUAUAUUGUGCUGGUAAAAUGCCGACUGAUCUUAAUUUUUUUGUCUCUUGAAAUUUCAAUGAUCUGCAGGCAGACAAAUCCACCAUUGUUGACGAAGCAGUAAAAUACAUUAAGACUCUUCAGCACACUCACCAAACGCUUGAGAAACAAAAGUUUGAAAAGGUCCAGGGUGCAACUACUGUUGAUCAUGAACAAUCAAUUAUCGCAUCACCAUUAGAAGCAGUGGUCGAAUCAAGGGAAGCAUACUUGGCUGAUCAUCUGGGAUCAUCAGUACCGAAGAACUUGUCAAUGGCCGCAAACAUUCAUCAUUCACUACAAGUGCCAUCUGAUUGUUUUCAGACAUGGUUUUCUCCAAAUGUAGUAGUGAAUAUGUGUGGUGAUGAUGCUCAAAUCAGUGUCUGUUCACCAAGGAAGCCAGGGUUAUUGACCACCAUCUUCUACAUACUAGAAAAGCAUAAUUUGGAUGUGGUAUCUGCUCACGUUUCCUCUGAUAGGUAUCGUAGCAUGUACAUGAUUCACGCUCAUGUAAGUCCUAUACAUAUCAACUUAAUUAAUUAGCUUUCUUCAUAUUUAUAGCAAAUUUUGUAUUUUAGCAUUCAGUUGAUCAAUCCAGCUAUUGAUGCUCCAAUAAGUGGACAUGUAUAGAUUAGAUGAUUUAAGACCUGCAUACAUAGUAGGUAGGAGUUGAAGGCAGUUAUGUUUAUGGCAUCCACGAGGCUGAUUCUUUGCUAAGAUUUAUCACUUUUCAUUCCCAGGCUAGUUGUUACUGGUCACCCUUAAGUUAAGGACAUAUCUUAAGCAAAUCAAGUUCUCCAAGAAAAUUUAUACUGUACCCUUCCAUUACACUUCCCUCUGUUCUGAUUACCUUUUUCUCUUUUAGGGCAUAUCUGUACUGUUAAUUAUAUUGGUUAUUAAAGUAAAGGAAGAUUACUAGAUAAUGACUAUAUAUAUAAUUGGCUGUAAUUGUUCUUUUCUUAACGGAGUCUUCUUAAUAUAAAUAUAUCAGGCAGGUGGAGCUUCUGAUCAAUUUCCAGAGUCCAUAUCGGUUGAGGAAAUGUUCAAACUAGCCGUAGGAGAAAUGAACUUAUGGCUUCUGACGUGUUGAUUCUAAAAAUUUCUCGGUUAAAAGAAGCUACCAGUUGAGGAAAGCAAUAUUGGGCCUUCGGUUAAAAGUGGGAGUUCUUUUGAUUAAUUACAAAGGAAUUGGCGUAUACUUGUUUUUUUCCGUUUUGUUUCCUUUAUGUUAUAUGUUCCAUAUUAUUAGCUGCUAGAAUUAGGCAAGUAUAGAUGAUGCUCCUUUCUACAAAAAAAAAAAAAAAAAAAAAAGGAUUUCCAUUAAUGUAUAUAAACAGUAGAUCAAAGCAUACGCGCAAGUUCGGUUACUCUCUUCUUGAAUUUGCUUGUAUAAAUACAAGUUCGGUUACUCUCUUAUUGAAUUUGCUUGUAUAAAUACAAGUUUACUUUUGGGAAAUUUACAAAAAUGGCCAUAAAACUUUUUUAUUUUUCAAUUUUAGCCCUUCAAAGUUUUUUCUAUCAUAACUAACCAAACACCCUAUGUUUGGACUACAUUACCCUCAUCACUUUCAUCAAAUUUAUAAAGUCAUGCCACUUUUUCAAUUCCAGUACAAGUAAAUACGGAUCUUCCUCAACAACUUAACAAACCUUCAUCACUCUCCACAAACUUCAUCAUUCUCGAUAAAUCAAUUGCAUAAUUGAAUAUAUAAUCAUCAAUGGGAGAGCUUCUUAAAAUUAGUUUAUGCUCUUACAUAAUGUAAACCUUUAAUUUAUUGAUUUUAUCAACUAAGUUCGAAAUUAAAGUGGGUUUUGUGGCAAAUAUUGUUAUUUUUCAUUCAUAAAACAAUGUGAUUUGUUAAAGUACUUAGUUUGAGUUGAGAAAUGAAGAAAAAUCAUUGAAAACACAGAAAAAUCGGGCAAAAAAAUGAAAUUCAGAACAAGUGAGACAUGCAAGUGGGACAGGUGCAUGUCUCACAUAAACGCACUGCAUUUAUGUGCGAUAGGCACCUGUCCCACUGCCUAUCGCACAUAAACCCACGGAUUUUAUGGAAUACAUGAUUUUGGAUUUGAUUUGUCUCGUCGUAAGCUUCGAAACGGUAUAUUAUACGCCUAAAACGGACAUAUAUAGCUCAAGUUAUGGCUUUCGAAAUAUAUAUGAAAUUUAGUGAGACAGACACAUGUCCCACUUGUAUGUCUCACUAAAUUUCAUAUAUGUCUCGAAAGCCAUAACUUGAGCUAUAUAUGUCCGUUUUAGGCGUAUAAUAUACCGUUUCGAAGCUUACGACGAGACAAAUCAAAUCCAAAAUCAUGUACUCCAUAAAAUCCGUGUGUUUAUGUGCGACAAGCAGUGGAACAGGUGCCUGUCGCACAUAAAUGCAGUGCGUUUAUGUGAGACAGGCACCUGUCCCACUUGCAUGUCUUACUUGUUCUGAACUUCAUUUUUUGCCCGAUUUUUCUGUGUUUUCAAUGAUUUUUCUUCAUUUCUCAACUCAAACUAAGUACUUUAACAAAUCACAUUGUUUUAUGAAUGAAAAAUAACAAUAUUUACAACAAAACCCACUUUAAUUUCGAACUUAGUUGAUAAAAUCAAUAGAUUAAAGGUUUACAUUGUGUAAGAGCAUAAACUAAUUUUAAGAAGCUCUCUCAUUGAUGAUUAUAUAUUCAAUUAUGCAAUUGAUUUAUCGAGAAUGAUGAAGUUUGUGGAGAGUGAUGAAGGUUUGUUAAGUUGUUGAGGAAGAUCCGUAUUUACUUGUACUGGAAUUGAAAAAGUGGCAUGGUUUUGUAAAAUUGAUGAAAGUGAUGAGGGUAAUGUAGUCUAAACAUAAGGUGUUUGGCUAGUUAUGAUAGAAAAAAACUUUAAAGGGUUAAAGUUGAAAAACGUAAAAAUUUUAUGGCUAAUUUUAUAAAUUUCCCUUUACUUUUCCAUUCGACAUAGUGACAGGCUGCGAUCAUGGGUCCAAGUCCAACAGAGUCCAGCAGGCUCAGGGGUGCUUUAUCAAUAGCAGUGGACCUAAACCAGACAGCACAUUUGAUGUUAAGACUUGACAGUGCACUUUGUCACAUGAAGAAAUAUAAAAAACGCAACGAAUUAAGAAUAGAAAUAAUUCCAAAUGUGUAAAUAAUAUAUUCUUUGAUACCACUGACCUAAGACCGCAUGAGGCAUCUAAUGGAGGGCAAUUAUUAAAGCAACAAUAGUCAAAGACCUUUUCCCCCUACAUAAAGAUAUUUAAAGUUUAAUCCUUAAAUUAAACUAAUAAUGCUCCUCCGCCUGUUCCCAUUUCAUUUCUUUCUAUUUCAUUCAUCCCAAUUCCCACAAUAAAAUACGUUGUGAAUAAGAUAUCAAAUUCCACAAACGUAUCUCAGACUAGAAACUCCACUGUGCAUGGAUUAGAGAAAUGCAUUUAGGUCACAAAAAAACACUAAUGGGUAAUGGGGUUUUAUCUCCGUUCUAGAAGUCCCAUCAUGCCAGCUCUGUCUCUCAAAACAAAAAUGACCUCAUUCAACAUCAUCUCUGCCCGCUGCAGCAAGUGCUAGUCCCAACAAAAUACGACACACCACACUCUGUCUCUCUGUUUCUUGUUUUCAUGAAAUUAGGAGCCGAAAUUUGACUCACAAAGGGCUUUGCUGCAAUGUCUCAUUACUCGUUCUUGAACGAUCAGCUCUCUAAGAGAACCUCAAUUUUCGGGUUACGUUUAUGGGUUGUUCUUGGUAUUUGCGUAGGAGCUGGAAUAGUUCUAGUUCUCUUCCUCAUAUCUCUUUGGUUCACUUCAAAACGCAAUAGCAACAACUCAAAACGACAGCUCAACGCUGCCAAGUCAUCCUCUCUCUGCAGCAACUACAACAGCAGCAGCGGCAACCCAACAAUUCCAAACAUUUCCAAAGAAAUUCAAGAAAUCCGAAUCGACCCGGACUCCAACUCGAACUCCAACUGCAAACCUCAUUCCGCGCCAAAUCCUGACCCGUUACCCGAACCGGAGCCAAUUUUGGUUGAAGACAGCCCCGUUAGCGGCCGCAACAGAAUUCACAUCGAAAUAGGGAAAGACCACCGGAUUGCUUACCCGGAACGGGCCUCCGGGUCGCAUCACGGGUCCGGUGAUCAGACGGUGGCUGCGGCAAUUACGCCGGAGGUUUCACACCUGGGAUGGGGCCAUUGGUAUACUUUGAGAGAGCUUGAGGUGUCCACUAAUGGGUUUGCUGAUGAGAACGUGAUUGGUGAAGGUGGUUAUGGAAUUGUUUACCAUGGCGUGUUAGAGGAUAACACCAAUGUUGCUGUUAAGAAUUUGCUUAACAACAGGUGCUGGAUGCACCUUUUGUUUUUGUAAGUUUAUGUUUUGCUAUUGCAUGUGGCUUUUGUUGAAGAGUUUGUUCUGGUUUGCGACAGGGGACAGGCUGAGAAGGAGUUUAAGGUUGAAGUGGAAGCAAUUGGACGUGUCCGACAUAAGAAUUUGGUGAGAUUGUUAGGUUAUUGUGCUGAAGGAGCUCAUAGGUACUUAAGUUUGAUAAAUUCUGAAUCUUUGAUUGGUUUUACCUAUUUGCAUGCUUGGACUUUCCGUGGAUGUCUAACAUUUAAAGAUUUGUGAAUAGCUAUUAUCUCAUGAGCUUUCAUGGCUUCAGUUGAAUGUAAAUGCUUGGUCGUUGUAGGAUGCUUGUUUAUGAAUACAUUGACAAUGGCAACUUGGAACAAUGGCUUCAUGGAGAUGUGGGGCCUCACAGCCCUCUUACAUGGGAGAUUCGGAUGAAUAUAAUACUUGGAACGGCCAAAGGGUGCAUUUUGAUUUAAGUGAAAGUAACCAUAUUAGCUUCAAUCUGUCUUAUAUUAGUUGCUUGUAGCUUAAAUGUGAUGAAAAUGUACAGGCUGACAUACCUGCAUGAGGGGCUUGAACCAAAGGUUGUUCACCGUGAUAUCAAGUCAAGCAACAUUUUGCUCGAUAAGCAGUGGAAUCCGAAAUUAUCCGACUUUGGCCUAGCAAAGCUUUUGGGCGCAGAGAGGAGCUACGUGACAACUCGUGUGAUGGGAACAUUCGGGUUAGUUGAAUUAAUCUUUGUGAAAACUGCUUUGUCACUUUAUUUUUGAACUUGUUGGACAACUGAUCUAGGCCAAGGAUUAGAAUUACGACUAUCUGGUUCUGUUUUAUAGGUAUGUGGCACCAGAAUAUGCUAGCACUGGGAUGUUGAAUGAAAGAAGCGAUGUAUACAGUUUUGGUAUCCUUAUCAUGGAAGUAAUUUCUGGAAGAAAUCCAGUGGAUUACAGCCGCCCUCCAGGGGAGGUAUGUAUUCCUCAAAUGAAUAGCUUGAUGACAUUGUCCUAUUGUUCCUCUUUCUUUUUGAUUUGUUGUGUCAAGUUCUAAUUUCAGGUGAAUUUAGUUGAGUGGCUCAAAACAAUGGUCACAAAUCGCAAUGCAGAGGGUGUUUUGGAUCCUAGGUUGCAAGAGAAGCCUUGUUCAAGGGCAUUGAAGCGUGCUCUUUUAGUAGCUUUACGCUGUGUGGACCCGAAUGCUCACAAGAGGCCCAAGAUGGGGCAUGUGAUACAUAUGCUUGAAGCUGAAGAGUUCCCUUUCCGAGAUGUAAGUUUUGGUCAUGUCAUCGGCAUAUUAUUUUUUCUAAAGGCACUUCUGUAUUCAACUCUGGUUAUGCAGUUAUACCUGUUGAAAAUUUUCCUUUUGCAUGUGUCCUUGUUUUUACAUUGAACCUGGUCCCUUACAUUGAUGCAGCUGUGAUUGUUAGACUUUCAAACAAGUAACAUAAACAUUUCUUGAGAAACUGGAUAGUAGAUCCUCAUGAUCAUCACUAUAGUUUCUAAUGGAUGUCUGUUUGUACUUGUUUUACCUGGAUCUGGUGGGGUAAGAGAAUGCAAGAAACUUUUUUUUUUAAUUAUUAUUAUCAUUAUUUGUUAUCAUCAUCAUCAUCAUCAUUAUUAAUUUUUUUUUUUUUAACUAGAGAAUGCAACAAACUUGAGAUCGACUACUUGGGUUGAACUAUCAUAUUAGACCAAUGACACGUAUCCUCCCUAAAGUUUGGUUUUAGUCAAAGGUCAUUUAAGGAAAAAAAAAACACUCUUAUAAUGCAGAUUUUGAGUCAAUCUUGAACACUAAUGGAAGAAAAACUCAUGAUGCACCAAUUGUAUGGGGAAAUGGGGUAGCUGAGCUCCAGGCCCUCCAGAAUCCAUUAGAGAGAUAUUUUAAUGCAAAUUGUGGUCAGACUGAAAGCAAUGGUGAAUUUUCAUUUUCUACACAUUGAUAAGCACAUAGAAAACAUAUUUACACAUUAAUGGGAUACAUGCUUGCUCACAUUUAUCUUGGUACUUAAUCCAAGAUUAUCAUCUUUUACCAUGUGACUUCAGGAACGUAGAGCUGGAAGGGAACAUGGACGCUCGCCGCAUAAUGGUAUUAAGGGUAGGUUGAUGGAGAAGGGUGUAAGCGAAUCAGGUGAUAGCAGUGGAUAUGAAAGUGGUGUCCAAACCAACAAGCCAUUAUGGAGAAAGCUAGAACCUGAAGAGCAGUAGCCUUCCCACAUUCUGUAUAAGGUGAAUUGACACACCUUGGUUUCCCCCUUAGCCAGGUUUAGUUGGCUUAUGCUAAUAUUAUUCUGCCUGUAUAUGUAAUUCACAUUUGUGAGCUUGUCUGUUUCUCGAGUCUGUGGUAUUCCCUGUCCUGCUUUUUGGCAUUCUAGUUGAUCCCUGAUCUUUCUUGCUAAAUUCAAUGUCUGGAAAUUCUGAAGAAUGUGAUAUUGCUGAAAAUCUUUUUGUUAGUCAAUGAUUGUUUAUAUAGAUAGCAAGAAGUUGAAAUUUACUCAUAUCCUGCUCUGCUCUGUAUACUAUUUUAAUGCUGUGCACAUGCGCGCUCUAUAUAUUGCGGUCUUUCCAUUUUAUUUUUCUGUAUGCUAUUUUUUCUCUUCAGUUUUCAUUCUCUCUGCCAUCAGUAGACUGCUAGAAUUGAACAAGUAGAAAGGAUUGUGUAUAAAUCAUUUCUUAGGAGGAUGAAACGACUUUGUUCUUUUCAUUUCUCCCCACUUUGACACCCACGUGUUGAAAUACACGCUCAUGUUAUCUGCGUGUAAUUUUUUUUUUGGAUUUCAAAUUUUGAUUAUAGUUUGUGUCACCGACGAUAAGGACAUAUGAGAGAUGUUCAGUCAAUGGAGAAAAAAUGCAGGUAGAAUGGUAGAUCCAUUCUAGCUUAUAUUAUGAUUGAGAUUUGAACGUUCAAAGUAUAUUCCCUAUUAAGACAAAAACUUUUUGUGUCUGUUCGUUGAGGGUAGAUUAUGGUUUGGGGCCUACGAUUCACAUGCCUAAUACUACAGAUAUUACUAGUUUCAUAGACUUUUAAGGAUGUGGGGGCUCGUUUGGGACGAGAAAAAUCUUCCACAGCUAGUUGCCUAGAGAUGUACAAAUUGGCCUUAAAUCUUUGGACCCCUCCAUAUUUAUAUUAAAUUUUGCUGGUUCUGGCGGAUUAGAAAAUUUACCUCUCAUGACUCACCCACUCCCAGUCAUCAAUCUAUUGUUCUCGAUCAAAUCAGUUCCUGGGCUGGUACUGGCUUCUACAUUUUUCCACUUUUUGGUGGCUUUAAACGAUGCAUCGCUUUUCUUCUUUUGACGCUAUCUGUAUUUAUUGACUUGUUCAAAACUGUUUAACCAGUCCCUGAAAUAUAUGUAAAAUAAGUCGGCAGAGCCAGAGCUUGAAAUUCUCUUCAGUCGUCUGUCUCUUUGUUCACAUUUUAGCUACUCCGUCUAUUUUUACAUUUUUGGGUCAUCCUACUAUCCUACAUUUGAGCUUUUACCACUACCCGUUGUACAUUAAAUUAAUUUGUUUAUGCUGAAUGAAAAAUAUUUAAAAAAGAUUAAAAAUAAAGAAAAUCAUAAAUAAUCAACAUAAAAAGAUGUUGAAUGAUGCAAAAUAUGUAAUAAAUUUUAUUUAAAAUAUAGUAAAAUGAACUGUGAAAAAAUUAUGAAAUAAUCAUAUUCUUACACUUUUGAUUAAAACAAAUAUAUUGGGUGGUUGUUGCAAGUUAAUUUAAUCAACUCUAGUUUUGGUUAUACUUUCUUAUUUUUGGGUUAUAAAAUUCUAAUUUUCAUGUUGUCAUUUUUUUUUAUUAAAGGAAGAAUUAUAAAAUAUCCAUUUUUGUCAUUUCCAUUACAUCACACAUAAAUGGGUUUUACCAAAAAUAUCUUAAAAAUUAUUUGACAAAUGAUCUUUCAAUAAUUUAAAUUUAUCAAAUACACAAUUAAAUUAUUUUCAAAGCUGAUUACUUGACAAUCCUAGAAUGAAUUAUUUGGGAAUUCAAUGCAAUCCCAAACAUAUACUAAGGUUUGAAGUAAUUUAAUCCACAAAUAAUUAAUUCAAAGUAUACUUAUAUAAAUUCCGGUUUAAUGUUAUAAUUUCCAAUACCCCAAUAAGAUAAUCAUUUGAUAAUUAUCUAAUUUUUUGAUUUAAAAACUUUUCCUGAUAUUGGCAGGUUGAGGUUUGAGUCACUAUAUUGAAAAUUAGUUCAUUAUAUAGGUCUAGACUCUAGAUAUUUAAAGUGUAAUGUAACAUCAAAAAAUUGAUAAAAAUAUUUCAAUAAAUGUUUUUCAAAAUAUCAUUAUAUUUAUGAUGAAAUAUUAAAAUUAAUUUCAUUAAUUUACAGUCAUGUAUUUUCAUGUGACAUUGAGGGUGUCUUUGGUAGUUUUCCAGUAUAAAAUGAUUUUUUUGAUAUUUUCCUAAAAUGAGGGUAGCUGAAUGAUAAUGACCUUUAACAUUUUAUUUUUAUUAUAUCUUUUUGUUAAUUAGAACGCCAAUUGCUUGUCAAAAACUUUCGAGCUUCUUGCUUUCUGAUUCUGGCUGUGUGUGUCCAGAUGGUGCUGCCGCCUGUUUUGACAAUCGUAAUUCUGCAACUGCAAGCCUCAGGGAGGAAAGUGCAAAGGUUGUACCUGCCUCUGCCUCUGCCUCGAUCAUGAAUCUCAACUUCUAUUGGGAUGCAAUCAAAGCUGAAGGCACGGGUCCAAGUUAGGACGUAGAAGUUUUAAUUUAAAAUAUUUAUUUUAUUUUAUUUUAUUUGUAUCUCAAAUCAAUUUAUUUAAAGUAAUUUUGGGGAUAAAAAUGUAAUUUCCGUUCUAAUUUGUUUUUUAAUUUUAUUUAAAGCAUAUGGGGUCAAAUUCAAAUUUUAUUGGGGGAUGAUUCAAUUCGGUUAAAGUACAAAUGUAACUUUAAAAAAAAAAAAGAAUUAGACUCGGCUCCACAAUGUAUGUAUAUAUUUUUUAAGAUAGAGAGGUAGACAAAGUUUAAAUAAAUUUUUUUGUCUUCUACCUUCCUUAAGAUUCAAAUUCAUGUAGCCAGUUAAAUAAAUCUACAUAAAAAUCACUUAGGUAGUCCCUAAAGAUAGUGCAAUUAUGCCGCUAUGCUCAAUUAAUACUUUUAAUAUAUAGAUGAUUAUUUUAACAGCUAAUUACUAUUAAUUUUUAAUAAAAAGUUGUACGAUUAACAAACAAAAUCUAAAUAACAAAUAUAAUUUUGACUUUUUAGAAAAUUUGUUAAAAAAAUAGAUUUCUUUAUGAUAUGUUAAAAGAACUACAGUUUCAAUAGUGGGGUUAUUAUGAACCAUUUGAUUUAAAAUGAAAUACUUCCAAUAGAUAGUUAGUUGUUACCCAAAUCACAGGUAAUCCUUAAAUCUUAAUUUAAUUUGUAUCUACCUUAUAUCCUAUUGUUACAAUUUUUUUAUAAGUCAUAAAUAAUUAUUUUUAAUCAUUGAUUCAUUUUAAAAGAUUAAAAAAGUAGACUUUCUUUUAAUAUGGGCAUAUAUUGUAAACAAAAUUAUUAUAAAUUAUUCCACAAGACUUUAAAAUUAUAUGUAUUUUAUAUGAAUUGUUUUGGUGUAUCAUUUCAUUUUAUUGUUCACAAUACUAGUCUUGAAAAUGUAAUAUUAAAUUAUACGCUUCAUAGAUAUCUCAUCAACUUAUAAUAAAUGGUUCUUGAAUUGAAUCACAAAGUGGAUGAUACUACCCAUAAAUAGAUAGUUUUUUAUUGUUAGUUAUUUUGAAACAAUGUUAGACAUAAUAUAUGCUGAAUACUAUAAUAUAAAACAAUAAAAUAGGAUUAAAAUUAUAAAAUCACACACAAUGAAAGUUAGAGAAUUAUGUAAUGAUAAAUAUGUUCAGAAAUUAUGUAAUCGUCCAUUAAAAAGAUCAAAAAAAUUUUAAAUCAAUAACAAUAGAGACAAAAUAAUUGAUUUUCAUUGUCUCUAUUAAAUAAUAUAAAGAUUGAUUGUCAAUCAAAAUAAAAAUGGUUUCAAUCUUUGUUAAUCAAUCAAAAUCUCAAAUACCAUGUCAAUUGUAUCAUUUUUGUUUUUAUUUAUUUAUUAAUUAUAGAUUCAUUAAAGUAUUCAUCCAUUGUAGGAAUUGAGCAUUUGUGCUUAUUAAAAUGAAUUUCAUGAUUUCAUUUUUUAAUUAAUUGUAAGAUAAAAACAUUACAUAUGAAUAUUUUUUUUUUUUUGAACUUUUCACUAUACAUGUAAAUUUUCAAAAGCAAUAGUAAUGUAUUACGAAAUUUAUAUCAAUCAAGUAAUGCGAUUAUAAUUUAGUAAUAUAAGAUACAUUUUUGUUUGUAAUUAAUGAAAUUUAUUUACCAAAUGAUUUAUAAGAAAGAAUUUAUACACUGUCAUUUUUAUAACAUUUAUAAAUAAAUAGUAGAAUUAAUUAUAUUUUGUAGCGAUGAAGUAUUAAAUAACCAAAUUUUGUGUCUUAAAAGUUGUGUUUGAAUUAGUUUAUUUUCUUUUCAAAUUAUAAAUCUCUCUCUCUAUUAAUUAUUUAACUGGUAUAAUUUCUUAUCCUUUAUUGAAUUUGAGUUAUUUAAUUGAUAAAGAGCAAUAUACUCAAUCAACUUAAUUCCAGUAUCCAUGUUGGGAUUUUUACACUGCGUCCUAUUAUCCUAUAGGCACCCUAAAAUAUAUAUCAGAAAAAGAAAGCUUUUGUUGAGCGACAAGUUUUUUUUUUCCGUAUUAAAUCAUCUGGUAUCAAAAAACUAUAUUGAAUCCCGACUAAUUCCAAUUCGAUUCGGAUAGAACUACUAACGCGCCAAAACACUUCCAGCAAGUUGUUGAGCGACACGUUGAGGCAGAGAGGAGGAGGGAUUAGUGGGAGUUGCGUGGGCCCUUCCUUCCUGAAGUGGAUGAAAUUUUGGGCGCGUCUUUCAAAUCUCUAACCAGACUCAAAGUCCCAGAGUAACUCUUCGAUCUCUCAGGGGUUUCUUCUCCUAAGUUGUAAUAUUAUAAUCAGUGUAAACCCUAAACUCUGCAUUUCAUAUUAUUUUGCUUUUAGAUUUGGCAUAAUUUAACCUUCUUAUAAUUGGAUUCGCAUUUGACUGCGAGUCUGCGACUCAUUUUUCUCAGAUAAAGCUGAAGGUUUAUGUUUAUCGGAAAACUUAUAUUGCCGAAUUGGAGUAUAGUUUCACUUGUUUUAUUUUUUUAAUCUGCCGCUGUCAUAAUAUAACUACAAUUGUGGUUAAGGCUGAUAAGCAAAUUACGAGGUUUCGUGAAUGAUUCAUACCGAUUCCAAGACUCAUACAUUAAUCUGCAUAUGACUUUCUCUGGUUUCGGUCCGGUUUACUUUUCUUCUUUGUGUCAUUGUCAUACAAGAACUGCACAGGAAUAUAUAUGUUUUUAUUAUAACAUCAUUUGGGAUCCAUUUUAUUAUCUCUGACUCUGAGUCUGUUCUGCAGACUGAUGCUUUAUUAUGAUUAUUGACUUAUGAAAUCAUGAUAUCUUAAGGAUGAUUAUGAUUUUGCUAGGUUUUAAUGGCCACUACGGGGCUUGAAACUGUGUGGUUGUACUGAUCAAUCCAUUUGAGGUAACCGUAGCUCACUCUCGGAGAUUCUCUGUCAAUCUCUACACUCAAGGCAAAAUCCAGCAGCUGAUAUUUCUGAGUGAACUUUAGAGUGCUAGGCUCUAUCCUGAUAUUCAUUCCAGCAGGAAACUCCAAAACUGCACGAUAUAUUGAAUCUUCUGCUCCCACGUUUUUCACAACCCUGCUGAAGUUCUUUGCCGUUGUUUCAUUGGUAAAUACGGCUGCAAAAGAUGGGUAAUUCAGGUCAGUAGAUUCUUGGCUGCAAUUCCAUUGAUUUCUUCGAAUGACAGCUUUCAUCUGCUUUUCAUCAUAGCCUAGGCCGCACAGGAACUCGACAUAAUCCUGAAAGUCUGCGUCAUAGAUGAGUCCAGGGUCCAUUGCUUUGUUUGGGUCGAUAUGGCCUGCCCCAAAAUCCAGUGGCGUGGCAGGAACGACACCUAUUUCAUUUUCAGCAAAGUUAACGGGAUAAGCCGUAGUCAUUAUAGCUGAUCGGAUGGCUGCUGGGCUCCAAUCCCGAUGGAUAGCUUUUAGUAAAGCUGCAACUCCAGCAACAUGGGGUGCUGCCAUGGAGGUGCCUGAAAAUAGGGCAUAGUCUGUCACCAAUUCAUAGUUGCCGAUUUCAAUGAAUGGAAUGUUAGGCGCAACUGCUGCCAGUACGUCAACUCCUGGAGCCACAAUAUCUGGCUUUAGAAUCCCUGGACUGAUUGGGUCCGGUCCCCUUGAAGAGAAUGAGGCCACAUGAGGUGCUGGUUUUGUACCAAGCUCUGUCAAGAUGAACCUCAUUGAUUUCACUUUUGAUUUGUUUUUCCCAGUCACAUACUGUCUAAUUGACGUCCCAGCAGAAGUUGGCAGAAUCAGGCUGGGAAUGUAAUACUCAUCUGAAUCUAUAUCUGGCGUGUCAGUCAAGAAGAUUGCUGCAUAAGCGCCUGCCCUGUCAACCUCCUCCAUUUGGGAAUAGGUGUCAAUUCUGUUGCUGUUGUCACAGAUAACAACCUUUCCAGUAACCUCAUCGGGGUUCAAUGAUCCCAAGUGGCAUAUUGACUUGUUCACGUCACUUUUGCUAUAGUACAAGGGUGCAUCGGUAAUGUAAAUGCUUUCUGGAAAGUAUGAUAUUCCUUUAAAGGUUAAACCAUUAUCUAGAGUAACUGUUGCAUGGAAGCUCCUGUCAAGCGUGCCAGCUCCUACAGUCGUGAUCCAAGGUGCUCCAUUAUGUAUUGACCCUGGAAAUCCAUCAUUGCCUGCUGCACAGACUACGACAAUUCCAUUUUCAAUAGCUGAGAGAGAAGCAAUGGCGAUAACAUCAUUGAAAUAAGGUGUCUGGUCAAAGCCAAGAGACAACGACAUGAUAUCGACUCCGUCAGCAAUUGCUUGAUCCAUGCCAGCAAGUACAUCACUUGCUGCACUCUCUUCUGUGUCUGUUGCCCAUAGGACCUUGUACAUGGCAACAUGUGCUCUUGGUGCUAUGCCUCUCGCAGUGCCUUUUGCGUAUCCAAAGUGACUUACUCCCUCUACGUGGUUACCAGCUGCUGUGGAUGAUGUGUGAGUGCCAUGACCGAAGAAGUCUCUUGCUGAGUCAAAGUCAUAUUCCUUGGAGACAUUUAUACCUGCGGCUUGCAGCCCUUUGCUGAAAGAUCGAGCACCGAUGAGCUUCCUGUUGCAGACAAAAGGACUAAAUGCCGUGCCAUUCUCACACCGGCCAUUCCAUCGUCGAGGCACUGGUGGCAUUCCCUUGUCAUGAAAACUCUCACUCUCUGGCCAAAUUCCUGUAUCAAUAAUACCUAUUAUUACACCUUGACCAUAUCUUGCAGAAGGCCAUAAGCCUGAGUUAGGUUUUAGUCCAAGAAAAUUUGGGGAGUGGGUGGUGAAUAGUUUGCCAAAUGACUCAGGGUAUGUGGCAAGGUGAGCUGGAGAUUUCUCAAUUUCAGAUAGUUGGGAAGGUGUAAGCCUGGCACUGAAACCUUGAAUUACAUGAUUGUAGGAGUAUAACAACAUGUUGUUGCGAUCAGCAGGGUAUGACGCUGACUUUAGGAUUGAAAGGUGCCAUGACUCGUGGGUUAAGAAAGCCGAUGGCUUGUGAGAAUGGUCCAUGUGGAUGAUGUACGUCUGGUGGUCUUCAUUUCUUGACUCUGCAUUGCCGCUUCCCAGUAACAACAACAGUAGCCAAGGCAAUGCAUGGUUCAGAAUCAAACGGGGAAAAGUUAUUCUUCUGGUCAUGGCUGAUGUGCUGAGGAGAAUGUUGGGGAAGAUAUUCAAGGUUGGAGAUUGAGGAUGAUGUUAAAAGGUGGAGAAUAUAUAAAUGCCGUAUAAGGAAGCUCUCUGAUGCAGGGAAGUCUCUCCUUUGUUAUUUACAUAACACUAACUUUUAGUCCUGUGUUAUGUUCGACCUGUUUUUUAGUAAGUUUAUGAAUCGAUGUUUUUGCUUGGCUUAUUAAUGACAAUGCUUUGUUUUUUCCCCCAUUUUCUUUAACUUUUCAUUGGGUCCACCAGAUCAACUGUCCAAGAUGACAUUACUCAUAGAUGCCUUGAGGGUGAAACAUCCAAUAUAACAGUUGGAUACAGUUUCAAAAUCGGCGCAGCUUUGCUUUUGUUGCCGAUGCUUUUCAAGUUUUGACCUUCCCUACAGCAGUUAACUGCAGAUAUAAAUUAAUCAUCUCGUAAGUCUAUCUCGCAAUGGAAUCUGCUUAAUUUAUCCGCAUAUUUAGUGACAAAAGAAAUAGCUUGAUAUGAAUAUAUUAGCACAAUUCAGUGUUGGACUCAUCACUCGUCACCUUUUUCAUUUGCUGUUAUAUGAAGUUAACUGUAAGCUAUUCUCCUUUUGACAGUUGACACUAUAUAUAGGGUUUACAGGAAGCAACCAAAAUAUAGAAUGGUGACGUUACCAAUGGCAUGUCUGUGCCUGUACUUUUCCUUUCGUAGAACUUCUGGAUUUUCUUUCUCCCUUAAAAUAUAAGCUAAUUGAAUGUGCUGUGGCCUGCAGAACGUACGAAAUUAAACCUUGUUCGGAUUUUCUCAAGGUUUUGUUCCAGGCCUAGCCGUCCCUAGCAGACAUCGAAGUUGAUGUGCGGCAUGUGCCCUGGGGACUUUUCUACAAACUUCCUGAUAUGCACAUAAUAAUAUAAACAUGCUAUAUUGGAUUUGACUCCCUCGAUAAAAUAUGUUAUAGUUAUAUUAUAAAUUAAUAUUUUCUAAAUUUAAUAUUUAUAUUAUAUUAAUAUUUAUAUUUUGUUAUUAUAAGUACAUUUUGGAGAUAAAGAAAAAAAUAAUUGGAGUUGGGGAAUAAUUAGUCACAGUAUUAAUGACUUAAUAUUGGAACAAAUAUUUGAUUGCCAAUUUUACGAAAUACGUGAAAAGUCAGACCGGGAACAUGAAUUAAAAGAGAGAGAGGGAGAUUUUAAUUUAUUCAUGUGGAGGAGAGCACUAGAGAAUCAAUGGAUAAAUUUAUACGUGGCAACAUCGUGAUGGGCUAUUUGGCUUCGGAUUCUUUUGGCUUAGUAAUUGUUCAAGCCGGUUUGCAUUAUUAUAUUAAAGGAAGUAUUACGGGCAUGAUGAGAGCAGCCGAAUCAGGGCGGAAACCGAGAGCAAGGAAAGUCGAUUGAAGAUCGAACUGAUAUUUUCAUUUUUUUUUCCCAACCAAUUUGCUGUAACGUUGUCAAUAAAAUUUAUGAAUUUUUUUUAAUUUUCUCAUAAACUAAAUUUACUUUGUUAGAGAUGUAAUGUAGUCUGAUUAGAAAGAUUUAAUAUCAUAAAUUUAUAUUAUUUUUAAUUAUUAUUUCAUAAUUGAGUGUCCAUUAUUGUGCAGAAUGUUUUUAAAUAUUUUAUCAAUAUUUGAGGAUACGUACAUAAUUAAGAGGAAAUUUAAGUAUUUUUGCUCUGUGUAAUAGAUAUCAUGAAUUGAAGGUGAGACAUAAAUGUGCGAACGUAACUCAUAUAGUUUUCCUUAAGAAUUGACAUAGAGUUUAAUUAAUUUUUACAUAUUCAUAUAGAGUAUAGUUUAUUAAUAUGUGAGGGCAAAUUUUACAUUACACGGAAGAGUACUUGUCAUCGUGAGUAAUACUCUUCAAUUGCAUUGAUGAAAGAAUUGAAUUGAAUUAGUCAUGGUGAAGUUGAAUUUCCUAAUACCUAAAUCUCCCAAUAAUUUUUGUUAUUGCUUACAUCAUUAUUUAAUUUUUAAUUAUCUUAUUUUAUUUUAAUUUUUAAUCUAAAUUCUCUUACUCAAUUGUUUGAAUAAAUUAGGAUUAGAAUAAUUUUAAUAGAUAAUAAGAUAUAUAAUGUACGAUAAUACUCUACUUUACAUAAUGUUACUUAUGUCAACUAAUACACGUUUUAUUUUUUGCAACAAUAGCCUGCAGGAUUUUAUAAUUACUGAUCACAUGCUCAUAUCUUGCUGUUUCCUAACCUCGUAAAUGUCAAGCAAGAAAUCGUCAAACAAAGACAAGGUUAAUAAGCCAGCUGCCACUUAAUAGGUUGAAUUAUCAACGUAUUUAAUUUGACUUUCCUCCUUUCUUAUCGACCAAACUUUUUAUAAUCCAUCAAAGGAGACGAGGUUUCACCAAGAUUCGAAUGACGCUGAUUUUACCAAGAACUUACAACAAAAAUAACUACCUAUUUUCUUUAUUUGCCAAUUCAUUUGAACGACUUAUUAAAAAUGAUCUGACGUACUAACUUUAUAAAGAAGAUUGUGAGUUUCUCUAUUGAAAUAAAAAUAUUUCUUUUACUCUUUUACCGUUUUCAUAAUAUUCAAUAACUCCUUUAGUAUUAAUAAUUUUAUAAUAUUAAAUAAGUGGUAUAAAUUAAAAUAAAAAGAUUUAAAUACUAAAAUAAGAAAUUUAAGUUUUUGUGUAGAUAAAAAAAUUAUUAAUUAGAUUUUUUUAUACUUUUUAUUAUUUUAAGUAGUUUUUUUUUAUAAUAACUAUUAUUUUAUAUUCACAAGAUAAAAUAUCAAGUAAAUAAUUUAUUUAUCCCUCUUUUCUCAUAAAUAUUUUUUGCCAAGGUGUUUUAGUUAUUAUAAAAACAGUAGGAGAGCAAGUAGUAUAUAUUAAUUUUAACAGGAGAAAAGUGGCAUCUUCCAAUUUUACAGUGCAACUAAUUUGUUGGUUCUGUUUUUUAUUAUUGAAGCACGAAGCGUUCCAAACUAUAGUGCAAUAUUUCAUGUUAGUUGAAUGAAAAUCCAAUUUUACAGCCUAUCUAAAUUGCAACCAUUAAAGGUAAAAGUUCUAUGAUGUGUUAAGAAACAUUUUUAAAAUUAAAAAUUCACAUCCUAUGGGUUAUUAUAUUUCUCUUGCUGGAGAGAGUCUGUUUAUGUGCUAGUUAAAUGCCUUUUGUGUCAAUCUAGAGCUGUCGUCAAUUCUCACGGCCUCCAUUUGAAAUGAACCUAUGUUUCUUAUAGGUUCAUUUCUUGCAUUGCAUCUAUUGGCUUCACAUGGCAAGAAAAGUAAACGUCCAUUAUACGAUGCGACAUCAUUGGAUGUGACUCCAAUUACUAUGUUUACUAGCUAAGACAUUGUACCAACUAAAUUUCCUGCCACUUGCAUAACAGCAAGAUUUAAUUAACUAAACGCCAAGUCUUGUAAAUUUUUUGAUAUUUUCUAAACUGAUGUCCAUUUCUAUAUAUACGCACAAACCAUAGAGACCCCAAUAACACAUGCCUCAAGCUAAUUCCUUUUCGGUAAAGAAAUAAUGGGUUCUGUUAAUGGUGUUCCUCAAUUAUUCCUUUUCGUUCUUUCAUGGCUUCUGUUGGCUUUCCAUGCUAACUCAAGUUCAGAUGAGAGAUCAACAUACAUAGUUCACAUGGACAAGUCCCAUAUGCCCAAAGCCUUCUUUAACCACCACCAUUGGUACUCUUCGGUCGUUCGUUCCCUCAAGUCAAAAAAGCCAACCAAAUCAAAUCACCAUCGAUUCUCACCCACUCUUGUGUAUUCUUAUGACAAUGCUGCUCAUGGUUUCAGUGCAGUGUUAUCUAAACGGGAACUUGAGACUCUUAAAAAGUCUCCAGGUUUCAUCUCAGCUUAUGCCGAUAAGACUGUGACACUUGACACCACCCACACCCCUGAAUUUCUCUCCCUCAAUACUGCCAACGGGUUGUGGCCUGCUUCAAAAUAUGGCGAAGACGUGAUUGUCGGUGUUAUUGACACCGGGGUCUGGCCCGAGAGUGAUAGCUACAAUGAUGAUGGUAUGGGCUCACUUCCAACCAGAUGGAAGGGAGAAUGUCAAGCUGGACAAGAGUUCAAUUCCUCCUUGUGUAACUCAAAGCUUAUUGGAGCUAGAUAUUUCAAUAAGGGUAUUAUAGCAGCUAAUCCUGGGAUUAACAUUAGCAUGAAUUCUGCUAGAGAUACCAUGGGACACGGGACCCACACAUCCUCCACAGUAGCUGGGAAUUAUGUGGAUGAUGCUUCAUUCUUUGGCUACGCUAAAGGUACAGCAAAAGGUGUGGCACCACGGGCUAGAGUGGCUAUGUACAAGGUCAUCUUUGAUGAAGGGCGCUAUGCAUCUGAUGUCCUUGCUGGUAUGGACCAGGCUAUUGCUGAUGGUGUUGAUGUAAUUUCAAUAUCAAUGGGAUUUGAUGAGACGCCAUUGUAUGAAGAUCCUAUUGCAAUAGCCUCAUUUGCUGCCAUGGAGAAGGGCGUGCUGGUCUCUUCUUCAGCAGGAAAUGCAGGGCCAGCGUUAGGGAGCUUGCACAAUGGAAUCCCAUGGGUGUUAACUGUUGCAGCUGGAACCAUUGACCGUUCAUUUGCGGGCAUAACAACUCUUGGGAGCGGGGAAACCAUCAUUGGAUGGACCAUGUUCCCAGCCAAUGCUCUCGUAGAACGCUUGCCAUUGCUAUAUAACGAGAGUUACUCAGCAUGUAAUUCAACUAAAUUAUUAUCUCAAUUACCAACAGAUGCCAUCAUCGUAUGCAAAGAAGCUACAGGUUCGGUAUCUAAGCAAAUAUCUGUUGUUAGUGCAUCAAACAUGCAGGGAGCUAUAUUUGUUUCAGAUUAUGAUCCUGAAUUAUUUGAACUUGGUGGUUUGAGUAUACCUGGCGUGGUAAUUAGCACCCAUGAUGCACCGGCUGUCAUCAACUAUGCCAGAAAUGGCGUGGAACCGGUGGCAAGCAUCAAGUUCCAGCAAACUGUUCUUGGCACAGAGCACGCACCAGCCGUGGCUUUCUAUACUUCUAGAGGUCCUUCACCGAGCUAUCCAGGCAUCUUAAAGCCAGAUAUAAUGGCCCCUGGGUCACUAGUUUUUGCUGCUUGGAUUCCAAAUACUUCUACAGCCCAAAUUGGUUCAAAUUUACUCUUGACAAGUGAUUACAAUAUGAUUUCUGGGACAUCAAUGGCCUGCCCUCAUGCUGCUGGUGUGGCUGCCCUCCUUAGAGGCGCACACCCUGAAUGGAGUGCAGCUGCUAUUAGGUCUGCAAUGGUGACUACAGCAAAUCCAUUGGAUAACACUAACAAUCCAAUCCGAGACAAUGGUCUAAUCAAUUUCACGUCUGCUUCACCUCUAGCCAUGGGAGCUGGUCAAGUUGAUCCAAAUCGGGCUCUUGACCCGGGUUUGAUUUAUGACGCCACCCCACAGGAUUAUGUGAGCCUCCUCUGCUCUAUGAACUUCACCCAAAAUCAGAUUCUGUCCAUUACAAGAUCAAACCGUUACAACUGCUCCACCCCUACCGCAGAUCUUAACUAUCCGUCUUUUAUUACUUUACACGAUAACACAAGUACAAAAUUUGUUCAGACAUUUCACAGGACUGUGACUAAUGUGGGAGGAAGCGCAGCAACAUACAAAGCCAAGAUCACAGCACCUCUAGGUUCUGUAAUUAGUGUCUCACCAGGCACAUUGGUCUUCGGAAAGCAGUAUGAGCAGCAGAGCUACACUCUUACUAUAAACUAUAAGACAGAUGGUGGAGAAAUUAUAUCAUUUGGUGAACUUGUUUGGGUUGAAGAGAAUGGGAAUCACACUGUGAGGAGCCCUAUUACAGUGUCGCCUUUCAUGAGUUAACUUUGUUUGUCUUUGUGCCUAUAAAAUAAUUUAUCAUGUGAUCUGAUCAAAGUGCAGGAAUAACCCACAUGUAUGUGAAUCCUGAAUAAGUUGUAUGGAAAUCUUCAACAUUAUCAUUAAAGGCUUGAAUCAUGUGGUGUUUUUGAUUUUCUGCAAGUCCUUUUCUCUUUAAAGGACCAUCCAUUCAUGUUUUCUUCAUGUCUUCAACAUUAUCAUAUUUUCUGCAAGCCUUGAGAAUGAUUUGUGAUUUCAUUCUGAGGAUCAGCAUUAUAAACCUGUUCUAAAAGUAUUUAAUGAUUGAAGCAAGCUAUGAAAUGCUAAAAAAACUAUCGCGAAAAGAAUCCAGAAUCCAUUUCGUAAAAGAAAAAUUUUCACAGCCUCAGCCUGGCUCAAUUGGCCCAGCAAGGCAAUGGUAACACCAAAUACUCACGCUACCCGGCUCCCAUCCCAUCAUGCAAUCUGGCAAAGACUUUGUACAACCAAUUGCGUGCCGGAAGGAGAAAAGAAAAUGUAUACUCUUUUUUUUUCCCUUUUUUUUUUUUUUUUUUGAAAUUAGAAAACGACAUGGUUUGAACUUUUAUCGCAAAAUCAUUAAUCACGAUAGCUGGCACUUGGAUUUUGAAAAUGGUAAUGUAUUCAAGGUCCAUUUUACCUUUUCCAUCGCAGAGUAUGUGACUGGUUUCAAUCAAAAUAAUUACGACUAUAUUCGGUUAGCUCUGGACCGUUUUGAGUCUUAAUCAAUAGUUUACUUAUGUACAUUGACAGAAGCCAAAAUUGAAGGUAUUAAACAGUAAUACAGAUUUGCAGAUUCCCUUGACAGUUUACCUCUCUAGAUAUUUCACACUAGUCUUCAGUGAAAACCUACGACAAUUUGACCGAUCAAACAGUUUAGAGUUAAUUGUGAAUACCGAAAUACAUAGGAGCAGUUUGUUUUUCUAUCACAUCUUCGGGGAUAUAGCUUGAGAGCUAAAUUUGGUUGUUUUGACUUCUGUCCAGCAGUUGCAAUGGACUUCAAUUUAACAAAAGGCUAAAGCGAUCGUCCGUAACCAAAUAAUUGGCUCCAAAGUCUUAUUCCUUGUAAUUAAAUCUAGAGCUAAUUACAAUGUGCACGUCUUCAACAAGAGUCGCCAUUAUGCAUAAUCAAUUCGGUAUGAAAACAAUAGCUGGGUACAAGAAAUUUUUAAUCUGAACAUACAUAAUGUGGGGGAAACAUGUGGUGCAACUGUGGUACCGUGUCACAGUUGCAUCCAGCCGUUGGAUGUCAGUAGACCCCACCAAUCCAAGUGCAUCCAACGACUGGAUGCAACUAUGGCACGGUACCACAGUUGCACUGUAGCCUGAUCCCAAAAUGUGACACCCCAAAUUGACGUGGCAUGAACACGUGACAAUAUAGAAUAUUAGUGAUUCUCAAAUCUUAUAACUUACCCUUAAUAAAUAUCCAUUAAACUCCUUAAGAGAGGUCAGGGGUUCAAGCCCCGCUCCCGUAUGGAGUCAUCAUUUUGACCAACAUUUUACCUUUUACGGGCCGACUUAGUGCGAGCGGAAAUUAGUCUGGGUUAUGAUAAGAGUUUAAAGGUACCUCCCAUAUUUAGGGCUCACGCAGGAUCACCUCGUGAUUCAGACAACAAAAUAAAUAAAUAUCCAUUAAACUUAAAAUACUUGUUCCUCAUUUUACAAUUAAAAACACAAGGUGCUAGGAGCUAAAUUCUUACUCCAAAGCUAUUUAUUGAAUGACCAAUUUGCUUUUAUUUAUUAUCCGUCUAAAUCGAAGCUCCAAUUAAUCUUCCAACAGCCUAAAUUUAUGGAGCUCUACUAUUCUAUUCCAAUCUCCUAAAACUACUAUUCUCAGCGUAUUAAAUGUUAAUGAUGAGGGGGAGCUAUCAAUUUGAUAAAUAAAUUCAUUCAUAAAAUUACUAUUAUUUAACGACAUUUAAUGUUUUUUCAGAAACAAAUACCACUUUUACAAAUCACAGAUAUAUACCUUUAUUUACUCAACAGUAAAUACUUUAUCGAUAAAAAAAACAACAACAAUAAUAACAAUGGUAAGCAUAAUAAAUAAAACUAUCAAAUAUUUUUGUUCAUGCUACAUAAUAUCACCUACACCCCUAAUGAUUCUAUUCAAAUAAUAAUAAGUUUCUUGGAAAGAUAUGGUCAUAACAGUUUCCCAAAAAUUUUAGAAAUAACAAUAACAACAAUUAUGUGUUGCAAGAAUAACAAACUAGUUAGUCUGUAAUGAUAAUAGUAACAAUAAUAUUAAUUAUGAACUAUGAGCCCAAACAUUAGAGGUUUUCAAAAUCCAAUCCAAUAUGUUCAAUCCGUCUGAUCUGUAAAAAUUUGAUCUGUGGAUUGGUGGAUUUGAUUGGAUUGAAAAUUUAAAAAUCCGCAGUCGAUAAAUUAGAUAUGGAUUUACUUAUAUAAAUCUGUAAAAAUCUGCGAAUCCGUAAAAAAAAAAAAUUAUUUAAGUUAGAAUAUGGCAUUAGUACUUACUAAUAAAUAAAUAAGUUAGAAUAUAUUUCUAUUAACAUCAUAUUAUAUCUUAUCCAAUAUAAUAUAAAAUAAAAAUAAUUAAAUAAACAAAUAUAGCUUCCUAAACAGUUAAUUUUCAUGUACUGAUAUAAACAAAUGAGAUUUUUUUUUUCUUUUUGAUGUGUUAUAUUUUGAAACUUUUAAUGUAUUUUCUAACUUUAUUUAAACAAUUAAUUAAUUUAAAUAUUAUUUAAUCUUGAAUUUGAUCGGUGGGAAAAUUAUUUUUAUAUUAUUUUUUUAUUUAGUUAGUUCGUGAAUAUGACGGAAUUAAAAAUUUUUAGCUCGCAAACCAAUCCGUAAAAUGGUGGAUUGGGUCGAAUCCGUAUCCGAUUCGCAGACAUAUGAAUUGAAUUUCACCAAUCCGUGAUUGGAUUGGAUUAAAACUUUAUAAUCCGCAAAAUCUUAUCUGCAAGCACUCCUACCAAACAUUAUAGUAUAUUCAUACCAUGUGGUAUCACUUGAAUUUUUGCUCAAUAAAGAUCAAGAGAAUUACGAUCCAAACAAUUACAUAUUCAAUGUAUCUUUUUCAACACACGAAAAAUUGUAACUUUUGGAACUUUCAAACAUAUUUAAUACUUAUGAAUCAUUGCAAUGGUAUUUACGUUGGAAAUAAAUGCUGAAAAUUAAAAUUAGAGUUAUCUUCAAUUAUUCGUUAAUUGUGUAAAGUUAAGAAAAUAUUUUUGAGUGAUAACAGAUUUUCUUUAAACAUAAUAAGUUACGCUAUUUGAAAUUAAUUUUGGCUGAAUAUUAAUUAUGAUAUCAAAUGGUCGUAUAUACAAAUAAAUACGUUAAUAUUAUAAAUGAAUUUACUUAGUUCACGAAAAAUCCUAUUUUCUACGAACCCUUAAGAUCAUCAUCAUGUCCUUCGUUGAAAUAGAAUUGUCUUUAUCAAUCUCUCCCGAUUUCUCGCUCUCUCUUCUCUUGGUGCGUAAAUGAGUAAAUGUAAAUAACUAUGCCUUGAACUUAUUAUACUAAUUAACUUUACUUGAAAACGUGCAAUUAACUACCAUCCUAAUUAAGUAUAAUUUAAUAAGCUUUUAACCAAAAGAAAACGGUAACUCUAUCUAUUAAUUAAACGGAGUUAAUUAAAUUUUAAAAUGAAAAAUGAUAAGGCAAUAACAAUUCUUUAUCCCACCAUCUUUAAUCUAUCAUUACUGUUAUUAACGUAAGCUGGGGUUUACGCUGCAAAGGAAGAACCUACUCUGGAGUGCAAAAAGUUGUACAAAUUGAUUCUAUAAUAAGAAGAUGAAAGUCACGUUCACGUAUCCUCCUUGCAGAUAAGUCAAGAUUGUUAAAGAGUGACAUAGAUUAGCUAUGACUUGCACAAUUCUAGCCACAUGGGGGCUCUAAGACCACUAAUCACUUGAUUUUGUCAUCGGAAUACUUAUAGCCAAUCUGCUUCACACUUUUGAGGAUGGGAGAAAUGCUCACUAGCGUUGGCCCUUCGUUUCCUGCUUGAUAUAUAUACAUAUAUAAUUGCCGCUGCAAUUGAUAUAGAAGCUGAGAUAUAUAUAUAUAUAUAUAUAUAUAUACAUAUAUAUUAAAGAGUGGAACUCUUAAGGUGCCCAUACUUCUCAAUUUGUAUAUAAGUGUAUCAGCAAUUGAUAAUUUUGUUCAGAAAUCUUAUCGCACUUGCAAUAUCUCCUACAUGGCUUCUCGGUCUCAGCGUGUUUGCUUGAACAUUAUUUGGCUUUCCUUCAUCUCUAUCUUACACUGCAGCUCCACAUUAGCAAAUCACGAUAAUUAUAUUGUCCACAUGGACUUAUCGGCGAUGCCGAAAGCAUUCCGAGGCCAACAUGGUUGGUACUCAGCCACGCUUCAAUCUGUCUCUGGAAAUGCUGGGGCAAACACCAAUAUCUUCAACAAUAUUUCCUCUUCCAAAUUACUCUAUACCUAUAGUCACGUUCUCAAUGGCUUCAGUGCUAGUCUCACUCCUGCUGAGCUGGAGGCCUUGAAAAGCUCUCCAGGCUAUAUUUCUUCCAUUAGGGAUUUGCCUGUUAAACCACACACCACACAUUCAUCUCAGUUUCUUGGCCUUAAUCCGAAAUCAGGGGCAUGGCCAAUUUCAAAAUUUGGCCAAGAUAUUAUAAUUGGGGUGGUGGACACAGGGGUAUGGCCAGAAAGCGAAAGCUAUAACGACGGAGGCAUGACUGAAAUUCCAUCAAGAUGGAAAGGAGAAUGUGAGAGUGGCACCCAAUUCAAUUCCUCAUUAUGCAACAAGAAGCUUAUUGGAGCUCGGUUUUUCAACAAAGGUCUACUUGCCAAAAAUCCCACUAUCACCAUAGCCAUGAAUUCUCCGCGCGACGCAAAUGGACAUGGGACUCACACUUCAUCCACAGCAGCUGGAAGUUAUGUUGAACGUGCAUCAUACUUUGGCUAUGCCAUAGGGACUGCUCUAGGCACGGCUCCACUGGCACGGGUGGCCAUGUACAAGGCUCUCUGGAAUGAAGGUUCUUUUACUUCUGAUAUAAUUGCUGCAAUUGACCAAGCAAUUAUUGAUGGAGUUGAUGUUUUGUCCAUGUCAUUGGGCUUGGAUGGGGUUGACUUAUAUGAAGAUCCCGUUGCCAUAGCGACAUUUGCAGCCAUUGAAAAGAAUAUCUUCGUCUCUACGUCUGCGGGAAACCAAGGGCCAUUCAUUGGGACCCUACAUAAUGGCAUACCUUGGGUUAUGACAGUUGCUGCUGGUACAAUGGAUCGUGAAUUGGGCGCUACUUUAACUCUUGGAAAUGGAAAUACUGUCACGGGCUUGUCUCUUUAUCCGGGGAAUUCAUCUUUAAUCGACUUCCCAAUUGUUUUCAUGGAUGAAUGCCUCAAUUUAGCUGAACUGAAGAAAGUUGGGCAAAAAAUUGUUGUGUGCCAGGACAAGAACGAUUCCCUUAGCAACCAAGUUGAUAACAUUCAAAAUGCGAGCGUCUCUGGAGGUGUCUUCAUAUCCGAUUUCGACGGACUGGAAUUCUUUCUGCAAAGCUCAUUUCCAGCGGUAUUCAUGAAUUCGAAAACUGGUGACAUUCUCAAAGACUACAUCAAGAUCGAGAAUAACGCAACGGCAACCAUUCAGUUCCAAAAAACUGAGCUGGGAACGAAACCAGCACCAAGUGUGGCCAGCUACAGCUCUAGAGGCCCAUCAAUCAGCUGCCCAUUUGUCUUGAAGCCUGAUGUUAUGGCUCCUGGGGAUUCAAUCUUAGCUGCAUGGCCUUCAAAUCUUGCGGUGUCUCAGACCAACUCAAAGCUUAGCUUUAGUAACUUCAAUCUACAGUCAGGGACAUCCAUGGCAUGCCCGCAGGCAGCAGGAAUAGCUGCACUUUUGAGAGGAGCACAUCCCGAAUGGAGCCCUGCAGCUAUCCGAUCGGCCAUAAUGACCACAUCAGAUUCCACUGAUAACACCAACAGUGAUAUUAAAGACAUUGGUGAUGAUAACAAACCUGCCACCCCCAUAGCCAUGGGAGCUGGACAUAUCAACCCCAACAAGGCAUUAGACCCCGGGCUCAUCUAUGAUGCAACCACUGAAGAUUAUGUUAGUCUUCUUUGUUCAUUAAACUUGACCAUGAAGCGAAUCCAAACCAUCACGAGGUCCUAUUCAGUCAACUGUUCAACAUCGUCUUUGGAUCUUAACUACCCUUCUUUUAUUGCCUUUUUUAAUGCAAAAGAAUCAAAGUCCGUGCAAGAAUUUCAGAGAACAGUGACUAAUGUUGGAGAAGGAGUGUCAACUUACACUGCUAGUGUGACGCCAUUGAAAGGGUUUAACGUCAGUGUCGAUCCAGAUAAGUUGACUUUUAAAGGCAAAUACGCAAAGCAAAGCUACAAGCUGCGCAUAGAAGGUCCAAACCAAAUGGAUGAAGAAACAGUAGUAGUAUUUUGUUAUCUGAGUUGGAUAGAGACUGGAGGUAAACAUGUGGUGAAGAGUCCGAUAGUGGUUACAAGCUUAGGCACCGAAGCACCUUCGUAGAACAUAUAUUAACCAACUUAAUUAAUUACUCGUCCUCUUUACUUUAUGAAUAACCUUGUAAUAACUUAACCAUUGGUUGGUAAUGGAGCUUACUUGUUCCUAGAGUUCAAUAAAAUGGUAAUUAAAAUUUAUUACAUUCUCAAAUGAUUUUUAUAAGACGAAUUGGUCACCUUGGUCCUGGUCCAUAAUUGAGCUGAUUCCAUCGACUUACCUUGAUUAUUUGAUUCUCCGGGAGUUUUUUUUUUUUUCCCUUGUUUUUUAACCUCACGUGUGAAGUAAAAGAUUUUUCAUCUUUUGCGCAAAAUUAAGUAAGUGCUGAAUUUAUGACUAGUAGUGAUGUGUAUGAAACAUCGGUGGCUCGCGCGGUCUCAAAACUGAAUUUUUUUGCCAAGUUACACAAGAAACUCGUCCUUUAUCUUUCUCUUUUUAAUUAAAUGCUCCCACGCCAGAAACAUACAAAAUAUCCUGUGUAGAAAAUGACGUGACGAAUAGGCUGCCUGUUAUCCAGACGGCAUGCAUACACAAAAAAAUCACACCGUACAAUAUUAUUUGUCUAUCUUUUCAAUUUUCAUGAAUAAAAUAAGCAAGCACACUAUGACUCGUACGCGCUUCCUCUUUAUCUCUUCUGGUUUCUUGCAUGCGUGUUCUCUUCUCAAUUAUUUUUGCUGUCUUAGCCAUCACUCACCGCCUCUAUCUUUCAUUUGAAGUUUAAGGAAACAUUACAUCUUAGCUUCAUUAAUUGAUUUAUGAAGAGUAGUUAUGACAAGUAAUAUAUAAUUGAGAAGAUAAUACGCUCUCGCUAGUAAUACGUUUAAUUCAACGGGUGUUGUGACAACCUUGGAGCUUUGGUGUUGCUUGCUCCAUUGCCUCACGAUAUUAUACGUGCACUCAUACAAAAAUUUCCUUGGCUACAUGUACAACUAACUCAUCACUGAUUUAGUAGAUUGGCUUUCAAUUCUUUUCAACUUGAUGGUAUGAUAUCGCAAGCAAUUUCCAACCAAACUGUAAUGGUACGUAUUAAUUAAUGAUAUGCUAACGUGGACCUUAACUCUUUCUUUUCUCAUUACCCAUUACGUAUUUGGUUUUUAAGUCGAAUCUUUGUAAUAGUAGAAGGUAAGAUCUGUGCAUGCAUCAUAAAGAAUUAAAUUGUUAUACAUCUACCUAAAAUCUUUAAUUACAAUGUGUAAGCAAAAUAUGUAUAAAUUAUCUAACAAUUUGUAUGAGAUGUAGUUAAAUUAUUGAACUUGUUGAUAGAAUAUUGUAUCUGAGCGCAUCAAAUCGAGCGAAUAGUCAUGAGAGAGUCAGGCGGAGAGGGCCCAACUCACAUGUAUGCAGCAAAGUCGAGGCUGUAGACGUAACAAUGGUGGCAGAAAUCUCUCCACGUUUUAGAUUGCAGAUUUGUUUUACUUAAUUUAUUGAGCCCAUGCCCUUUCGUUCCCGAUGGGGGAAAGAUGGAAGCAUACAAACACUACGGCCUAACGGUAGAAUCUACAAACUUCCAACUCAGAUCCAUCGCUUUUGUCAGUUAAGAAGAUCAUUAUUUGGUCAAUUGGAUGAUCCAACGGGAGAUCCGAUCGCGUGGUUCUUCGAAAAAAUGGAAAUAAUGUAACAUAUACGUAUUUUAGUUUAGUUGGCAAAGUCAUGAGUAUUGACAUUGUAGUGUAUGUAUCUUUUGACCUCCAUAGCGAUGCGGCCAUACUGCGCAUGGGAAUGGGAUCAAACAAGGUUAGGCUUCGUGUGUAUUGAUUGGCCCACUCAAAAUCCCCCCGUAAAACUCUUUUUUCAGUUGAAAUUAAUUAAAUUACCAAACACAAAUUGAUUCAUUUCCUGUUUUAAAUAAAGAUUCAAUCAAACACUUAGGAAAACUAUUCUUUUAACAAACUUUUAACGCCUAUGCUAUUUUAUAAUCUAUAUUUGUAUUUUAAAUUUUAAUUAAAAAUAUUUUUUCAAAAAAAUAAUAAGAGCCAAGAAAUAUGAAAAUAGAAUUUAUAUAAUAAGAAAGAAAAAGUAAGAGAAUUUUAAUAUUUAAAAAUUAUAUGCAAUUUAAAAAGAGAUUUUUUUAAUAUAAAAGUUUAUGAGAAUAUGGUUAGAAGGUAUUUUUUUUUUUUUCAAAAAACAACAUUCAAAAUAUAUGUCAUGAGAAUUUUAGAGGGGCGUUAAAGAGGCCCACUCUAUCCAUACUGCAUCGAGCAACCUAACGGAGUCAUGGUUCUGAAGUCCAAUGGAUAAAUGGGUCUCAGCACUCUGGGCCAAUUGACUAGGAGUUGCAAUGAAACAGUCUUCCUGAUCGCUGAUAAUGUUGCUUAUGGCUAAAUACAUCAUAAAAUUGUAAAUUCUGCUUUCUCUGACUAGUGCUCACUUUUAAAUUAAUAUUAUUUAUUUUAAAAUUAAUCUCAUUAAAAGAUAAAAAAAAAACAUAAAAAUUAUUAUUUUUCUUCUCUCUCAAUUUCAUAAUAGCUUAACUUCUCAUCUGUCAUUUUUUUAAAUUGAUUCAAAAUCCGAAUGUAAAUACUAACGCUUAAUCAAAUCCUUAUUUAAAAUUAAAUAAAAUCUUAAAUUAUCACACAAAGUAAAACUAGCAUCAUUAAUGAUAAUAAAACCCACCACUUAUUCAUAAAUUUUAAUAUUAAAUUCAUUAUAUGUUAGUGGUGGUGAUGAUAAUAAAUUUUUUGUCAAUAAAAAUGAGUGAUAGACUGAUGGUUAAACUAUAAAGAAAGAGGACGUGGCGGAAAAGGAGAAUCCGAUCGCGUGGUUCUUCGAAAAAAUGGAAAUAAUGUAACAUAUACGUAUUUUAGUUUAGUUGGCAAAGUCAUGAGUAUUGACAUUGUAGUGUAUGUAUCUUUUGACCUCCAUAGCGAUGCGGCCAUACUGCGCAUGGGAAUGGGAUCAAACAAGGUUAGGCUUCGUGUGUAUUGAUUGGCCCACUCAAAAUCCCCCCGUAAAACUCUUUUUUCAGUUGAAAUUAAUUAAAUUACCAAACACAAAUUGAUUCAUUUCCUGUUUUAAAUAAAGAUUCAAUCAAACACUUAGGAAAACUAUUCUUUUAACAAACUUUUAACGCCUAUGCUAUUUUAUAAUCUAUAUUUGUAUUUUAAAUUUUAAUUAAAAAUAUUUUUUCAAAAAAAUAAUAAGAGCCAAGAAAUAUGAAAAUAGAAUUUAUAUAAUAAGAAAGAAAAAGUAAGAGAAUUUUAAUAUUUAAAAAUUAUAUGCAAUUUAAAAAGAGAUUUUUUUAAUAUAAAAGUUUAUGAGAAUAUGGUUAGAAGGUAUUUUUUUUUUUUUCAAAAAACAACAUUCAAAAUAUAUGUCAUGAGAAUUUUAGAGGGGCGUUAAAGAGGCCCACUCUAUCCAUACUGCAUCGAGCAACCUAACGGAGUCAUGGUUCUGAAGUCCAAUGGAUAAAUGGGUCUCAGCACUCUGGGCCAAUUGACUAGGAGUUGCAAUGAAACAGUCUUCCUGAUCGCUGAUAAUGUUGCUUAUGGCUAAAUACAUCAUAAAAUUGUAAAUUCUGCUUUCUCUGACUAGUGCUCACUUUUAAAUUAAUAUUAUUUAUUUUAAAAUUAAUCUCAUUAAAAGAUAAAAAAAAAACAUAAAAAUUAUUAUUUUUCUUCUCUCUCAAUUUCAUAAUAGCUUAACUUCUCAUCUGUCAUUUUUUUAAAUUGAUUCAAAAUCCGAAUGUAAAUACUAACGCUUAAUCAAAUCCUUAUUUAAAAUUAAAUAAAAUCUUAAAUUAUCACACAAAGUAAAACUAGCAUCAUUAAUGAUAAUAAAACCCACCACUUAUUCAUAAAUUUUAAUAUUAAAUUCAUUAUAUGUUAGUGGUGGUGAUGAUAAUAAAUUUUUUGUCAAUAAAAAUGAGUGAUAGACUGAUGGUUAAACUAUAAAGAAAGAGGACGUGGCGGAAAAGGAGAAUAAAAUAAAAAUAAAAAUAAAAAAUAAUUUUUUUAAUAAAGAUAAUUAUGAUAAAUAAUAAAAAUAAUUUGAAAGAGUUAAAUAUCGUUAUUGUUUAAAUAGGCAAUUUAAAAUUUCAUUGGUAGGCCACCAGACCCACCCCCGGCAAAUUUUUUUUGAAAAAACAUCUGCAAAAUUGAAGGAUUCAGCGUCUUUAACUCUGGAGAUAACUUUUUUUUUUUUUUUUUUUAAUUUAAUACAACUCCCGAGAUAACUCUUACUAUCCCAAAAUUUAAACAGUAUAAAGGGCAGACGAGGUAAACCCAUGCAAAUUCGUUUCUAUUUUGGACUGCCAUGUGCAAAUUGGGCCGGGGAGGGACAGAGGGACAGUAGACUUUACACAUGCUCAUUUCGGAGAUUGUAAAAAAAGAAGGGUUGGAUUAUUUAACAUGUUAUUUUUAAUUAGAUAUACUGUAUCCUUAAAUAUAUUUUCAAUAAAAAUUAAAGUUACAAAUAUUUAAAAGGGAUUUUAAAUUUCUUUUUAGAGAGUCUGAACUAAUAAAAAAAAAAAGCAAGCAAUUAUAUGAAGAACGUGGCUAUUUGCACUCUAAAUUUACUCUUAAUAUUUUAUUACUAUGUAUAAUCAUGUAUUAAAUUUAAAAACUUAAGUUUUAUUUUCUAUACUAUUUAAAAUACCAAAAAAGACUUAUACUUAAACUAGUUAAAUUAAUUUACUCAAAAUACCAAGAAAUCAUUUAGCACAUCCAAAAUGAAUUAAUAACAAUUUAAUUAUAACAAUAGAACUAAAGUAUGUUCCAAACAAAUUCGUUAACAUAAGUUUUAGUUACUAGUUUUUGUCUAUUAAAUAAUAUGAUCAAUAUUGGUUUUUACACCCCAAUUUUUUUACCAAACAAUUGAAAAUAAAUGGCCAUUAGGCCAAAAAAGAAAAAAGUAACUGUAGAAAAAGAAGAAGUACAACAGGAAAAAGAAGAAAACUAAAAAAAAAAAGGAAGAAGAAGAAGAAGAAAGAGAAGCAUGUAAAAAAUAAUUUUCUAAAUAAAAAAUUAAAAUAUAUGUUUAAAAUAUAUUAAAUAUAUUGAUUUGCUCGUAGUGUAACUAAAUAUCAUUUAAGAGAUUGGAAGUUAAAUUUUUAAGAUUUAUGGCAAAAGAAUUAUUUAUUAAAUAGUGAGAGCAGAUAAAUAUUUACAGUAAUUAUAUUAUAUUAAUUUAUAAAAAAAAUUGUUAUUAGUAAUUUAUAUAAUAGACAUUUUUAUAAUAAAAUAACUUAUUAAAAUAAGAGGGUUUAAAUUAAUUUUUAAAUUCAAACAGCCUCGCCGUUAUAUGGGAAAAGGUUUUCGAGUACCCUCGGUGCCAAUUCACACUCGUUGAAUGGAGUAGUUUGGCACAUGGGUUCACGUGUUUGUUGUAAAAGCUUAGUGCUAAAAUAAAGAUAAUUGUGUAUGACUCACAGGGUCAUAAUUAAUAAAUGAGCUAGUCACUUCAAUUGCAUUAGACAAAGUCAAUUUUUAUUUCUCUCUUUUCUUUCUUCUAUGAUCAUUUGAGCAGCCACCGUCGGAUACGCACCCACAAAAACAUCUGGCAAUCAAGUCGAAGCGGGGCACAGCCAAUACGGCAAUACAUUAAUAAACAGUUGUGCGGUGCCAACUGGAAAUUGGCUGUCGGGCUCGGGUAAUCAGUUCCUGGCUGCUUCCUUUGCCAAACCAAAUACCACACCUCCACACUUUUAUUUACUCCAGUACAUUGUACAAAAAUUUUCCGGGUCGCUUAAGCCAAUUAUAAUAUUCCACGUGUUGAGACAGUAGGGUUCAAUGCUUACCUGAAAUCUCCUUCUCAAUUAAUUUCAACAUUCAUACAUAGGCAUAGCGCGGCAGCAUAAUCUUGAUCUUCUUUACUAACGGAACACAACAAUGCACGCCAAGACAGACUCAGAGGUGACCAGCCUCGCCCCCUCGUCUCCCACAAGAUCUCCACGGCGUCCAGUUUAUUACGUGCAAAGCCCGUCGAGGGACUCCCACGAUGGAGAGAAAACGACGACGUCGUUUCACUCAACGCCGGUGCUCAGUCCCGCGGGCUCACCGCCUCACUCUCACUCAUCCAUCGGCCGCCACUCCCGUGAGUCGUCUUCCAGCAGGUUUUCCGGGUCUUUGAAGCCUGGAUCCCGCAAGAUCUCGCCCAAUGAUGCCUCUCGAGGUGGACAGAGGAAGGGACAGAAGCGAUGGAAUAAGGAGUGUGACGUCAUUGAGGAAGAGGGACUUCUUGAAGAUGAAGAGCGUCGAAGCGGUCUCCCCCGCCGUUGCUAUUUCCUCGCUUUUGUUCUUGGCUUCUUUCUUUUGUUCUCUCUCUUCUCUUUGAUUCUCUGGGGCGCUAGCAAGUCCCAGAAACCCAAGAUCACUAUGAAGGUACACAUGAAAUUAAUUGUGAAUCGAUUUGAGUUGAUUUUUCUGUCAUCUCGGGGUUUUUAUUUUAUUUUAUUCUCUUUUUGGUCUCGCAGAGCAUAAACUUCGAGCAUUUCAAGAUUCAAGCUGGUUCAGAUUUUUCUGGAGUGGCAACUGAUAUGAUCACAGUGAACUCUACAGUGAAGAUGAUCUACCGUAAUACCGGCACAUUUUUUGGCGUCCAUGUAACAUCGAAUCCUCUGGAUCUAUCUUAUUCUGAAAUCACAAUUGCCUCAGGAGCCGUAAGUCAUCACAAAUAUCCUUCUAAUUUUCGUUUUAGUUUUAGUUUUAGUUUUAGCUAGUUUAAGUUUUGUAAUUAUUUGGGGAAAGUGAAAUGGGUACGUAUUGGCGUUGCAGAUUAGGAAGUUCUAUCAAUCGAGAAAGAGUCAGAAAACAGUAAGCGUUGCGGUGAUGGGUAACAAGAUCCCAUUAUAUGGUAGUGGAGCUGGUUUGAGCAUCAACAGUACAACGGGCAGCACAAGUCAUCCAGUGCCUCUCAAUCUGAACUUCGUGGUCCGAUCCAGAGCUUACGUUUUGGGAAAAUUGGUCAAGCCUAAGUUUUACAAGAAUAUUGCGUGUUCUAUUACUUUCGAUCCCAAAAAGCUCAAUGUUCCUGUCUCCCUCAAGAACUCUUGCACAUAUGACUGAAUCUGAAUGAAUGAAUACACAGCAACAAAGACAGAAAAUCUAUUUUUUUUUUAAAAAAAAAUAUUAAUGAAGCACGUUGAAGAGACUUUCGUGCAUUCUUUGUUGUUCUUCCUCUUUUUUUUUUUUUUUUAAUAAUUUUUUGGGGUUAAAAGAAGAUGCCAGUGGAGUUGAGUUACAGCUAAGCGGGAGAGCUUUUGAGUUGUUUGGGCAAAGGGGUUUCAUGCGUGUGUGGACUUUUAGGCUGCCCGGAGAGCGGAGAUUGGAAAAAUACCUUGCGUUUAGAUAGUGACUUGCGUGUGAGUGAUCUUUCGUCUUUUGUUAUAAUUUAUUGAUUUCUUAGAUGACGAUGUAAUGUAAACUAUUACAUAUUGUUUAUAUAAUAAUACCAUUGUGUUUCUUGCGGUCAACUCUUAAUUGCUAAAGAAUUAUUAUUCAGCAAAUUUCAUCCUUUAUUAUGAAGGCAAAGAUUAAGCUGUGAGAAUAUAUUAUGGAUAAAUUACGGUCAUAAAUUUAUCUAAAACUCUCUAUAGACAGAAAGACUUGAACCUCUUUCUUAUUAUCUAUGUGAUUUCCAAACAUAAUUGAUAACACCAAAUUGUGAUUAUGAAAUAAAAAUUAAUAAUACUGCUGUACGGCCAAGGCGGAUGUACGGUACAGCAGAUAUAUAUAUAAAUAAAAAAUAACGGCAAAGCUUAAUCAAGAAUGCUACAAACUUCUGAUCUCAGUGAUACUUUGCUUUGAAAGACUUGAAUGAAGGGUCUUUUAGAUGUGCACUAUACGCCAAUCACAUGAGUUAUAAUGACUUUAAGUUUUGCUUAACUAGAAUAAGAAUAACUUCGUUUUGCAGAGGCUUAAAAGAAUGUGUUCGCAAACUCCUUUAUCAACAUUGAAAAUCCUCUUCAAAUUAAGCCAUUGUACAGCAAGCUUGCCCAGUGUUGGAGACGUUAUUAUCAAGACUUGAGAAUCCUGCAUAGUGUAACAGGAUAGGCAAUGGUUAUUUUCUGUGCCAAAACAAAUCAUAUAUUGAUUCGACUUAGAGUAUGGUUCGUAUUUAAUAACUUCAAUGAGUUAUAAGACUGUUAUAGUCAUAUCUGAUAUGACUUUCUUGAAGCAUAAGCAAACCUUGCACCGUGGAUAGAAUUUAUAGAGUUUGCUUGCUAAAAGGUUGAUAAAAUGUGUCAUUGAUUUCUAAAUAUUGGUUUCUGCUGGCGUUUCAUUCUGAAAUUUCAUCUUAAAUUGCUUGGCACUAACAAGACAGUGUGUUAUGCAAGCAAGAAUAUGAUAGUUUGCAGAAUGAAGAUUUAGAGUGAAAAGGAGUUGUCCAACAUUGUUUCAGGGGCAUAUGCCGCAUAUCUUGCAUUUGAUAGAUUUAACUCAGAAACUUACUGACGCUACAAGCCACAUCAGCACCACUCCAUGAUCAAACUCUAGAUUGAAAUCCAAUUAGAUGGGUAAUUUAGGAGAUCUCAAGUCUACGAAUUUGCGUCAGUCUAUCAUUUUUUCGGGACAUUGACAAAAUAAGAAGCAGUAAGUCAACAAAGCAAAUAACAAAGAGCGAGCUUGCAUUAGGAAGUAGUAAUAAAUGAAUGUAUAAUUAAAAGAAAACUGAAGAAGAACAAAUGAAUCUAUCUCCCGCAAUGGGUGAUUGUGGAGCAACCUCUGGUGUAGGGGUUAGCAUGGCCUCUGGCUUUGUAACAGUUGUGGGUAUAAUAAGACCUCCCUGAACGAGCUGGGCAAGGAACCCUGUUGGCAGAAAGAGCUCCAUACGAUAUGUAAUAAUGCUUUCCUCUCCUGUACAGAGAUCUCCUGGUAAUCCCACCAUCUUCAUCCUGGCGUUCUUCUUCAUCAUCAUCGUACGCAGACAUUGUCCAUGAUUCCCACCCAUGUCCCUCAGUACUCAUCAGCGGGAAGCUUGCUUCGUCAUACCGAGCUUUCACAGUGAUGAUCAUAGAGACGACAAGGAGCAGCUUUAGAACUGACGAGAAUGCCAUUGAUGAUCGAUGUGAUCAAUCUUUAUUUGGGUUAGCUUUCAGCAUUCAGCUAGCAGGAAACGGGGAGUGAUGAAUUAUAAUAGUAGUUAGUAGAGACUAGAGACUACUACGAAAGGCAGUGCAUGUGGCAGAUGAAGGGUUAUGACUCAUGAAUUAUGAGAUGGUGGUGAUUGCAGACAAUAAAUUAAUCACGUGAAAAUUUGAAAUUUUUCGCCGACUAGAGCAAGAGAGCAGAUGACGUCAGUCGCACCUUGUUGCCUAGCUCCCUUAAUUAAUUGUUUUGUUCACAUGUUUUCGUUUCUCCUUUUUGGGAUCUACCGUUUGCCACAUGCAAUGAUGCCAAUGCAGCGUGAUGUGAUAUGUGAAAUUUUGUCUUUCAAGUCUUUUCACUUGGCUAUAAAACGAGGAUAAUAGCAACAAACAAACACACAAUUUUGUCUUGGCAAUGUGACUGUUUUCCUAUUUGAUUUACUAAAACUUCUUGGCCAAACUCCUAUCUUUUUAUGAAGGUCAAAUAUUUACACUUUGGCCUAGUUAGGACUGCUGCUGCGCCUUAAUUAUUCUCAUAAAAGUUUGCCAUGCAUUUCUAACCGUUAAGAAACCGUACUCAUAUGAUAAAAUGUGACAUUGAUUGCAAUUAAAAAAAUAAUAAUACCAAUCAUAAUCUCUGGAAACUAUUUAGGUCCUAUUUAAGAUUGAGGUGCUGUAACUUAAAAGUUACAGUUGCCGUAGAAAAAAUAGUAACUAUUAAAUAAAAGUUAAUAAUAUGUAGUAAAUAUAAAAUUUAAAUAAUAAUUAUAAGAAAAUUAUUAAAAAUAUAAUAAAUUUUUUAUUAUAUAAGUAAAAAAUUAUAUCAACAUAAUUUAUAAGUUAUAACAACUAGUGUUUACCAAACACUUUAAUAUUGUAACUUAAAAACUAGAGUUGCCUAAGCUCAAUUCUAAGCACACUUUUAAUUAAGGUGAUAGAAUCCCCUAUAUUAAAAACAUGAGAGUUAUGCCUAGUUUAAAUCUCAGUCAUGGUUGGGAGGUAAUUGACGACUUAAAAAAUGAGAGAGAGAUUAAAAAAGGUAAUAAUAAUAACUUUAAAUUGAUUGGCGGGACAGCAAUUGGGCUAGCCAGGCCCCUAGGCCUCACCGUAGAGGCCCGGUCCAAUAAGAUUGAGUUAACUUUCUUGAAGGGCCUUUUCAACAAGCAAAAGAUAUUUUAUGGCCAUAGUAGGAAAUUUAGGAAACUUAUGAGGAAUAAAUGUAAAAUAGAAGAAUCUCUGGCAUCGACCAUCUCGCCCGUCUCUUAAAUGACAGAACUCCAUUUCGCCUAUUCCUCUCUAGAAUUGUCUUAACGAUGGUUCGGCCUCAGCACCAUUUCCAGCAAAAUUACCAGCAGCCGCAACAGCAGUCCAAAAGCUUCAGGUAUUUAUACCUCAAAUUUAUUUUAUUUUUCUUCUAAGACCUUAUUAUUUUUGUUUGAUCAUUUAGAUUUUUUUUUUAUUCCGUCAGGAACUUAUACGCAAUGGACGGUCAGAUUUCGCCACCAGUAGCUUAUUACAGCACCGCCAAUAAUUUACAGGAUCAAUCUCAGCAUCCUCCGUACAUUCCUCCCUGUAUUAUUCCUUUCUCUCUCUGUGAUUGUUUUAAACUGCUGAUAAAUCACUGUCAAAAUAAAUAAAUGAAUAAGAAGAACUGAGAGCCUGAGACCAUAUAAAAUUCUGUUUCCUUUGUUUCUCAAGAAUUGGAAAUGAGAAAAAGAGAAUUAAGCUAGUUUGUGGACUUUUUCUUGAGCUAAAAUGCUAAGUUUGGCUAAAUUUCGAUUGUGCGUAAUUUAUUCUUUAUAAAAAUAAAUAAAUAAAUAGAGAGGCAUAAUUAUUUCAUCUUCUGAGCCCUGACCUGCAGAAAAUAUGAAGUUUCACAUUAUUUGUCAUUUAUUUCUGUCAUAGUCAUAGCAAAAACAUAUAUACCGAUUUUUUUUUUGUCCUUUAAUAUUUUGUUUUUCUUAAAUUUUUUUUUUCAGUAACCUACUAAACAGACAUAUUAUGUAUAUGUUUUUAUUGCAGUUCAUGUUGUUGGGUUUGCACCUGGUCCGGUAAAUGCAACGGAUGGCAGUGAUGGGGGAGCUGAUUUGCGGUGGAACAGUGGUUUAGAGCCUAAGAGGAAAAGAUUGAAGGAGCAAGAUUUUUUGGAGAACAACUCGCAGAUAUCAUCAGUGGAUUUCCUGCAAGCACGACCGGUAUCAACAGGAUUAGGUUUGUCACUUGACAAUACACGAAUGGCUUCCUCUGCUGACUCGGCUUUAUUGUCAUUUAUUGGUGAUGACAUCGAUAGUGAACUACAGCGACAGGAUGCUGAGAUCGACAGAUUCCUCAAAGUUCAGGUGAAGAUUCUGGAAUUUAUUGGUUUCCAUGUUUGUUUGAAAAAAUUGUCGCCUUCUUGAUUUUUUUGGAACAUUUACUUUUCUAGCAUGGUUAUACUGAUUGAAAUGAUAAUCGGUAUCAUAAUGAUUGAAUGUGAGCAUACAUGAUGUUUUCAGGUGGUGCUUUUGUCGUGUUUGUUAAGAUACUUAUGAUAGGUGCUUAGUUAGGUUGACAACACAGUUUACUGUGGUUUAUGUUGGUUAAUGUCAAGUGUUAUGUGAAGACAUAACCCAAAAAAAAAAAAAGGUGUUAUGUGUACCUAGGAAUUUGAAAUGACGUCUUUUGCUUCAUUUUUUCUCUUUCGAGAGAAUUUAAUUCCCGCCGCACUAGAUAUGGCGCAAUCUGCCUCCCUUCAAAAACUUCUCAUUUGAAGUUUAGGAGUUUUCUGCAUUUGGCCCUUCCCCCCAAAAAAAAACCCGAUGUUACAUUUUUUUGGUAGCCUUUUUUUGUGGUUCGUUUAUAGCCAAAGAUGUAUAUGGUUGAAGAAGGGAACACAUAUCCCACAUAUGCUUGACAGGGCUGUCAAGAACAUGUCAAGUAUGUGGAUUUUUGCCUAGAUUAUGUUGAAUGAUUGAUUGACACCCAUCUGAACUCUGUAUACUAACAUUUUUACCUAAAAAUCUAGCGUUACAUUUAUUGAAAUAUCCAACAUUAUGAAUUCAAAUCAACUUAAUGAGGUGAUUAAGCCAUUCUACGGAAGUAGAUCUUUUACUAGUUGGAAGCUCCAAAUCAAGAGUAGGUGUCAACUCUUGAAGUUUUCAGUAUCCUUUACCGUCUUCGUGAUGUUGUUGUAUGUUUCAUAUCCUUUUUGAUGCAAACUUGUGACAGAACUAAGGUAAAGAAGACAGAGGGUAUUUUGGUGAGAUCAACAUUGUCUUUGGCUGUAGGAAGAGUACAAAAGUAACAAAACUAACUGUCUUUGGCUGUAGUAAGAGUGCAAAACUAACUAUGUAGUUUUCGAAAAAAUAAUAAAACGGCCAUCCAAAUAGUGUUAUUUAGGGAAAUAAAAACCCAGAUGGGAGUCCUGUCUCCUGUCUUAGUUGAUGAGUACUUAAUUUUUUGUUGGUUUGAGAUAUGCGGCUGUUUGCUUUGCUGCUUUUAGAAUUUAAUUGCAUUAAGGUUAUUUACAGAAACAGAUUUCACAUUGCUUUUAUGACUCCUAAGUUAGAGGUGAUGGAUGAUGUUUCCAACCUUUUGCAUUUAUCGAAAUAUCAUCUUCAGGACACAGUCUAUCGUUUUAUUCUUGGUUUUGCUUACAAUGAAGUUUUCUGUUUUGUAACUCUUGCUCUCUAUAGCCUCUUGCGUACUUGUUUUCCUGUUUCAUAAAUGUAUAUUGUUAAAGGAAAUAUGAACAAGUGAUAAUCAUUGUCACAUUGUGUUAAACUUUUUCUCUCAUAUAGUUGCCUUGUUUUGAUAUUGUUAUAUUUAAUUGUUUUGCUUUAAUUUCUGUCUUCAGUGUCAUUUCAUGAUUCAGAUAAGAGGAUUUUGCAAUUUGAUUGUUCCAAGUUCUAAGUUCUUCAUCAAUAUGAUAGGGUGACCGAUUGCGGCAAGCCAUUCAAGAGAAGGUUCAGGCUAACCAACUUCAAACCAUCUCACUUGUGGAAGACAAAGUUAUUGAGAAACUUCGUGAGAAAGAAGCAGAGGUGGAGAAUAUUAACAAGAGGAAUCUGGAGCUUGAAGAAAGAAUGGAACAAUUGAGUGUGGAAGCUGGUGCUUGGCAACAGCGGGCCAGACACAAUGAAAAUAUGAUCAAUGCCCUCAAGGUUAAUCUUCAGCAUGUAUAUGCUCAAAGUAGAGACAGUAAAGAAGGGUGUGGUGAUAGCGAGGUUGACGAUACGGCUUCAUGCUGCAAUGGGCGCGCCAUUGAUUUCCAUAUUCUCUGCAAAGAAAACAAUGAUAUGAAAGAGCUGAUGACCUGUAAGGUUUGUAGAGUGAAUGAAGUAUCAAUGCUUUUGUUACCUUGUAAGCAUCUCUGUCUGUGUAAAGAAUGUGAAAGUAAGCUCAGUUUUUGCCCCAUCUGCCAGUCAUUUAAGUUCAUAGGGAUGGAGGUCUAUAUGUAACAGGAUAAAUGUGUAAGUUUAAGAUUUGAUGUUAUGCUAAUGGUAUAUUUUGAUUGUCGAUGAUUGCUCGUUACCUCUUUGCUUCUUUCUUGGUUGUUACAAGCUGUAUUUUCAGUGCUUUUAUCAGAAUUUCUUGUUUUUGGAUUUUCUCUUGUAAAGACAGACAUAAAUUGUGUGUGUUUCUAUUCCAAUACCUAGGUUGCAAUGGCAUGUAGAAUUCUUAGGCUCCACACAAAAUUUCUUUUACCUGCAGUUCCAACGCGCUGCAAGAUAUUUAUGUGUGUCAGUGCUGGAUUAAAGUUAGGGAACUAGGUGGAAAUAUAUGUCAACUUGCAUGGUUUGACAUUUUAUCUUCUAGUUCAUUUCUGUUGUGGGGAAAAGGAAAUCGUUUCGGCGUCCUAAUGGUAUAUCGUCUUUCUAUUUUAACUAAUUCCUUAGGAUUUUCACAAAUUCCGUUUUGGAAUAAUAAUAUACGUUUGAAAGAUACAGAAAAAACAACAACAACAACAAUAAUAAUAAUAAUAAUAAUAAAAAGAAGUGCGUUUGAACAUUGAUUUAUUGUUUGUGUGUCAUUAAAUGAAAAACAAAACGGGCGCCAAGCAGACUCAAGACUGUUAAAGCUUCCAUCGAGUCAUUCGGUGGACUCAAUGAACUGGGCCCAUCGAGGCUGAAUCGAACUAAAACCCAGUGGGCUAUUUUCACUAUUAUGUAUGUAUUACGGCUGUGUAUUUUUUACUUUAUUUUUUCUGAACACCUGCAUCUGUUAUAUUAAAAACAAGAUUUCAAGCAUUUCUAAUUGGUGCAUGUUUGGUAAUGUAAUGAGUUAUUUAAUGGUUAAAAGUGCUCAUCUAAUUUAAAAUGCUUUUUAAAAAUUUUUGGAGUUAUUUGGUUGUAUUUCUAGUAGAAUAUUUUUAGGAUUAAAUAAGUAAUUUUGUCAUUGCUAGAAAAAUUUUAAAUUUUAUUUAUUUCACAAAUUUUUUAGAGUAGAUUUGUGGAGCUUUUUUAAGAGUUAAAUUAUUUAAGAAAUUCUCUUUAUUUAUUUCACUAUCUUAUUUUAUUUAUUUUAUAACAUAACUUUAAAAAUUCUAUAUACUAAAGUAAUUUUAUAUUUUUUUUAAUAAAAACACUCUAUUUGAAUAUACUCUAUUUAGAAAGUUAUACCAAACGGUAUAGAAAAUGUGGAUGUGCCAGUCAAAAUUAAUUGACUUUUUAUUUUUCCCCCCUUUUCUUUGAGAAGAGUAAAUAUGUAGGAGGAGACUGGUAGAUGAAUCUCAAUAAUUGCCCAUAAUUUUGACAAUCAAGCUACUCAUCACUACUUUAGCCUGUGUACCUGAUCUCUAAAACUGUAGAAAAGGAUAUAUCUUGUACUUAAUUUGUACCUAAUCUGCACUUACAACUUCUUGUUAAAUCAAACCUAGAAAAAUAAUUAUUCAGUUUCCGAACUUAUUAUUAGAAAACCAGUUUAUCAACUAUGUUGGUAGUUGAACAAACCGCGACAUCUCUUACUCAUUCCGUUAUUACAUGCAAACAUUACAUAUAUAUAUAUAUAUUUUUUUAGCUGAAGCCGAGCCAAUUCUGAAAAUUGAGCCUUGAGCCUUGAGCCUUGAAAAUUAUAGCCCGUAUUAUUAGUUAUAAUAAUUUUGCUUUGAACUUUUUGUCAAUUUUCUAGUAACCAAUAUGUUAGUAGUAGAAGAAGAAGAUAGACUUGGGAAACAAGAUGUUGAUUUGGGGGGUAAUGUUAUAGUAAUUAGUAAUUGAGAAAAGAGGGAUGGUAGCUUUUCUUUUUAAGGGGGAGAGAAGAUACAUCAACUUUUUUCUAAUCAUGCCUUAGAAAGUGAUGACAAAGAGGAAAGUGAAUAUGCUUCUUCCAUGAUUAUAACUAUCUGCCAUAUGUAUUAUUAUUGUGAUUUGUUUUUAUUCAUUAUUCCACCUCCACUUCCACUUCCACCGCAAACCCCAGCCGAUCUCAGUCCUGUCAUGUCCCUUUACUUUUUCUUUUUAUUCGUACCAUCAUCCUUCUUCUUUAUCUUAUUAUUAAAGGAAUCAUCUAAAACCCAAAUCUGAUCAUAUGUAAUAAUAAUAAUAUACUAAUGUUUUUAAUUAUUUUACUAUAUGAGUAAAAUUCAAAUUUCAAAAUUAAGGAAGAGUGACUUUAAUAGAGUUCAAUCAUCUAACACCCACCUUAUUCCCCAUAAAAGCUGUUCUUUUAUCUAUCUCCUUUCUUUAAUUUUUAUCUGCUUUCUCAAGUGGAAGUGGGGACUCCUGCAUUGGCUUACCUCCACUUUGUAUCUCUUUUGCCUUUCCUUUCAUCUUAGAUGUACAUUCGUGAAUGAUUCUUCUGGGACUCCAAUGUGUAUGUGUUCAGUGAUUCUUACACUGUCAAAGUUAUACGAUUUUGAACUGAACAUGUAGCUUUUUGAUGCCCACAGCCACAACUGCUGCUGCUUCGUGUAUGCGGGAUCUUUUAGUGCAGUAGUAAUUAAAAGGAUGACCCCAUUGUAAAUGAAAUAUAUAUAUAUAUAUGAAAUACACACACACACACACACACACACAGACGAUAGAUAGAUUGCUUCACUUGAGCGAGGUUGAGGGAUUUUAAUUUCUCUCUACUCUAUAUUUAUUUCUUCGCUCAUUUCUCUAUAUAAAAAUGCUUGAGACGUACGUAUUUUCAAUUAUCUAAUCUUACCUACAUGUGCACUUAAUUACUUUCUAGCACGACACGAUAGUUAUCUGUCUACUUUGAGAAGCUUCAUGGAAAGACAAAGAAAACUUUGGGAAAGUUGGCAUAAAUUAAUUUGCGUCAUAUAUAUGAGGUUGAAAAUCUAUAUGAGUAAUUAAGCGGUUGGAUAUAUUUCAGAGUGUCUUUUUGAGUAUGUUCUUUAAAGAAAUAUCACCAAUAAAUUUAGAAUCUGGGCGUACGUCAAGCAGGUGCUCAGUUUAUGAAAGCAUGCUUUUUUAUUAAUAUAUUUUGCAGAAACAAAAAGAAAAAAAGGUAAUUGCUGGUUGCUAAAUAUAUAACCCCAGUUCAUUACACAACAUCUUUUUUUUUUCUUUUAAAUUUUUCCCCACCAUUUUCUUGCACAUUGUUUCAUUUCAUUAGUUUUCAGACUCGGCCAAUGUUCCACAUCUGCUUCACAGUCACUCGUCCACAAACAGCAAAUAGGUAGCUGGGAGUAACUGCGGGCAGUCCCAAGUUCUAUUGCUUGUCGGCAUCUUCAGUACUUUUGGCAACAGCCAAGAGCGGUCCUAGGAACAAAAUUAAACUACUUCUCUUCAUUAAUUUGUCUCUAGCUACCUUAGCUAGCUACUUCCAAUAACCUUAACUUGUUUCGAAAGACUAAUCGCUAAGGUUAAUUUGUAUAUUUUAUAUAUUAAUUAUUUGGCUUCUUUUGUUAAAUUAUAAAAAUCAGAAAGAAAGGAAACAAGAGUUAACGUGUGUGUGUUAUAUAUAUAUAUAUAUAUAUAUUCAUGCAAAUUCAUUAACAUAAAGGCAAUAACAGUAUAGUAAGUAAUUGCUUUUAAGGAGUGGGAGUGGCGCGUGUAAGAAUGAAAUAAUGCACAUCAUUUUCACAGAUGGACCGUCGGAUAUGUGCGCGCUGAGUGAACGAUCUAUUCCUUACAAAGCUUUUUGCUUGACAUGAUUGACCAGGCAAAAAAGAAAGGGGUUUUCUCAGUGGAUAAUUAGGUGGCAAUAAUAUUUGCAUGAUUAUAUAUAUCAUUUGGAAUAUAUAUAUAUAUAUAUAUAUUGCAUUUUAAAUAAACAAAGAGACGAACGAAAUCUGGACAGUCCGGAUCGACCCAACACUGCAAAUGAUUUGAGGAUAACUGCAGUUCCCCAGAAUGGAUCACCAUCCGAUCAAUUACAAAACAAUAAUUAUUAUUUUUUUUAUAAAAAAAAAACAUGCAUAUAUUUUUCUUUGACGAAUUUCGAUGAGAAUCAGAUAUGCAAUUGUGUAUCAUGAAUUAUUGGCUGUCGUCAACAGAAAAAGGAAAGGAAAAUAAAAUAAAUGUCGCUUUAAGCACUUUGCUUUGUGAGUAAUGGACGUAAGAGGUGGGUCUUUGAAAUUGAUAUAUAUGCAUGAAAUGAUGGUGAAGAUGAUGGAGGGACCCAAAUGAGGUUGAUGAUGAUGAUGAUCAUCACAAGGGGAAUCCCUUGGAUUGAGGAGUAGUAUUAGCAUAUAGCUAGCACAGCAGCAGCCUUGAAUUGUGGGACCUUUUUCUUUAACGUUUUAUCAGCCACAGUAUAAAAAGAUGUGAAGACGAAGAAGAAAAAGAAUGUGAUGUGCAUGUGAUCCAACAGCCUUUAUGUUCCCCUCUUCUUCUAACCAAAUGUAUAUAUAUUUUUUAACCCACCAAUAUUAAUUCCAAACCAUCUUUAGUGUUUUUUUUUUUUUUUUCAAUUAGUUAAUUGAUCACCUGGGUCUAUUACUUUUUUGCACAAUCAUGUUUAGGUCUAACAUUACAUUGUUGUUAAUGUUUUGUACUAAGACUUAAUUUUGGGCCCAUACUCCAUUAAAGACAUUUUACUAGUUAGCUAGUGGAAUUCAAAAGACACCAUAUCACAUCAAUCAUUCUGUAGAAUAUACUGUAUAUAAUAUAUCUCUAUCAAUUAUAUUCUCUGUAUACACGAUAAAGUUUCUCACGUUUGUAGUAGGAGCUUUUUCACGUAGAAGUUGAAUUGAUGCCUUUAAGAAAGAAUAUUGAAAGAAAGAGGGAAAGCAAAAGAAAAGAGAAAGGAAAGAAGGAGAAGAAAGAAAGAAAGAAAGAAAAAUGAAGGGAAAGAUAUCUAUUGUUGUUGCUCUCCUUUUAAUGUAUCUCCAAAGUGAGUUAAAAUGAGCUUUGUUUCAGUGACAAGCAACAAUAGGCCAUGCAAGACUAAAUUCUUUGCUUUUCAACCUCUUUUAUGGAGGGAUAGAGCUUUUGCAUGGAAAACAAAUCCUUUAUUAUAUAUAUGUAUAUUCUAAUGUUCCAUUGAUAGAUUCCUUUUCUGUUUAAUCAAUCAAUUUAAAAACUUUCUUUACUUCAUUUGGGUCAAUGUCUUAGUUCACUUUUAAGUCCAAUAAAUAUACAUAAUUUCUUAAUGAGUGAGGCAGAAUACAUAUCUAAAUGGCUACGUACUUCUUAAUUAGCAAGCAAUUAAGUCAUUUCCUCGCGACUGGAGACCUGAUGAGGGACCCUAGCAUUAUUAUUUAAUUAACUCUAUGAUCACCAAUUUGAAAAAGAGUGACAACAAAAGUAUUUGUGCUGGCUAUUGAACUAAUAAAAUCUUAUAUGAUAUGGUUAUAGAAAAUUUGGGGUCCAAAAUCCGCAACGCCAGAUCGAGCUAUAAAGGCCCCGAGAGGCCCCAAAAAAUAUACCAUCUAAGAUGCAAACAUAUAUAUAUAUAUAUAUAUAUAUGCUAUGUGUUACUAAAUUUCUUAUUCAGGCUACGUUUUAAUUGCUCAAUAGUUUUGGAAAUACUCGAAAUCUUUUUUUUUAUUUUUUUAUUAUUAUUAUUCAUUAGCUAAUUGGUCAAACAAUCCUAUAUCUUUGAUUAAUAAUAAUGAAAUUCAAUCUAACUUUAGAGGAACAAGUCAAUAAUAGUUGUUUCAGUUGUAAACUAAAUAUUCACCCUCGUGUUUAAAACUCAUCAAAAUUCCCAAGUCAUUAUUAGAGAAAUGUGAACUUUUGCUUUUGUUUUUGUUUUUGUUUUUGGUUUUGGUUUUUUUUUUUGGUGUGUUUUUUGCUCAUUUACCCACCAUUGAUCAAUAAAAAAUCUAAUAAGAGUAAACUAGUAAAAGACAAAAGCUAAAAGUUAAUAUGACUCUUUUUUUUUUUUCUUCUUUUUUCUUUUUUGUGACAAGGGAGUUUUGAUGGUAUUGAAUAUGAGGGGAAAAAUAAUUAAUGUUUAACAAACAACACAAGGAUUUGAUGGUCUUCUAUUAUAAAGCCAAACCUGAAAAAUCACAGCUUUUGGUAUGGGUAGGAGAAGUAGGGGUUGACUGAGGCGAAAGGAAUAGCAUGUUCCACAUAUUUUCCUUCAAAUAUUAAUAAGUAUGAUGGCGGAGUAGCAGCACAGGAUUGUGUGUGUGUGUGUGUGUGUGUGUGUGACUGAGACACUGAGGGAUUGUCACCUCUAGAAGGACAAAGUUGUCAAUCAAAUAACGCAAAGGACAAAUCCUCUGAGUAUACAUGAGUGCAUGCAUUACAAAGACAAACGGAGAUCUUGUCCGGUCCAUUAAUUAAUAUCGGUGUGCCAUUUCCUCGUGGGAUCCAUAUCCCCUCCCCUCGUGACUCUUCCUUUUUUCCUUUUUAUUUCAUUUCUUUUUUCCUCUUAGUUCUCAGAAUAAGUACACACCGUCUCUCCCAUUUUGAACCAGUUCUCUUUGACCAAACCCUAGCUCUCUGCUACGUAUUUCACGAACCCAACAACAUUAUAUUAAUUAAUUUUGAGUUCAAAUUGUAUAAUAUGUGACAUUUGUAUAUAUCUGUACGUAUAUAAUAUGUUUGUGUUCCUGGGUCCUGGCCAUGGUGGGAAGAGAGGAGGAGGGGGGUCAGUGAAACAGACAAAAGAGAGUGCGAGAAGAGACAGAAGAAAGAACCUUGUAGCUUGUCGCGUAUUUAUACAGACUUUGAUUCUUUUUCACUUUAGAAAUAGAGAGAUAGAGAAAGAUAGUUCUUUGAAUAUUAUAUAUAUAUGUUUAGUAGCUUAAUUGAUUAUUAUUAUUAUAAUAUAAACCUAUCAACUUUUUCUUUAUUUAUUUAUUUAUUUUUUAUCCGUAUUCGCUCUGUGUUUUAAGUUGUCUCUCCUUGAAAUUCUCAUUCUAGAUUAACAGAGAUAAUAAUUUUUAAUUGUCUUAUAUGUAAUUCCUAGAAAUUAAUAACAAUAUUUUCAAAUGUAUCGGCGGUGGUCAUGUGAGGAGGAGGAGGAGGAGCAGGGGGCUGUGCGUUGUGGGGUUCACUUUUUCACUGCGUUUUAGAAAUUGGAAUAGAAUCUUCUUGGCACCUCAACUUAUUAGAGGUAAUAGGAAAAUGGUGUUUUUAUGUGUGUGUGUGUGUGUGUGUGUGUGUGUGUUGGCUUGGGGGUGUGAUUGUUGCCAGUACUGAUGGUGGUGGGCUCGGGAGGAUCUGUCUAAGUUGCUGACAACUUGUAAAAAAUAAAAAUUAUCAGCCUUUAUUUUCUAGAUUUCCAGUCUCAGUAGGUCCACAACCUUUUAUCGAUGUCUGAUACAAACAAAAAUGCUUCAUAUAAUUUGUUUAACUGGCUAGCUAGAUUUGCUCAUCAACUGCCCAUCCUCAUCAAUGCCAUAGGGUCCCAUGCCCUCGUGCUGCUGCGUACAUUUGCUUGACAGACCCUCUAAUUAAUUAAUGAUCACAUAAUUGGUUAGCUUAAUCCUCUAGAUUGCUCAAUUUGCUGCGCUUCCAUUAUUAAUCUGUUACGGUUUCGAAACUAAUUACACAAUGACUGGCUAGGUUAGCUCGAGUAAUAUUAUUGUGUUUGAUUUGAUUCUCUUGAGAUAGCAGCCUCCUAUGAUCUGUAAAUUAUGACAGUAAAAGUAAUGGGUUGUGGGGGAACAUAUUUGUUGGAAUUUGGAAGCAUCUAGAUUGAUGUUACAUACAUUACACAUGUGACGCCUCCCAUAAAUAUGCAUGCAAUAUGAACAUCAGAAUAGAGAGUAAAAUAUUUAGAUUUUCAUUUAUUUAUUUUACGAAGGCAAGAAAAAAACAAAAUAGGAAUCACGAGAAUGGCAUACAAGCACAAGAUAAAAAAAAAAGAAAAAAAAAAAAGAAGAAAAAACUGUUUCCAUGUCAGCCGCUGCGAAAUUUUCACAGACCGCAGAAGGGGUAAGUUACUUACAAGUCUGUGUGUGAAUUGUGAAGUUGAGGGGGGGUUUAAUAAAAGCCAAGAUAUAGAUAAAAGAAAGAGAGAGAAGGGCAUCUCAAGUUUUAGAAGGUGGUAUUUGCUCAGACCAUAGCUAAGGGCCAAGGGACAGUAUGUAUUUCCCAUUUUAAUUGAAUAUCGGGACUUGAAGCUGACAUUUUCUUCUUAUUCUUUUCAAAAUUUGAAGCUUCUCCGUAUAGAUGUAAAUGUAAAUGUAAAUGUAAAUAUAAUGCAAAAUAAAAGAAUUAUUCAACGUCACAUGCAAAGCAAUGAAUCCUCCUAUUUCCCUCCACUAGCUACUCCCUCAAAUUUUAAAUGUGGGUCUUGAAUAUUUUGGCUUAUUCAGUGGAAUCAAAAGAGAGAGAGAAAAAAAAAAAAACUUACAUAAGGGAAGAAAGAAAUGAAAUGACAAUAUUAAUCAAGAGAAUCACAUUAAAUAAAAGUGAAAGAAAGGAAAUAAAAUGGUGGGGGACUGGGACAGUUUAACUUUGUUUUUCCAAUAAUGAGAAUCAUAUAACAUGAUCAAAAUAAUCAGUUGAGUAUCUAUGUGAAAUAAUUAGUAAUCAUUUUCCUAUAGUUUCACUUUGAACAUGCUUCUGUCCCUACCUUGCCCGACUGUUCACUUACUCAUAACCAAAAUGAUGCAUUUCUCACUUUUAAUUAUAGGAUCCCUCGAUCUCUAAUAACCACUGACUUCCGAUAUUUUAUUUAAUUUCAUGCAUUUUUCUUUCGCUUGUUGCUUUAUUUAUUUAUUUAAAGGGAGAGAGUAAAAAAAAAAAAACUAAUUGAGUUUCCGAUAUGAGAAAAAAAAAAUUCUCGAGAAAUUAAAUCAUGAGAAAUUGACGUGGAGAUUACAUGGAAUGUUGGGGCAUUAUCCGAGAAAGAAAUUAGGAAAAGCUGAAUUUUUUUUCAGUUAUAUAUAUGUGUGUGUGUGUGUGUAUUCAUGGAACGGAAACUUUUGGGCCAAUAAUUCAAUUGAAUCACCUGGGACACGUCAGCAAAGGAAAGAAGCCGAGCCGAGAGAGAAGUGCCAAAGUUGGAGGCUCAAAGCAGAGGCCAAAGGCUAUGUAGAGUCUGUACAAUUGUAAGUUAGUGAGUAAAGGCAGCAGUGGUAUAGUAGCCAGAGAUAGCAUGCAUGUGUGUACUACUGUUGUAUCUAUCCAUUGAAAAGUUUGCAAAUAUUAUUAUUAAAUUAAAAAGAAAAAUCAAAAUUUGAAGAAAGAAAGAAAGAAGAAGAAGAAGCAGCAGUAGAAGAAAUAGAAAUAGAAGCUGAGAGAAGAAAUGUCGUCACCAAAACUCUUUUUUUUUUUUUUUAAAUAAAAAUAAAAGAGCUCUAGUUAAAUCCCAUCACGUAGUUCGAUGUAUCCUUUUACCUUAUAUAUCUGCUAGAGUAGAGUAGUAGUAGAAAAUGAUGGGAUUCGAAAUUGGAGACUGUGUCUGAUGAGUUGGGUGUGUUAUUAAACAACAAACGGAAAGCUACAAAAUGAAAAGACGACACUCGUUUGACGUGAGCACUUAACUCAAAAGGCUAAUUGCACAGUGUAACACUGUGCGUAUUUGACCAAAAUACCCUUAGAUUAUAGCGGUAAAACGGGGGAUGACAUUGUAAAUUAAAAAAUUAGAAAGACAGGCUGCAACCUGCACCUGAACCACCCUUGUGGCUGAUUUUUAAGUGGGUGUGCGCGGGAUCCCUUGUCAGAGUCAGAGAGAGAAAGAGAAGUCACGGGUUUGUCUUGAAAUGCCCUUAUUUCACAGUCCUAGACAGACAGACACAUAUUCUCUCUCACUACAUAACCGAGGAGGGGGGGAGGAGGAGGGUAACAAAUUAAUUAUAAACAUUCACGCUGCCAAAAAAUAUUUUACUAUAUAUACGUUAAAUAUAUCAAUUAAUUUAAUCAAAACAUUUUCUUUUUCUUUUUCUUUUAAUUUAUACAGUUCCACACACUACCCUUUAUCUGCUGCCAUCAUUUUUUAUCCUCCGAAGAAAUCACCAAUUACCCAUCACAGCCCCCCUCUCCCGACUCUCUCUCACUUGCUCCCAAACAAAAAAAUUUUUCUUGUUGCUUUGUUUUUGCUUUCACCCUUCUUUCAAUGGCGCUUAUGUUAGACAAUUGCGAAGGCAUCUUGCUAUCACUAGACUCACACAAAUCAGUACCGGCGCCAUUCCUCACAAAAACUUACCAGCUGGUUGAUGAUCCCACCACAGACCAUGUAGUUUCCUGGGGCGAAGACGACACCACCUUCGUCGUUUGGCGUCCCCCUGAGUUCGCACGUGAUCUUCUUCCCAACUACUUCAAGCACAACAACUUUUCUAGUUUUGUCAGACAGCUCAACACCUAUGUAUGUAACACGAAAUCUUAUUUCUCUCUCUUUAAAAAAUACCUUUACUUUUCUAUAGUUAGUUUGUCGUUUCGGUCACCGCAGAUACUGGUUUUUGAUUUCGUUUCUGCUCUCUUGUUUUGAUUUUUUAGGGUUUUAGAAAGAUUGUGCCGGACAGAUGGGAGUUUGCUAAUGAGUUCUUCAAGAAAGGAGAGAAGCACUUGCUGUGUGAGAUCCACAGAAGAAAGACUGCACAGCCACAAGUUGCCAUAAACCAUCAUCACCAUCAUCAUCAGCACCCACAUUCGCAUUCUCCCGUACUGGUCAACGGUCCAAGUUUCUUCCCAUUUCCGAACCGAGUCAGCAUCUCUCCAUCCGACUCAGACGAACACGUUAACAACUGGUGUGACUCGCCGCCAAGAGGAGGCAAAGGCACGGGAGUUUCUGCUGUCAUGAGUAGUGGUGCUGGCUGCGGCGGCGGGUACAACAAUAACAAUAAUAAUAUUAAUCUUAAUACCUCGGUUACUGCCUUGUCGGAAGAUAAUGAGAGACUGAGGAGAAGCAACAAUAUGCUUAUGUCGGAACUUGCACACAUGAGAAAGCUUUACAAUGAUAUCAUAUAUUUUGUGCAAAAUCAUGUGAAGCCAGUUACUCCUAGCAAUUCUUACCCCCCUUCUUUGCUUCUUUGUAACACAACACCAAGUGCUGCUGCUGCUGCUCCUAUGUGUGCUAAUACAACUCCACUGGUGCAAAAGCCUUUAAACCAGCUUCUUGGGUAUUAUCCUACUAAUGGUACUAACCCUAAGCAAGCUACCCAUCAUCAAGCUCAUGUUUUGAACUCUCCUACUGCUACAUCACAAAGCUCUUUGACGAUUCUUGAAGAACCCAACAGCAAUAGCUGCAAGACUAAGCUGUUUGGCGUGCCUCUACAAUCCAAGAAGAGAGUGCACCCCGAGUAUGCAUCUAAUUAUCCAGCAAAUACGGAGACCAACAAAGCCCGUUUGGUCAUGGAUAAGGAUGAUCUAGGGUUGAAUCUCAUGCCUCCUUCCACAUGUUAGUUUCCUUUAAUAAUUAUUUCAUUAAUGAUCUUAGCUUUUUCUUUUUCUUUUUAUCUUCCCUUUUCUUUCUGUCAUCAAUUUUCUUGCUUGAUUUGCCUUUGUUACGCUAUCGAGCCUGAGAAUCUGAUGAUAGUAGUAGUUUUAACGAAAUAUGCGUGUGUGAGUGUGCGUGCGUGGGUGUGGGUGUUUGUGACUAUGUAAAUAACUUGAAGUGUCGGUAUUAUCUUUGUUCCCCACAGCUAUGAAUGCAUGUGGGUUUUGGUUAGAGUGAAGAUGAAAGCAAGUUUAAAUCGUCCGCAACAACAUCUUUUUCUUCUUUGAUGUUCUUCUAUUUCAUUGGUGCAAAUUUACUGCCUUGCUCAGAUUUGUUCUUCUUUGUAUACUUUUUCUUUCUUCAUGAUUUUUACGUCUGUAUGUUUCGGUUACAUUAAUGCAGGAGAGAGAUUGUGUUUGUCCGUGUUUGUGUUUUAAUGACUUCCUUCUCAGUUCUUCUAUAAACCAAGAAAAAGCUGAGAAGGGUUUCAGUUCAGACUCUAGCUGGUUCCUUGCAAUGUCUCUAGGGCUUUCUCUGAUAAGUCCCAUUAAUGCAACGUACAAGUGUACAGCCGUGCUUUUGAUUUGAAAAUGCUUCGCUCUCUUGUAAAUUAAUUAAAAGACCGAUAAGAACGAUUAAUAAAUAAAGGCUAAAAGGAAAAUUGGCUGACACCAUAUGAUAAUUUGUUCCUUAAAAAUCUUACUAAUUAGUAGUGUAAUUAUGAUUAUGGUCAUCACUAUUAUUGUCAAAAAGAAAGCAAAACUAUAAUUUAGGAAAAAGAAGGUUAUCAUGUCAUAUCUCGUUUGAUGAAGCAGGUUGUAAUCUCUAUUUCUCUUGUUUCUAUGAACUGUCUGUCAGUCACGCAAAAGAACAAAUACAAAGUUUUAAGAUUUUAGAAAAAUAAAGUAUAAUUUUAUUUUAUAUUUAAAAAAAAAAGGUACAAACAAAAAUAGCGAGUUAUUCGAUGAUAGCGAAAUGUAAGAUAAGUGACGAAAAAUGUUUGUUUGAAAUGUAUCUAUCAAGGCUUCUAUACUUCUUCUUCUUCUCUGAGGAUAAGAAACCUUGACUUUUCCUACUUUAAGUAUCUGAUCGACCAUCUUCAAAAUCUCUCCUUGGAUCCCUCUUACCUCUAUUCUCUAAUUCCAAGCUCUUUCUUUUCUUCUUCCAGACGAUACCCAGAAACACAGCGAGAGAGAGAGCUUUAACUUAGCUCCUUUGACCGGUAGGUAAUCUUUUUUUCUUUUUUUUCUUUCCUUCUUUUGUUUUUUAAUAAAAAAAAAAAACCUAUUUCUUUAAUGGCUUUACUGCUCACUUUCUCCAAUAUCCCUAUACAAGUAAAGUUUCUGGUAAUGUUUCACUACGAAUUUUAACUUGGUUCUUCUUUUGCUCUCAUGGGAAUUAUUAAUUUCUAAGACAAGGAAACUCUGUGACACAGAGAUGAAAGCAUGUUUAAAAGGUCCAUUGAAAUAUCUACAGGGCUAGACUGUAGACGGAUAAAAGUAGGAAUAUAUAGUAUUCUUAGAAUAUCUUUGUCGUGUGUAAUAAUUUCGUCGCCUACUAUUACUAGUACUACUCAUAUGAAAGAGCAAGCCCUAACCCUAGCUAAUUUAACACUAUGAUAAAUUCUAUAAUAAUAUACUCCCAUGGGCUAUCUGGGCUUCCCAAUAGCUUGUUUUGUCUUUUUUGAAGAGUGUCACGUGACGAGAAACUGCACGUGUGAUGCUGAAGAAAAGAAAAGUGGGUGAUUUUGGGUCUUAAAAGUGGAUAUGGAUCAUCCGGUAAAAGAAUAAAGAAAUGCUUUAGCCUUUAAGGAAGGCAAUUGUAUGUUAUUGCUAACAGCCGUAUUGGAGGACCACAUGACCAUGUUUUUGAAACUUUUUUUUCCUCUCAAAAAGGAAAAAGAAAAAUAAAAUUAUGGGUAAAAGAAACGAAACGAAAAGAAAAGAAGACAUACACGAUUGCUUCGUUUUGUCUUUUGGAAUACACUUUUUUAAAUUCCUCUUCACAUUUUUAUUGUACACUACUCCUGUCGACAGUUUUAUAAAAUAUUGAUUUAAUAAUGAGAAAAAAACGUAUUUGUUAGUGUGGGUUAAUGAAUAUAAUUUCUUUUACAUACACACUAGGGUUGGGAAUGCGACUAGAUGGGUUGAGAUUUAUCAAUCUUAAUCUUAUCCCAAACAAUAAAUCGGGACAAAUAAUUGUCACGAUCUCAUCCCGAUUGGAACUUCAAAUCUCGAUCAGAUUCUAAAUUGUCCCAUAUGAUACGAGUUUUCUGUCAUACAAUGUAGAUUCUAUCACAAACGACAUGUCAUACGAGUUAAUCGAUAUGUUGUAAUUUUUCAAUCAACGCAUCAUAACUAAUAAACGACUUGUCAUACAAAAUUAACGAACAUAUAAUUCAUUAAACUGACUUAUCAUACAUUUAUGAAAACUCAGAUUUCGGGCCAUUUAGGAUCCAAAUGAAAAUUUUAAAAUGCCGUGAAUCCUAACACGAAUAGUAAAUUGGGAUAAAAUUUUAUCCCAAAUCCCGACUAGGAUUGCAGGAAUUUCUACCAACCUUAACACACACAAUAUUUUUUAAAUAUGUUCAAAAAAUUCUUAGCUCGAAGUUAAUGGGUUGAUAGUAAUAUGUGUCAGUAGCAUCCCGGAUUAUUAUUCAAUAAGGGUCAUAAUGUGAAACAAAAAAUUUCAUAGGAUUAUAGUUAGAAAAAUAAACGAACACUAUGAAUCGAGAGGGGCCAAAUAGUAAAAUUUACAGAAAAGAUUUAAAAAAUUUCUAUUUGGACACUUACCUUAAAUUAGUUUCUUCAUCAUUGUUAAUCUUUUAACCAGUGUAAAAUUUUAUUUAAUAUUGCCACAUUAUUUUUCAUUUAAAGUGCAUCUUUUACUUUGAUCAAACUAAUAUUUAUACUGAAGCUAAGGUCUAACUUCGAUGAGGAACUGGUUUCCUAAGGCUCAUGUGGGGAUCUGAACAUUAAUGAUUGCGUGAGUUAAUAAAAAAAAUAAUAAUAAUAACAUCUAUACUAACCAAGAUAUAAAAGUUGAUUGAUAUGUUGAGAUACAUUUUUUUUUUUUUUUUUUUGUAGUAGACCGUCUUGAAUGUUUAUCAACUUAAUGAAGUUCCAUCAUUAAGUUUUUCUCCGAAACUUCGAAUUAUUUUACAUUAUAUAGCAAAGUGAUUUUAUGAUUUGAUAAUAAACCUAUAGUGCCAAUCAAAACGCAAACAUUAUUAAAAAGAAUUCAAGAAAAGCCAUUGAUCGGCGGUACCCGAAAAGGGGUACCGGCGUACCGCGUACCGGCCAUUGAAAUUGGAAGCAAAAUAAAAGCUAAAGCUAAAGCAGGCAUUAUGAUGGGCGAUAUAAAUGGGUUGUGGCCUAUUCAUCAAAUGAGUGCGAUCAGACUAUUGGUGGGUGCUUUUACUAAACUGUUGUUGCCGUCAUUAAAAAAACAGUGACAAAAUAGCGUGGGACUUUUGACACCCCCUUGAAAUCCUUAUAAAACCCAAUUGAAGUACAGUAACAUCCCAUUCGUAUUAAAAAAAAAAAAUGGUCCCUUAACAUUAAACCACCCACAUGUCAAGGGCCGCUCAAAUCUCUCGUAAAUGGAGAUUAAAUUAGCGCACAUGGGUACACUUAGUGGAAGGAUGUACUCAGUAAUAAGCCACCUCACACAAUUAGCCAGCCAUGGUGCGCUUAGUAAGUGAACAAAACCAAGCUCGAAUUCUAGAAUUCUCGACAAUUUGCAAUUGCCUAUAAAUUUUUACACUUUUACAUUCUAGAACCUAUGAGGUAUUUAGGCAAGUUGGUGCACUUGUUAGGAAACUUCAAGAGCUAGGUAACCAACUCUAUAGAUAGGGUCUAGCACACACCAUUUUGCUCACUACACAGUACACACCACCAUACCAGCGCACGCACACAUACACAACACACAAGCAACUCAAACACUGAUCUAAAAAUCUCUAUUGUAUUUUCUCUUUGUGAGUAAAAAAAAUAUAUUUGCCUAUAUUGCUCUUUCUUUCCUCUAACCUUUUCGUAAAAUAUCUUGUUUGACUAGAUUCAAAAAAGCAUUAGGCAUAAUUAACAACUUUUGUGUUAUAAGUUGUUUAAAUACCACACGAAUUAUUGUACAACAUACUCAUCCCGUGACACACCACUCACUUAGAAUAUAUAUGUGGAUAUUACUUUAAUGAUAUUUUAUAAAAAUAAAUUUUUUAUUUUAAUCAUAGAUGUAUAACGGUAUAUUUAUAGGAUUUGGAAUAUUACAUUUGUAGGACAGUGUCACAAAUAAAUAAUUAUCAUGUGUAUAAUAAUAAUUAAUUUUUUUUUUUGUUUAAACCACCCGAUUUCCGGCGACCGCAUUGGGCCCCGACUAAUUCGGAUUCGGGGUGUAAUCACAAUUAAGGCUCUUUACCCUUCCCAAAUGGUGUGUUUAGUGGGGAUCGAACCCGAGAGCUCUUCUCACUUACCCAGCCUGCGUCACCAACUGAGCCACAACCGUUUGGUAAUAAUUAAUUAUUUUAUGUUAAUAUGUUUGAUAUUUUGAAGGUCACAAAGAAACUUUAGAUUAUGAAUUUGUCAAUAAUUUAAAUUCAUAGCUUCUCCUUGGAAAUUAAUUUUUAUUUAAGAUAAUACUUGUUAAGUCGUCAAAAAUUAAUUAAGAAAUGAAAAUAAAACCCGCACAAAACCCUGCAUUGUCCGAAUUCAUUGGCAUCUUCAUUGUCUCCCCGGGUUUUAUAUAACGCCGCCGAAAACUUAGAACUUGUCCAAAUUCAGCGGAGGAGUAUCUUCCGUUACAAAAAUAUAUAUACGUGAUCUUGAUCAAGAACUAGCCGGCAACCGCACUUCAAAUGUGAAAAAAAACAAAACAAACUUGUCAAAUCAAUCAAAAUGGAGUUGCUAAUCGCAUCAUCGUCAGUCGCCGAUGCCGGUAUCGGGUGCUGGGACCUAGAAUCAGGUGCCGAGCAGCUCCGAUACAAAUCGUGCGCCUCACCUCCGCACGGACUCGCUUGUGUGGGCCAACGCUUCCUCGCCUCCUCGCAGCUUCGCGAACAACCUUCCGCCUCGUCCGGUUCCAUCCUUUACUGGUCCUGGUCCAAGGUUGCAUAUCCACUGUUUGUUUAUUUGCCUCAAUUUUAAAAAUAUAUAUUUACUUUUUUUUUGGUUUAAAUAAAACAAAUUUUGGUUUAUAUAGCCUCAGGUAGAAGUGAAGAGCUUACCAGCUGAGCCGAUUAAGCCGAUUGCUGCUAAUAGCCACGGCACCUAUAUUGCUGGUGGGGGUCAAUCGGGAGAUAUCUACAUGUGGGAGGUAAAGUCGAGCUUGAGCUUUAGUUUUAAGUGUUCUGUUUUUCCAUUAAUGAAAUUUGUGAUAUAUUAUUUGUGAUAUAGGUUGCAAGUGGCAGAUUAUUAAAGAAGUGGCACGCGCAUUAUAGGGCCGUUACUUGCUUGGUUUUUUCACAAGACGGUUCAUUUCUGAUUUCUGGGUCUGAGGAUGGAUGUGUUAGAAUUUGGUCACUUCUAACGUACUUGUCUAUCCUGUUAUUGUUAUUUUCCUUGUUAAUGAGCUGUGUUUCUUGGUGGUUUUGAUUUAUUGUGGAUUAUGAUUUACACCGUUUUUAUUUUCUAUUGUCAAUUUUAGGGUAUUUGAGGAGUGUGAAAGCCAGCGGGCAAGCCAUCUGUAUUUGCAUAGUUUUACUGGGCACACUCUGCGUAUAACUGAUAUUGUUAUUGGCUAUGGAGGAGUUAGUGCAACUAUAGUGUCAGCUUCUGAGGAUCGAACUUGCAAGGUUGGUUAUUCUGCUUUUAGUUUGAUAAGUUUUGCUACCUUUUUUUUUUUUUUUCUUUUUCAUUUUGAGAGAAGAUAAGUUUUGUUACUUAAGCUAUAUAAAACUAGUUCUGGAUGUUAGAUUUAACUGUGGUAAUAUCAGUAGGCUGGGAGUUUUGCUUCUAUGAAGCUUCAUGAAAAUUGUUUAUAUACUUCUUUUUUAUUCCAAAACCACCUUCAAAAUGUUUUCUGAGCAAAUGAAAAAUAGUAUUAUGUAUAGUUCAGGAUUUGAGAUGCUGAAAUGCUAUGUUAAUGAAGAGUGCUUGCUUCAGGGAAGUAAUAACCUAGACUAACAGGAGCUUUUUAAACAAUGGAUUUAGGAAAUAUUUAUCAAUCGUUGGAGUUCCUAAACACCAGGGUAAUGAAAACUGAUUUCCAUAUUUCACUGUAUGCAUUUCUGCUUCAUUUUUUAGUUACUUUUGCUAUUAUGAGGUUUCUUUGCGUUGAUGUAGAUGGUAGUGCCCACAUUUUAUCACACAGUGGUGCAUUCCUAUUUACUUAUCGGAAAAUUAGAUAUGUGUACUAAAUUUUUUCAGUACAUUGUGUUAGGUGUGGAGCCUAUUGAAGGGAAGAUUGUUGAGAAAUAUUGUAUUCCCUUCAGUAAUUGAUGCAAUUGCAUUGGACCCCGCUGAACAUGUCUUUUAUGCCGGCAGUAGAGAUGGCAGUAUCUAUAUUGCUGCACUUAAUGCUGAAAGUCCCUCUACCAGUAGUUACGGGAUGCAUAUCAUUGGUUCAUUAUCUGAUCACAGGUUUUUCAUUUUGUUUUGAUUCCACAUACUACUGGAUGGAACAUUUGUCUACUCUGUUAUUCUUUUCAUUUUUUUAAAUCUCUAUACUGCCUGCAACUGUUUGGGAUUUCCUUGUAGUUUUUAUAUUAGUUAGCUGUUUAUUUGAAUUUCUUUUGCGGCAUAUGUUUUUGCAUUUGGAAUUACCAAUGAGGGUAAUUCAUGGCUUUUGAUUCUAUUCAGCUCUCUUGACAUUUAUAGCUGCUGUUGAUGGAACGUGGCUAAUCACAAAAUUUGAUUACAAUGUCAAAGUGUCUUAAGUUUUCCUCGAAUCUUUAAGUGUGCUUACAAUGUUUCUUCAAAUGUUUUAGACCUUUCCUUUCCUAAAUAUGGGUCCCAUCAGUGGAAGUCGUGUGAAUGUAUUCAUAAAAUAAGAAGCCUAACACAAAAGAAAUAGUUCUACAGAUGCAGACAAACUAGUCUUAUGUCCAAGCUUAUCCUGAACUUUCAGAUAUAGGUCUUGGGUUGCGUUGGAGUAGUGCUUAGCUCUUAGCUUUUCAGAUGUUUUCUCUGAUGAGCUUCUAACCUAUUCAAGGUGCAGCUUACCUGUUACUGUUACUUAGUUUCCUUAGAGAUAUCUUUAGAUUGACUAUGAGGUUCAUAUCCAUCAAUUGUGGAUCCCAUUGGUCCUAAUCACUUUCUUGUGCUUGCUAUUACUUUGAUUAUGUCCAAUUAAGAAUGUCAGAUGUUUCCUUUUGUUGAGAAAUGUUCCAAUUAUUUUGCUAAUAUCUGAACAGUCUUCUUUUAAUAAAUAUAAAAUGGCCCACCCACCAAAUAUAACACACACAUGUCAUCGUAUUAAGUAUGCCAAAUGGGCUACUUUUGAGUGAUAAAUCUCCCAGUACUGAAAACGAGAUAUCAAGACACUAUUAAAUAUUCAAGAGAAAAUUACGAAAUAUAUACAGAAUGCAAUUUCUCCCACAGUGAUGAGUUUUACUGGAUUUCCGAACCCAUUGCUUAUCUUCUGAUGUAGGAAGUCAAUUUAGGUUAUUUUAGGUAAUUUAGGAUUCUAGAAUAUUUAUUAUUUCAGGAUUUUCUAUUUUAGUUUGAGUCAAUUAUUGUAUGUAUCUUAGUCUUUUAUUUCCAUUAUAAUUGUGAUUUAGUUUUCCAUUUUAGGUUAACUUAGGGAAGUGGGUUUCCUCUAUUAUAAAUAGAGAGACCUUGUCAUUGUUUUGAGAACUUCAGAUUCAAUUAUUCAAUAAAACCCCUCUUUUAUAAUUUCCUUUGGGAUUAUUUAUCAAAAUCUCUCUUGUAGAGUCGUUUGGAAUAGAGCGUUAUCUAAUCUCGUAGAGCGUUAUCUAAUCUCGCAUUACGCGUAUUUAAAAAUCUCAUUAAGUCGUCUUGGUUAGAAUGAUAUCUAAUCAUGCUUCGAUUAAGGCAUAAACUAAUCGCGUUGGUUUAGUCCAGUACUAGAACAAUAUCUAGUGUUUCCUACCCAAUCAAUUCCGCUUCCACUACGCCUCGCUCCAUCAUCUUCUUAUUGCUUUAAUCCAACCUUAUUUUUGUUUUCGUGGUUACUUUUAGAUAGACCGUUUGCUAGUAGCAGCCCUAGAAAGUAUUGAUGUGAUGAAUCUUGUCAUGACAUGCUGCACCAUCAUAUAGGAGAGCCAAAGAGAAUUAUUUUUGCAAGCCACUUUCCGAUUAAUAGGCUGCAGGUGCCCAUACUCUGUUUGAAAAGGAAAAUAAAGCUCUUAUUCCUUCUUCAUACUGGUAUAACAUGGAAACACGUCUUCCACAUCAUCCAGUAUAUGCUUCCAAAAUAAAUUGUAUUCAUUGGGAAUUUAUGUUUGAACGGUUUCUAUAAGGAAGACAAUUAUUCUGCAAGUGAUUGCUUGCUUAUGCAGCUUUACGGCGUGAUAAGCUUCCAUUAAAUUGUAGAGAUGGAAUUCUCUGUUUACCAAAGAAAGUUUGUUGGAUGAUCUAAAAUUUGAAUACCUUUCAUUUACGUAGAUAGGGUUUUUGGCAUAUUAACCUGUUUUACCCUUGAAAUUGUGGAUUUAUAAUGUCUUCUUGUUUUUCUCACUGUGAACAGCAAGGCUGUGACCUGUUUGGCAUAUAGUACAGGAGAUUUGUUGAUUUCUGGGUCAGAGGAUGGCAUGGUUCGAGUUUGGGAUCCAAUAACUCAUAAUAUUGUUCGCAUGUUCAGACUUGCAAAAGGUUUUGUUCAAACAACCUCUCAAUAUUACUUCCUUGUUUGUGUUAGGAUUUUGUUAUUAAUAUUAUUACUAUUAUUAUUUUCCUUAUCUUUAUUUAUCAUUGUAAUGGGCAUGUUUUUAUCUUAGAUUUUGUUAUGUUUUUACAUCGUAUUAAAAGUUCUGUAGGAUUCUUUUCCCAAUUGAAACUGAUAUGAUAAUUCCAAAUGGUUCAUUUGGUAUCUCUUAUUUGAGGUGCUUGCAUUUUGUGCCCAUCAGUUUAAAGAGUUGAAAUUCUAAUUUGUGCUUCAUAGAUGCAAAUUGUUUCUUGUCUGUUAUGUACAGGCAUUCUUGUUCCAUAAAACUCUUCCUUGGUGUUGGCUGGCAUUUUUGGGCUGUAUUGUUGCCAUGGUUGUCACCAUUUUUUCUGGAGUUAAUAUUUUCCCUCAUUUUUCCAGUAUAUCAUUAAAGCUACUUGGUUCUGCGCUUUACAGGACCUGUGAACAAUAUUCUUGUUGUUAGACGACCACUGUACCUCAAUUUGGGAUCAUUUUCAAAUCCGCAUACUUCCUCAAGGAGGCACGGUUCACAGUUACCUCCUCCGCUGGAUAAAUAUGUGACUUCGGCAGAUGAAGAUGUGGACAAUAAGGGUGUCAUACGUCUUCCCUCUCUUUACAAUGCUCCUCGAGAUGCCUCAUACAUUAGUCAUCGCACGAUUGAUAAUCAUUUAAAAGAACUCCAGGUUUUUAAUUGCUUUAUGUUGAAUAUUCUUGAUCAUCUUUAUUAUGUUAGGUAUGAUUGUGUUUUUCAUAUUGUUAAUUCAAUGUACUGUUCGUAGCUUCCUAUGAUGACCCAAUUUUUGCAUAUACGUAACAGCAUAUUAGAUCCUCCUGAAACCCUUGUCUGACCAUACUCUCUUUACAUUCUGCAGCAACAAGGUUCUUCUGCUGCAACAGAAAUGGAGGUGGAAAGGCUGAAGCAUGAGUGUAAUCGAACACUGCAAAUGGUUCAGCAGUGGAAGAAAAUGUACGAGAACUUGCAUGAAUUCUGCGUUAAUGAGCUUUUGGAUGGAGAUCAAGUGGAUGGCAGCAAACGAAAUGCUGUCUGAGAAGGCUGUUCUCCUUGUACAAACAGCUUUACUGGUUUAGCAGUUUUGCUAGUGGUUGGAGGGAUAAACUCUAGGCUCGACCCUUUUGAAGGAUAUUUCUUGGUAUUCAUUUGCUCCUUUUUUUUCUUUCUUUUUUGGGUUUUAUGCUAUAGAAGGUACAGUUUUUGUUGGGUUUUGGGAGGUUUUCCAGUGAUGCUCCCGUCCUGAGUCUGAAAACCUGACUUUGUUUUACAGGCUAUGGAUUGACGCGUUCUAUAUUUUCUCAUCAUUCCGUGGAUGACGCACAAAAUUGACAGGACAGGCUUCUGGUUUUGAAAUUGGUUUCUAUUUAAUUUAACUACAUUCACUUUAACGUACUUUAAGUUGGGCCGGCACCAACAAGAAACAUUGUGUAGCUAGUUUGGGCCUAGAAAAUGAAACCAUAAAGUUGAAUUAUUGACGCGCGCGCGCACACACUUGCCUACGGCACCAGGCCACCGAUUUCUUUUGAAUUUUAGGGGGAAAAGGAAAAAUCGAUAUGGUUGAAACUACCAAUGUCUCCUUAGACUACAACUCAAAGAUAAACGCAAUCAAUAUGAAAAGAGAAAUAAAAAUAAAGAAAGAUUAUUUAAUAUAUAAAUAAAUUUGUGCAAACCAAUAAUAUAUAUUGAACAGAGAAAAAAAAUCAUACAUAGUUAAUUCUAUUUAUAUUUAUCCUUAAAUAUAAUUUUAAUAAAAUAAAAUUAAUGGAGAGGUGCCAAUAGUACAAUUUUUUGAAUGAUGAAUAACUCGAACCCUAAGCCCAGAAUAUUACAAUUUAAAGGUCGGAAAAAAGCCGUGAGAUCACCAUUCAUCAAACAUAUAAUGAGGAAUAGAGAAACAGUUAGCUAGCACCAGCAAAACAAAAUAACCAAAAAUUUUGGGGUGCUGAUUGCUGAGCCCAACUCUCUUCAACCCUUUUUCCUUCCAACAAAGACCGGAGUUGGCGUGCAAUACUGUGACUUGUGAAAAAGCAAAAGAGGUUGCCCAAGCAAACCCCAAAAGCCAAGAUGCAUGCUUUGACCGACUGACUGACUGUUGCAAAUUGCAAUUUGGCAACAAAAAAUGAUCCCAAAUUCAUGUGUUGUGUUGACAAUCAUGUAGAGAGAGAGAGAGAGAGAGAGAGAGAGAGAGAGAGAGAGAGAGAGAGGGACCAAUUCUUAUUGAACAUACAAUAUCAUAUUAAAUAAAAUAAGAUUUCUUUACUUCUGAGAGCCUUUGCCUGCAGUUCCCGAUGAGGAAGGGAGAGCGAGAAAAGAAAGAAAGUGGGGGAUACAAAAGUUAAUUUAAUAGUAUAAUAAAUACUCAUUUUAUAAUAUUACUAUAGUAAUAAUAUCGAAUGCAAAGGCAUUAUAAUUGAUAACAUAAAUUAAUAGGAAGUGGGGAAGACAAGAUAAGGUGGUGCAAUGCAAGCGUGAUCAUGCUAAGUUGUAAAAAAAGAAAGAAAAAACAAAAAUGCCAACCCAACAGCAAAAUCUCUAACCCUGGAUUCUUUUUUAUCCAAUUGAGUCUCUUCUUGCAGAGAAUAUGUCCCUCUACUCAUUCAUUCAUUCAUGUCCUUUUCUUUUCUUUUAAUAAUUUUAUUUAAUAUUUUAAAAUUAGAGUUUUCUCCGUAAUUGUAAGUGAGAGAGAAAUAGAAUGGCAUCUCUCAUUCUGGUCUGGACAUGCAGUGCUCUGAAAUCAUGGUGCGCGGAGCGUUUUCAGUGUUUCCGAUUGGUGUUGCAGAAAAUAAAAACAAGCAACAAACAACCCAACAAGACCACUCAUAUAUGUUUCUUUCUUCUUUCUUCUUAUAUCUUUGUCUUUUUUUUUUCAAUUUAAAAAAAAAAAAAAACUUUUUAGCACCUUACACAUCUGCUGCUGAGUACAACUGUCGCGAUGAGGCUGAAUACGCCAUUUUUCGUCUAAUUAUUAAUAAUGUGAUCUCCAAUUACUGAAGUUAAAGAAAAAUAAUGUUACAUAACAUGCAUGUCCAAGUGCCAAAGGUGGUUGCUGCAUGGAAUAUUUUUAUUUAUUUCAAUUUUACAGAGAUAGGUCACGUCCAUUGAUUGAAUGUUCUUAAUCUCGAAUAUUGUUAAGAUUAGUUGUGUAUUCAUGUGUCACAUUUAGGAUCCACCAGACCACCAGGCAGCUACGGUUUAUUUACUUACGUCCGUGGCUUGCAAAAAGGAAAAGAAAUGAUCUUCCAGUAAUAUUGAAACUAAAUCAAGAACUACAGUUUGCCGCCAAUAAACAAAUUAAAUCACUGGACACCUAGCUAGAUAAUUCAAUUUGAAACCACAGCGUUGUCUCUUGCCAAAACGGCAAACGUAGAAUUUGUCGCAUUAUACAGGCCCUGACUCUCACCAUCCUGAUUAAUAGCACUGGAGGUCUCCUUAUUAAUGUCUACAUCAUAUCAUUAUGAGCUGAGUCGGUGGUCCACGAGUAGGUCCACUAGGGAUGGCAAUGGGACAGAUAUGGGUUGGAUUUACUCUGCUCAAGAUCCAAAUCCAUAAUAAAAAUCAAGAUCCGUAUCUGCUCCAGAUCCGUUAUGAAUCCAUAUUUUUCGCUCCAUAUCCAGAUCCAAAAAAGAAAUAAAUAUCUAUAUCUGCUCCAAAUCCGAAAAAAAAUUAAAAUCCAAAUUUACUUUAGAUCCGUCAUAAAUUCUAAAAUUCCGUAAUAAAAAAGUAAUAAUUUUUUAGAUUGAAAAUUGAAGGCUAAAAUGUAUUGAUAACAAAUAAAUUAUAUAAUUUUUCUCAAAAAUAUAAUAAAUAUUGUAGCUUAUACUUCUACACCAAAACAACAAAUAAGAAAGAUAAUAAAAUAUCAUUCAGAAGUAAUUACAGGAGUAAGAUUAAUCUAAUAUUCUAUUGUCUCCUUCAUCAUUCUAAUAUCCACGACACACCUACCCUCAUUCCUACAACAUUAGAUAAUGACAUAUAAAUUAAAUAUGAUUUAUAUUCAGUCCUUUAUUAUUUUUAUUAUGACCAUAUUUGACUAAAUAUAUGAAUAACUAUAUUCCUUAAAAAUUAUUUGGCCAAUAUGAUAAAAUAAAUUACCAGGUUAUAUUACUUGGAUUGCAAUUUGAAUAUUGUAUGUACAUGCUUUGAGGCUGGCUGACCUUUAAAUUUACAAAACUAACCUUUAAGUUUUAAGAGUUUAAAUACAUGGUAAAUACUACUAAUAUGCUAUGAAUAAAAUAUAUUAUCAUUAUCAUUCCACAAUUAUUAAGAAACUUUUAAAAUAAAAUAAAAUAAAAAGAUGAGUGGAUAUGCAUAUGGAUUUAGAUAUUAAGAUAGAUCUAUAUCUGCUCCAGAUCCGUCUUAGAUCCGCACAUCGAUAUCUAAAUCCGAUCCAAAUCCAUUUUAAACCGAUCCAAAUCCGAUCCGAUUGGAUUUGGAUCACAUGGAUCUUGGAUCAAAUCCAAUCCAUUGCCAUCCCUAAGGUCCACUAAUUCCUAUCAAAGUCCGCAAUUUUUUUUUUUUUGGUUGUGAUGAAUGAAAUAAAACAAACUAAAAUAACUCAAAAUUUUAAAUAUUUACUGUAGUUUUUGGUGAAAAUAUAAUAUUACAUUUGAUCUUGCUAGUUUCAUGUUGUUAUACGAGCUUAAAAAAAUGAGAUCAUGACUCUUCCUGAAUUAUCUAUCCAAUUUACUUAAAAAAAACGGAAUUAGUAAAAAUAAACACAAAUGCUUUAAAUUAAAUUAUUUUCUUCGGGUCUUAUUUUGUCAUAACGCUUCAAGCCCUCUUAGGGGUUGUAGGGUAUUCAGGAAGAGUCAUGAAUUGAUUGUAGGGAAUCUCGAACAAAUUAGAACUUUAUCUAUCCAUCCAUAAAUGGGAAUUUGAAUUAUUUGCUGUAAUUGCCCUGACUUUUUGUUUCCCCUGCCGUGACUCUUUAUUUUAAUGUAUUACCAUUAUGAGUUUGGUUAAGUGGUUUUUCAAUAAGUUUUAUUUAGUAACUCAAAUUAAUUUUGUUAACUUUCAAAAGUAAUAAAAAUAAUAAUAUAUUGCGAAUGCCCUUCCCAAUAAAUUGUACUUAAAUGAUGUCUGUAGCUUUUUUUUUUUUUUGUUUUUCGUUUGGCAGUGAAAUUUAAAAUAAGAUAAUAAUUAUUUUUUUUAAAAAAAAAAGGGUAAAAAAAGGCUUCCAAUAUUCGUACAGGACACAUGAUCUGUAAAGCCGCAAGGGAAACUUAAAUACGAUAAGAACACAUAACGAAUUUGAUUAAAAACAACGCAUGAGAUAUGUAUGUUUCAUCUUUGUAUUAUAAAUAUUUUAAAUUAUCAAAAUAAGAAAUCAAGAAAGCAAUUAAUGAUCACAAAGUUUAACGAUGGUGAAAAAGGUAGCCGGUAUAAUUGAUAAAGGCAAUGCGAUGGAGUUGGAGUUUUUUGAUGAAUUAGGUAAAGUUGGUUGACAAAGCUAUUCCAGCACAUGGAGCGGCUCGCAACAGGGACCUGAUCCCUCUCGAAAAGCGUUCCUGUUGCGAUAUUGAGAGAUAGUUUUGGCUGUAGCUCCAGCACCAUAUCAAGAUAAUACUGCAACUUGUCAGAUUUUAACAGUAUAUGUCCAGCCAGGGUCCAAAUAAUAUGUAUAUAUUACACAUAUUCCACUGGACCAUUGACACGUGUAAUCUGCGAAGGAUCCAAUGGCACAAGUUAGCCACCGGCAACUGGCCGGUACCGGGGAAAGCAACUCAUAUUAAAGGUGUCUGGUGAGAUUUCUGACUCCUGUCAUGUGAGAGUGGGGUUUUGGGGUUCUUAAAAGAAAGUGAAUUUUAAGGCAAAGUUAGACCCCGACUCAACGUUGUAAAAUAUAGCUUUCAUCAGAGAAAAAUAAUGAUUCGUGCACCAACACAAGCACUUAUGGUAUGAUGAUACUCCCUGGAAGUACAGUUGGUAGAUCUGAGCCCUUCAGCUUCAAAUUUGGCGGACCCCUGCAGAAACCAAUUUCAUCUCGUCUCGAUAUGCAUGUGAAAAUUUCUUUUCAAGAAAAAAAAAAAAAACAAUUAAUUUAAACCCGUUCUUUAAUUGCAUAAUUCUUCACAAUGGGAAAAUUACAUCGUGUCCUGUUUCUACGUUAGUUUUGAAAAUUAAAUUGAUUUAUGUAGUAAAUUUUGACGGUACACAAACAAUAAUGUACACAAGACCACAGAUUUUUGAAGAUCUAAUCAGAAGGCUUCAGAUUACCAUUGUUAAACACCAAUCGAUACUUUAACGACUGCUUAAACAAAAAUUGACUAUAUGUAACUAAGUCUGCUUCACUUCUUAAAGAUUGGUGGUCCAGAAUUUCAAUGGUCCUGAUCAAAAUGAGCAUGCUAUGGCUACAUCAUCAUACGCUUUGAAUUUCAAGGUACCAAUCACCAUAAUUGAAUUUUCACUUUCUACUAUACUCCAUCUUGAGAUUUAAUUAUUGUUUCAGAAUAUAUAUAUAUAUAUAUAUAUACAUGAAGAAACGAGGAAAAAAGAAGGCUCAACUACUUUAAUAUAUUCAUUUUUUAUUUAUAACAAAGGUUAAGAAGAUUGGAAGAGCAUUUAUACUAUUACACAUAUAGUAAUAAAUUGAACCACUUGUUAUAUAUAGGGUUCUCUCAGUAUAAUGAUAAGUCUGUUCCCGUGCCGAUAUAUCACACUAUUAUACUCCUUUUUCUUUCUUCACUUGUUCUCCUUACCCUUUGUGUCUAUUUCCUUCUCAUCGCUGCACAUUCUGAUAAAACUCCUAGUCUACACUCCUCUCUUUUAUCUUCCCCAUUCCUCUGUCUAUCCUAUCCAUCAGUUUAAUUUUUCAGUUGCUCUCUUCACACUUAUAUAAAGACCAUUUUCUUUAAUUAGGAGAGAGAGAGAGAGAGAGAGAGAGAGAGAAAGAGUGAAAUAAAGCUAGCUAGCUAGCUAGCCACCCAACCAACCAAAAAGCGAGCAAUGGAAUUUGACCGGUUAAAGUCAGCUGCAACAGAAGAUCAGAUGGAGAUGAUGGUGAUGAUGAUGCAGAUGGACAAGUUCCCCGAGUUCUACGGGGCCUGUACCAACAACGAUGUCGCUGAAUUGCUCCCAGCUGAUCACACUUCUGCCACCAUCACCGCCAACAACAAUAUUGCUAGUUCCACGCCACAUUUCGUUGAUAACAAUAACCGGCAUAUUGUUUCAUCACCUUCUUUCUCAAACAUGCUAUCUAAUAGUAACACGUCGUUAAACGGCACCAGUAUCACCGCAGCUCAAGACACUUCUAUACCAACUUAUUUAUCUUAUUCGCCCAAUGAAAGAUAUUGGAGAGGAGGAGCUGGAGAUUCAAAUAGUUCUACAGGAGUACCAUUAUCGCAGAAACAGAACUCAAUGGCGGCGAUGAGAGAAACGAUAUUCAGAAUUGCAGCUAUGCAACCAAUUCAUAUUGACCCAGAUUCGGUGAAGCCACCAAAGAGAAGGAACGUGAAGAUAUCAAAGGAUCCUCAAAGUGUUGCAGCAAGGCAUAGGAGAGAGAGGAUAAGUGAGAGAAUAAGAAUACUUCAAAGACUUGUCCCUGGAGGAACCAAAAUGGACACUGCCUCUAUGUUAGAUGAAGCAAUUCAUUAUGUCAAGUUCUUGAAGACUCAAGUGCAGUCGCUGGAGAGAGCUGCCGCUAAUCGGCCUGCUGGAAUAGGGUUCCCUGCAACACUCACUACCGGAAAUUAUCCUCCUAUUAUUGGAAAAGAAUAUCAGCAACCUGCAGUUCGAAAUGGUGCUCUGCAUUAUGGAGAUGCUUAGCCAGCUGGAGUUCAACUAAUUGCAAUCUACAUGUAGCGCUGAACUGAUAUGUUAGCUUAAUUAAUUAUUAUAUAUGGGGCUGUAAAGAUUAAACUGAUCGUCAUGCAUGCAUGACUGUCAUAACUCUCCUGAUAGAUUUACAGUGUGUAAUGGUCAUCAAUUAAUAUCCCUGUUGAAUUGUUAUGAAAUAAUUAUUGAUUGAGAGUCGCUGGAAACAUAGAUAUUAGAUGGCUCAUAAAUAAGAGUUUAAUUCUAGAGAAUUUCUAUCUCUUCCUUUUUUUCAUUUAUCAUGCCUUUAUAUGAAAGGACUAAGUGGCCGCCUUUUCUGAGGAAUUCUUAAAUUCUCGCAAUUCCAAUGACAGAAAAUAAUCAAGAACCUAUCGUCAGAGAUGUCGAGUUAUUGACAGAAUGAAUAGCCUGGACAGCAGCAGCACAUUUGAUCUUCGGAAUCCGAAGCUAAAAUAUGAUUAUUGUUUUUUUUUUUUUUUACCCCACUAAAUCGAAUGAGAACAAAAACUAGAGAGAGAAGCUUCUUUGUUGAUAGACUGUUGUGUGUAAACUUGAGACCAUUGGUGAACAAAAUCUCCAUGCUCUUGAGGUCAAGUGAUGACACAUCAUCCACGGCAAAACUCUAGUACGGGUACAAACAUCAUGGAAGAAAAAUGAAAGACAAUUAAAGUACAGUUGUCUGGUUAGAUGUGACAGGUGCUGAAUCCAACUAUGCAUUAGGUGAGACACGGUGGGAUAUAGGAGAUGAGUUGUACAGAAAUUGUAUGCAACUUUUGGUGAGUGUGUUACCUUUUCUUGAUGAUUUCCUCCAGGUCACGUUCAACCAUGGAAAGGGUAAAGAGGCAAAGGAAGUACAGAAGGGGCAAAAGCAGCGCGUAAUAGUGACAAAGACGGAGUGAGAGUGAGAGAAAAUGCAUGGGAAGUCCACGUGAAGGACUGACAAAACGCGGUGAUGGGCUCUUUUCCAAUGUGGCACCGUGAUGACGUCUUUGUCCGUCGACCACUUCGACACGUGAAGCUCAAUCUACUCGGUCAACUCGGUCUGAUGUGGCAAAUCCACGUCAGAUUUUCUCAUUUAUUUUUCCUUCUAACCAAAAACUUAACAUUACCAUCAAUUAAUAUAAAAUAUCAAUUAUCUCACGAAACUAUCAGUUGAAUCAACUUCCGAACUUCCUAAAAAUGUGAUUAAUAAAUAUUAUGUUCUAUUAUUUAUAGAAAUUUACAGACAAGUUAUUUCAUAUUAUUUAUGAGCUUUGAUUUAGUCACCUUUCUAGGAACGUGCAAGUUGAAGUUAAAAUAGAAAGACAGUUGUAGUGAAAGCAGUCAAUCAUGUUCCAAUUUUAGAAAGUGAUUAAAGCAUUUAUCAUUAUAUAUAUACAUACAUGCAUAUAUCAUUUUAUUCUAAGAGAUUCACGUGAACUUCAAGUGGUUAUGUUUGGAAUAUAGCAGCAAUCGAGAUGUUCUUGUCACAGAUGAUUGCUACGAAGUUUUAACAUCUUCCAAUAAUUAAUUCGUUUCCUUAAGGAAUUAAAGAUCAUCCUAGCUUUUAUAUUACAAGAGUUUUUAUGUUACAGCAUUGAUACGAGAAACAUUUAUGUAUAUUUGACAUUAUAUAUAUUUUGUCAGUGGAAGAUAGAGAGUGCAAGCAGAUUGUUAUGUACAGUGUAUUUUUUGCAGUUUUGUGGACUGCAGUUUCAUAACUUCCAAAAGGAACCUCAUUUGAAUUGUUAAAUAUUCCAACUUCAAAAUCAGUCCUUAAUAAAUAAUUAUCUAAACUCAGUUUGGCAGCUCUUGCUGAUGGCCUACAUCCUCUAAUAUGGACAUGCUUGCUACCCUUUUCAGCGAUUAGUGGCAUAUCCAUUUCCCAAAAUAGCUUUAUAAGGAAAAAAAAUGAAAGAAAAAAAAAACCAACAACUCCCCAAUUCACGAAUCAUUUUCUUUUUGGAGUAGAUUUGUUUUCAUAAACAAAAUCACGUCUAUUUUAAACAACCCAUCUCCAUAUUGAAGUGAUUGGAUAUGUUUGAGAAAAAGUUUGACUCAAAACCUUUAAGAUGAUAGGUGAUUACUCGGUAGUAAUAAGCGUCCAAGAAUAAUAUUCAUGCGAAGUUUUACUUGCAUGCCUCACGCAAUGCGGACUAAGAUUUGAUGAGCCAAAAACUCACAGAUGAGUUGGAAGACAAGAGCAUGAAAGUGAGAGAGUUUACUACACGUAGGGGAAUCGAUUUAACUAAGACUUUGGCUCUAAUACUAUGUUAGAGAAACUGUUUUACCCGAAAUCUUAAGCUAAUAAGUAAGGCUUCACAAUAAUAUUUAAGACAAAUAUUAACAAGAUAAAUUGAUAAGCUCGUAAAAAGUGCGAGUGUUCUUUAGUCAAAAUGUGCCACACUCCAGUGAAUUAUUUAUUCUGGAAUUUUUUUUUCAUAUCCUAGUUAUACAAUCAAUCAUGAAUAAUAGGACAAGUAUAGCUUUAUUUAAAAUAAGAGUCUUGGUAAGUUAUCAACUCAUCAGUUUCUUUUUCUUUUUUAUUUUUUGGUAUGGCUCAAUUGUUGUCAAUCAAACAACUAAAGGGUUAUGAAAAACUAUUUAUGAGUUGAUAUAAAUUACAUAUAUGGUAACUUAAUUAGCUUCUGCCUUAAAGUGAAUAUCAAUUUGUUCGACCACAAAUAUUAGUGGAAAUAAAUAUAUCUUCCAUAGGUGAGGCUAGAAGUCUCGCCUCCAACUAAUACAGAUUUCCGAGCUAUGCUCAUAAAUCUAUCUCGGCUUUGCUAUGAUAUAUGAAUUCAAACUCCAAUAAUACUCCAAGAUUGUAGUAUAAUCGGACAGUGUAACAACUUUACUUCAAAUACAAAAAACAAUGCCCUGUAUUUAAUGAUUCAUACGGCCACGGUCGUGGUCUCUAAAUGGGAUUAUAAAUGGGCCGGGCUUAGCGAACCGAAGAAACAUAUGGAUUAGUAAUUCGUGGUGAGAAUUUUGACCCAGCAAUCAAAGAAAAUUCUUGAUAAUUUUAGGUUGGUGGAGAAAAAUACAACGUAAAGUAAAUAUCAAGUUGUUCAGGAUUGGGCAUUGUUAUUUCAGGCUAAAAGGCAAUGCUGAGUAUUAAUUAUAUUGUUGAUACGCACACACAUAUUAUAAAAGAAGGUAAGUUGCCUCCCAAGUGCCAAUGCUGGAAGGAAUAGAAACUGUUUGUCUCAAUUUCAAGGAUGAGGAACAAUUUAUCCCUUCCGACGAGAAUCCAUAUCCUAUUCAAUCAACAGGUAAAUAUGCAAAUAAAAGCAUAUAAUACUUUACCAGGGAUUAUAAAACUUAUUAAAAAAAAAAAAAAAAAAAAAAAAAAGGAAUACGAAACAGGUGAGACAAAGUCAAAAAAAUAAUCAGAAAACCCAUGUGAGAGUUGCUACAAAGGUUCCAACAUCCGAAUACUAAGGGUUCUUCCAUUUUGAAUAAGGGGAGCCCUCUUGUCCGGCAAAUAUAGGGCACUGUCCUUUUCUCCCCCAUAGGUUCAUUGUAUUUCUUUGGACAUGCUUUAAAUAUUCACAAAAAUCUAAGGUAGUUUUUUUUUUUUUUUAAUUUGAAUGAAUCUAAGUUUUUUUUUUUUAAGGUUUUAAUGGGUUUGAUUUUUUUUUUAAAUAUCUCUCAAUAUAAGUGGCAUCUUAUUUUUUUAUAAAUUAAAGAAAAACUUAAACAUGGUUAUUUGAUAUUUAAAAAAUAAGUAUAUUAAGUAUAUAUACUUUUAAAUUUAGAAAUUUAGAAAGAAAAUGAAAUCAAUAAAAUCUUAAACUCCAAAUAUUUUAACAAAUAAGCCAUAAAUCUCAUUCUCUUCCUGCUCAAUCACGAAUCAUUCUCGGAUUCGUGAGUUUAGAAAAUAAAAUAAAUCUCAUUAGAGAAUUCUACAACCAUUGCCACGUCCUGAAAACAACAAUCAGUUCCCAUUUUGAAAUUACUCGAAAAAUUCAUUAACUGUUGGGGAAUUAUUUGGAACCUUUGCGACGCUAUCACAAUAGUAUUUGCUUAAACUUUGUUGGUAACGAUGAUAGAUAAAUGUUUAGGAAAUUCUGAUAAAAAAAUUAUUUUCUUUUUUAAGGAUUCUAUGUUCGAUUUUAUAAAUACGACACGUCACGUGAUAUUGAAAAAGUAAUACUCAUUAUUUGCAGAUACAAGGGAAUCCUAUGUAGUCAUUCUUCAAUUUUCACAUACUGUAUCUAUUCCAAUCUUGUGUUUUAUAACAAGACUUUUGUGCUUUGUUUUAGUAGGGAAAAAAAAAAAGGUGGGGAGAAAACAGAGAGAAAAUGAUAAGAUAUGGAGGAAACCAAUCACAUGAAUACAUAUUAAAUAAGAAAAAUUAUUAAAAAUGUUGGUUGGUUGUUUGGGAUUGGGUCUUGGAUAUGGGUGGUAGCCUAGCCGCCUGAGUCUCGAAGAAGAACACAAUCUAAUCUAUCAACCCAAUAUUCUUCCCCAAUCUGUCCUUUUUCGCAGGGGAGAUGAAUAUCAUCACAAAAAAUCAUGGAAACUUUUGACCCCUUUUUGCUUCUAGAAUCACUGGCGAGACCAACAAUUUAAUAUUUGUCAUAUCCAUCGGAUUAGGUGAAGAAAAUUAAUAAGGAAAAAAAUGAAUAAAUAAAAACGAUCGUUUUGCACAUGAUCAACUACUAGAUGGCAACAACGCGCCAUUUUUUUUUUUUAUUUACUUCCAAAAUGAAUGUAUUUUUGGUGGUCCAUUCAUGAUGUCUUUUAAAUUUUCGGUGGACGAUUUGUUCGUCACAUUUUUCUUUCAUACAUUUAAUAAAGAAAUAAUUUCAAGCUCGGUCUCUAUCAAUUACGGAUGCGAAGAAAAUGUGAAUUGCUUUUCGUUCUAGGUGGUAAUAAAUAAAUAGCAUGGCCUCGUAAUUUAAGAGACUAAAUUGAAAGUAACAUAUGUACAUGUAAGACACAGUUUGCGAAUGCAGUUAAAUUCAUGCUUAUGGUGUGUUUAUCAAUUAGUAAUUGGAAGGAACUAAAAUUGGAAUGUGCUGAAAUUGAAAUGAGUUGAAAUGAAAAUGAAAAAUAAAAAUUAGAAUAAAUUGUUUACUUAAUUAGUGAAAAUCAAAAUCGGUAUGGGUUUUUAUUUCCAUUAAUGUGUCUACUUUGUCUUAUAAUCAAAAUAGAUUAUUACAAGUUACUAAAAUGCUCUUAAUUACUUAUUAUGUUUAUUAUUAUUAUUUAUUAUAAUAAUUAUGUUUAUUAUUAAAAAAAUUAUCUAUUAAAAAUAACAACAACAACAAUGACAAUAAUUGUUUUAGUAUCCUAUUCUUUUUUGUUUCAAUCAAACUAGCUAUUAUAAGAAAGAUGACAUUAAUUGAUUUGGUAUUCGAUUCUUUUUUGGGUUCAAUCGGAUUAGCUAUUAUAAUCAAAUUAAUCAUAAUCCAAAUUUCGACGUGUUAGCUAUUAUAAUCAAAUCAAUCACAAUCCAAAUUCUUUUGUUAUUUGAUAUUCAGCAGUACGAUGCUCGAUAGCGAGGAUAUGCUUUGGUGUGAGGCUCAUUAACCGGUGAAGCGAUUCUAGUGGUGCAAUCGUCGGCUGUUGUUCGUUUGAUUUUGUGUUGAAAGGGAUUAGGAUUUGGUGAUUUUCAUUUAUUUUUUUCCUUAAACGAGGACAAGUUGGGAAUUUGAAAUUUUGGUUGAAGGUGUUAUAAGCAACCACAUGAAUGGAGUUCUAAUUCCCAACUCUCAGUAAUAAGAACUUCAGUAAUCAUUCCUAAAUUGGUGUGGGUCCACCAAUUUAAUUAUAAUCCUUUCAUUAUUUUAUAAGUAAACAAGUUCAUGAAUUUUAUUCCCUUAUUUCUAUUUUGAUUCUCAAUCAGUAAACACGUCAUUAAAGUGAUGUAGUCGAGGAGCAAUCUUCUUCUAUUAAGUUCUUAUAUAAUAAUAAUAAAAGAAAAAUGUAUGAGUUAAUCUUGAUUAUGACAAACUAGAAUAGUUGUUGGAUCAUAUAUAAUCAAUUUGAGUAGUGCUUUUCACAACCCUUUAAAAUCCUUAUAAAAAUUCUAUUGUUAGAAGAACUCACAUAAAAGGACAAAUAUGACUUUGUUUAAAUUAAAAUAUCUUUAAACUUAUAAAUCAUGAACUACCCAUACUUAAAUGAUAUAAAUACUUAUUUUAAAAUUAAAAUAAUUUUGAGGCAAUAAAGUAACAAAUCGUAUAAUGAUAAGAUUUUUAUUAAAAAAUUAAUGUUUAAUAUUUAAUUUAACUCUACUAUAGUUUUUUGUUCUUUCUAUGAUUUUGAUCAAAUUAAGAUGUGUGUGUGUGAAAUAAACAGCAUUUUAUAAGAGUUUUAAAGGGGUGUUCGGAGCUUCACUCCAACAAUUUACCCUAACUAAUAUGCAGGCAGAAGUCUUAGAAGUUGUCACGGGGAAUCGGCCCAGCUCCUUCAAUGAUCUGCUCUAUUCACAUACUACAUUGGACACUAUUUGAGCCAGACUAAGCUGCUGGCUAGAAUUUGCGGGGCUAAAGUGGCUGAAAUGCUCUCUUAAGACCAACCCACACGGAUGGUGUACGUAGCCCAAUUUCGUGCAAUUUGUUCAGAUAAAUGACAACCAGCAGCUUUUUGUUAUUAUUUUUGACAAUUAACAGACUUCAUUAUCAUUAACUGUUAAGUAAGGUUAUGAGAUCCCUAACUGUGACGGAAAUCAUAAUCUAAUCUAAAAUUAACUUGAUGGAAACCAUGACCUAAUCCAAAACUAACUUGGACCAAACCCUAAAUUAAUUUGAAAAAACAAAGCAAGCAAUUGCAAAAUUAAGAGAUCGAACAAGGGAGCAGGGAGAUAAUUACCUUCAUGCAAUUGAGAAGUGAGAACAAUGGAAAUGUAAAAACGUAAAUGGCUGGAUCGAACAAAUCUUAGUUGGAUUAAAAAGUGAUUGGAGAUUGAGAAGGAGAGCCGUGAUCAUAUGAUUGUCUUCUUCUCUUUUUUUUGGUUCAAAUGAAAUCAAUUUAAGCUGAAGAGAAGCUUGAGCGGUCCCAAUAGCUUAGUUUUUUAAUUGCAUUUUUAAUUUAAUUUUUUUUCUAGAAAUUUAUCUGAUCUUGUCUAGGUUUUUAAGCUAGCAAAACCAAGACAUUGUGAAAUGAAUAAUUUAAUUAGCAACUAAAGUCAUGUUCGGGCAUUUAAUUAGGCAAAGCCAUUGAAAGGAAUAAUUUAAUUAGUCAGGGUCUUUAUCUUGCUUUUAAUUUUAGCACAAAAAAGUACUUUUAGCAUUACUCAUCCACUUUCCGACUAGUCUAUUCUUUAUCAGCGAGAGUAAAUUACCUUGAAAAAGCAAAUGAUUUUUUUUUUAAUGUUUUUUGAAUGGCUCUUUUUUAUCUUUGUAAAAAUAUAUGGUCGGUAAUGCUAUUGUUGGUUGUAGUGAUACCUUUUUUUAAGUAAUCCUCCAUAAUCAAAUUUGGUCUUUCCAACUAAAACAAUAACAAAUUUUUUUCAAAGAUCCAACUACCGUACCUAAUAUCUUACAAACGUAGGCAUGGUGGCUUUAGAUUUAGAAGAAAAACUUAAUAUAACAUAGGAACACUAGCAAAUAGUCCACUUCUAAUUUAAGAAUGGAUGGUGAACAAACUUCGUGGAUUUAGAACUAUUGGAAAAUGUCUACCUUCACGUGAAGGAAGGUAGGAAAUGUUAAAACAAGAAAACUUUUAGUAAAAAGCAUCACCUAUAUCUCAAGAAUAUUCAUGUUGUAUCACCAAUAAUCAAUAACAAAUUAUGCGGAAGCGUACUUGAAUUUAUAACGUUGAAUUGCUCUUUAGGGUUGUGUGGUUGGCUUUUCAGAUCAACACAUUCUCCUAAAGAAUCCUUUAGUAUUAGUAUUCUCUGUGUUCACUCUCCUUCUGAUGAUGAGAUGUCAGAAAGAAUAGAAAAAUACGUGUGACCUAGAGACCAUAACCACUUAUAUAAACAACUUUUUCCUGUAUUCAUUAGGUAUUCCUAAUUUUGUCCAUCAUAUAAUUAGAAUACAAUUAGGUUUUUACACAUUAAAUGUCCACACCCUAUUAGAUACAUUAAAAUCCAUAAUACCGAAAACUUAAUAGAUCAUAUUUAAUUAGGUUUAACCAUAUAUGAAAAUCCACAAUACAUAAUUAUUCAGAUAUAAGCUCAACGUUGGAUUAAGGAUCUAACAAUGUCAAAUUAAAAAAUCCAACAGGAAAAACAUAAAAAAAAAUAGAGCUAAAAAAAAAAUUAAGCCACCAAAGGGAAAUUUUUUUUUUAAAAAAAUAGUUUUCUAGAAGAAUUUGGAGUUAAUGGUCAUCUUCUUCUUCUUCUUUUUCCCCCCUAAUCUUUAAAUAAUUUUCUAUCAUGAGUACAUUUAAAAUAGUGUAUAAUUGAUAUUUAACUAUUUAUAUAUUCUUAUCUAGUAAUUACAUCUUUAUAAAAAAUUAGGUUAGAAGCUUCUUUCCAUUGGCAGCUAUUAAGUUACAACAAUGGACCCAAACAUAGUUUCCUACGACUUCCUAUUUUUUUUACAAGUAUUAAUUGAAUCAUAAAAAUUAAAAAAAAAUUAUUUUAGGUUUUGAUGCUGCUAGAUAAUAAUCAGCAGCUUAAUUAACUGAACAGGAGUACAUUGGUCUUUAAUAUGCAUUAUCAUUCUAUGCCAAUUAGAAUAAUUUGGCUGAAUAAUUUUGUAAAUAUAGAAUUGAUGAUACGAUAAUAUAAGCUACCACAAGCGAAUAAUUUCGUCUAUUUAGAGUUUGCAUGGGUAGCGAGGCAAUGUUAGUAAUACAGCAGAGAUAUAUGCACCCAUUAGCUUUAUCUGAUGUGAUGAUCAUAAUGUCUACUCGAUCGUGAAACCAUUAUGCCAAUAAGUGACUCAGAAAAAUUAAUUGACUACCUCGGAAAAAAAAAACAAAUAAAAAAAAAAGGCUUGGCUACAAGUAACCGACCAAAACUAGAAAGAAAAUUGUUAUUACGGUUUAAUGGAGCCAGCAACCUAUCACUAACCAUUAUCAAAAUCGAAAUAGAAUAAUUUGGUAAUACGCAUUUCGCAUAUUGUAUUAAGCAAUAUAUACCAAAAGAAAAGUAUAUACAUAGAGAUGCAACUGGCCAAGCAUCACAUCUCUAGCUAUCAUCAUAAUUUGCUUGCGAGUGCUUAAUGGCUAACGAGGGACAAUUCUUUGACAGUGAUCUGGUUCUGAAGCCGAAAGAAGCAAAAUUGCUUCACCUGGUGCUUCUACUGUUAUCCUCGCAUUUAGCAAAAAGAAAGUUUUAUUGAGUGCUCAGAAGUGGUGAGGCGCGGAAGCUUUCCUCAACGAUGGGUUAUACUCAUCUCCGGGCUCACGCCCCAAAAAUAAAAAAAUAAAAAAAUUGUCAUUUUCUAUUAAUUUUUUUUUCGAUAAUAGUUAAAUAUAAUUGAUAAUAGGAUUAUUUUCAACUGUAAAAAUCAAGACAUCGAAAAAAACUAAAAUAAUUAUAUAAUUUUUCUAAUGAAAAGAACAUUGUUGAAAAUAACUUCAAAAUUGGUUGAUAAUAAAUUUAGCUUAGUAGGAAAUUUUAGUGCCAUUGGUACUUAUAACCACUGUAACUAAUUGUUUUUGGAAAUGUAUAAUUAUUUUUUAUCGUUUCAAAAAAAUGGUUGAAAAUAAAAUAAUAUUUUUAAUUACUGUAGUUUUUUUUGUCAAAAAUAGAAAAAUAUUUUUAACUGUACCUAAGAGUUGGUUGAAAAAUAUAUUCAAAGAAUAUAAAAUUUUAACAGACAACAUGGACACCAAUAAUAUUUUUCACUAGUGUAACUUGCAAGGUUGGUCAAAGCAAAGCUUUAAAGGUAAGAAAAUAAAAUAUAAAAUUAGAUAUCAUCUAAAAGAAAAGUAAUUAUAAGUUUUUUUAUUAUUUUUUUUAUCAAACAUGAACUAGAUAAUUAAAUAAAUAAUUAAUUAUUGUACUAAUUUAAAAUAAAAUUAACUUCUACAAUGCACACAGAGUUUGAACCUUCAGCCAAAAAAAGUAAAACAAAAUAUGAAAGUGCCAACCACUUGACAUGAAGUAAUAUGCAAUAAAUUAUAUAUUAAAUAAUUACUAAAGGAUUGAUUUUUUCUUUUUAAGGUUUUACUAGGUGUAACAAUAAAAUUGAAUUACUUUAUUUAACUUAUAAGAUACCAUUGAAGAUACCAAUGAUUGAUUACAACAUAUAUAUAAUGUAUGAUAUCUUACAAUUAAACAACAAUCAACUCUGAAAUAGCGUUGUAGUUGAAGAAAACUCAAUAAUAUAUUUAUGAUCCCAUUCAAUCUUAUAAACAAACUUGAACUUACAUUAAUGUUUAAGUCUCAAUUGUAUUAAUCAUUCUCGCUGAAUCAAUUUAGAGAUUGAUUAUCAAACUAAUUGAUGUUUUAUAGUUAAGCAAUUAAACAAAUAAUGUCAAUGAUUGAUCAUAAUUAUUGUUGACUCAAUUUGGAGAUUAGCUAGUUUUCAAAUUAAUGUAAUUAUCUCGUGACACUUUUCAUAAAUAGAGUUUAAUAGUUUUCAUAAUUUUAUCAUACUCUUAAUUGUGGAACAUGGAACACAUACUUCUUACAUAACAUUCAUUGCAUAUAUAAAAAAAAAAUAGAUAAUUAGUAAUUAACAUUUAAUUAUAGUUGAAUUUUUGUUUAUUAAAUUAGUCUAAUUGUCUAAGAAUGGUCAUACAAUUAAUUUCAACAUAUAAUAAGAAUUAUUGCAAAAUAAUUUAUUUAUAUUUUGAGACAUAGCUUAACUAUGAAUUAUCAAAACUAAUGUAGCUUAAUAGUUUGUGUCGGUAUCCAUUUUCAUCUCUUGUUUAUCUUAUUAAUUUUUCAUUUAUAUUUAAAUCUAUGUUAAAGAUGUUCUAUCAAUCAAUUUAGGCUAGCGAGUAAUUAUAACAAACUUAAAAUUUGCAUUAAUAUGGUGAGAAUUUUUCUUUUUUUUUUUUACAAUUGAUCAAAUCAUAUGCUAAUAAUUUUCAAUAUUUAUCAGUAUAAAAUAACUAACUUAGGAUAAUUAAAUCAAUUGAUUAUUUUUUUUAAAAAAAUUGAAUAUAUUGUUUUUAGUGCAAGUGAUAUGUUAGCGCUAACCUACUCUUCAUUCUCUCUAACAAAUCAUAUCAAUUAAUAGAAUAAAUAAAUUAAUUAAUUAAUUAAAGUCAAUGAUAUUAAGCGCAAUGGAUGAAUUCAUCUCCUCUUCUUUUGUAUUAUCCAUCUCUCCAAUGCUUUAAACUCUAUUUUAGGGCCAUUUUCUUAAUUAAUUCUUUUGAAUUAAGCUUUAUAGAAUUUGGGUAGAUGUUUUCAAAUAUUAUUGACUUUUUCCAUCAUCUUUAAUUUCUUAAGUUUGACAUCAAUUAUUGUUGGUAACACUCAUAUAAGGCUGGUUUUGAAGUUUUCUCUGUUAGGUUGUUCGCUGAGAAUUAUUUGAUUAAUUGUGGGUUGCAGGUAAGAAUUAUUAUUAUUAUUAUUAUUAUUAUUAUUAUUAUUAUUAUUAUUAUGUUCAUGCUUUUAGUUUAUUGGAUUUUAAUUCACAAGUGAAAGGGACGUUAAUUAGGAUAGAUUUAUUUUCUUGUUUAGUAGACAUGUUUUUCUACUUUAAUUUUAUCUUUUUUUUUUAAUAUUCUUAUGCAAAGAAUCAAAAGCCUAGGAAGAAAAAAUUAAGGUAUUCAACUUUCACAAUGAUUCACUUACCCAAUUCACAAUGAUUCUAUCUUUUGUCAACACCAAAAUAUCAUUGUAGUAGUACCGUGUAGCUUUUGAUGUAUUAUGUCUUAUUUAAGUAUUUGUCAAGGAUUUAGUGAUGAAUCCAUAUUGAUUUUAUCUUUUAGCAACAAUAAGUCAAUGUAGUAGCAAUCAUGUAGCUUUUAGUGUAUUAUUUGUAUUUUGUUUAAAUUGCACAUGUAUUUAUCGAAAUUAUUUAUAAAAUGUCAUUUAUUAUCUUUUUUUUUUAAUAUUCGUAUGCAAAGAAUCAAAAGCCUAGGAAGAAAAAAAAUUAAGGUAUUCAACUUUCACAAGGAUUCACUUACCCAAUUCACAAUGUGAUUCUAUCUUUUGUCAACACCAAACUAUCAUUGUAGUAGUACCGUGUAGCUUUUGAUGUAUUAUGUCUUAUUUAAGUAUUUGUCAAGGAUUUAGUGAUGAAUCCAUAUUGAUUUUAUCUUUUAGCAACAAUAAGUCAAUGUAGUAGCAAUCGUGUAGCUUUUGGUGCAUUAAUUGUAUUUUGUUUAAAUUGCACAUGUAUUUAUCGAAAUUAUUUAUAAAAUGUCAUUUAUUAUCUUUUUUUUUAAUAUUCUUAUGCAAAGAAUCAAAAGCCUAGGAAGAAAAAAAUUAAGGUAUUCAACUUUCACAAGGAUUCACUUACCCAAUUCACAAUGUGAUUCUAUCUUUUGUCAACACCAAACUAUCAUUGUAGUAGUACCGUGUAGCUUUUGAUGUAUUAUGUCUUAUUUAAGUAUUUGUCAAGGAUUUAGUGAUGAAUCCAUAUUGAUUUUAUCUUUUAGCAACAAUAAGUCAAUGUAGUAGCAAUCGUGUAGCUUUUGGUGCAUUAAUUGUAUUGUUGAAAUUAUAAAAGAAUAUUUGUCAUUUCUUCAUUGAUUACUAAGUCAUUGUAGUAGCAUUGUGUAGCUUUUGGUAUAUUUUUUGUAUUUUAUUUGAGCUGCACAUAUAUUUGUUGAAAUUAUUCAUAAAAGAAUAUUUGUCCAUUGGUUCAUUGAUUUUUUUCCCCAAAGGCAAUUAAUAAAAUGAUCAUUUUAACUAUCAAGUAGAAUAAAAUGAAUUUUAACAAUCAUCUUCUUGGAAAUAUUAAAAUUCAUUUAAAAAUAUAAUUAAUUCCAACUAACAUAACAUUAGGGGUGGGUAGAACCGAACCGAAACUGAAAAAAAUUCAAUUGUGUUCGUUUUUUUUUAUUUGGUUUUUUUAAAACUAAAAACUCAAAUAUAUAAAUACCGAAUCGAAUGAUUAGGUUUAGUUCAGUUUUCGGAUCACAAAUUACAAAAUCCGAACCAAACAGAUACAAUGGCAUUUUUUGUAAUUUCACAUAACAUAUAUACACAAUUACACAUGUUUGCACCACUCUCGGUCUUUACUCUUUACUCUCUCACUUCCAAUUUCAGCAGCCACAAACCUAAACCCUAAGUCCCACCUUUGCAACCAAAUCCAAGUCUGCAGGUGGCCGGCAUUGCCGAAUCUUCAUUGCCGACCAUCCACUGUUGUUGCUGUUUCCUUCCAUCAUUUCUGUCGCCAGCUAGCCAGUCAAAUAACUUUGUUUUCCUUUUUUCUUUUAAAUGGCUAUUUUUUAAAUAGCUAUUUUUUAAGUCUUUUUUAAUUUCAUGUUUUCCUUAUUUUAUUUUAUUGUAAUAAAUUAUUAUUAGUAUUUGGUUUUAUUAGCUCUAUGCGUACGCUAUUGUGCUUUUUCAGUUUUUCCAUUUCGAUAUUGUGCUAGCUGCUAAGUGACGAAGGUUGUAGAUGAAGUGGAAGGAUAAUAUCAUUUGGAUCCCUUUCCUUUAGAAAAAAAUUUAUUGUGGCCUAAUGUUUAGGAAAUGUUUACAUAUAGAAAUUUUGUUAUGGCCCAAUUUUUUUGUAAACUUUUCAAAUGGGUCCUUAACUGGAAGUCGAUAAGGAAAAAUAGAACUGUUAAGAGAACCGAAAUCGAUAGGUCAGUUUUGGUUCAAUUUUUUUCUCUUAAAAUCUAAGCUGUUUUUUUAAUUUUCGGACUCGAAUUGACUCCUGAAAGUCUAUUUCAAAACCGAACCAAUACCUACCCUUACUGACCAAACAGAAAUGUUUUUGAACUCACUUGAAAGAAGAAACUAGGUUUAUGAAUAAUGAUCAGAAAUCUUAUUGAAAAGUAUGAAUGAAUAAAACUAAGGUUUUCAGUCCCGUUUAUAACAAGCUUAAAUAUCGUGAAUUUACCAAAAUAGGCAAAUCUGAAAUAUAAUAUAAAAAUUAAGUUCUACUAAUCAAAAUAAGAAAAGGAAAAAAAAUGGCGCUCAAAUCUGAGUUUUAGAAAAAAAGAUAAAAAUCCUAGAAAAAUCAGGAAAAAUAAGAAAAAAAUCUUAAAACUAGGAAACAACCAAGAAAGAAGCAAAAUUUCCAGCUCAACCAUAAGGCAUAACAGCUUAGACAGUUCAAGGUUUUUUCGUCUCAUCGUAAGUUUCAAAACGAUAUAUUAUACGCCGAAAACGGACACUUGUACCUCAAGUUAUGACCUUCAGAAGGUAACCUACUCGCGACACACAACACCUUACAUCAACUACAUAAAAUAUUUUCGAUUGCAUAAUCAAUUAGAACUAAUAUUUUUUCAAUUGUAAUUUACUUUUUUUCAACUGUGUUUGCCCUUAAAAAAUUAUGCACUUUUAACGGUAAUUAGUUAGUUCAAAUUGAUAUCGCAAAUACAAUAGCUAGAGAAAAUCCAAAUACUAUUUUUUGUGGCUUAAAGUGGUCAUAAAUAUCAGUUCGCAUGUCCAUUUUAAUUUUCGAUCUCUAUUUAUGUAUCUAUAAUGGCCAAUUUCCCUCAAAAUAAGCAUAUUUAUGGUGCCCGAUUGGAAAAUAGUGUAUUUCUAACCUAAUUACUGAUUAUCAGCGACUGCUUGUGGCCAUUGGAAAAAUAUAUUUUCAACAACAUGACACUUAUUUGAACUGCAUUCAGCAGUCAUGAAAAAUUGUUUUUACUUUUAGUGUCAUACAGAAAUUGCUCACUUCCGUGAGAGAACCUAUGGCCAAGUUCGGAAAUGCACUGGAGCUGCGGCUCAAUCUAAUAUCGAUCAAUGGUGGCCUCGUCCAGCUUGUAAACAAUAAUUUAGAAGGUACAGUAAUCUCUCCGUACAUGCCAUAAUUUAACUAACUAUUUGAUAUAUGUAUGCAUACACAUGCAUGAUACGUACCACUGGCACUGGUUAGUAUAUAAUACAUAUAUACAGUUAACUUAUAACUCGUAUACAUUAAUCUUAUGGUCAAGAUAUAAAAUUACUGGGGUUAAUACGGGGAAAUACUACGCAUUCUUGGCCCUGAUGGCCGCGAAUUUGUCUUAGGAGAGUGAAUCCUUCAUCACUAACGUAAUCAAUAAACACUGGAACGUAAGUCCAAAAUCAAAUUUGAAAGGGAAUAUUAAAUUAUUUAUUUUUAUUUUUUCAAAAUAUCGUAUUAAAUCUCGUAUAUGUACUAUCUAUAAAUUAAACCAAUUUGUUUUUCUCUUUAAUAUUGCAGAUGAAUUUCUUGAAGUUCUACAAUUUCUGGAAUGGUGAUUACUAAUUAAGAAGAAACCUUAUCAUUCUUAAAUAUUGUACGUAAGAUAAACAGUUGAACUAGCUAGUCAUGCUUAAAUUAAGUAACGACAUCAUCUCCAUCGAAUAAGUUUUCUCUGAAAGAAUCAAGAAAAUUCACUAGAUAAUAUAAAAGAUUAUUAUUUUUAGCAUUUUGAUGUUUGUUUACCAGCUAGCUAGUAUGACUAAAUAUCAUUUUUAUGUCUCCUUAAUUAAUUUAAUUUGUUUGACUUAUAUUUAUGGAGAUGUUGUCUACACAAGCCUUCUUGUUUCAAGAUAAAGAAGCUAAUUAAACCUAAUAUGAGCGUGGUUGCGUUUAGAGGCACAGAACCAUUCAAUGCAGAUGACUGGUGCAGAGAUUUUGACAUCGCGUGGUACCAAUUUCAUAGCAUGGUUAAGUGCAUAGCGGGUUCAUGAAAGCUCUAGGUUUCCAAAGAAAAUUAGGUUGGCCAAGGAAAUUGGCAAAAAUGACGAGGAACACCCACUUGCUUACUACAUGAUGAGACAGAGCCACAGAGGUUGAUAUCUGUUUAUUGCGAUGACAUGGCACCUAGGGUGCCUUUUGAUGACAAGGCCCUCUUACCAAGGCGAGGUCAGAGUUAUUAGUCAAUUAAUAGUGGGUAGUAAUUGCUUUCUAUAACUACAUCUCCCGUACGUAAGUGCAUGGCAACCAAAAUACACGCGUGCCUGCAUAUAUGACGUUAGCAUGAUUGUGAAAUUAAAAAUUCCCUUUCAAUUUUGGUUAAAUUAUUUUUUUAACUAAUUGUUAGUAUUAGUUUAUAAUUAAUUUUUAUUAUCAUCAGGUUCUGGAAGAGGAGCCGAGCAAGAAUUAUUUCAAUGUAUUAUAUGCAAUGCCGAAGGUUCUGAAUGCUGUUUGGGAGCUGAUUCCUGGCUUUAUUCUGCCUCACGCAGAGGGCUCAAAGUACCCAGAAAGUUUAUUUUUGAGAGUGAUUAGGGCGUUUGUAUGGAUGGCAAAAUCCUCAACGGGUUUGGGGUCCCAUGGAGCCCCACCCCAAAUGGGAAAAAUUUUGAAUAAUUUUUGGGGAAUGGGGUGGGGAGUUGGGGGAAAAUAAUCCUUAAAUUCUUAAUGAGGUGGGGUUUGGUUUUGUACCCAGAAAGUUUAUUUUUGAGAGUGAUUAGGGCGUUUGUAGGGAUGGCAAAAUCCUCAACGGGUUUGGGGCCCCAUGGAGCCCCACCCCAAAUGGAGAAAAUUUUGAAUAAUUUUUAGGGAAUGGGGUGGUGUACCGUACAUCCGCCUUGGCCGUACAGCAGGAAAAUUUUGAAUAAUUUUUAGGGAAUGGGGUGGGGAGUGGGGGGAAAAUAAUCCCAAAAUUCUUAAUGGGGUGGGGAAUUUUUAGAUAUUUUUUUAAAAGAAUUUAAAUAUUUUAUAAUAUGAUGAUGAUUUUAUUUUAAGUCUCUAAUUUUUAACUUACUAAAAUAAUAUAUUUAUACAUAUUAUAAAAUAGAUAAAUGGGGAAUGGGGUGGGGAUGGGGAAAUCAUUCCCCACAUGGGAAUUUUCCAUCCCCACCCCACUAAAUUUAUUGGAGAAUGAGGUGGGGAAUGGAGCCAAUAAUUUCUAACGGGGUGGGAAAUGGGUAGGCCUCCCCACCCCCACCCCACCCCAUUACCAUCCCUAGGCGUUUGGUUGGUGUUUCCUGGAGCAUCUGCCCAUGCUAUAUAUUCAAGAUUACGAUAAUGCCACCCGAUUGGGUUCCAUUUAUUAACAACCACAUCCACAAGGUAAAUAAACUAAGCCGCCUUGUCAUAUUUGGUGAAGUGGAUUUCCACCAGCUUGUCUAUUUUAUGUAUUACGUGGACACAUGUGCCGCAACCCUGGACCCUAUGCGACCAUAGAGGUUGGACCCAAAAUAUGACAAAUAAAGUAAAAAGGUCGCUCAUUUCAUUUGUGAUUAAUUAUUAUUCUUAUUAUUCAACACGAUGUUUCCGUGUUCGCAAUUCUGCAGAAAUAGGAGAUUAGAGGAUUAAAAAAAAGAAAAAGGACAAACACCAGCAGCUUAAUGAACUACGAACGCACAUAUAAUUCCCAUACGUACAUGCAUUCUUAUGGUCAAAAAUCAACACCGCGCCUAAUUGGUUUACCUUAAUACAAUACUAGAUACAUCGCAUAAAUUUAUUGUUAAUGAUACCAUAUAUAACAUCCCUGUGGGCAGCAAUAUUGGGAUUUUAAUGGCCUAGAUCUCAUCUCUUGGAGCUAAUGAUGAAACAAAAUUUUGAAACCAGUUUCUCAAGUGGCAGAAAACAGUAAAGGGUCAUCGUAUAAAUUCGGAAUUAAUUAAGUAAUUUUAGAAUAUAUUAGAGAUAAUACAACCAAUAAAUGUAUGUAUGAUAUGCUUGAUUAAAUGUAAUAUAACCACCAUCUACGUAGUAAUUUUUUAAAAUAAAUACAUACAUGCCAUAAUAUUAUUUGUUUGUUAUAUAGGUAACAUGAUAUCUUUAAUGUAUUCUAAAAUUCCUCCACUAACACAAAAAAGCCACCAGUAGUUAUUAAUUGCAUUAGGACAAAACCCUCAUGAAUAAUUAAAAGAUUAAUUAAUUAAGAACGUUAGCACCAUCCCCUCCAAAUUUUUUUUUUUUUUUUUUAUUUAUAGGUAAGGCCGUAAGGGAGUCCACUCUAACUCCCCUCACCUUAUGUUUUGAAUUAAAACAAAAUUAGCACGCAUUAUCAACUAAUAAAUGACUUUUUCUCUUUUUUUUUUUAUUUUUUUCUAAUUGGUUGGUCACAUUGUUAAGCAUCUAUAUGGAUAUAUAUAUAAGAUGGAGAUGAACCUUACUAAGUUCGCAAAUGUAUAUUCAGUUGAGACGUUGACGCAGCAGCAACUCAUUUUCAUCAUCAUCAUCUUUAUUGCUUCCAAGUCAUGGCUAAUGAGAAACAGUUCUGUCACGAUUAUCUGUUUCUUAAGCCAAAAGAAGUAGGUUUUGUCGAUCUAAUUCUCCUAUUAUUUUCUUCUAAUUUGGAAAAACUUGGAUUCCUUGAGUGCCCAGAAGAUAGCAGGCACCCGAAUUUCCGUCGCCGAUGGCUUAUAUUCGUCUCCGUUGUCGCACAGAAAUGUCUUGGUUUCUCGAGGAAACCUAUGGCCGCGGUAGGAUAUCUGAUCGAGCUGUGGCUCAAUCUUUUGUCCAGCAACGGCGGUCUUCUCAUGCUUUUGAUCAAUCUUUUAAAAGGUAAUAAUUUAACUGUUCUUGCUUCUACUACGUACCAUAAUUAAGAAAGCCAUAGAUAAAUCAGUACAUUAACAUCACUUGUUAGUUAGUUUAUAUAUGUUAAUUUGUCUUCACUAAUACAUGCAUCAUAAAUUUCAAGACAGUAAUAUAAGCAUAUAUAUUUCAUCAAAUAAAUGAAAUUUAAAAGCUAAGGUAUUUAGAAGAAGUAUUAUCAGGGUUUCUUUUCCUUAAACAUGCGGCCAUCCGUCUGCGUAUAUAGCUUGCUUGCUUAUGGGUAGCAAUAUGGUGUGCAUGUAUUGUUAAUUGCAUGUAGCGCUUAUAGCAUAUCUUAAUUAAAUGUUAGCGAAGAAAUUAAAAUGGGAUUAUCUAUUAGGAAACCUCGUGAUACCAGAUAGAUCAUCGGCAAAGUUCACAUCUUUCUUGGGGAACAUUGACAGACGAGUUGAUUUAGACAGAAGCAUUCAACCCAAUGACAGAAGAUAUUACCCGUCAUUGUCCCUCAUGGCCGCCAAAUUGUCAUAUGAAAAUGAAGCCUUCAUCAAUAACGUAGUCAAAGACCACUGGAAGGUAAGUUUCAAUUCAUCACGUCCCACAAUCAAUGGUCCGCCGCCCUCAAAUCGAUUUAAUUAAAAAGUGUUCUUCAUAUCUCAUACUUGCAUGUGUUUAACGAUUUUUUUCUUUUUCUUUUUUUCCUCAAUUGGCAGAUGGAAUUCUUGGGGUUCUUCAACUUUUGGAAUGGUAAGAAAUGAGAAGCAACCUAGUUCAUUCUUAAUCAUUAUAUAAUUAACGACUGACAAACAUAUAAUAAUUUUUAAAACAUUAUGCAAACUGGUCGGAGAAGAGCACUGUCUGGCAUCCCGUUGAAAGUGCUACUAAUUAAAUAUUAUUUUAAUGAUGCUUGUAGAUCCCUUCAUUUACGGUCUUAAUGUAAAAUCCCAGAAGUAAAUGGACGGGUCCAUUUACACGUGGCUGGCCACGAUCUAUUAUUAAGUAGCUAGUAAUCACACGAUAAGUGAGAUCUCUCCAACUCUCCAACCUGUAAUUUCUGACGUAACAUAGUGCGAUUACUAAAAGUCUGCGGGUGUGAUGCAGACCGGGAAGAAUUAUUUUCCAAUUACGUGCCUAACACGAAUUGUGGAAUAUAGAAUUUUCAACUCGAGCUAGAGAGUAAGACAGCUUACUCAUAGCAUUAGAAAGUUGAACAAAUGAAAAACACACAAACCUUGUCAGUUCAACUCCGAUAUUUAUGUCUUUUUCUGAAAUUUGAUUGGGCCUAGGUUAUCUAACAUAGACAUGAUGUAUAUAAAAUGUUCUAAGCUAAGAUGAAGUUUAAAUUUGAUAGAUCACUGAGGAUCAGGUUUAAUUUAGAGAUAUAUUCCGUAAUUUACUUAAAAAAUUAACUUAUUUGUGAUUUGUAUAUCUAAAAUGGAUUCGAUCCAUUAGUGAGAAUUGCUUAGUAGUUGAGUUACUCUCGCCUCUCCUUAAUUUUUUAAUUUCACAGAUUUCCAGAAGAGCUACUCAACACAAGCCUUCUUGCUUCGAGAUACAAAAGCUAACCCUAAUGUGAUCGUGGUGGCGUUUAGAGGCACUGAACCAUUCAAUGCAGAUGAUUGGUCCGUAGAUCUCGACGUCUCGUGGUACAAGGUUACAAACGUUGGUAAAGUGCAUAAGGGCUUCAUGAAAGCUCUAGGGCUGCAAGAAAAUCAUGGUUGGCCAAAGGAAGUUGACAGAUUAAGUGACCAACCACCAUUUGCUUACUAUACUAUCAGACAAAUGUUGAAAGAAAUAUUACAAAAAAACAAGGAAGCCAAGUUUAUAUUGACUGGACACAGCUUGGGGGGCGCGUUGGCAAUACUGUUUGUGUCUGUGCUAGUGUUACACGAGGAGACAUUGUUGUUGGAUAGAUUGGAAGGAGUUUACACAUUUGGGCAACCAAGGGUUGGAGACGAAAAAUUUGGAGAGUAUAUGAAGGAGAAUUUAAACAAGUAUGAUGUUAAUUAUCGGAGGUAUGUUUAUUGCAAUGACCUGGUACCUAGGUUGCCCUACGAUGACAAAACCCUCUUUUUUAAGCACUUUGGGCCCUGCCUCUAUUUCAAUAGCUGCUACCAAGGCAAGGUGAGAAGGUGCUCUCUUGAUAUAAUAUAAUUACUAUUUUAAACCAUGCACUUAAGUACUAAUUUAUGCUGUUUUUAUCUAGAAACAACGUAGCUCUCCUAAUUAAUGGGUUUGUUCGCUCACUGUGUUGAUGAUGAUAUUUCAGGUUAUGGAGGAGGAGCCGAACAAGAACUAUUUCAAUUUGUUCUGGGUCGCACCGAAAAUCAUAAAUGCCGUUUGGGAGCUGGUUCGGGGCUUUAUUCUGCCGUACAAAAAGGGCCCAGAUUACAGAGAAGGUUGGCUUUUGAGAUUGGCUAGGGUAGUUGGGUUGGUGAUUCCUGGACUAUCAGCGCAUUCUCCUCAAGAUUAUGACAAUGCUCUCCGAUUGGGUUCCUUGCCUUCGUCUCCGCCGCUCUAACACUCCCUCCAUUAUUAACACGAACAAAUUCUAUCUCUACCUGACUGGCAUUCCUCCCUCUGCAUUCGUUUCUUGAACUGAAUUAUUAUUGCAUUUAAGGAGAUUUAGCUUGAGGAAAGAUAAAUUUACAUCGACAAAAUUGUUGUACACCUAGUGGCAAUUGCUUUAUUUUGCAUGGUCCAGCCAAUAAAAUACAUCUGCAUCAUACCAGCAACGUUAUUCAUUGAUUAUUAAUAUGCCAGGACUCUGCGAUCAUUAGAUGCAAGGCUACAUUGCGUUAUUGCAAUUAAAAUUGUCAUAAGAAAAUUACAUAUAUGUCUAUAUAGUAGUUGAAGAAUUUCAAAGUGUCUAUCCACACAACAAUUAAGGUGCCCUGGAUUUACUUAUCAUCGCUACUUCCCAGCACUAAUGAUACUGCUUCCAAUUGUAAAAGCACAUUAACACAAUAACGAAAGUUCAAAGACUGAUGUACAUACAUACAUUCAUACAUGAUUAAUUCGGGAAUUCCUUUCAUUGGAACAUUAAAUUCCCUGGAAUGUGGCAACCGUGAUGUUACAGCUCAUACAUACAAGAAUUCUGACCAAGAAACUGUCGUGUCCCUACAAAACUGCAUCAACACUAAUUUAGUGCCGAUGUGGUUACCAGUUGCCAUCUUUUAUGUGCCAUUGAUCUUCUUGCAUUCCAACUGCCAGAUCCUACCUGGCCAGAAAUGAAACAGACAUUGCGUUAGUAUCAACUUGUCAUGUUUAACAUUAACGCAGUUGAUCAUUUGUUCUUUGAAAAAUAACAAAAGAAUUGUAGUUACAGUUCUGAAAUAAUAAUCAAGUAAUAAUUACCUGCUUUUCAGACUGAUAAUUUAGAGAACCAGAUGGAUAGAUAACAUCUUAGAAAGCAUGGCAGGUGAAGCAACCACUCAAGGAACCCAUCUGGCGGGUUCUACGGAAUGAUACAGCCUUGUGUGAAGUCCUAGCAACUUGAUGGUCUUGGUUGGCGGCAACCACCGAGCUUCUCAUUUCUUGAGCUCUCUUUUGAGCUGAUCUUAGCUUGUUCAUAAUCUUAUCCAUAGAUGAUGACCGCUUUUUUUCCAGCUUCAUCUGAGAUCAUAUGUUAGUCAACCAUAGCAACAGCACAAAGGCCGAUGUCAUGCAAAACCCAGGUUUGUGGAACAUAGGGCCAAAAAUGCAUGCCUUGUGAAUUUUUUUUAAAAUUUAAAGCACCAAUCUGUAAUCCAGAUGUCACCAUGAAAUGUCUUCUAUUUCUUAAAAAAAAAAAAAAGUAAUUGCAGACAUAAAAGAUUAAGAAUUCAGAGAACAUCAAAUAGAUCAAGAUCAGUGUAGAUCAUUCAAAGGAAGAAAAUGAAGGAAACAAAAAUUUUAUAUCGAAAAUCCACAUAAUUUUAAACGUUUCCUUUCUUGUUACUUUUUCUCUGUUUUUACUUGUUUUUCAUAGAAUUCUUCAUAGACGCCCUCAAUCAUUUGGUACAUCAUUUUUCCAAUAUACAAUAUUAAGGACUGAAACUGCAGGAUGGCAAGAUUGGGAUCAAGAGAUCAUCACAAAUGCUCUGUCAAAUCCAAUUGCCUGCUAUUUAUAAACUGCAGGAUGGCAAGAUUGGGAUCAAGAGAUCAUCACAAAUGCUCUGUCAAAUCCAAUUGCCUGCUAUUUAUCUGAAGUAGGACUAUUCUUCCAAAUAUAAAUUCCAAACAAAAUCCUAAGAAGGCUAUAAGAUAACACCUUGUUUUAAGAAUGUGUUUAACACAAAUUUUUUAGCAAGUUUUAUUAAUAAACAUUAAAAGAAACAGGAUUCAUGCUUAGCAGUAAAUGUCAAGUGCAUUCCAAGAGUAACAAACAAAUAGAAGGCAGAAAAAAGAGUGAAGAACCUCCAGUUUUCGAAUUGCUGCCUCAGCUUUUGCUUUCUGCAGGUUUUCCCAUGCUGUGAUUCUGAGUUCCUCUCUUUUGAUCCUAUCAAAAGCCGAAAAACAUAAUCUGACAGUGGUCUUCCUGGGGACUGGAUUGAGUUUGAAAAAAAUAAUGCAGACAUUUUUAUUAAUAAUUCAGGAAUUCUGUGCUUUCUGGCUUAAGUGCCGAUAGUGCUUGAUGAGGUGAGGAUUCCGUCUUCCUUAUCUACAAGAUUUCAAUUACUGAUUUUCUAGGUCUUUAAUCACUUGCAGAUCAGUCAUCCUCAUUAACUAACUUAAAAAUGCAAAGGGACAAUAAGUAUUUCUUCGAUUAAGAAAACAUACUUUGAAAUGGUCUUCGUCGAUUCUGUAAUAUCCCAAGCUGAAGUUUGAGCAUCCGCGGCUUUCUUUCUCCAGUCAUCAACAAUUUCUGAGCUCUUCCCAGAGGUUCGAGUUCGAUGUUUCUUGGACCAUCUAGUCACAGUAACCUUUUCAUCUACCUGCACAUCCCUCACAUCUGAUUUAGAGGAACGAACGCUCUGGAUUUCCGCAAUAGGUAAGGCAGACGGAGUGGAGGCAGAGAGCAACAUCCUUUUGGGAGAUGAGUAAGAGCCACUCUCAGGGCUCAUCUGAGUCGCCAUGUCCCUUCUUGAAAUAGUACGAGAAACAUCAGUGGCAGCAUCCUUGAGCCCAUUAAUCUUUUCAUCUGUAAGUUAGAUUAAACACCAAGAUUCCAAUAUCAGAUAUUUGAAACUCCAACAGGUAUAAAACAGAAAUGCCAAUGAUCAGUAAAUUCUCCAACUUCCCAAGAUAAUAUGUAAGAGCCCAGACAAGGUAUUUUGUCCAUAUCAAUAUUAAGGACUAAUGGUUCAGCUGUUGACAGAGUAUAUGGCUGGUUCCAAAAUUCAAUUUAACCAGUACAACCAACAAACAUUGUAACGUGAAAUACCAAUUGUCUCUUGUCUGGACAUAAAAAGGUUCUUCAUGCAAUUACCAUACAGAAAGGCAUGUUAAUAGCAGUUCCUAAAUUAUUAUGACAACCUAAAUUGAUAAAAAAUCCAAUAACUUUGUAACAAUCACAAUUACGCCAUAAGUUACUGCUAAUGGUGAAAAAAUUAACCAAUAGAACUCCAUAAUGUCAAAUUAGAGGACGCUGAAGCUCAAAUCAUUAAGUCUAAGAUCAUAUACCUUGUGGGGGCAAUGAUGGUGGAUUCAGAGUCUCCGUGCAGCCAUGAACACUGGCCGAGCGCGCCAUGCAAGGCUCCAUACUCACAGGAAAAUUUCCGGCAUGAGCGCCAGGUUGAAUUGCCAAUCGAUCAGCUGCUAUUACACCAGCCGAGAAUGGAGAACCCGCCAUGAAGUUGACAAAAUUGCCCCCAUCAAACAUCGGCAUUGCAGGCGAAUAUAAUGAAUAAUAUGCAAGCCCAGGAGGACCAAGGGGGCCGCUCUUAGAUUUUGGCCUCCUUUGAGGAGCUACAUAAGAUUGUCUUGCAACACCGUCACCAGCAACAGGGCUGAGUAUCCACCUCUCAGCAUCUUCCCAUUUCGAAGGCAACGUCCUUCCGUUAUUAAAAGGCAAGAGUGCAGCACCCACUUGCCUCCUAUUCCCAGUUGUCUGCAAAGGUACUCUCUCCGAACUCCAACCCUUGUGCAUCCCAACACUUGCGUUCCUGUAAUUCGGUGUUCCUGGACUGGGAAAUGUACCGGUCUUGCGCGACAAAUUAGAGCUUUUCUUCAUAGCCCCCAAGCGUGGAGAAGAAAUGAAAGUAGCAUUGUUCAGAUCUAGAGAAGCAGGUCUUCUCCUCGAAAGAGCUUCGGCUCUCAAUCUCCUCUCCUGGCACUCUACACAAACAAACAAGUAGGUUAUCAUCUCAUUAGCCAUAAGUAAAAAUGUCAAUAUUUUAAUUUAAAAUACAGAGGAAUUCGUUUCGAUCGGGGUUACCUUUGAGAGAUUGAGAAAAUGAAUUUCUGGCUGAAUCUAAGGUUCUAUUAUCGUCUUCUGCAGUAGCAACGCUGUCUUCUUUUUGAGCGCGAGAUGCUAGUUAUAAUUGAAGGAAAACAGUGAGACGAAAGGAGGCGGGCCUGGUGAGUUCUGACUUUCUUUUGUUUUUGUGUCAUUAGCUUUAAAUUAAAAUGAAAAAAAAGAAAAAGAUCCGAGUACCUGUACCUUUCACCUGUUCGGCUUUUUUAGAGAGACGACGAAUGUGCUUGUUGCGUUGUUGCGUUGUUGUGACGACUUUGUUCGGAUCUGGAUCUCGAUCUGGACCACCACUUCCACUUAAACUCUCCUGCCGCUCACGUUCUCCCAAAUGCUGCACUCAUCCGAAAUAAAAGGUGCAGCAAAACCAAAUUAAUAACUGGAAAAUGUAGCGAGCUUCAAAGCCAGCCAGCACCCAGCCGGGCCACAUGCUAUAUAAUGGUAUGGCUUUAUAACUACGAGAGACAGAUCUCAGAGACAAUGCCGAGUGAUCUGUAUGUAUGUUACCACUUACCAGAGAUAUUUCAGAAGCGAGAGAGUCGUGAUCGUGAGCAUCGGAAGCAAAAGAGCAGCGAUCAACACUCGCCGAAGUGGAAGAAAAUAGACUGAAGUUGGAUUCAAGAGUGAAUAUGACAGAGUCUGGGCUGGAGUCACGUGCUCUGUACGCCGACCUCUGCUCCUGAAAUCCUAGCUCCGGCAUUCUGAAACUCGAGUUCACAUUCACGUCUAACCUGUAACCUCACUCCAGCCACCGGAAGAGUAGCGACUGAGAUUCUCUUUUUAGCUUAUAAAAUCUAUUUUUCUGAUAGAAUAUGAAAAUAUGGCGGGUAUAUAAAAGAAGGAAACUCCUUACUCCCCCCGUGCCUCGCUCACUUUUUUUAAUAUAUAUUUAAGUAGUAAUAAUAAUAAUAAAUAAAUAAAAACGGAGAAAAUGACAAUAUGAUUCGGCUUUUGUUUUCUUUCGUUUAAAAUAAAAGUAUUAUCAAGGAAUUUUCAAAGAAAAAUUAAGGACAAUGACCGGCGAGGUUUGUUUGUUUAAUUGCUUCUGUUAACGGAGUGGAGCGAAUGAGUGAGUGGUAAGUGGGGUUUGCUGCUUUUAAUGUUUUGGUCGCUCCAUCAUUGCCUUGACUGUCAAUUUGACUGUCAUAUGUAAACGAGUGUGGGACCCUUGGAUUCUAUUUCAGAUUAUCUCCUUUUUCAAAUAUUGAAUCAAUUUCAAUUUGAUUAUGGACGGCCAGAAAAAUGUUCAUCCUUUUUGAAAGGGCGGGCGGUAAUUGUGUCGCUGUUCUUUUUUAUUUUUAAAAAAGGGGUAAUAAUUUGAACAAUCAAAGACAAAAAGCGUCGUUUCUGGAAAUGACCUGUAUGUGAUGUAAUUUUACCGUUAUCAGAAUUUUUUUUAGAAAUGGAUUUGAUAUUUUGAUCGCGCCGCUACAUCCAUCAAAUCAAACAAUUUUUUGAGUCAAAAUAUUAUUUUAAAACAAUUAUUCUGCAUGGGCUCAGAAAAAUAAAAUAAUAUUAUGAGUUAUGAGAAUGCGUAACUAUUUUGUGUACUCUCGUGUACUCGUAAAAAAAUUAUAAAAGAAAAUAAGAGUUUAUUUAAUAAUUAUGAGUGUUUAUUUAAUUUUAUAAUUUUAUUAUUGUUUGGUAAUUUUUUAAAAUAAAAUUUUUGAAGGUUAAAUAAGUUAGUAAAAGCUUAAAUUUAAAUUUUAAGAGUAAAAAUUAAAUUUUUAAAAAAUAUUAAAUACCUAAAUUAUCAUUUGACAACUUUAUUUCAAUUCUUUCAUAAUAUAAUUUUAAAAUAAUAUUUAUUAAAAUAAUUUUAUAAUUUUUAAUAAAAAUCAUCAUUGACAACUAAAUAAUUUAUAUUUUUUUAGUAAAAGCUGAAUUUACAAAAUUUUAUUAACAAAAAUUUCACUUAAAUAACAUAUAUUUGAAAAGUUAUACGAAACAUAGUAUAAAAUUUUGAAUACAAUUACCCAUGAGAGUAAAAAAAAGAAUUGAUUUACAAAUCAACUAUUAAAUAAUAAUCUAACAAAAACUUUAUAAGCUGAAUAGGUUAACUCCAUUUGUGUAUUAUCGGGACUAAUAUAAUAAUGACCAUAAUUGAGGCAAACUCGCGUUGAAAUUAAAAUUUAAAGACAAAGCACAUUUUGUUGUUCCGUAAAUCCAAGUUAGUCAUAAUUAAUCAUGCCCUUCAAAUUGCCAAGGGUUAAUGAAUAUAACAGGAAAUCGGUGGUGAAGUGGCCCGUGUUUCCUCUAGAAACAGCAGCAAAGCCAAAGAGUCGAUGAGUGGUUCACCAUAUCCAUCUGUCCCCAUAAAGCGUGCCGCGGCGGGUGCUCAGACUCAAAAAGCCAUCCAAUCUACUUACUAUUUUUCUGCCACGCCUCCCAUCGCCGUGCAAAGGCAUAAUUAAUUUUUUUUUUUUAAUAAAGACAGUCAGUACAAAACAUGUAGAGGAAUCCUGAAAAUUUGAUCACGAAAAGGAGAGGAGAUAGAAAAUGGCAAAUCUUUCUUUUUGUCAUAGUUGUUGUUGUUGUCAAUUGACAAAUCAUGUAUGGUCAGUAAUAGCCCUCGACAAAGAUGCCGCCAGCUGGACAGGGGACAGCCUGCCCUCCCGCCGGUCAAACCGGGUGAUGCCGCAAAUAAACAAUGAAUAAAAAAAAAGUAGUCAUGUAAAUUAAAUAAUGAAAAUUAUUUAUGCACUAUCACUGUUUUAUCUCGCUCUCACACACACACACACAUAUACAUAACCUUUAAAAAGUUUUAACUUGUUAUAUGCAUCAACUAUAUUUUUAAACCUAUAACACUAUUAGAAUAUGUUUAAGAAUCUAUACAAAAUAAUUAUUUUUACCCUUAAAUGUAUUAAAAGAUUAUUUUAUCCUUUAAAAAUUAUAAAAUUUAUAAAUGUUGUUAAAAGAUCAUUAUUCAUCAUAAAAGUUAAAAGUCUGUUCAACUAACUUUUUUGUCUGUCUAUAAUUGUGCUUCUUUUAUAAUUUUAAAUUUCGUUAUUUUUGAAUAUAUGAUUAUUUUUGCUUAGAUUUUUUUAACAGAUUCUAAUAGUAUUAGUAAUAAAAUUAUUGAUUAAUACAAAUUUAAAAACGUAAGUGAUGUAUAAAAUAUAUCAAUUUUUUAUAAUUAAUAUACAUAUGACAAAGUAAAAGUGGUGAAAAUAUAAUUUUUGAAUUAAUAAUAAUGUUAGUGUACAGCCUUCAACUGUUUUAUUGUUUAUACACCAAACACCACCUCUUAUCAUUUUAUUUUUCGUCUACUGUCGGUGAAAUUGGUAAAUAAAUUGACAGAAAGCAUAAAUGCUUUGGUAAAUUGAGUUAAGGGCCUUAAAUAUGUUAGUCAGAUGAGGAGAUGAGUGUCUUUUACUCCGCCAUCACAUGUGAGCUGAAUGAAACACAGUCGUCGUGCAGUUAAUUUCAGAUCUAAUGUUAGGUUGGUUGUGUUUUUCUAGAGUAGAUUGAGGACCCAACCGAACCGUGGGUUUUUAUUUUCUUUAAGAGUUCUGACACUCGACGCGCUCAAUAUAAAUCUUCAAUUAUUUUUUUGAACCAAAUAUGGACCAGUUUCUUGUAGGAAUGGAUUGCCGAAGGUGGAAUGCGAAACUACACAAUUAAUCUGCAUAAUUUUCUGUUUCAUUAUUCUCAGUUACUAUUAAUUUCAAAGGAAAAAAAAAAAAAAAAACCUCAAAACAAUGUUAUUGUGCAAUUAACCCUAGAAAUUAAGGGCGCACUCAUUUUCCAUUUUACAAGAACAAUAAAAUAUUAAAAAAAAAAAGUGUUUGGUAAGCUUCAGUAAUAGUCAUUUUUUUUUUAAAAAAAUAAAUCAUACCCAUUUUACAAUGUUAACAAAAACAAGUUGGAAAAAGUAGAAUUUUUGUUCACUUUGUUUAUGAAAGCUGUUGAUACGGGAUUUUGGGUCUACUUGUGCCCAACCAGGAUUCCUCCUCAACAAUUGAAUUUGUAGUUGAUUGGGGAUGAUGUCACGCUACUCCUUCUAGAUAUAUUAGACCAGAAGGCUUGUUGUUUCUCCUCUUUUAGCUCCUGCACACACAAAACCAGUCAGAAUCCACCAGGGAUAUUCUCAAGAUAAACCCUCCGACGCUCAAGUCAGCAAUUUGAGUUUACUGUAGAAAACCCUUGCCACCAAUUUUGUGGCUCUGUCACUGUUUCUUAGACACUGUAAUUUGUUUGAACUCUCCCAAGGUUUCAAUAAGAAUACUCUCUAGAUUUUCUUUUCCUUUCUCCUCAACCCCUCCAACUGCUCCGUCUGAAUCCUCGCCGCUUUUUCCUCCUCGAUUUCUAUGUACAUCUUGGCAUGCUCAUAAGCCGCAGAAUAUGACUGAACUGCUAGACUCUUCAAGUUGUACCACAGGCGCCCUAUCCUUACUCCUUCAUUUAGCCCGUCACUUUGACAGACUCUCUACCGUGUGGAGCCCUUGCUAAUUUUGUAUACACACGAGUUUUUAAAAGAACUUGUCUGUUUAUGUGACAUCUGGUAACAAGAUAAGAAAAUGUUCCAAAUAGGGGGGUAAAAGGAAAAAAAAAAGAAAAAAGACAGUUUGAUUAUGGUCAUUUCAGUUAUCAUCUAUAUUCUCUCUUGAUACGAACACUAUAGCAUUUGCUCAUACUCUGAUGAUACAACCAGCCAAUCAAUCAUAAGACAUAUGAAAUAGUAAGCUAAACUGUACACUAGAUAACUCCAUCGACAACAGCAACGGUCAACAUUCACAAAAUACUGAUACCAGGUCCUCCAUAUGCUCUCUCUCACCCCCACGUGAACCCAGCUGUUCAUUGCUCUCUAACUGCCGUUCUAUGGAAGUAAGCAGUUAUUGCCUUCAGCCUACCAUUCAAAAAGUUCUUCUCAACCUGGUAAGGACAUAGGAAUACAAUAUGAUUACCGAACAACAUCAAUGAUAUUUUAAAUUUUGACUAAAGCAAUGCAUACUUUAAACCGCUCUUUCAUAAGUACACAAAAGAGUCUAAUCUGAGGAAUUGGUAGAUUACACUUCAAGAAUUUCCAGGGGAGGAGUAUGUAUCUCCAUACAAUGAUGUUUAAGAAGUAAAAACUGCUGUUACUACUGUACUCAAAAAGUAUUACAGCCUAAAUGAUUAAAACUUAAAUAAAACACCAACUAAUAGGCAUUGUUUCCUAUUUCAGAGGUUUAGAGGGGUUAUUAAAAAGUCUGAAGUGUAACUAUUCAAGGUACACCUUAACUACCAUUUUAGAUGGGGCAAUGCAAAGGGGCUGAUGCCGCCACCUCUUACUAAUCCAAAAUAUGAUCCAACAUUAUUGUCUCAUGGAUAACUAAGCAUCAAAUUUUAGGUCACCGCACACUCCCAGCCCAUCAAUUACCCAUCUGUUCUGUUGAUGAGGAAUAGUAUAACUACAGUCUGAUAGCCCCGGAAAAAAUCAUUCAUACCUUCUUAUGUUUUAUUCAUUUUUUAUGAUAAUAGACCCCCCAAAUGUAUGCAUAUAUAUAUAUUUUCAAUUGAAGUGAGUGACUUAUUUUAUAAAAUGAUUAAAUUAUAUAUUUAUUGAAUAAUUAAAAUCAUUAGGCGACUAAAAUGUUAUUACUGCUUUAACCUAUUAUAAAAAAGUUCUAAUUAAAAGUAAAGUAUAUGAAUAUAUUACAACAUUAUCACCAGUAUUACAGUAAAACCUCUUUAUAGAGAUACUCUAUAUAAGAAUAACAUUCAUGUAAUUAUAAAAAAUUACAGUCUUCAUUUGGGCCAAUCAUAAAUAGGAAUAAAUUUCGCAUUAUAAUAAUUUUAUAGAUUCCCUCUUACGAAAUUGCCCUUCACUUAGUAAUAAUUAUUUGUAUGUUGUAAAAAAUAUAUAUGAUUUAUUAUAUUAAAAGUGUGAGAUGGAAUAAAUAUUUCUUCAAAAGUUGUUUGGGACAAUGAUUUAUUAUUUAGAGUCGUUACCAAAUCCUUAGACAAUAUUUAUAGAAUUUACAUUGAGAGAAAAAUAGGAAAGAUAAUGCAAACAUUUAAACUUUUAAAAUAGCUUCGCAUAUUCCCAACACUACAUAAAUACAAAUAUUAAUUUCUUAAAAGUAUGUCUAUUUCUUUUAUCAUUAUCUAUACAUUGGAUUUCAUAUCCUCAAUUAUUAGUAUAGUGCAUACUUUAUCUCUGUAUCACUAGAACUGCAUAAGUCAAAAAAAUAAUUUUAUAACUACACCUCUAAUAAGUUAUAACCUCCUCAUAACAAUUAAAUUAGUUUAGUCCCAAUAUUAUGACUAUAGAGAUAUUUUACUAUAAAAAGUUAAAAAAAUAACAUACGGUAGCAAUUAACAUUUUCAUAUUUUCAUGAUUUAUUUCCUUCACAAUCAUAAUCACUCAUUUUCUUUCCAUUAUAUCAAAUUAUUUAAAGAUUUCACAUUCUCGAUAAUUUAAAUUAAAAAGGAUUUCAAAAAUAAUUUUUUCACGGUGCAAUUUUAAUAAUUUAUAUUAUAAGCUUAUUUGUUCUAUUGUUGUCAAUCUUUUAUUAGAUAUAAAUAUAUAUAUUGUACGAAGAGUUUUAAUGUCGCAUUUUUUUUAUAUGUGAUUUCUUAUUUCUUUAUAUGCACCCGCGUUCACAUAAACAUUGACAAUAAUUUUGUAAAUUUGCCUAGAAUAAUAAAAAUUCUGGGUUAUAUAUAGAAAAUGCGUGAUGAAUGUAAUACUACCUCUAAUGACCAUGAAGGAACGGCAGAUAAAGCCAAUUCUGCCAAUUGGUUUAGAUUGACGUUUCUUGGGAGAAACAUGACAACUCUUGAGGCAAUGCCCUUUGCACAGUCAAAGAGAGAACAUCUGCACAAGUACAUAUCAGUGUGUUAUGGACAUAAGCUUUGUGAAAGGGGGCUAAAUAUGGAAACAAAUAAAGUGUAUUGACACAAAAUGUUUAGAUAAAAAGGAUAUACCCAUCAUGAGGCUUAAGCAUUGUCUGAAUGUCAUAUGUCUUCACUUUAGCAUAAUCAGGACCACCCCAAGGAGGAGACAAAAAGACUGUGUCAGCCUGCAUCAUUGAAAAUUUAGAUUCUGAAGAAAUUAGAUAAAAGAAAUAUUUUAGUGACACUCAUUUUUGAUACACUGGUAUCAAGUAGACCAAUCCUUUUCUCUGGCCAAAAAUAUCAUAAUCAUUUAUAACCUUCCCUUUUCUAAGAAUGAUUCUAGAUAUGCUACUGAUACUAUGGAAUUAUAUGAAAAUUUAAAGUGGAUUCUCAAUCUCCAUGGCACCAUAAACAUUUCUAAAAACCACUUGAAAUUUAAGUUCACAAAAAACUGAACCAAAAACAGGACAGCAGAUUGCAGAUGAAGGGGAAAGGGAUAAAAAUAUUAGCUCAAAAGGAUUUUGUGGCACUCGACAUACAAGAAUAACAAAAACCAAAGAACACUGAUAACAACACCAUAAAAACUGUCAAUGGUGACAAUCGACAUACACGAAUAACAAAAACCAAAGAACACUGAUAACAACACCAUAAAAACUGUCAAUGGUGUUGAUAAAGCUUUGAUACCUUCAAUGUUGGAGCUAAGGUGAAAAAGUUCCCCAGAACGAAAUCUAUCUGAUCAAGGACUCCAUAGAUGGUUGCGUUAUGACAUGCAUAAUCAAUUUUCUUCGGAUCAAUAUCAAUUGCAACAACAUGUUUGCUCCUGAGAUAGAAAAUAAAGCAAACAUCAAGAGCAGACAUUUGGUCGAUGCAGCAAAAGCACUAUGUCCACAGUUAAAUGAAAACAGUCAGAAUAGAGUAUCCAACGAAAUAAAGCAUGGUAGAUUUAUGCAGUGAAUAUUCCUGGAUGCAACAUAAAUUUUGGGGAGGGUGAUAAUAGGCAUAAACAUCCAGAAGACCAGAUAUGUUAAAAACUACUACAAUCAUACAGUCUUAUUCAAGAUACAGAGUGGUUUAAGUAACAUACCUCCGAGCAAAUUGUAUGGCAUUCCCACCAACUCCAGUAAAACAAUCGACUAUGAUUCCACAACCACAACGGACCGCAUGAUGCCAAGCUAUGGGCUCGGGUGUGACAGAAAACCAUCCUUCCUCGUCCAUUCUUAUACCAUCAUCAAAUCUAGAAAAUAAUAAGUAUCUCUGACACCAGUAUUUGCUGAUGUUGGAAGGAAACUCUUCAAUCAACCCUUGAAGUUGAAGCUCUGCAAAAGCAGUACAAAGUCAUGUUUAAAUUUUCGGUUUGCAAUAUACCAGACAAGUAAGCAACUCACUGCUGCUUAUAUUUAGUACUUCAUGUCUAUAUACAGAUGAGAGCAGAGGAAAAUUGAGGACACGAACCUUCAUUUGCAUUAGUCAAUUUUCUUAGUGCACGUCUUCGUCUCGCUUUCUUUUUUCGUUUGCUUGUGGAAGGGUCAAGUUGGACAUCCAAUUUAUCCAUUACAGAAUCCAUUGAUCCUAGCUGUAUAGCGUCACCAUUGGAAACUGCUUCAGUGAGUGCACUGGUCAAGCUGCAAUAAGAAUCGGAUGUCAAUAGCUAGAACAAUGAAGUUUUAUUUGGGUGGUCUAACUGAGAAUCUGAAAUGGGGAAGCCAAGAUCAUGCUUCUUUUUUCUACCUUUUAUCAUCUGAUACCUGAAAGGUUGCAUCAUAACUGCAUUGCAUAUGGCUACUGAGUUCAUCAAGACCAAGCUUCACUUUGUUCUCCUGGCUGUGAAGAAAUUAAAAAGAACUAAAAAAUCAUUUUGAGGAAAAGAGGAGAGAGAGAAUGAAGUAAGCAUAAGGAAGACAAGUUACCUGUGGCCAUGCUCCUGAGCAUCUGACAACAAGCAUAUGGGAUCACUUGAGAUUUCAGCGACCACAUGAAUUCCAUCAGGGUGAUCUGAAGAGUGGCUUAUCAUUGGUACAGUUAUGUUUGACAUUAAGUCAUUAGCUGCUUGUACACAUUGCACUGGUGGCUUCUCUAGUGGUUGAUCUACUAGUCUAUCACCAUUGAAGGAUGCCUCAAAGGACUUCACAUUAUUAUCUGACACACAUAAAUCUGCUGAUUCAGAGCAGACACAGGAAAUGGAAGGCCUAACAAUUAUUGCAGUCACCUCACCUGUCAUGUCACUAGAGUUAUCUGGAUUGUCAAUAAAUGCAAGAUGUUCUGCACCUGGGGGUGGGUUCCAAGUAGAUACAAGAGUUUUAGUGUUGUAGAAGUAGUUCCUCAUGUAGAAAGAGUCCCAAUACACCUUCCAAUCCCCAAAAGCAUCAGUGCAAUCAUAACUACCAACUUCAUCAUAGUUGGUCAAUUCGUAGCUCGAGGAAUCCAAAACUGAGUCAGCUACCAGUGGCUGCUCAGCACUGUUACUUUUGCAGAAACCCUCACCUUCUUUAUCACAAUCUGCCAGUAAUGACACUUCUCGGCAGUCGUAGUCCAUAAAAUGUCCACCAUUCUCUUUAUCACCAUUAUAAGUAUAUACAGUUUCCAAAUAGCAUCCUGGAGCUACAGCUGUUAAUGUAGUUGAACUCGGCAUGUCUUUGGACAUAUCAUCACCAUCGUGUACAAUGUCGCAGUACCGAUCAUCAUUCGACACAAGAUCAGAUAUCCCAUCACCAAUUUUUUUCUUGAGAGUACUACCAGAAAUCCAACCAGGACAUUCCAAAUCUUCUCCUUCACCUAAGGGGCGUUUGGAUUCACUGACAUCCACUGCAACAUCAUAGGGAGAUAAUUCAUUUUGGCCCAGUAUUGACAUGCAACAUAAAGAACUUCUUGUUCUAUCAUUGAAAACAGUAGGAAAUACCGUCUCCACCUUGCUCACUUUGGACAAUUCUUCCGCUUCAUCCUUAGUUUCAUUACAACAGAAAGAACUAUUCAUGUGUGUAGCCUUCCCAUUUUUUCUGGUCAUGCCAUUCCUCUUCUGAAAAAUUGUCAAUGGGAGAGAAAAAAGGUCAAAGACUGGAGUAAUUGGACAAUGACAAAAUAUUUCAACUCAAUAAAUAGAAGUCCUUUUUUACUUUUUUACUUUUUUCUCUUUUUUCUCUCAUUGCCAUCAUCUAGAGAUAUAUCCCUUACGCAGUUAUACUCUCACAUCACCAACUUCUAUGUCUCUUCUAUAAAGAGAAGAAAGAAAACAAGGGUAAGUGCACUCAAAUGUCAACAUUCUAAUAUCCUUAACCUCAAACUUUAAGCCCUACAAAGAUGCUCUGAUCUCGCACAUAAAACAAUAGCUCUCAGUUUGAUGAUAACUGUAUUUAUCAGCAAUCAUAAAUGGAACAAUCUACUAUUAGCUACAUCGACAGCCCCCUUGUUCAUGACCGAAUUCACAACUAUUUCAUACACUACUUAGCAGACCAUUUCACAGACACAGCCAGUCAUUUUUCCAAGAAGGAGAAGGGGAAAGAGAGAGAGAGAGGCUUAUACAAAAUUAAACAAACAUAGAUGCGUCAAUCACAACAGAGCAAGUGCAAUCCAUGAGAAAACCUCAAACCCAAACCCUUACAAAUAUGUUGCUUCAAGCAGAAUAAAGAAAGCAAGAUAUCCGGUUACCUCCUUGUUAGUUUGGAAGGAAAGGGGAAGACCCAAUUCAUUCAUCUGUACAAACAAUUCUACAUCCUCAGGUAAAUAAUUAGAAUCUGCAAAUGUAAAGGGAGAAUGACUUUUCAGUUAUUAAGACAUGAGAUCAAGAACAAAAUGUAAUAGAGGACUAGUGAAGCACUCGCCAAAAGCAGUAGAAACAAUGUUUGAGCUGGCAUCAUCAACAUCUUCACAAAAUUUCUGUGUACAAAACCAAAAAUAGUUUCAAAUUAUUACCAAGUUAAAAGGGCUUUUAAUCAGUUAAAUGCAUGAUACUUUAUAGCAGGGAUGCUUACGGUUACAGAGGGUUCUGGUUCUGGAGUCUUCGGCCAACCGUCGUCCCUUUGGAGCGAAGAAACAAAUAAAUGCACAAUUGGUUAAAGAGCGUAAUGAAAUCGAAAUACAGUCUUCAUGAAGCUUGUUAAAGAGCAAAAGAGAAAGAGACACACCAUAAAUAAACUUCGGUGAGCUUGAAGAGAGAACCGAGAGUUUUAAUAGCGGAAGCUUCAGUUUCGUGGUCUACACUGUCCAUUUGGUGAAGCCGCGAAAGCCAAAUCCUUCUUUGGGCAGACUCAGUAAAAACAACGGGACUCCUCCUCAAUCCCGCUUUCGCACGCUUUUUCUCAGUUUUCUGCACCGCCAAACGACCCCGUUUUAUUGAUAAGUUUUUCCACCAAAAAAGGUGACAAAAAUAUCACCAAAAAUAACAGUUUUUCUUCUUAAUAUUGAUGAUAUUGAUACGUGUAUUUUAUUUUUUUUUUAAAAAGGUAUUGAUAUUUUUUUCUUAAUAAAUUAUUGUUAUCAAACCCAAUUCAAUCUUUGUCCAAUUAGCAAUUUUCUAUUAUUAGGUACGUAAUUUAUAUAAUUAUUUAUGAGUGCUGUGACAUAUGAUUUUUAUUUUUCUAUAGAUAUUGUCACUGUAACGAAUAAUAAUAAUAAUAAUAAUAAUGAUCGCUCAACAAUUAAACAAAAAACUCAAUGUUAAAUAAAAAUGCCGGUUACUAGCGGCAGGCAAUUGGGCAAGGCUACUAAAAACCAGCAGUCAGGGGCCAUGGAGCACUGACACUAACAGUAAGCCGGAUUCGUUUGGAGGGAAAGUAAAAACUGAAGAGAAUGGAAGACGGCGAGAUAGAAGAGGAAGGAAUGGUGGUAGAUGUUGACGGAGGAGGAGACGCACCGUUAACAAACUCGCCGAGCAAGACACAGAUAUCGGCUUACGAAAUGCUGAGAGACACCAAAUCGUCGAUUGAAGAAAUCGUAUCGGAGAUGAUAACAAUCAAAAGCGAAAGCAAACCAAAAUCUCAACUAAGAGAACUCGUCACUCAAAUGUUUAUCAAUUUCGUCACUCUCCGCCAGGUCAUCUCCCCCUAGGGUUUUGCUCUUUCAUUGACUAAGAAAGAAAAUUAAGCUUAAUUUAUUUGAUUUUGUUCAUGUUUUUUAGGUGAACCGUACGCUAUUAGUAGAAGAAGACCGGGUGAAAGCCGAGACGGAACGGGCGAAGGCGCCGGUGGAUUCCACGACUCUGCAGCUGCAUAAUUUGAUGUAUGAAAAGAGUCAUUAUGUUAAAGCAAUUAAAGCGUGCAAGGACUUCAGGUCUAAAUAUCCUGACAUUGAUCUCGUGCCCGAAGAAGAAUUUCAUCGUGACGCACCAGAGAAGAUUAAAGGCUCCAAAUUGUCUAAUGACAUCUCACAUGAUCUCAUGCUCAAGAGGCUCAAUUAUGAAUUGCACCAGGUAACUCAUAGCCCUAGAAUUUGGCAACUUUAAAAAAGAUUAAAAAAAAAAUUAGAAGUACUUAUCACUGAUGUAUUGUGCAAUAUCAGCGGAAAGAACUGUGCAAACUUCAUGAGAAGCUAGAACAACAUAAGAAAAGUUUACAGGAGAUGAUUGCAAAUCGGAAGAAGUUCUUGUCGAGUCUUCCUUCACAUCUUAAGUCUCUGAAGAAAGCAUCGUUGCCAAUACAGAGCCAAUUAGGGGUUUUGCACACAAAGAAAAUAAAGCAACUCAACUCAGCUGAGUUACUUCCACCACCUCUCUAUGUGAUUUACUCACAGUUUACAGCACAGAAGGAAGCAUUUGGUGAGAAUAUAGAUCUAGAGAUAGUUGGAAGUUUGAAAGAUGCUCAAGCUUUUGCCCGCCAACAAGCAAUUAAGGACACUGGUAAUCAAUAGUUCUACUCUUCAGCUGUUAAUAGCUGGAAAAUUUCCUGGCAAUUUUUUAAUGAAAUUAACCUAUAUUCCCAAUUGUAGUUAUAAAACCUUGAAAUGAUGCCAUUUAAUGCCUUAGUUUAAGCCUACAAAAAAAACAUCAAUUCUGUAUUAACUGUAGAAGUUUUGAAGAAACCCAACACGCAGUGGCUGGCUUGGAAAGCUUUUAUCAUCAUAAAAUUUAAUUCCUUUCUUUGCCUUUUUGAAUUUUCUUUCAACCUUAGUGUCUGGGAUAGUUUUACAUUUCAUACAUGUUUUGACUGUGACUUCUCUAUUCUUUUUCAUUAGCAAUAAAAUUGAAUAGCAUUAGUUAUAAUGAUCCAGGUAUAUCUACUAAUGUUGAGAGCUCCAAGUUAGAAGAUGAUGCACCAGAUGAGGAGGAUGAUGGCCAGAGAAGAAGAAAGCGGCCAAAGAGAGUUCCAAGCAAAGAGAGUCUUGACCAGGCAGGAGUACAUCAAGUUCAUCCACUUAGGAUAAUCCUUCAUAUAUAUGAUGAUGAGGCCUCCGAUCCCAAAUCUGCAAAACUCAUCACCCUGAAGUUUGAGUACUUGUUCAAAUUGAAUGUUGUAUGUGUUGGAAUUGAAGCGUCACAUGAAGAAACUGAGAAAGAUAUCUUGUGCAAUUUAUUUCCUGAUGACACUGGUCUUGAGCUUCCUCACCAGGUAUGAAGGUUUCUUUUGCUUGCCUUGGAAGUCUUGAUCAUUUAUCGAUGAGCUAACUUUCUACUUAUGCUUCAUAACAUUUUCCCUUAGUAAGAUAUUAUUUUUUUCUGGAUGAUGAUGCAGUCAGCCAAGCUCUCUGUUGGUGAUACCCUGGUAUUUGAUGAAAAGAGAACUUCGCGUCCAUACAAGUGGGCCCAGCAUUUGGCAGGAAUUGAUUUCUUACCGGAAGUCUCACCAUUGCUUGCUAGUCAUGAAACUUCUAAUAGUGAGACUGUUAAAAGUGAUGCAGUUGUAUCUGGCCUAGCACUAUAUCGCCAACAGAAUAGGGUACAGACAGUUGUGCAACGAAUUCGCUCUCGGAAAAAAGCUGAGCUGGCUCUUGUGUGAGUCACUGUUCUGUAAAAUUGGAGUUCUGUAUCAUGAAGGGAAGACCAGAAAAUCAAUAGGAAACAAUUUAACAUCUUGUGUUCAAAUCUGAGCAGUAGCUCUCAAGUUUUGUUUACUUGGCUAGGACUGCUAUUCGAAUUUUUAAAUAAUGAAAAGUGUCUAAUACUUUAAUUAUAUCAUUUUUUGGAACACCUAUCUUCUAUGCCUACUUAUUGCAUGUGUGCUUAUUGUCGCUUGGAGAACCUUUUCCCUUUUUUUGGUAGCUCUCUUGUCUUGUUUGUUUUGUCCUUGUGGUAAGGUAAGCUAUGUUGAAAAUUUUGGUAUUCUUUUAUGGUUUACAGGGAACAGCUUGAUUCACUUAUGAAGCGUAAAUGGCCUACUUUGAAUUGUGAACGAGUUCCAUGGGCUUUGCAUACCCCACUAUGCAAUUUGCAUAGCUGGUCUAUUGUAGGCCCCCCACCUGAACGAACUUCCUCUUUGCCCACCAUUGAUACAGAGCCAGUGCAGGAAUAUCUAGACGUUAAUAUGGAUGGAAGAUCUGGUACUUCUAAAGAAGACCUAGAGAGUGCAAGGGAAGAUGGGGAGCUUCCUUCUCUGUUUCAAGCUGCAUCUGUUGGAAAUGAUGUUAAACUUACACAUUCAAAGGGGUCUAAUUUAGACCAUUCCAGGCAGCUUGCUUUAAUUUCUAAGAGCAUUAUUUCUCCUGCUGCUAAGGCAAGGUCUCAAAGUUUCAAAAAACAUGAUGAUGAUUCAGAUCUCUUGCUUGACAUUGAUAGUGAACUGGAUGAACCUGCACAAAUUCAGACAGAAGUAGUCAAUGCUGCUUCCAUUCAUCACUAUGAGACGAAUGAAAAGUCAUGGGUGGAUUGUGGGGUUAAGGAAUUCACUCUUGUUUUAAACCGAACAAUGGAUGCAAAUAAGAAGAGUGUAAAUUUAGAAGCUAAGGUUUGUAGAUUAUCUUUUUUCUUGCAUUUUGCUCAUUCUUUUGGCAUUUUAAAAAAAAAUAAUUAAAGAUGCUUUUCUGCUAAAUGGCAGAUCAAGAUCAGUACUGAGUAUCCUCUUAGGCCUCCUCUUUUUGCUGUGAGUCUUGAGAACGCUGCUGGAGUACAUGGGCAUGGGGAUGAUUAUUCUGAGUGGUUCAAUGAGCUUCGUGCCAUGGAAGGAGAGGUUAGUGAUUGAUUAGAUGGGAAAAGCUGUCAGCAGUAAAUUUAAGACAUGAUAGGUUGUGGGAAUUUUUUCAUUGAAUGGUAUUAAAACUAAUUGCAGUUAAUCAACAGUAAAUUUCGGACAAGUGAUGAAUCAGAGUAUUAGACCAUAAUAUUCUUGUUUUUAACCAUUUAAUUGAGGGUAGCUUUUGAUGAAAACACUUAUAUCCAGUAGUUUAUGAUGGGUUCUGUGAUGUCUCUGUACUAUAAGUUGGUUUACUCCGAUGUCAUAGCUUUUUGUUAAUAAUUUUUUCAACUGAGAAGAUGAUCCCUUUUCAAUGGAAUUCUAUCAUUGUUAUCCAUUUCCUUGCUUGCACCUACUUAUAUUUAUGUUCUUAAACAGCCCACGCAAAAUUUUCUGCUAUAUUUUCACAUUUUAAUCUUGUAUCAUGUAGGUCAAUCUUCACAUGGUAAAGAUGGUACCUCCUGAUCAACAAAAUUACAUCUUAGCUCAUCAAGUCCGAUGUCUUGCUAUGUUGUUUGACUAUUGCAUAGAUGAGGCGUCCCCGUCUUCCCAAAAGAGGAAAAGCACUUAUGUGCUUGAUGUUGGUUUAUGUAAGCCUGUUAGUGGUAGGCUUCUCGCCAGAUCAUUUAGAGGAAGGGACAGGAGGAAGAUGAUAUCCUGGAAGGAUAUGGAGUGCACUCCUGGCUAUCCGUACUAGUAGUUGAGUUUUGGAACCGAAUAUGACAGUGCUUAUGGUACUCCCACUAAUGUUACAUUAGGUUUAUAAGAACUUUCAAAGAUACUCUUGUCGUUGUUAUGUUGAGCAAUGACAUUGUGCAACAGAAUCUUUGAGUCAGUUUUUUUUCUCCCCCCCUGCUAUUUUAGUAGUGAAUCUACAACUUGACCUGUCCCACUUGAUGUUAUUUAUCAAGACCAAUACUGUUGAUUUGCUUGCAUUUUGUUGAACUUUCAGGUCUGAAUCAGAUAAACUACAUAUUUAAGUGUUUGCCGAGGUCUCAUCAGUCGUAAAGCAUAUGUAUAAUACUCAUGGACAUGCACAAUUGGUACUUUGGCAACAAAAGGAUGCUGUAUUACUAUAUGGUUGAGAGGAUAUGGUCAACAUCCCACGUAAGAAAGCUAAAGGUUUUCAUAUCAUCCGAAAACUUGGAGAGAUUGGUGGAGUUUUUCAAUUUGUCAGCUUGAAGCAAAUUAUGAAUCAGUAUCAUUAGUAAACCAAUAUUGCUGAGGAUCUAACUUCUAUUGCCUGUGAUUUAUGCUCCUCAUCUAUUCUUUCUUCGAUAGUAAAGGCACAGGAUUCUCGAGCAACUUUAAUGAGUCUUGUGGAUCUCUUAUUACUCCGUCGAUCAAGUUAGAAAUAACUAGUUCGAAUCCCACCAAAUUGCACUUUCCGAUUAAGUUAUGAAAUUGUAUAAUCUGCUAGAACUGUAGUUAUAUGCCACAAUCCCGUACCUGCUAAAAAUUAAGAUAAUGCCAUCUGCGCGCUCUUUUCUUUUUUUUUUUUUUUUUUUUUCAAGUUCUUAAUUCAGUCCCACAUGAACACUUUCAGUCAGCAUGACCCAAGCCCACUUUGAAUAAAAUGCUCCAAGACGACUCUACACUGGAAUGCAGUGUUAAUGCAAAUUUGUACUCUUAAUAAUGCGAGUAGAAAGGCAGGUCGCCCACCCCGACCACAAUGGACGCCAAGUUCCCGGGUUAGACCUUCAAUUUGAAAGAAUUUCGGAAAAACAAUAAAAUAAGAAAACAUAGAAAUGUUCUCCUGAUGUACCGCUUCACAUCCACCUGUCGACAGCAUAUGUCGGUGAAAAGAAAUCGCAAACAUUCCUAGGCACAGUAAACAAGAAGCGGCAAUACAGAAAAAUGUUUUGAGAAACGAUAAGAUAACGAUCUGGACAAGCUCUGAAAUAUAUGUCAAAUGAUAGACAACUAAGGGCCAAAUAUUUUGCUUCUCUUCUCCUAGCUAUCAUGAUCCUCGGAAGAGAGGCUAAUAUUGGAAGAUACAAAAUCUACAGCACAAUACAAUAUUAUUCUCUUUAAUCUACAACUGAACCAAGUGUCUGCCUCAAAAUAUGUACAGCCAACCACUAGCAUACACUAUCUUCAAAGCACAAAAUCACAAUCCUGCCCUUUCCACUUUACCAUGGACCAGUCUGUGUCCGUCUCAAGCACCGUCUCUUGCCUCCCUGUUGCACAUUCAUCAUCUCCAAGACCUGCCAUUGAAUGGAUACAGACUUUUAGAAUCACUCAACUUCAGAUCCGUAAAUUCAUUAAAGAAUACCAAGAAACUGCAUUGUUGUCUUAUCUGAGAAAGAGAGAAACAAAGACAGAAAGUUUGUGCUUGAAUGUUUACAGGAGAGAUUUUUCUGAUAAAUGGAAAAAGAACAAGGAAAAUAACUUUUUUACCUGAUUUUUCUGCAUUUCCAUCAUUUCUUCCUGCAGUAAUGAAAGUACAGUAAAUGAGAAUUAGCAGACAACAUACCACAGCCAUUAAUUCCAUGUGCGCGUGUGUAUGCACAUUGUGUACACAUGAAACUGAAACCUACCUGUUUCUUCCGUAAUUCUUCGUUCUCUUCUUUUAACUUUGCAACUUCUGCUUCCAAUUCCAUAGUAUAAGCCUACCGCAAAAACAAAAAAGAAAAUAAGACAAGCAUUCAUCACACAUCCUGAGACAACAUAAGAAUACAAAUAAUUUCAUCAUUGAAUAGAGUAAUUUCUGUUGCCUCUCUAUUUUGCUUUAUCCAAAGGAGCAAAUCAGGUAAAAUGUUAAAAAGUUAAUCAUCCUAUUAAUUGAUGUCGACACGAUACAACUAUUGCCGGAUUUUAUGUUCCUCAAACAAUGUUCCAUUACCUUGCAACAACCUGGAUCCUUAAAACUUCUCAUGUCCUUGACUUCUCAUAAUCUUUCAUCUCUGAUCAUGUCAGGUUGCUAGCACAUUAUCAUUCUGCCGCAUAAUCUUUCAUGAAGUUUAGGAUGCAGCAUGUCCAUAGAUGAUAAAAGCAGAAGGUUAAUGGCUAGCAAAAUUUAUGGAGUGGCAAGAAGAGGAAACUUGUCAAUCACUUUUUAUGCUCUUGGUGUCAUUUAUUUGUGUUUCUUUCAUUCUUCAAUAAUUAUUUAAUCCUGACCUCAAAGUAAAUCUUUAAAGACAGACAAGUUUCUCAACUGUUAUAAACCUAAAGUUAAUAAAGUUAGGCUGUUAGGCAGUACGGGUUAAUCAAAAAUGAAUUUAAACAGACACCAACUAUUUUUUCAGCAACUCCUCCCAGUGCAUACAAUCGAUAUCUCAGCAAUCGCAUGACCAUGAGAACAUCAAGUAAGUCAAAACUCAUGGGAUUGUUCAAACAAACCGAUAAGUAAUCAUUUCACAGGUUCAUUUAAUUUAAUCAUGCAUCAUGGACUAUCCAAAUGCUCUAUUUAAUUAACAGACAGCACUACCAGCAUAAAAAGGUACAGCAGCAAACACCGAAUCAAUCAGAUUUGAAGCCAUAGGCAUAAACAAAUAGUAGAUUAUAAAUAUAUCAAACAAAAUUUUACCUGCUUACGAGCCCGAGACCUUGCAGCUGACUCUCUAUUCUUUAUCAUUCUCCUCUGCCUCCUCUCAACAACCUUCUCCACAUUCCCAUUGAAUCUCCUCCCCCUUAAACUUCCAUUGAACAUGUAAGGAACCGGCGACACUGAAGAAGUAUCCCCAUUACUCUUCCCAAUCCCAUCUGAUGACAACUGGUUUGCAGGAGACCCCAAAGAAACACCUACAGGAGGAGCUCCCAAACCAACCAUUCCCAUCCCUCCACCCUGAAGUGCACCACCCUGAAUCAAAUUACCAUUCAUUGCCUGAUCACCUACUACCACAAUUCCGCUCUUAAUUCCUGGACUACUCUGUAAAGGCAUCUGAGUAGCAUACGCCAUAGCAGGCUGCUUGGGAAAUAUUUGCGGCUGUUGUGGCUGUUGCUGUGUCUGCUGGUUAUGCUGCUGCUGAGCUAGGGGAUGCUGAUUCAUUCUAGCCCCAUUAACAUUCAAAGGCAAAUUCGAAGACUGAAUAUUAAUCUGAUUACCAGUCUCCAGGUUACGAUUUCCCAUCAGACUUGCACCCUUACCCAUCUGCUGAAACCCAAUUCCCAUUCCAGUAUUAUUAGCUGACCGUGAUAAAUCACCAAAAAGCCCACUAUUACCAUUAACCUUGCCACCAACACCACCACCAAACUGUAAAUCCUCCCUAACAACGCCAGCUCUCACCAAAAACUCCUCCAACGUCAUUUCCCCCAAAGUCUGCUGCCUCUGUGCCUGUGGCAUAUUAUUCGGUCCUUGACCACCAACACCACUGCCACCAGCUAUCCCAUCC